CUCCUGUUCUCAAUCUUGACAUUAGAGAGUACCAAUCUCUUGGGGAAUUUGUAGACCAGUAAAACAGCCGACUGAAGGAACAACAACAAAACAGUGGAGAAGGACAUAGAGUUAUCUACAUUUAUUUACCCAGGUAAGGUCAUUAAAGAGAGAAGUUGGCAUUAACCAUCAUGGUCUUAUAAAGAAAAGUAAUCUUAAUAUUAUAAAAGUAUGAAGAAUUUAACUUUGGAUUACAAAAAUCCAACCGAUUCAGGGACCCCUGGGUGGCUCAGUUGGUUAAGCAUCCAAAUCUUGGUUUCGGUUCAGGUCAUGAUCUCACGGUUCAUGGGAUUGAGCCCCGUGUCAGGCUCUGUGCUGACAGCAUGAAGCCUGCCUGGAAUUCUUUCUUUACCUUUCUCUCUGCCUCUCUCCAGCUUGUGUGCACGCUUGUUCCCCACCCCCCCACCUCAAAAUAAAUAAACAUUAAAAAAUAUCCAACCCAUUCACUUUUAUGAAAGCCUUGCAACAUUGGCCUUCCUUUUCUCAUUUCAUCCAGAACAGGUUGUCUUUGUCACAGACAAGUGGCCUUUGGCAACCACAGGUCUGUACCGUAUUCUAAGUUAUUUUCUCUGAUCUAGGCCUGAGCUUUGUCAGAUAUCCAGACAGUGGAUUGGACAAAAUGGUAUCUAAGAUCACUUUUCAAUUCCAAGGAUUGAGUUUGGCCCAUUUGUCCUUCUAGUCCAGAGACAAAGAGGAGGCUGGCCUCAUGUACAUUAGCCAUCAAGUCAGCAGCUGCUGCUCUAUCAAUCUUGCCCUUGGCAGGAGCAGGCACCUUGCGAAUUGACCUCCAGGAAAAGAAUGAAUGCUUAGUGGUGGCAAAUAAGUUGCGUUAAGUAUUGGGAAACAGAGCACACACAUAAAUCUCCUGUGGAUCUAUAUUCCUUAAGGAAAUCCAUCAGAGAAGAGAGGCAACUCAUGGAAGAAGACGAUAACGCUCUGGCUGUUCCCCCUCCCCGCCCCUACCGCCCCCGAGGUAAAUACCCUUCACAAUGGACAUGGCCCACCAGAUAAGCUAGCUUUAGGACCCUUCCACUUUUCUACUUACUUAUACAUUAGGGAUUUUCCACUGUCCAGGCCUGUGCUCACUUGCCCAAAUGUUGCAAAAUAAUAAGAAAGACCCAAUAACAAGUAUAGUUUAUUAAUGUGAAUACGGUACUUUCUGUUGACAUGCCAAGCUCUCAGCAUAUUUAAACCUCACGACAGCCCUUGUCAGGUAAUACCAUCAUCGUCUUCACUUACAGACGAAGAAACUGAGACACUGAAAGGUGAAGUAGCUUGACCCAUCACAUCACCAAUAAGUAGGAGAGGUACGACUCGAACCCACAUCCAUCUCGGCGAAGCUUUUGCUUCCCGCCAACACACUGUGCUGUCUGGCCUGCACAGUAUGCUGUCUUUCCGUAGCAUUUGAAAUUUUGCAGCUAAAUGUCCAACUUCCUCAUUUUUCCCUUUUGGUGUCCAUGUACGAAAAGAGUCUGAAUCAACUCAAUUAAUAUGUGUGAAUCUCACCGUGUGCCAAAUUCAGAGCUCUGGGGACUCAGACAUGGAGAGCAGACCUCUGUUUUCAAGAAGUUCCCAGUCAAGAGGGGAGGCACGUACUCUGGUGCCUAGGUAUAAAGCAGUCUGUAAGAGAGUUAUUAGAGAAGUUGUAAGAAUAACAUGCUGUUCGACCUAAAAUCUGGAGGAUGGUGGCCAGGAGUAACAGUGCCCUCCAGGCGGAGGUGAAAACAGGACCCAUGCAGCCUCUGUGGUAGCUGGACUGUGAGGUGUUUGUGGGUGAUUGUGGUGAACAAUGGUCUUGCAGUUAUCCAGAGGUCAUAUUUUGGGAGGACUUGGAUACCAUUGGAAGAAGAUCGGAUUUUACUAAGUAGACAAUGGGGAGACCUUGAAGGUGUUUGGAUGCAGAAGGAACAUUAUCAGAGCUGAAUGCAGGAUAAAUAUACCCUAAAUAUAUGGUUAAAGGCCUUAUAUAUUAUCUUUCUAGCUUGUCUGCAUUUAGCAGGAGACAAAACAGAAACCACAUGUACGAACCUUAGGUGAUGGGAUUUCAAACACCAGGGGAGAUCCUUGGUUUCGAGUUCUGUCAGUCAAACCACUUAGGUGGAAAGUUCCCAAAUGUGGUUAGUCAGAUGAAAUACUGGGUAGACUGUUUCCAGAUUCCUGGGGCACCUGGGUGGCUCAGUCGGUUGAGCAUCCCACUCUAGAUUUUGGCUCAGGUCAUGAUCUCACAGUCCAUGGGUUCAAGCCCUGUGUCGGGCUCUGGCUGAAAGUACGCAGCCUGCUUGGGAUUCUCUUUCUCCCCUCUCUCUCUCUGCCCGUAUCCUGCUUGCUCUCUCCCUCAAAAUAAAUAGAUAAGCUUAAAAAAAUAAUUAAAAGGGGCACCUGGGUGGCUCAGUCAGUUGAGCGUCCGGCUUCGGCCCAGGUCAUGAUCUCACAGUCCGUGAGUUCGAGCCCCACGUCAGGCUCUGCACUGACAGCUCAGAGCCUGAAACCUGCUUCGGAUUCUGUGUCUCCCUCUCUCUCUGCCCCUUCCCCGCACACACUCUGUCUCUCUCUCAAAAUAAAAUAAAAACAUAAAAAAAAAUUUAAAAAAAACAAAUCCAGAUUCCUGGGCUCUGCCUCCUUAAGGUACUAAUUCAUAAGAUCCAGUCACAAGACUGAGAAUUGAUGUUUUUAAAGCUGGCCGGUGGAUUCCAACAACCACUGACUCACAUAGCAACUUCUAUUGGAUGCACUGAAAACAUUUCUAUCAGUGUAAGAAAUUUUAGUUAAAGACUAUCCCUGAAGCACCCUCCUCUCCCAAAAGUGUUUAUAUUGCUAUAGACGUGUUUUAGUCAGAGUUCCUCAGACGAACAGAACCAAUAUGAUGUGUAUGUGUGUGUGUGUGUGUGUGUGUGUGUGUGUAUGUGUAUAAACAAAACCAAUAGGAUGUAUGUGUACCUACAUACACAUACACACACGCACACGCACACACAUUCUAUUGGUUUUGUUUAUAUGUUUAAAACACACACACACACACAUAUAUACAUAUAUAUACAUAUAUAUAUAUAUAUGUAUAUGUAUAUAACAUUUAUAUAUACAUACACACACAGACUUAUAAGGAACUGGCUUCCCCAAUCAUGGAAGCUAUUAAGUCUCAAGGUCUGCAGCUGGAGUCCCAAGAAAACUGAUGUGAAGCUCCAGUCCAGAAGCUGGUGGGCUUUAGCCCCAGGAAGAGCUGUUGCUUCAGUGUAAGUCUGAAGGCAGGGGGAAAAAAAAAAAAAAAAAACAAUGUCCAAAGCCAGUGCGGUCAAGCAGAAAGAAAUUUCCUUUUAUUCAGCCUUUUUCUUCUAUGCAGGUCUUCAACUGAUUGGAUGGGGCCCGCCCACCUUAGCGAGGACAAAAUCUGUUUUACUCAGUCUAGAAAUUCAAAUGUCAAUUUUACCCUGAAACACCCUCACUGACACACCCCGAAUAAUGUCUUACCAAAUAUCUAAAUACCCUGCUGCCCCAUCAAGUUGAUUUGUAAAAUUAACAUCACAAGAUGUCAGAAGGGCUUCAUUUCAAUAGUAUCAAUAGUAUGGUCCUUAUAAAAACAAUGGUAACAAGAAUCAUUAUUUGUAUCCCUUUAGUACCUGGGUGUGUAGACAGUCUUUGCAACUGAAUGAAUGAAGCAAGGGUAUUAGCAUAGGUGUUUAUGGUUUAUCAUCUUAUUUUAUCCACACAAUAACUCUGCUGGGCAUUUGAAAUAGAUUUCAUUAUUACCUUCCAUUUUUGAGAGGGGUGGUGCAAAGUAUAAAGAGGUGAGCUUAGGUGUCCAAGGACACAGGGUAAGUGACAGGGACCAACUCAAACCCAGAGCUUCUUUUGUGAUAUUUCCACUGUGUGACACUAGUUCAUUGUAGAUUACAGGCAAAGGGAUGCAUACCUUCAUGAACUCCCCUGACCAUCAGCAAUUUCCUGAUCUUAUGACUACAUCUAUUGCCAUCUUUAAAUAUAGGAGAGGCACAAAUUAACAAGUGAAAACCAAGAGAUAUGUUUGUAGUUAAUGCUACUAACAGGCAGCGUAAUUAUAAGAGAGCAGAGAGUGUUGCUUGACAAACAUUAAUAAAAAACUCUCAUGCCAGUCUCAAGUAUAAAUUACACAGCAGAAGGCAAGGAGAGGCUGGGCUUGACAGCUGUAGGAUAACAACCUUGAAAUAUAUCUACAUUAUCUGAGGGGUCUUUGGAGGUCUGUCUUUUGGACUCGGUUAGAGACCAUGCUAAUGAACUGCCUUAAUGUCCAUAUUUUUGCAGGGCCAUCUAUAUUUCUUUUAAGGCCGAGUUUACCACAAUUGGGAAAACUGCUUAGUUAGAUGUGAGGUUCUAGUCAUUUUAUGUGCUUGAUGGGGUUAAAUAAACCUGUCCAAUUAACCAGAAGUCAUUAGAUUAAUAUAUAGUUGUUUAUCUCACAAUAUUUUCUAAUAGCCUUACAUAAAUUAUUCUUUAUAUUUCUAUUACGGUUCAUAGUUCAUUCAUUUGACAACUAUUUAUUCCACAGUAAUCUUUGCUAAUAACUAGAGUUGCAGAGAGAAGCUAUGUUAUUUGCCUUGUGGUAGCUCACCAUUUUGUACAGUGGUUCUCAACUCUGGCUGCGUAUGAGAUUACGGAAGAGCAUUUUGAAAAUGCCUAUGCCCAGACCCCAACCUGGAGAUUCUGAUUUCUCUUGGUCUGGAAUGGAGCCCAGGCAUCAGCAUAUUUUAGACUUUCUAGGUGAUUAGAACAUACACAGCCCAGACAUAUGGGAGAGACAAUUAUACCUCCAGACAAGGUGCACUGUUUCAAGUACCAGAGGAAAGAAAUGUGUUACUGGCUAUGGAUUAAAAAUGCUAAAUUCUUCUGACUUCGGCUCAGGUCAUGAUCCCAUGGUUCCUGGGUUCAAGCCCUGCAUCCAGCUCUAUGCCGAUAGGUCAGAGCCUGGAGCCUGCUUUGGAUUCUGUGUCUCCCUCACUCUCUGCCCUUCCCCUACUCAUGCUCUUGUCUCCUGUCUCAAAAGUAAAUAAACAUUAAAAUUUUUGUUAAUUAAAAAAAAUGCUAAAUUCUUCUAGAGUGGAUGUGGGAAGGUUUUACUGGGACUAUGAUUUUCUAUUUGAGGGUAUCAGUUUUAUUUUUAAUUUUUUUUAUGUUUAUUCAUUUUUGAAAGACAGAAAGAGACAGAGCACAAGCAGGGGUGGGGCAGAGAGGGGGGGGGGCGGGGACACAGAAUCCAAAGCCGUCUACAGGCUCUGAGCCAUCAGCACCAGAGCCCGAUGUGGGACUUGAACUCACAAACCGCCAAGAUCAUGACCUGAGCCUGAAGUCAGACACUCAACCAACUGAGCCACCCAGGUGCCCCUAUUUUUAAUUUUUAAUAAAACUAUAUUAUUGUUUUCUUUGAGCUGCAUCUUGGAGGAUGGUGGAUGAGAAGGGAAGGGAGGAAGAUACACCAGGUAGUGUAUAUGCAAAGGCACAAAGGGAAAAAAUGUCAGUGUCUUCAGAGAAUUUUGAGUUGUUUAGUUGGGCUGAAGUGUUGAGCGUAUGAAUUAAUUAUCAUUAAUUCUUUCAUUCAAACAGUGUUUAUUGUGGAUGUAUGCUGUGUGAGGCAUUGUGUUAAGUGCUAUGAGGGAUUCAAAAAUAAGACAAAAGAGAUCCUAUCCCUAACAAACUCAGGCUAUUCAAGGACACACAUUAUGAAAGAUGGUGAUGUGGUGAUGGUAAUAUAGGCUUAAAAUGGAAAUUUUGACUAGACACUAAGAUAUAACAGAAAUGAAAUCCCAAAGUGAAAUGCCAAAUUAUAUUAUGCAGAUGUUUAGAGGAAAUGGCUUAGAGUAGAGAGAGUGGAAAGGGAUCUGAGUAAUGAGAUUUCCUUCCAGAAUGUUCUUGCUGAGUCCCCAAUGACUCUCAGGGAAGAGGAGUGGAAGCAUGGGUCUACCCCCUAGCUUCAAGCCAGGUAAGAGGUAAAGGAUCUGCUCCUCCCACCUCAAUCCCAGAGGGAACGGUGGCAGAAGCUUGAUAAACUGGGGUCUGGCCUCCGUUUGCUCCAGAAAAGAGAGAAUAACGGUCAGCAAACUUGUUUUGUAAAACAUCAGGUAGGAAGUUAGGCUUUGCCAGAGGCAUAUUAUCCAUGUCCCAUAAUCUUUAUUUUUUACACCUUUUAAAAUUUAAAACUCAUUCUCAGCUCCAUGGGCUAUAGUUUGCUGGCCCUUGAUCUAGGGGGAAAAAGGCCUGACCCUUCAAGUAGAACACCUAGAAAUGAGGAAGGAGAAGGAGCCCUCAGCUCCCUCAAGGAUAGGGAGGUACAGGCAGGGUGAUGAUAUGGUAUGAUUUGUUAUCCAAACAGGGACACUUGGGAGAGUGAACAGGGACAUUAAUAACCAAGUAAUUUAAUGAGAAUAAAGCCUGGACAACAGGACUUAAACCCGGACUCUCCAGGCAAGAUGGGAUGUAUGAUCAGGUCACCUGGCAAGUGGUCUCCAGGGACAGAGACCUCUCAACUAUGCUGUCCAAUAUGGGAGCCACUAGCCACAUGUUUACAUGCUAGACAGGUAAAAUAAAAUAUAUUAUUUAAAUUAGUUUCACCUGUUUCUUUUUACUUUUUACUAUGUGACUACUAGAGAGUUGAAUGUGUGGCUUGCCUAUGCGGCCUGCAUUGUAUUGCUAUCGGUCAGCACCGCUCUAGAGCCCUCAAAAUUGCCCACUAGACAAAGAGACAGCCUUGAAAAUCUGUGAGACCCAGAGAUCCUAAAGGUAGUUUGCUUAUUAUGCAAGUGCAGGUAAGACCUGUCCCGUCUCUUCGCCCUCCUCCCUCUUACCUGCCACCCCUGGUUGGGGCAGGGGUACAGGAUGGGGAGGCUAGAAACCAUAUGUAGCUCGGCCAGCCAUGCCCUCCCCCCUUUCCUCCAGUGAGUCUCCAUCCUAAAAUGCCCAGAACUGAGAGGUGUCAGAUCAGCCCUAAAUCUUGGUCAAGGCUUGAUUUAUACCUUGGACUAGACAUUCUCAUUUCUGAACUAAAACUGCAUCUGUGACUUAAAGAUCCCCUAGAAUGGUCUGUUACUCAGGAGUGAGGCAGAAAGUCAUGGAGUUUUAAUCUAAAGGCAGGGAGAGGCUAUUCUACUGAAUAUAUUUAUAUUCUAUUCUAUUAUUUAUUUCUUAAUUUUUUACUGUGAAAAAUUUAAAGAAAGCAUGCAUGAAGGUGGAGAGACUCCUAUAAUAAACUCCCAUUUACCCCUUACCCAGUUUCGACAAUCUCAACAUUUUGCCAAUUUUAUUUUAUCAAAUAUUCUUUUAUGGGGAUUAGGGGGAGGGACUCAAGUAUUUCAAGCAAGUCUCAGACAUUAUAUUAUUAUUAUAGUAACAAAUACUAUACUGUAUGAAGGAUAAGGAUUUUGCUUUUAACAUAACUCAUUUUAUUUUGAAGGGACAGCAAGAAAUGUAAAAGUAAGCACAUUUCAAAUAUAACACGAGUCUUGCCUGUUAGCACAUGAGUAUCAAUAGUAAUGAUAAUAACGGGCAAACUUCAGAGACCUUAGAGGUCAUUUAGUCCUGUCCUCUUAUUGAAGCUCAGAGAGGGAGGGACUUGUUUGAAGUCCCUGGAGGCAGAUCUGGGGCUGAAAUGCAGGCCCAACUUCUCAGGACACAAGCCUGCUCAUUUGAAUCUCACUCGGAGAGACUUGAACUUGGUUUCCUGAGGGACUCAACUGGGUCUCCCCAGCACCUUCCAGCCAUCUCUUUUGCAUUUCUGUCCCGCAAACUGAGAAUCAAAGAGGAGCUUCCGGAAAAUCACUUGUCAUUUACCAGCAGAUUAAGUUGGGAAGUGUGCAUGGGACAAUUAAUGUCUUGCACUUAAUGUCUUGCAGAGACCUUAUGUAAUGUUGUAGGAAAAAGUCAAGAGUCAGCAGAUCCUGAAGUCAUCCAGGUUGCUUUGAGGUUAGAGACUUGGCUUCUAAGGAAGAGUUUUAUUAAGGGCUUUGCCCAUGGGCUCUCUCUCUAGGUUUCUCAGGGUAGCUGAUAGCCUGAGUUCUGUAGCAAGAUGAACCCUCUUGCCAAUCUUUUGGAAGCCACCUUUCUUAGACUACUGGGAAUAACUUUGCUUUAUGAGAGGAGAAAGAAGAGUAUAUAGACCACUUACUCUAUGCCUCUGGUCCCCAGCCCCUUAGCUUCUUCUGAGCAUAAUGGCAGCCUCAGCUCCUAAAGUCACAUGACCUCAAUUUAAUUAGAUGCUUCAUAUUGCUUAGAAUUGUUGCCUCUUCAGGUUCACUCCUUCCUGCUUUCUUUUUACCUGAUUUUCUGAUCUUUCCACUGUACCAACUCCUACAUUUGCCUCCUGACUUCCUUUCUCUUGGUCCACUUCUACUUUGAUAAUGCAGGUUGCCCUCUUGUCACCAUCCUCUGUUUUGGUCCUUUGGCCACAUUCCGUGUUUCCCUGUUUUUCCGGUUUUGGGUAUCAUAUGCUUAUGCUUAAAAUAAUGAAUGUCAUUAUUUUUCCACUUAAUCCUAUGGAGCCCCAUCUACUCUUAUUGGUAGGAAUUUCCUUAUUCCCCUUUAGGAGUCUCUCUCUCUCUCCCGGUGGUUUUAUCUGGAAUACCUGGAGCUCUAUCCUGACUCUCCUGCUUGCUAAUCAUGUGAACUUAGGCAAACUACCACUCUCUGAUCGUCAGUUUCCUCAUCCAUAAAGUAGCAAUAUCACUUAACUGCCUCAUAGAGUAAAGGCUCUAUCUAUGAAAAACAUUUAGAAUAGAGUCUGGCAUGUAGCAAAUGGCCAUAGAGGUUAUAAACACAUGCUCAGUGCCUGUGCCCAAUGCAUGACAGCCACACUAAAAAUUAGGCCUUGAGGGGCGCCUGGGUGGCUCAGUCGGUUAAGCGUCCGACUUCGGCUCAGGUCACGAUCUCACUGCCCGUGGGUUCGAGCCCCGCAUCGGGCUCUGUGCUGACUGCUCAGAGCCUGGAGCCUGUUUCAGAUUCUGUGUCUCCCUCUCUCUCUGACCCUCCCCCAUUCAUGCUCUGUCUCUCUCUGUCUCAAAAAUAAAUAAAUGUUAAAAAAAAAUUAGGCCUUGAGAGACUUCCAGUUUUCUACCACAUGCUGCAUUCAGACCAGUCUUUCCCAUCAGCCUCUGAGUCAUGGAUUUGUGCUUGGGUCACAUGUUCAAAUGAUAUUUUUCUUACAGCAGCUUUACUUCUGUAACACUUGCUUUGUUGGUUGACAUCAUUUGGGAACUAGCAGAGUCCUGGCCUUUGUCUUCUCAGGACACCCCUUGAUCUCAGCAGUUUUACCCAGUUUCUCACUGGGGUCAGUUGUGCUAGCAGGCCACCUUGGGAGGGGAAGGCUUUGUCUGCAGGGCCUGCUCUAUUCUUUCCCUGGGGGGAUCCAUUCACAGAAGACCCAAUCUAAGUUGAAGGUAUCCAUUUAAUGGAGAAAUAGCUGGCAUUUCCCUUGAUUAAAUACUAAUAAUGAUGAAGCUGCUGCUGCUGCUGCUGCUGCUGCUGCUGCUGCUGAGUUCUUCCUAUGGAGCAUUCUGUUACACAGAGUUCCUUACCCGGAGACAUAGUCUCUGUCUUCAGUUUAUUGUCUAGCUAGGAAGCUCAAAUAUAUUCAAAGCUCCUUACAAGAAUUUUACAGAUAAUGGCUGUAAAAAAAGCAGAAGAAAGAGUUAUUUUAGGUGAUUAGUGGUCAUGGCUUCAUGUAGAAGUGGUAUUUAAGCACUUUCUUGAACACAUCCAGUAAAAAGGAGGGGCUCAUUAUCAAGCAGAGUAGCCCAGCUUAAUGUUGCCUGGGAUUACAGGUGGAUAUUUCCUAUGCUCGUGAAUUAAAUUUCACAUUCCUCAUUCUACCUCCUGGGAUUAUACAGACAAGUCUUAAUGCAGAAUAAUAAUUCUGUGGUUAUAGUGGGUCAUUAGAAGAAUGGAACAAUGAUAGCAGUUGGGAGGGAUCAGGAUGUGGAUUUUUCUGAAUUUGAAAGAGAUAGUGUUCUUCUUGGAAGAAAGAUAGUCACAGGAAACAUUAAAAGAAAAAGAGGUCACACAUUGCAAAUCCUCUGCAGUUGGUGGGGGGUGCUUAGGGAUAUUUGCUUGUCAUUACUCUACUUUCGGUGACUUAAGUCACAGAAUCAUUGACUCCCUCAGGAUCCGCUCGAGCACAGUGAUCCUUCGUACAGCAUCCCUAAUUGGUGCUUGAUUAUUCCCACUGAAGGGGAGCCCUUUACUUAAUUGGAAUAUUUCAUAAGUGAUACUAUAGAAAAAUUAUUGGUCUAAGUAUCAGAUAGACCUGGGUUCAAAUUUACCUUACUAGUUAUAUUGUACUAGACAAGCCACCUCCUAUUGGGUCUCAGAUGUCUCAUCUGUAAAAUGGGGGAAAAAUGCCUACCUCCUGGUGCAGGUGUAGAUGUGAAAUUAGAUAACAUAAGGAAUAUCUCUGAACUGGUUUCUAAUAUAUAGUAGGUACUGAAUAAAUAGUAAUUAAUAAUAGGUCAUAAAUGUCAAUUUAUUCACCUCUCCCAAAGCUAAAUAUUGUUUGACUUCUAUGGUUAAAAACUCGACCACAUUACUGAUGGCAUAAAAAGCUGUUAAUAAGGCUAUAAGUAGGAAAGCACAAUUUUAUUCCUUUUCUAUUUUCUAAAUGUUAUACCUAAUGUUACAGCUCUGAAGUCCUGGACAUUUGUUUCAGCAGUGAAUGGGGCCUCUGUAACUGGCCCAAAGAACUUUCCCAUAAUUUAAAAAUAAAUAAAAUAUGAAUUGCCCUAGUAGACUGAAACACCCUUCACUUUUUGGCCAUCAGCAUAUCCUGAGCCUUUUUAAUAUCUCUUAAUAUUAGAGCUGGGAGGCAUCUUAGAGCUUAUUAUAUCUGGGCCAUUCAUUUUAGAGAUGAAGAAAACACAGGUAGACUGUGACUAGUACAAGGUCAUACAACUAGUUUGUGGGAAAGCUGGGACUUAAAUAUAUACGAAGCUAACUCCAAAUCUUACAGCCUUCCCAUUGUAUCACAUUGCCUCUCUCCAGAAUAAUGUUUCCAAAUGACACCCUCAUCUCCCUUCCCAAUAUCCAAGGCAGUAAUUGCACAACUGGAAUUUUUCUCCUUCUUUAGGUAUUACUUCUAACCCUGAAACUUGCCCAUAGAAAUUUGACAACUCAGUACUGUUUUGUGUUUCUCCCUGGGAAGGCUGGAAAGGGUCUGGAGGAGGGGGAAAUGUCAAUAUGGGUUUGGAAACUAGAAAUGAUUAUGAAAACAAUGAACACCUUUGAUUCUACGAAAGUGUUUAAUAAGGAUUUAAAAAGGGAUUGAAGGUCAGGCAAAAUGAGUACUAACAAGUUUGCAAAGAUACACUGACUCAGAUAUUUUUGAACAUGCUGGAAAGUGACGCUUCAAAUUCAGUGUCAUUUAAACAAGGCAACCUGAGACCUUGCUAGUUUCAUGUGCAGUGUAAUAAAAACGGUCUUGUUGAGGAAUGUUUAAAAGGUGCCUCCAUUUGCUUUCAUACCCAGGUAGGGGGUUGGGGUGGGGAUGGCGAUUUGAGAUGAUGAUGAAGAUGAUGUUGAAAUUUGUUUAUUCAGCACAUAUUUACCUCUUAUGUGUCAGGCAUUGGGGAAGGUAUCAGGAAUCACACUGUACUCAUUCAUUGAAACACUCAACAGUCAAGUUGUGUGCCUGUGAGAUGCUCGAAAUAAGAUCCUGUAGUUCCUAAUAAGUUUUGUAUGCUCUCUAUUUAUUCCAUAAAUCUUGCAGCAUCCACUGUGUACAAGGCAUGUACUGGGCAGUGCUCAUCAGGUAUUUCAGGCUUUCUGGAUAGGACUGUAGGAAGGAAGAAUCUAUCUACUAAACCCAUGUUUAAUCUGGUUGUAACUGCAUCACUGUCACCAAAUCCAGAAGAAGGUGCUGCUGGUCUGAAAUCCAACUAGGUAAGCAUAGCAUCCCAAAAUGGAAUUUGUGACUGGUUUACUCCAGUUCUCAGGACUUCCCUGCCUGGUCUCCAGACUGUCUUCAUCUUUCCCUGACUGUGUCUCCCUAAGUAGACUCUGAACUCUCUUAGAGUAAGGACCUGGUCUUACGCAUCUCUAAGACCCCUCUUAAGACCUAGCGCAAUAGAUUGCAUGAAGUUCUUCCCUCUGCUUUAUUUUUCUUACCUUCUUACCUUCCCUCAUUCUUUAACUUCUUCUGUAACUUGCCUCUUUCUGCUUUUUACUCCCUGCCUUCUCGUCUUGUCUGUUCUCUUUUUCUAUUCCUUCUCUUUUUUACUUCUUCUCCUCUCUUGUCUUCCUACCCUAAAAACACUCAGUGGGCCCCGUGCAUUGUGCUCAGAUUUGCAGAAUCCACAUUACCUGCCCUUGAAGUACUUCUAGGAUUAUACAUUUAUUUAUUUUUGAGAGACAGAGAGAGACUGAGUGGGAGUGGGGGAGGGGCAGAGAGAGAAGGAAACACGGAAUCUGAAGCAGGGUCCAGACUCUGAGCUGUCAGCACAGAGCCCGACACCGGGCUCGAACCCAUGAAUGUGAGAUCAUGACCUGAGCCGAGGUCGGAUGCUCAACGUAUUGAGCCACCCAGGUGCCCCAGAACUUCUAGGCUUAUAGAAGAGACAGCCAUGUACAUAAAAAAUUCCAGUACUGUCCAAUAAGUAGUUGAUAGAUGUUAACACUUGGUAUAAGAGCACGAAAAUGGACUCAUACCUGUGAUGAGGUGUGUGGCAAAGUUUCUCAUAGGAUGCAGGGCCAACAAUGAGUUGGCCUGACAAAGAUAGUUGGGGUGUGGUGAGGGAGGGAUGGGCCCGGGCAGAGGGCAGUACCAGCAAAACCCAUAGAGGAGAGCUCCUUGCAGGGAGCUAUUAAGGUGCGUUGUGGCUGGAGUCUGAAUACUCAGUGAACAUUUGUUAGGUAAAUCCCUGGUCCUAGAAAGUCCAGGUCAGCUGGUCCCCAGGCUUUUUCUUGUCUGCUGCGCUCUAAGGUCCUGGCUUCUGGUAAAACGUCCAUUCUGAGUCCCUGGCUCUAGUGGACAGUUUUUUUUUUUUUUUAAUACUAAAAACAUUGGUUAAAUGGGCAUUUUUGAAGGAUAAGAGAAGUGACCAGAGGUCUAUUACUUCGGGCUGGGGGUGGAGCUGGGGACUGUGGGAGGGGCAAGGGAGGUAAAGCUUGUUACCAGGCAACCAGGGUUUGAAAAGUCAGAGCUCUAAGGUCUGUGGCCAUUAGGACCGGCUAGAUCCAGGGAUUCUGGCCCCUGAUGAGUAGCUCCAGCUACCAAAGGGAAGCAAGAAAGAGAGAGAGAAGGAGGGAGGGGGGAUAGGAGGGGCAGAGGCAGGGGAGAAAAGAGAGACGGAGAGAGAGAAGAGAGAGGGAGGGAAUGGAGUGCUGACUUGGGUAAUAAAAGCACUUGGAAUGGAGGAAAAAGCACAGGCCCUGUGAGCAGAGUUUUAUCUGUGAAUUCCAGCUAAUCCCUCAAUAGCUGUCAUUUUCUGAGCCUUCUGAAAAAUGGCUUAGUGAGGCCUACCUAUGCAUUAUUAUGGAGACUAAAUAAGAUGAGUUAAAGUGCCAAGCAUAGUGCCUGACUAUUAGUUAGUUGUCCUGUAAAUGGGAGUCUUUUAAGUUCUAGCUGAACAGUUAGGUGUGCAGACAUUAGCUCCAAUACAUGGCUGGAGGAGUGAUGGGGGGGGCAGGGGAGCAGCUAACAAGAAUGAGAGACAGCCCCAAAUGUGGGGGACCUGGUGAAUUAAGCAAGUUAGGACAGUGCAUGCCAUCAGAGCACUGUCAAUGGCCCACAUGACAAUAAGCAGGAUGGGGUUUGAAGAAGAGAACAGGAGCAGCAGCAUGGUUAAGUGCUACUUCUGGAGCCUAAACACCAGGGCUCAAGUCCUGACUCUACAAAUCUGCCAGCUGUAGGGUGUUAAACUCUCGGCGCCCCAGUUUCUUUACCGGGGGAAGGUCACCCCACAGGGCGAUGAUAACUAAAUGUCACGUACCCAUGAAGCAGUUAGCUGAAAAUCUGGAACAGAGAAGACAGCAGCCCCAAGGGGGGCCAGGGCUCCAUGUGUGUUGGGCUGAGAUGUGUGAGCUAUUAAGAGCUCCUCCCGUACCCUCCUCUGCCAGCCCCACCGGGAGGGGCCGCCGAGGCCCACGAGCGCCCACGGCAGGGAAGAUGGCUGCCAGCCACUGAGCCCUGGCUCACGUCUGCUCCAUGCUCUCCCUUCUUCUCAGUCCUCAUUGCCUUCCGUCCCCAGACCACCCUGGCUGGUAGGCAGCCUAGUUCCUGUUGCUGAGGUGGAGGUGGAGGCAAGGGGAGAUUUGGUGACUGGUCUGAGGCCACAGCAGGAUUUAAAUGCAGGUCCGCGCAGUUCUAGGGCUCAGUUCCUCAGUCACCCCCCUUCAGAUGCUCCAUGUGGCGGGGAGAUGGCAGGGCUGAGACAGCCAGAGCCUGACUUUGGAAAGAGCCCCUUGCUGAGAACUCCUAUCCACCACCCUCCAGCACUGGAGUUUUCACCGUUUUCUGGGAGACAGUUCUGCCUGGGCACAGGUGGCAGUUCUGUCUGGCAAAGAACGGAGUGACUGAUUUCCAACAUGGGUGUUGGAACAGCCUGUGCUUAACUGCACAGCUCUUGUGCUGAUGAGACGCUCGUCAUGGGCUUUUUGCCAAAGUGAUAUCCAGGUGGCAUCUGGGGUACUCGUUGCUCAAGCAUUCCCAAAGUGGCAGUGUGACCCAGAAAGCCACGGUGGUGCAAGAAUGGACAAGCAGGGGAUGGGGUCAUGAGGGGGGCCUUGGCUUUCGUGGGGCAACAGAUUGGCUUCCUGUUCUGGUGCUGUCACCAUGGUGCCACUGUGACUAUGGCAAGUGAUUUAGUCCUCCUUAGUUACCUUAUCUAUGAAUAAGAGUUAAAAAGAUGCACACUCUCGUGUACCUUGGAGAACAGCUGUCUUGCUGCAAAGUGCCUAGUACAGAGACUGACACACCAGAGGUCUGAGGAAUGGCAGGUACCGGCCAUUAUUCAUCGUACAUUGAGAAUUUUUUCUUAAGCUCUGUGAGGGCAGGACUGGGUCUGCUUUGUACACUGUUACGUUCUCAGUUCUGGGCACUGUGCCUGGCAUGGAGUAAAUCGUUUGGGAUACAUGGAGAAUUAAGAAAUGUUUUACAGGUAGGGUUGAUGGAGCAUGGUGACUGGUUGACUCAUGAUAGCAGAGUCGAUAAAGAAGAGUUGGGGGCUUUAGUCUGAGUGGCUCACCGUGAUGGUGUCCCUUGCUAAGUGGAGAAGGAAGAGGAGAAGCAGACCUGAGACAAAUGUGGUGGAGAUGAGUUCAGUUUUGCAUAUGUGGAGUUGGACACGCCCACAGGGCAUCAAGGGGGAUUUGACUAACAGGUACAUGAAGUUGUGUAUAUAGGAGGAUGGAAGGGGUCAGUAAUGUAGCCUUAACUUCGGGAAAUCAGACUUGUAUCCCCAAGAGCUGCAAAUAACAAAGCACAGUGAUUCAGCAUGGCUUAAAAUAGGGAUCGCCAAACAAACUAUGGCCCACAGGCUAUAUCCAGCCCGCUGCCUGUUUUUGCGAACCGUGUUUUAUUAGAACACAGCCAUGCCAUUCAUUUAUGUAUUGUUAUGGCUGCUUUCACGUUACAAGGGCAGAAAAGCGGUUUCAGAGACUAUAGGAUGGGCAGAGCUAAAAUAUUUACUUUUUGGCCCUUUACAGAAAAAAACAUGUUGACCUCUGACUUAAACAAUAAAGAUAUGUAUUACCUCAUUAAAUGACAAGACUUGAGGUUGGGUUGGUUACUUGGCUCAAGAAUGGGGACCCAGGGUCUUUCUCCUCACUUGAUUCACAUCUAGUCUCCAUCUAACAUUCCGUAGUUGGUGUCCUGAUGUUGCCUCAGCCUCCCUUCAUCUGCUGCAAGGUGGCAGCAGCAAUUUCCUGCUUCACAUCUGAACAUGACACACCCUAAUGCUGGGCGGGGGAGGGGGUCUGCAUCUCUAUCUUGUGUCUUUCUUGCAGAAGCUCCCGUCUUCUCCCUGUGUCUCUUGCCCCAGGAUUUAGGCUCAGGCCCAUUCCCCUGCAAGGAAAAUGGAGCUAACAGAUUGAUUUAGACCAGUGGUUCUCAAUGGUGGCCAUGCAUUAGAAUGAACCCUGAGACUUUUAUCUUCCUUUUUAUGUUUAUUUAUUUAUUUUGAGAAAGAGAGUGCAUGUGCAUGUGCAUGUGCAUGCAGGAGAGGGAGGGGCAGAUAGAGGGAGAGAGAAUCCCAAGCAGAUUUCACGCUAUCAUUGCAUGGAGCCCAACGUGGGGCUUGAUCCCACAAACCAUGAGAUCAGGACCUGAACCGAAAUCAAAAGUCAGACGCCCAACUGACUGAGCCACCCAGGUGCCCCAGAUCAGUGAGACUUUUAGAAAGAGUUUGUAGCAGGCCCAGAUAUUGGAUUUUUAAGAAGCAUCAUGGGUGAUUUUAAGGUAAGGCCAGGACAGAGUAAACACUGAUUUAACAGAUCAUUCUGGGGAAGAAUAGAUGUUGGGAACCCAAAUAUUACAACCAACACAACCUCCAUGGAGAAAAUAAUAGAAGCCAGGGAGGCUGGGUCCCUACUUGAGACAUGUUUGUCAGGGGUAUUCACGAUAGCUGAGCCGGACUAGGCAAGAUGCUUUUCCAGUUAAGGCCAAAGGCAGCAUAAUCAGAAGUAUAAAUUGUGACCAAGAACCAAGAUCAGACUUCAGAGCCAAGAGACAUAAUUAAGUGUCAGGUGUGGGGGGCAGAAUGGAAAUAGGAAAUGAGCCAAGAGUAUGGAAAGGUAAGGAGGGAGGUGAAGGGGGUGGAGGGAGAGGUUCUGGAGGAUGUGAAUUACAGGGGUGCCCGAAGGCAGAUGUGAUGCAAGGUGGGUUCUGAAGAGGAAAGAUAGGUGCUCCGCAGAGUUAAAGGAAUUGUGCUAGACCAGACUGGUCAAGACACGUGUCUCUGUCUCAGGCCUGUGGGCCCUGUUUGGCAUUGGUCAGUCCAACAUAGCUGAAGCCAAGGCUACUGACGGGCAGCUACCUUCUUGCUCCCUCUUGUUGGACUCUGGUUCGCUUAUUGGAUUCACAAAAGGAGCCCGCCAUUUUGCUAAUUAAAAAGCCUCACAUUCACAGUAGGUUUGUGAAGGCUGGACUUAGCACAGACCCUUGGCAAAUGCCGUAAAGAAACCAAACUUGCUGUCCACUGACCACUAUUUCCCUGUUUCAUGUCCUGUCCUUUCUUCUCCUUUUUUUUUUUUUUUUGUCCCCUCCUUUCUUGGGACCCAGGCCUAACCCUGCCAGCCUCUGUGUUCCAUCCCUCCCUCUGUCAGUCAUGUAAACCCAUUCCCUCCACUCACUGGCAUCAUUCACUUAUUCAUUAAACAACCAUUUAUACAACAUCUACCAGUUGCCUGUCCUACUCCUGAGGCAUGCCCUACUCCUGAGGCACUGAGAUGGAAAACCUCUAAAUUUGCUGUCAGGAGACUCUCACCUUGGGAUGGACAGAGGUAGAUUUACCAACAAGCAAUCAUAAUUUAUGGGGACAAGAUACUAUCACAGUAUGAUCUUUCAAGUACUAAAACUAAGCACUGGUCUGGAAGACCCAGGGCCCAGGAGCCACAUCUGCACCCGCCAUCUUUGUUUGGCACAGGGCAAACCACCCAACUUCAUGAAUUCAGCCUCCCUACCUGCCAAAACAUCAUGGUGAUGACUGCUUAGAAUCACCCACAGUGACUCCUAGCAGAGUAACAUUCACAGCAUGUGAGUGCUUUUACAAAGGCGUGUAACAUUACAAAGACAGAGGUAUUUUGGGGUGCCUGGGUGGCUUAGUUGGCUAAGCAUUUAAUGCAGGUCAUGAUCUGAACCCAGCCACGUGGCCUCCACUUCUAAGGGAAGUUGGGGAUGUGUGUUCCCAUAUACUUAGGAAAAGGAGCAGUAAGCAUCUAGUCAUUACAUUCCAGAGGCUCAGAGGUAAGACUGGCUGGGUGGUCAGUGGCAUGUAGGAUGUAUACCUCUUCCAGGCUUGGCUCUAAGCCUUACUUCACAAUCUACCACACCCUCUCUCUUCCUAACCAUUGGUGGGCCAGAUUGGGGUGGGGGAGAGACCCCGCAGAGGACUCCGAACAGAGUGGCAGAGAUACAAAAGGUAAGAGUCUGAGUCUCUGGGUCAUCUGGUGGAGUAGAGCCUCCCAGCACACUUCAGACUGUGACAUGAGAUAGAAACUUUUGUUGCACUGAGCCACUGAGAUUUGAGGGUUGUUUGUUUUAGCAGCUAUAUUAAUUACCCUGGUUACUUCAGAGUGAGUCCGAACUCAGAUGUGGUGCUUCCCAAUCCCCUGUAUCUCUGUUGUCAGAACCACAUUGUAUUUUAACUGGACUGGUCAGUCGACCUCACACCAGAAUGUAAGCUCCCUGGGGUCAGAAAGUGUCUGUGAAUCGUCUCUGUACCCUACAGUCCCUGUACCGGGCUCAGAGAACAUUUGUUAAAUGUAAACGUGCAGCCAUAUAUUUGUUAAUAAAACAUUUGCUCAACAAAACAUUUUUAGGUGGAGGAAGAGAAAAAGGAGAUGAAAUAAGAAAUAAAUUAUUGCCUGCUCGAUUACCUUAAAUAUUUGUGUUCUAAAGGCAGAAGAGAGAGGAAAUCAGAAAAAAACAAUUCAUUAAAUAUUCAGGCUUAUAAGGGUAGAAAGAUCUGAGUUUGUAUCUUGGAUGUCACUAGACAAGCUCUGUGACUUUCAGCAAAUUACGUAACCAGCCUGUGCCUCAGCUUCCUCACAAAGUGAGGAUGAUAAUGGCUAUCUCAAAGACUAAUGAGGUAAAGAUUAAAUGAGAUGAAGUUGGGCCUUGAUUUAAAUAGAUUCCUUCCACGUCUGACAGUUUCAUUUAUAAAGUGGAGAAUAAACGUUGCUCCGCAGGCUAACGUGAGAACACUUCUUUACCACCCAGGAUUGGUCUCACCCUACUCCCUUUUGCACUCUGGCUCAGAGGCCAGGAAAGCAGGCCCCUGCUGGGCCAAGCCAACAGAUGAUCCGAAAGUGGAGUUUUACCCUGAAUGGGAGAGGGCGGGGAGGCUUCUCAUGGGUGCAGUGUCUAGCCUGUAGGUGGGACACUUCACCUCUGUGAGCCACAAUUACCUUUUCUGUAAACAUGGAGCUACCACUACCUUGUGAGAAUAAAAUGGGAAGGGAAUUUGCAAGAAAGUGUCCAAACGCUUGGAGGGCAGGUAGUUUUUCAUUCAUUAUCCCACGUCUGCAUCCAUCAGUUGGGAGCUGCCGCCUGGUCGAUUAGAGAUGUCUGUGAAAGGCACGGAGGGUGGUGGGAGGGCAGGCGCUGUCUUUCUGAGGGCUUUGCAGAGCUAGGACAUGACAGCACAUCCAUAAAUGUUAGUUGAGUUGAGUGGAAUUUGAACACAGUCGUUGUGACUCUCUCAAUUUUUAAGCAAAUAAUUGAAGUGGAAUAUAAAGAAGCUGAAAUGGGAUAUGGGGAAAUUAACAUGGAAAUCACAUUGCAGGCACUUGACAAAACUAAUUAAACUGGGAAAUGCAGCUAGAUUUUUUUGGUGCAUAAACAUUCUUCUUCUCUUGCAACAAGGGGGUAAAACCGACAAGUGUUCGUAUUACGCUUUUAUGUGUGUGCUCUUCCAAGCAUGCGUGGUGCUUUGAAGAAGGUUCUGUUGUGUUUGUAGCAAGAGACUCUGUAAUUGCUCUGAGAAUUCCUGGGAUUUUUUGGAUAUGUGUAUUUUUUCCUGAGUGAAGACAAAGCAUGAUGCUUCUUGCUGGAAUAAAAGACUGUUGUGGCUUUCUCAUCAAGUGUGUGGCCUUGAACCUUGGUGUUUUCAUCUCUAAGGUGGGAAUAAUCCUGCUUACGUUAUGGGAUUGUUAUGAGGAACAGAUGGGGGGAUGGAUGUGGGUGCUUAUGAACAAUUUAGCACUGUUUGCACAUUCUGAAUAAGCGUUAUUAACAGAGUACCGCCAUGGGGACAUGUGCCAGACUGCAGUCACAACCUGGAAUCACAGGACUACCACCAACUAGCUGUGGGGACUUGAGCAGUCUACUUCACCUCUCUCUGUCUGUCAUCUUAUCUGGAAAAUGAAAGGUUGCUAUAGAAAUCACAGGGAUUCGUGAAUAGCAAACAUUUAACACAAUGCCUGGCACAAAGUAAGUGCUCAACAAAUUCUAGCAAUCAUCAUCAUCAUCAUAAUAUGAGGAAUUAUAAUUUAAUUCACUAAAUUUUGGGGUUUCUUAGAAAUAUGUGCUAUACUGGGUGCUGUGAUUGUGUCAAAGACGAGUGGAGCACACUUUUAACUCCAAGGGAGUUCAUAUCACAGUAGUGCGAAGCACAGAACAAGUGUACAAAAAACUAUCGUAAAGAAAGUUUUCUAACUUUCCCUCUAAAACAGGAACAGUAUUUUAUAUUAUUGAAAGAUCUUCGCAUGCGCUGUCUCAUUUUAUCCUCCUAACCACACUGCAUCCUAUGAACAAUUGUCUAUCCUAUAAAAUGGGUAGGGUGGAUCCCAAUGAUACACGAUUCCCAGCAAGCUGUACCCUGUACAAUGCCCGUAUUUUAGCGUUCCUCUGAUAGUAUGCAGUAUAUAACAUCAAUGAAGUUAGAACAUUGCUCACUGUAUCGUUGGACACUUCUGAAAUGUUCAGCAGCAUACAGGUUGAGAGCCAUCACCAAUUUAAAUGACAAGUGUGAGGGAAUAGCAAUAUGUUGGAAAGAGCACUAGAUUUAGAAUAGCUGUGUCAUUUUCUAGGAGUAUGAUCUUGGAUUUGGCUGGACAAGUUCUUGGGAUCUCAGUUUCCUCAACUGUAAAGUAGGAUAAAGCUGUCUUGCUUUCAGAGUUGUUCUGGGGUUGAAAUGAGAACAUUUUUUGCGUGUAUUUCUGGGCUUAGCUCACGUUAGUAAGUGUGUGUGCAUAAUUACUGGAAUACUUGUGGAUAAAUAAAUACAUGAUGGGUAGGUGUUGCCUGUUUCCAUUAAUUGUCCUGCUGUGUCAUUUACACAUGACGCAGAGCCACACCAACCCUUAUGGUUGUGGUCUUCAGAACAAUGUAAAAUUCUGCAGCACAGCCGCUCAGGGUUGUUGAGUUGGGGAGCUCAAGAACUGGGACUUGAACUCAGGCCUUCUGAUCCCAGAAGCCAUGCUGAGGAUGUGAAUAUAUUCAGCAGAGGUUUGUUUGUAGCUGCAUCGAUUAAUCUCAGAUUGGUAUAAAGCUAAGCAUUCUCUAAGUUUACUACAAGUGGAAGAUGGAACCAAUUUUUCCCCACUUUUUUAAUGCAGAAUGCCUUUGUAUGUUACCUGAAGUUCUGCAGUCUGAUCCUACACUUUAUUUCUAAAUUCAUUUUUAUGUGCCUUUAUUCACACUCUGAACUACUUCGAUUUCUCUGAACGUGGUCCAUGCUUUCCAGCCUCUAGGUUUUUGCUGUCGCCUGUCCUAUAAAUGUCCUUUUUAAAUGUUAAUCGCUAUAUGUCUAACCCCUUUAAGACAUAGGUCAACUGCUUCCUCCUCUAGAGCUCCUUCCUCAGUACCAUCCCACCACCCCCACACCGAUCACAUUUUCUUUUUCCUCUAAGUCUCCGUAAUGCUUUAUCCACAUGCUUUUUAAAGUGUUGUUCACCUUCACCUUGCAUUGCAAUCAUGUUAUCUGCAAUCCUAAGCAUUUGUAAUUUGGGCUUAGAAAGAACGCUGAAUUAGGAGUAUGGUGUUCUCGGAUUUGCACCCCAGCUCCACUAUUCCUAGCGAUGCAAGUUAGUCAAACUUGCACCUUUAGAUUUCUCACCUGCAAAUGGAGAUAAUAUCUAUCGUUCAGGGUGUAAGGAAUACUGGGAGUUCUCUGCACAGUGUCUGAUAACAUGGUAGGCACUCGAUACAUAGCAAUUCUUUUUCUCUUCUUCCCUUUCCUAAAGAAUAGGAUAUUUGUAUGUUACUUGCCUAUGUCUCAUACCCAGUGCUUGACACACACUAGGUGCUCAACACCUACUAUGUAGGCAGUAUAUUUAAAAGUGAUAUAGUUUAUUCAAUUAUUCAUGAAAAAACCAUGGAUGGACAGAUACAUAAAAGAAUGAAGUAGAAUAAUGGCCCCUAAACGUAAAAAUAAAUCUGAACUUGAAAUGUCUAGUUUCCAUGUAAUUGGUAUUUUAUCGUGCUAGCUAGUUCAUUGUUUUUCUUUUGGAUCCAUCAUGAGGAAGGAGCAUCUUCCGGAUCCUUAGGCAGGACAGGGUGUUUUGUACCAUCACUGCUUUGAUUCUUCCUCCAGCUGUCUCUUUUUCUUUGAGCAGCUCUCCAAAGACACCACACUGUUCUGCCUGGAGUAUACUGCCUGGGAUAUGCUAAAGACAGGUUAUCUCCCGGAAGGAUAAUGCCACACAUGAUUGACAUGACUUCCAUCUCUGAGCCCCACCAACGGCGCCCGCCCUUGUGCGGCAAACACGAAUGAUGCAGCUGACAACGCUGAACUUAAACAAGUUCUGUUGCUUACACACUGAAUUAAGCCUACAUCUGUGGCUGCUAAAGUGGGGAAAAAAGAUUAAUAAAGUACAUGCUGAAGCUUGAAAGAAUAAUUAGUGGGACGUUUUAUGUUUUGGCUGCAAAGUCGGCUCCACAUUUAGCAUAAAGCAGAACCUUCUAAUCCUUCUGAGGAUGAAGGAUUGGCUCAGACUAAAUUGGUUUUCUUUGUGCAUCUUGAGAUUUUUUUUAAAUGUUAUCAUUUUUAAAAAUUAUUAUUUUCCAAAUUUCAAGUAAGCUUUUAAUCAGCCUCUUUGUGGGAUCUGCGUUGUUUCUGGAUUUGCCAUCGCUCUGUCACACGAUUAGCUGCCGCUUGGGCCCUGAUAAAAGAAAGCUUGAAUUGUGGGCUGCAGAGAGCUUAAAUCACACAUCUUUCACAGGGGCGCAUUCCGUGGCUAUCAGGGCUGAGAUGCUGGCUGCUAACGGCCCACCUCGCUGAGAGGUAGAGUGAGUUAUUGGUGUACAUAAUAAACUAACAUCUGCACGGUGCAUCUCAGAAUGGGUGUCAGGAAAGCUGGAAGACAAAGCAGGAUGGCAUCAUUAGGGCCAGAUUUAAGACUCCAAUUUGUGUAUCAUUUGCAUAACAAUGUACAAGAGCAACCAUUCACUGUUCCCUUUCAGAAUUCACAGGCUGCACCUUCACAGGAACAUUCCUGAGGGAGGGGAGGCAGAGAGGAGGUCCUUGCCGGAGAGGUUCAGUCUGGGAGAGCAUCUUUUCUGGAUGGAGAUUCUGAAUUCAUGGGUCCAUGGUGCCUCCCAGACAGUCUCUCCUGCGGCCGUCACAGCACUCUGGGAUCUGGUUUGUGCCAGGCUCUGAGUCAGUGGCCAGACACGUUUCUCAGUCUGAAAAUACUUUCUGAGCAUUGUAAGGUCAAGAAAAAGCCUUGGUCUGCCUUGGAGUCCAGACACAGGAACCUGUGUCCUGCCUCAGCCAUAUUCUACCUUUGGCCCUUUGCUAAGAAGAUUGUCCUUUUGAGCCAAAAUCUCCUUAUCUCUCCAAUAGGGAUAUUAAGAAUACUUGUAAGAGUUAGUAUCUUUGAGGGGCACCUGGAUGGCUCAGUUGGUUAAACGUCUGACUUUGGCUCAGGUCAUGAUCUCAUGGUUUGUGAGUUCAAGCCCCGCAUCAGGCUCUCUGUUGUCAGCUCAGAGCCCUCUUGGGAUCAUCUGUCCCCUUUCUCUCUGCCCCUCCCCUGCUCACUUGCUCUCUCUUUCUCUCAAAAGUCAAUAAACUUUAAAAUAAAACAAAUAAAUACAAAAGCAUCUUUGAGCGCUUCGUGCAGCAAAAUGCUGGCCAUAUUUACUCCUCACAAAAACUCUCUGAAGUUGAUGAUUUCCUUCCCUUUUUAUUUUGUUUUGUUUUGUUUCCAUAUGAGGAAACUGAGGCACAAAGAAGUACCUUGCCAGUCACUCAACUUCUGAGUAACAAAGCCAGGGUGUUUCAGUGUCGUUUUACCUCACAUGCUAGAGGCCCAACAAUGUGGAAUUGACGAAUAAUUAUUGACACCUCUGGGUGCCAGGCAGGGUUCCAGGUGCUGGGGAUUCAGAAGCGAACAGAAGCAGAUGUGGCGCCUACCUUCACGGGACUCCCAUCUAGGUUAAGUGAGACGGUAGAUGGGGACCCACUCCAAAACGGCUCACGUGCCGGUCCCGUGCUCCCUUGUUGCUGUUUUGGCACCACGGUAUUACCUGGGGAGAACACAGGCUUUGGAACCAAAUAGCCUUGGUUUUAAAUUCUGAUUCUGUCACCUACUUACUGUGUGUACUUGGGCAAGUCUCUAAACCUCUCUGAGCCUUAGUUUUUUUUUCAUGGAAAACAAAUAGGAAGGAAAAGUAUUCCUGCGUCAAAGAGCUGUCAGGAAAACUGAAUGGUAUCAUCGUGAAUGGGACAUAGAUUUCUUAGCAUAAUGCCUUGCCGCAAAUCCAUUUCUCAAUAACGGUCGCUAUUAUUAUUAUUAAUCAACCAACCAUUAUCGCUGGCAUGCAGCUGAGCACCUGUGACCUGAAGGAGCGAAAGGGAUCUCGCUUGUUAGGUCUUGUUCAUUAUUAUCAUCUGGCCAUGGAUCUUGAGGCAUUGAUUUUUCAUUUCUCACCAAGGCCGAGUGUUCAGAGUCCCUCCCUCCUGGCCACAGCCAGCUGUGUGGGCAUCUGGACCAAAGAGCCCCAUGAGGGUGAAACACAUUUGCUGAUUCUUCUUCACAGCAGAGUCCCUCUCCAAGUUGCAGCUUUAGCAGAGUCCCAGUGUCCUCAGGCCAUACUCUCUAAGGCCCUCAGCACUGACAGGGGGUGGGCCUCCUGUGUUCUCAAUGUCAGUGAUCCAUCCCACCCUAUCCCCAGACACUGGCCCUGGGCCCUGAUUCUUUAUCUGGCCCGGGGAUCUGGGCAGACUCAAGUAUUACUGCCCUGCUUGUAACACAUCCCCUGUCCCCAACCCUCCCAACUCGCCUAUCAUCUUUGGUAGGUCAGAAGGGCAAGGGGAGAUCUUACUGGGGUGAUGAAAAUGUUCGCAAACUGAUUUAUGGUGGAGGUUACACAACUGUGCAAACUCACUAAAAAUCAUUGAAUUGUGCAAUUGAAAUGGGUGAAUUCUAUCAUGUAUAAAAUCCGCUGCAAUGAAGUUAGAAACGAAAAUGGCAACUUGCAUUUGGGGACGCUGAGGCUCGCUAGUCUGACAAAAAUCUCGGUUUCCUCAUCUGGAAAACAGGAAUUUCUUGUAGCAAAUGGCUUCCUUGUUGCAAAUAAAUUUUAUUGUCAGUAACUAUGUGAGAAGAGCAAAAACCUGGGGGAUCGGGGUGGUGGCAGGGGGAAGGGUCCAUGUGAAUGUGUUUAUUUUCCACUUCUCAGAAUGCUGGUUUUAGGUCUGCAAUGCAUGUAGCAUUUUUUAAAGAGACUUUUUUUGAGCACCUCUCUGGUAGGCUUUGGCUGCCUUCUCUCCCUCACAAACGCCCUGUGAAAUGAUAAUGCAAACGUGAUAAGUGUGAGUAUGUUUCAGGCUGUUCCCUGUGCUCCAGGCAUUAUGUAAACAUGGUUUACAUCAUUCAACCUCCAGGAAGCUCUGCCAGAGACCGUCUACUCUCUCACAGAUGGAGAAACUGAGGCUCAGAGCUUGAGUGGUGACACCUGGCUAGGAAUAGGCAGAGACAGGCAUCCCAGACCUUUCUCCCCAGAUUGAGGGGGUGGGGUGGGGUGGGAGCCUCACCAGGGCACCUGUAACAAAUGCAGAUUCUCAGGUCCCACCCAGACCUACUGGAUCAGAAACUCUGGGAGUGGGGCCCAGAAAUCUCAUGUUCACUCCAGUUUGGGAACCACUGCCUCAGCUGUGCUGUUUCCCAAGGACUCCAUUUACCCACUAAAGAGAAGUCCCCAGUGAGGGCUGGCUUUGGAUCGUGGCCCUCAUGGGGAAUCGGUGCCUCUUCCACAGAGCAUUCCUGAUGCUUCCAUGCCUGUGCCCCAAGAGCAGGUCCUGCACAGGCUGUGAGGUGGCAGCUCUGCCUUAAAAGCCAGACCAGACCGCAUUGAAACCAUUUUUACAAAUCAGCGUGGCCGGGCGAAGAUUUGACCUCACGGCAGGGAGUGGCCUAGGGCGGGUGAGAGAAAUGAUAGUAACCAACAUCUGUCAACUGCUUGUUGAGGGGGGGCAGGCAGUGUUCUAAGAACUUUAUAUGUAUUAACUGGUUUCAUCGUCCUAACAACUCCAUGAGGACAGUGCUUUCAUUGUCCCCAUUAUCCAGAUGAAGGCAUCGAGGUGAAGAGAGGUUAAUUAGCUUGCAUUGCUGGUUAGUGGCAGAACCAAGAGGUGAUUCUCAGCAGUCUGACUCGCUUUCCUCCACUGGCUCUCCCCUGACGGUUGUCCUAGCCGGUGGAAGCUGCCUGCACUCCCUUUAAUUGCAUGCCAGGUGUUUUCCUAUUUGCACUUUCCCCACACAUCCUCAACCCUUAGUGAUAAGGGAUCUUACCUUAGUGAUAAGAUACCCCCCACACCCGUAGUAAAACUACUCACUACUCACCAUGAUAUGUUCCAGGGAGCCCCACCUGUAUUCUUCUGCCGGCCUAUGGAUUGGAUUUUUCAGGUAAACCAGUGUUUCCAAUGUCAAGUGGCAAAAAAUCUCCAGGGCACUUAGCCUCAGUUUUUCUGACUGAAAUCUAUAUAUUUAUAUAAUAUGCAUGCAUAUACAUAUGUAUAAUAUUUGAAAAACAAUGCAUAUUAUUACUGGUCUCUCUGGGUUGGGCUGUGAAGAAUAAAUGUAAGAGUGUGAGUGACCUCAGAAAAGCACAACGCACGCUGCAACAUGAAGUUUUACUGCUGAUCCCCUCUGCCUGUUUCUACUAGCCCCUUGGUUCUGAUUCCUUUUGUGGCUCCCGUGCCCUAGCGUGAGCCAGUUAGCUCAGUCUCAGAAGCAGAGUUCCCUGCAGUCUAGCUCUAGGUCUGGAAUGAAUUGUAUAUGCCAGUUUAUUUCCUUAGUCUUCUGCCCCCCCCCACCCCCCCCAUCGCUCAUCCUUCCACCUCGAGCCAGGAGUGGGUGGCUAAGGAAGACAGAAGCUGGCAUAAAAGAGAGAGAUGGAGUCUGGGCUUAGAACCAGGCAGAGAAAAACUGGACAGGGACUUCAAGAAGGGGCCAUGUCAGUUGCUGCUUUCUGUUUGUAAAUUUCAAGGCCAACAGGUGCUCAGAGCAGUCAUCUGACAGUGAUGACCAGCAACAUUUCCCACGGGGCUUCCCUGCCUGGGAAGCAUCCAUAGAUGCCAGUCAGAAAGCAAUGACCCAGUGGACUUUCAAUCUAAGUUGAAGGCACUGACAUGGACCCAGGGUGCAGGAGAGGCAGAUUGAAUGCUAAAGCUGACACACAAAGAACAGAGCAGUCCUGACCCAGACAGGUGUAUUUUCUAUAAUAAAAGGGGCCCUUACACGUUGGGUUAACGAAAAUUUCCUCAUUUGAAUCAUAUUUUAAAAGAAGGUAGGGAAUUGCACAGUUAAAGAAAUCAUUGAGUACUUUGGCUAGAUGAAGAAUUGUCUGGUAAAAUGAAGUGUCUCCCUUCUACAGUGCACAUUUUAAAUAAUAUCAGUUGGAUUUCCAUAAAAUUGAGGUCCAGCUACCUAAAACAUGUCAGUGAAGGGAAACCAUCAAAAUCAGGUUUCUUCUUCGAGGUUUCUUUCAUCAGUGAAGCGGAGGGAGGCGUAAUGUACGCAACAGUCUGAAGAAGAAAGGAGCUGUUGUGAUGUCCACCAUGCUGUGUGGUAAUGAUGUCAGCCACUGUCACAGAGGGGACGUCAUCAAAUCCCUACAAUAGCCCAGUGAGGGGUGCGGUUGUCCUUGUUUCAUAGUUGGGGCACUCGGGGCUCCAAGAAUUUGAGUUAUUUUCCUAGGAAGAUACAGAUGAUAAAAUGAACAAAUAUGUUUAUUGAUAACAUUCAUAAGAGUAGCAUAUACUCUGCGCCAGGCACUUCCGUGCAUCUUAAUUAAUCCUUACAACAAUAACCUGAUGCACUACAUGGUAUUGUCCCCAUUUUAUAGAUAAGGAAGGGGGCUCAAGGGGAUAAAUGACUAGCCCAAAUUUAGAGGACUGUUAAGUGGUUGAGCAAGGAGCCAAACCCAGGUUUGUCUGAGCCCAAGCUUUUUGUUUGUUUGUUUGUUUGUUUGUUUGUUUAUUGUUAGAUAUAUGCUCUUCAGUGUUCCCCGUAUGCUCUGUCAUUUCGUAUCAAGGCAUCCAUUUAUUUAAGACGUCACGGGUCCCCUCACAUAAUGUGCGUUGCAUUCUAUCUGCUGAUUUUUUCGCCUCAGUGGUUUAAAGGGAAAUGGUUAACUCUGGUUUAUAAGCAGUCACUCAGAGGUUCAGAGACGUGUAGUAACUAUGCAAACCUCACAGGUGCUGAGCCAUAAACUGGGUCUGUGGUACUCAGAGCCUCUGUCUUUGUUUUCUACAUCCUAGUAGGCCAGGGAAGAAAAGAAUGUGGAUUUCAGGCUGAUGGAUUUAUAUCAAGUGGCAGAAAAUGGGUAGGUUGAGAAAUUUACUGUAUUAAAGAGCUAUAAAAUUCACUCAUAACCUAUAAAUACCAAAAUAUGCAAAGUGCCCACAAGUUUAAAUGAAAAGAAUCAACAAAAACACCCGAGUCUUCUAAGAUUACAACAUAGGGCUCUGUGAAUUCAUCAGCUGAGGAGGGAGUCAUAGGUUAAUAAUAAUAAUAAUAAUAAUAAUAAUAAUAAUACAAAAACUCAGACCUUAAUGUUUGAAUGGCUUAAGACUCAAGGUCAACAUUGUUAGUUUCUUACGGCAGCUGUAAAAAUUAACCACAAACUGGGUGGCUUAAAACAGCAGUUUAUUCUCUCACUGUUCCUGGAAGCCAGAAGUCCGCAAUCAGGGUCCCAUUGUCGAAGUUAAGGCGUCCAUAGGGCCAAACUCCUGGAGACUCUGGAGGAGAAUCUUUUCCUUGCCUCUUCCUGCUUCUGGCGGCUGCCUGCAUUCCUGGGAUAGCAGCCACAUCUCUUCAGUCUCUGCUCCUGUCUUCACCCCACCUUCUCCUUGUCUCCUUGUCUCCCUCUUAUAAAGAUACUUGUGAUUUCAUUUAGGGCUCACUGGGAUCAUCUCCCUACCUCAAAGUCCAGAAUGCAGAGACCCCCUUUUCCUGAUAAGGUAACAUUGAUGAGUUCCAGAGACCAGGACUUGGUGUCCUUACGGGUCCUUACCUCACCUACCAUAGUCAGAAAAGGGGUUGUAGUGCUCUUAGGCAGCACGGGGGUGAUCUGCAGUCUUUCUGUCCUUUAUGGAUGAGAGUGUCCCUGCUCUCCCAAAGUGACAAUACUCCCUUUCCACAAGCAUGCAUCUUCACACCUGCUGAGAACCCAGGAAAGGUAUGGUUCCAGAAAACAACCCCUUUAAUAGAAGACGGCAUGCUGGCCAAGACUUUACAGAGACAGAAAAAAGUAAGGAGGGGAGAGCACAGGGAAGGUGAGAGGAAGGACUGGAAAACUGAGGGAGCAGAGUGAAAAGGCAGAGAAUUAGGGCAACAAAGAGAAAAAGGGGAAGAGGGGCAGAGACUAAGGGAAGAAAAAAGAAUGACCUAGAGAACAGUGAAGAAAAAUAAAACAGAAGGAUUGAGAAACAUGGGGGAGAGGAGAGCAUAGGGAAGGAGGACAAGAGAAGAUAAGAAACAAAAGAGCCAGAGAAAAGCUAGGAGGGAACCAGAGCGACAGGAGACAGGGAGCAAAAAGACAAUGGCAAGGAGGGAAGAUUGAAAGGCAAUAGACAGGGGAGGAGUGAGUGUUGAGGGAGGAGAGAGGUGCAAGAUCAAGCAGCAGAAAGAGAGAGAGAGGAAGAAGGAGAGCUGGAACUUGCAUGGGGAAAGAAAGUAUUAAAGGCAUUUGGUAAGGUGACAAAUGUCUAUAUGUUAAUAUGCUGAAAUAAAUACAGCAGCUGCAAGUUACAAAUCACAUUCAUUGGCUGUUACAGUCUGGUAAUUGUCCAUAUAGAUAUUUUCUUUCUGGUUCCAAACCCUGGCUUAUCAGAGGACAACAUGCUUUUGAAAUGCCACAUUAUUUUGUAAGUACAUUUCACGUCCAAAAGUUCCACUAAGUAUGAUAUACUGAAGACUUAUGUGGUUUCCAUUCUGCAGAGCUCCCAGGCUCAGCACAAUGAUUUUAAACUGGGCAUUUUGAUCAUCAGUUUCCUAACAUCCAAGGGCAGGACAGGCCUUCCCACUGUUCUCCAAAUCAGUUGUUUGCCUGCCUCCCUGCCUCUCUCCCUUCCUCUCUGCUCCCACUUUCCUUCUUUCCUUCUUUCCUUCUUUCCUCCUUCCUUCCUUCCUUCCUUCCUUCCUUCCUUCCUUCCUUCCUUCCUUCCUUCCUUCUUCUCUCGAGUUCCUUUUAUGCUUUCUUUCCUUCAAUAAUUCUUGCCUUGCCUUUCAUUUCCUUUCCUUUCUUUCCUUUCCUUGCCCUUUCCUUCCUUCCUUUCUUUCUUCCUUCCUUUCUUUCUUUCUUUCUUUCUUUCUUUCUUUCUUUCUUUCUUUCUUUCCUUCCUCCCCACUUUCCCUCUCUUCCUUUCUCUUUUCUCUCCCUCACUUUUUACCCCUUUUAAGUAUCUCUUCAUGGACAACAUAAAAUUGUAGACUAGGGUUUUUCAACCCAGGCAGUACUGACAUUUGGGACUGGUUACUUAUUGUGGGAGCUGUCCUGCAUGCUGUAGGAUUUUAGCAUCCCUAGUCUCUACCCGCUAGAUGCUAGUAGAGCUUCCAUCCCUGAGUUAUGACAACCAAAACUGUUUUGAGACAGCUCCAAGUAUCUGCUGAGGGGGAACAUUGCCCCUAGUUGAGAAAGGCUCUGUUCUAUAGUCAGAUAAGUCGGACCUCCAUUCUCACCCCACACUUCCUGGUUGUGUGAUCAUAGGCAAACCUAGCCUUUCAGAUGCAUCAGAUCCACCCUUACGGCUUGUUAAAACACACAGAGCUGGAUCCCACCACUGGAGAUUUUGGUGCAGUAGAUCUGGGCUGGGACCCGAGGAUGUGCAUUUCUAACUCAUCUCCAGGUACCACUGCUGCUGCUGGUCGAGGAGUGCACUUUGAGAAGCACAGCCCUGCCUCUAAUCUAGCUGUUCUUCAGAAUAGUCAUCAAAAAUGUAAAGUUGAUGGUAAGACUUUCCUCUCUGGCUUGUUGUACCUAUUAAGAGAAAUAAUUUGUCUAAGUUACCAAACACAGGCUCUUGGUCCGUGCCAGGUGAUAAAUAAAUGGUAGCUCAUAAAGAAAAUUUUCUUAAAGAAGGGCUCAUCUUUGACAGGAACUGUGUGGAUUAAAAAUGUAUAUGAAUGUGUUCACAGCAGCACACAAAUGCUACCAUUAAAAAAAAGGAGGUUCAAUGGCUUUUUAGCAACAGAGUACAUGUGCUUAUUAAUAAAUCUCUCUCAGUGGGAUCACUCCCCUGCAGGAAGGGAAGAUAAACGAUGGAAGCCAGCACUGCACCUUAGAUCCUGGAAAGCUAAAAUUGAUACACCCACACACAUACUUGUUAAUAAGCCAGAGUGUUAACUCUGUUACUGUAUCCCAGAAGAAGUGUCUGUGCAUACUAUGGCCUAAAAACCCUCUAAUAUCUUCUCCCCAGCUGAAAGGGAAUUAACAUUUACUGUGUAUCCACUGUGUGCCAGGCAAUAUGCUAGAUGAUGCACGUAUUGUGUGUUUAUUCCUCAAACUACCCUAAAAAGUCCCAUCCCUGUUUGUCACAUUAAGAAACUAGGGCUCCUAUUUUCCAAAACAGAUGAACAGAAGGGAAGGGAAGGAAAAAUAAAAUAAGAUAAAACAGAGAGGGAGGCAAACCAUAAGAGAUUCUUAACAUACAGAGAACAAACUGAAGGUUGAUGGGGGAGGGGCACAGGAGAGGCGAAAAUGGGGGACUGGCACUGAGGGGGACACCUGUUGGGAUGAGCACUGGGUGGUGUAUGUAAGCAAUGAAUCAUGGGAGUCUACCCCCAAAACCAAGAGCACACUGUAUACACUGUAUAUUAGCUAACUUGACAAUAAGUUACAUUAAAUUUUUUUUUAAAAAUAAUAAGGAAGGAAGGAAGGAAGGAAGGAAGGAAGGAAGGAAGGAAGGAAGGAAGGAAGGAAGACACCAGGGCUCCAAGAGAGCUUAAGUAAUUUGCCCAGUGCCAUCCAGCCAGCAUAAGCAGUGUUAGGACUGCAACCCUGCAACCCUGUGACUCCAGCUCCUGUAUUCUGCCAGCUGCUGCAAGGUGCUGGCCUGCAUAGGUCAGCACAGAUAAGCACCUUGCUGUUUAGAAUGUUAUGAGCCAGGCGUGUUGAAACUCUGUUCACGUGCCUGUUCUCUAGUUAGACGUUCAGUUCCCUUUUUAAGGGCAAAGGAUUUCUUCCCUUGUCGGUGGUCCUCAAGCCUAGCCUCGCAUAGUUACUUGCAUAUGAUUGGCAGUCAGUGCUGGUAGGGUAAAUGAAUGAACAAAAGACUGUCUCAGUCAAUCAGUUGAGAAGUGUCUCUGAAAAAAUACAGGAUUUCAUGUCAGGACUUCCAGGUUCUGGUCUCAAAAGUCCACAGGUUCAUCAUGUAACCUUAGUGAAGAAGUCACUUUCCUUUCCUGCUGUGGACCUUAUUGUGUCUCCUCACUCAAUUCAUGUUAAAGCCCUAACCCCCAAUGUGACUGUAAUUGGAGGUGGGGUCUUUAGCUCAUUAUGGUUAAAGAAGUCAUGAGGAUGGGGCCCUAAUCCAGCAGAACGAGUGGCCUUAUAAGAAGAGAAAGAGAGAGAUGGAGAAAGAGGAGAGAUAUUUUUCUCUCUCUCCAUGUGCACACAGGAAAAAAAGCCAUGUGAGGACACAGCAGGAGGACAGCCAUUUACAACACAGGAGCUCUCACCAGAAACUGAAUCUGUCGGCACCUUGAUCUGGGACUCUAGCCUUUAAAACUGUGAGAAAGCAAAUAUCUGUGGUAUUUUGUUAGGCAGUAGGAACAGACGAAUACAUUCCCCCAACCAUAUUUUCUUCAUCUGUGAAACAAAGAAUCUACAGAGGAUGAACCAUUUCAAGAAUGUUAUAGAGAAUGCCAGUUUUCUACAAAACAUUAGUAGAUAUGCCAUCAGAAUGAAUUCUGUGGUUAAAGAGUUGGGAAAACUCUAAAUGUUCUACUCCUUUCCUGGAACUUCAUGAGCAUAUACAAGGUUAUAGUAAGUUCUACAGAAGGAACAAAAACAAAAACAAGCCAAAACAAAAACUCUCUUAACUCUAUUUAACCCAAUACUCUUCAACCUUACUGUAUAGAUAACAUAUAAUUCCCUUGAACUCACCUCCUUCUUUUUUGUUGUUAUUUGUUUGUUUUUAACAGACUAGAAACUUGAGAUUAGAACAGAAUGAAAAGGUUCCACCAGGCACAUAACCAACAGGUGGCAGAGAAAAGUUCAAACUCCUGUCUGCAUGUCUCAGAAAGCCAAGCUCUUUUCAAUAUAUCAUUUAGCAUUUUAUUUAGAACAUCCAAUCCAAAUGGAGAAUCAGAAGUGGCAGAUUUGGAGGCACUAGGUAUUAAGCAAGUUGUUCAAGGACACACAAGGCUAGGAAAUGGCAGAAUCAAGAUCUGGGUCCAGCCCAUCCUGGCUCUGGGUACUAUACCAUCUUUCACCUUUAUGUCUUUAUACUAUACAGCUUCUAGCAGAGCACAGCAUUUUUAGAAGUACCAGGGAAAAGUUACAAAGAGGCAGCUGACAAUAGGCAAGAAAUUUCUCAGGGAGUUUAGGAAAGGCUUUCAUUCCCUUCCUACCCUGACCCUUUAGAGGACAAACAGAAUACAGUGUUUUCUAAAGAUAUUAUUUUGUUUUGCUUCUAUCACUGAUUGUAUUUAAUACAGUGAUUUACCCAUUUGCAAGGAUCUGGAAGAGAGAAAUGAUGUACUCAGCUCUGUAUUCCCCUCCAUAGCAUGGUGCCUGGUACACAGAAUACACGUGGAGUCAUGAAAUUGAAUUGGAGACUGACGAAGUUCACCUCAUGGCAGCAAUGGGGUUGUUAUCUUGGAACAAAAUGAGAUCUGCAUAGCUGCAAUUCUGCACUCAGUGCUCUCAGAGUCAGUUUCUUCUGGUGGUUGGGGAUUCCAACUUCCCUCUGCCCUUACCCACCGCCCCCCACCCCGCCCCAAAACCUGCUCUCCUCAGCCCUCAUUCUCAGCUCAGCAAUAUUUCUCUAAGUUGCGCUGCAUUAAGAUAGUCACUGGGUGUAUCCUUCCUCAACUCAGGGUCACUGACAGCACUUUCUUUCCCAGGAAGGGCCUACCUUUAAAACGCAUCUUUAGGGAAGAGAAAAUUCUAAGAACCCACUAUUUAAAGAAGAGUCAUAAAAUACUUACAUUCUAAAUACUGAGAGACACAUAGAAAUUACUUGUCUCAACAUGUGAUUUAGACCAAAGGCCAGUGAGGUAAAAGACUGAGGUUUAUGCAGAGCUAGAAAGUGAAUGCAGUUUUCUUGAUUCUUGGAUGUACACUUUUCUACUCCACUAUGUUAUUUCUGUUACAAUCAGAAAUAACAUGCUAUCAAAGUGAUUUGACAUUUGUGAAAACAACUUAUCUCAACCAGAAAGGACCAUUGUGAGGGCAUCUGACUGAUAGUCAUAAUUUUGAGAAAAGUUGAGGUGUAUGGAUUUCAACUACCCAAGUAAGGUUAAGUUACUGAAGUUUGGGAUCCUCCGGAGACAGGGUUUAUGAUUCCCUUCACUACACUAAUGGAAAAUAUUUUGUUACUUGUGGGACUGUUGGGGAGGAAAAAAAAUUCUCCUCUGCCCUUCAAGUUUCUUUUAACUUGUUGAAGAAUUAAAUUGGCACGAGACAGAUUAUUAAGAGAAAGUCAAACAGAAGUUUAGUAACAUGUAUACCUCUUGUAUGCAUGGGAGAGACCCAGGAAAACUGAGUAACUCCAUUGAUCAGAGUUUCUAGAUAUUUAGACUCAUCUCCCUCUUCUUAUUAUAGCAAGGGAGUUAUCAUUGCAAACGGAGAUUUCCCUUGUAAAUAUCUCUUACAAAAGGAUGACUUCUACUUGGUUUUCAGAGUUUCUUUCGUGUCUCUGUCUCUUAAAAAUAACCAGCUUAGAAUAAUCAGUAUGCCAAAGAGGGCUAUCUUCGAGUGGCAAAGUUUGCUCCCCUACAGGAUUAGGCCUGAACUAUCACUCACCAAACACCUACUAUGUGCCAGGAAUAGCACAAGGUUUCUUAAAAAUUACAUAAUCUAAUUUAAUCCUCACUACAACUCUGAAGGGGAGAUAUUAUUAUCCUACUUCUUCAAAUGAAGGAAUUAGGGCAUGUAGAAACUCAGUGACUGCCAAGGUCACACAAUUUAGUUACAGUCAAAUCCUAGAUUCCAUACCAGAGCCUCUAUGUACUUGGUCUGUGGGGCUUCUGUACCUUUCUUCGUGAGAAAUCUGAGAUUCUUAAUAACAGCACCUGCUGGCCUCAUUUUCAAAUCUUUAAACUUUCAAAGUUUUCAAGGUUACAGUAUAACUCCCUAGUCUCUUUCCCUAGAGGGUCUUGAUCUUGAUAACUGCAAGUUAAGGUUUGUUUGAAUAAUCCAUUAACGUAGAGAAAAUUACCUUCUCAUUAUGAAGUAUUCUGUGUCACUUUAAUACUAAUUACUCUAACAGUAUUUAUUGAGGAUUAAUGACUGAGCAAUAUUUUAUUAAUAACCAACAGGCAUUUAUUAUUGCAUAAAUAAUAAAUAGACAGAGUGCCUCAUUAAAUAUAAAUACAUUUUUUAUUUAGGCACCAUUGAAAGUGUUGCCAAAAUUUUUUGCAUUGAUUAAAAUUCUCAUUAAAAUGGUUGGCUAAUCUUGCCUUUGUGCCCCACCCCCACCCUCCAAAAGAGUCUCUGACAAUUCCUGCACAAUGGGUAGACUUUGGGAUUAUUCAUCAGCUUGUCAGGAGAAGCCCCUUUAACAAUGCACAGCUGCUAUGAAUUCUGGUUGCCAUGAGAACCUUAACUUUUUGCUCUCCUCUCACUUUGUUAUAUUUACAUUUGUAACCCUCAUCUGGUGUUGGGAGGUUCCUGCAUUUAAAAGCUUGAGUACUCUGUGAGUAACCCAUCUGAAAUCAUGGACUCAGAGGACUAGAAAAGCACUUUUGAAAUGAUGUUGCCUCUCAUUUAUAGCUAAAGAGGUAGAGAGAAAGGCAGUUGCUUGCUGCAUAUCACGCACAGUUACCAGCAAAGCAAGGACCAGUACCAGUCCCCUAAUCUGCAGUGUUCUUUCGCCUGUACCACCCUGCUCUGCUUCAGUACUAUUUCCAGGAAUUUGUGCCAGGGGUCUCAUCCAUCUGUCCCUCUCUUCUGAGUUCUUUCUUUUUCCCUCUUCUUCAUUUUUUAAUCAAAGAACAACCCAAAUGUCCCAAAGCUGCCUCACCUUGUUAACAGUUACAUUCAGAGUUUUCAGGCUGGAGCCCCUCCCUGGAAGAAUUGCAUCAACUUGGGGCUCCUGGGUGGCUCAAUUGGUUAAGCGUCUGGCUCUUAGUUUUGGCUCAAGUCAUGAUCUCACUGUUUGUGAGUUUGAGCCCCACAUUGGACUCUGCACUGACAGUGCGGAGCCUGCUUGGGAUUCUCUCUCUUUCCCUCUCUCUUUGCCCCUCCCCGACUCACGUCUUUGCUUCUUUCUCUCUCAAAAUAAAUAAAUAAACUUAAAGUUAAAAGAAUUUGCAUUACCUUUCAGAGUUAUCCUCACCCUAAGAAUCUCCAGGUGUGCCUAAACAGUGCUCACCUAUUCUUAUAAAACCAGACUGUCUGCUACACUCAUCAUAUCUGUCCCUCCUUCCUCUCCAGUUCUGACCCCUUUGUUGGAUGCCCUCCAGUCUUGAAAUCCUAUGAAGGAGCCUCUCUGAUGCUACCACAAAUAUGCCCAUCAUGCAAAGGGCAUGUCCAAGUAAAGUUGCUUACUCCCCAAGCUCCAGAGGUGCUGGUUCUAGAGAUGUGCAUAGGCCAGGUGUCUGUGAAGGAGCCAGGUCCUGCACUGCAAACCCUGCAGGGCUCUGUGCAUCUGGGCUUCACAACAGCUUAGCCUGUGUUCCAGCUCUUGUAGUCUCUCACUGGCACAACUGUUUCAGCUUCUGACCUCCCUGCUCUGCCCAGAAAUGAGCUCUAACCCAACUGAAAAUUCAGUAAGGGAGAGAUGCCAUCCUCAGCCUUUGUUGUCCUCCUCUUCACCCCAUAGUCUCUGGUCACAGAUUCCUUCCCCUUUCAAGGAAAAAAUAAGUCCUCAUGUGGUUAUCCAGAUAAGUGAAUGCCCAGAAGAGUCUUUAGCCCCUCACUUCUACAUACAGACUAUAUCAAUUUUAUCUCAGCUAGGACAUUGUGUUGUAUGUACACUUCAGUCCCUUUAUCCUGUACCUUUUGCGGCCAGAGUCCCCACAGCCUUAGCUGUUACUACUCUUAGUUCACACCUGGAAUUAGAGCAUGCCUCCUACUAGAGCAGGCUUACCUGUGUUCCCCAAGAGCUUUUGAUUUGUUUUAAGGGCAGAGGAUGCUUUGUUAUUUUGUUUUUAUUAGUGAAGUUCUGUAACUUUAGCACUUAGCACAGGGCCUGGUACAUAGUAGGAUAUCUGGUAACACUGGUUAAAUAGUAUUGAAUGAAUGACUAAAUGCCUAUUUCUACUGAGGUUAGGAUUGCAGGAACCAGUCCAGCCAAGCUUUCUUUGAUUUAGGAAUGGGCUAAGCCUUUGAAUAAAGGUCUAGUCCAAUUUCCAGCUUGAACCAGUACGAUGAGCUCUAAAACGUGACAUUUGCAUCUAUUUCACUAAGACUCUUUGCAUUACCUCUAACCGCCCCCACCCCCAAAUCCUGUAACAAUAGAAGCCCUCGUUCCACUAAAACUGUGUCAUUUCUUUAGCGUUUUGAGGGUUAGAAACUAGGACAAGACUAUCAGCCAAAUGCAGCGGGUACCAGUGUACUGGCUGUAUAUCUUAUCAGAUAUUCAAGAAUGCAGCAAGAAAUGUCACGGGGAGCUUUCGACAAAAAUAUUUAAUUAAUAGCAACAGCUACAGAAAUGAAUAAUAGCAUCCAAGCAAUUACAGUGUUCAAUAAAGCAGCUCUCUGAGGAUAGGGUGGCAGCAGAUUACUGACUGAUGGACUGCAUUUAAAUAUGUUAUCUGCUCAUUGGAAAGACCCCAUUGGGUCUCUCUCCUCCAGGACAUGGCCAACAGCAGUAGUAUUAUUGUAUCUUUUUUUCUUUCUUUUAAUAGAGUAACAAAUUGAAUUAUCUGGGAGAGUGGUCGGAGAUUUCUGACCCUCUCCGAAAUUUCCAUCAAUUCUUUCACCCUACCAACGACUAUUGGGAACAACUGGAAGGAUAGCUGAAAAGUACCCUAAAUACUGUGUUUCAGGGUAAGAGUACUCAUCAAGUGUUAACUGAGAAUCAGUGGGGAAACUUUUAAGGCUCCAGUCCUGGCUCUAUGACCUUGGAUAAGUUACCUCACUUCUGUAAACUUCAGGGUUUUUUGUUACUUGUGAAAAGGUGUCCUGAGGCUGACCUAGUAGUGUAAUGUGUGAUGAUGAAGUCAUACUCCUGGCAUAUGGAAAUAGUUCAGUACACGCCAGUGCCUCCUUUCCCAGGUAACUUCAUCAGAGCUUGGGAGUUAGAAUUUGAUUUCCUGGCUACUGAGGUAGGAUUACAGACCCAGCCGGAUUAAAUGGGAGGAAGGGCAGUCUAACAAAAAAACAAAGCAUCUAGAAAUCCAAUAAAACACCACCCCAGGGAUCUAAGUGGAGUCUAAAAAUCCCAUGUCAGAUUCAGAGUUGCAUUGUUGUAUGGUUAACACAAUGAUCAGGAUAUAUGUCCUACAAAGGAUGAAGCCAACACCAAUCAUUUUUUUUUCAAAUUUGCAUCCCAUAGAGCAGGCGGUUGUAGAAUGUCACUGUGAACUCGUAAUUGGUGUGAGUCCUAGAAAGUAGCUGGCUCCAUAAGAUUAUAAGGUCCUGCCUGUUGAUAUGAUUCAAAGCAGGACGUCAACACUUGAGAUGUGAAUUUCUCAAGGCAAGGACAUAAGCCCAGAGUGUCCAGAAACAGUCUUUGCACUAUAGCAUAUAUAUUUUUGUCUGUAGCAUCUGCUCAGCUGUGAGUUCUUUUCUAUUCAUUCAAUAAAUAUUGAAUGGGAAAAUUAUUGUAUGCCAAGCAAAAUACUAGGCACUAGGGAUACAGUGAUGAGUAAGUAAUGACCUAGCAGGAACAAGAGACCUUAAGCCAAAAGUUGCACAAAUAAUUAAUCGUGUCGUAAGAGCCAAGGAGGAAAAGUAAAGUACACUGGAGAGCAUAUAACAAGAUAAGGGCUGAGCCUUUAUCCAGAUCAGUCUCUUCCAUCUAAAAUAGUGACUUGUGUACAGUAAGUGCUUAGUGAGUUCUCACUGACAUGAAUUAAAUGGAACUAAACAAUGGCGCUCCCCCAUUGUCUAUAAGAAAGUAAGUAGUUCUCUCCCAUGGUAUUCUCUUAUACAUACAAUUCUGAAAGUUACUUGAGUGAUGACCUGAAUCAGAUUCUAAAUAAGGUAUUACAAAGAAGCAUGGAAGGGCUAGUAGAAAUGUAUACUCCAGUAGCAGGAAGAAGCAUCCAUCUGCUAUCAAUUUGACAGUAAAGGAAGCGACAGACUACAACAAGCAGACAUAGGACCUAUGAGCAUAGUAAGGUUGGGCCACUUGGUAUAUGUCAAACAUGCCUGCAUAGCCUGGUGAUGUCCCAGUGCUUCUCCCGGAAUACAGCAAUUCACAUUCAUGAUGAAAACCUACCAUGUUUAAACUAUCUCAAAGCACAUGGGAAUAAACACAGUAAGUUUGGUUCUGCUCCAGGCAUCAUUGCUUACCCUUCAUGUGUCUUGGUGUAAGACACUCAACCCCCCUGAACCUCAGUUUCUUCAUCUGUGGGAACAGACUUCCCAGUCAUAGCCAAGGGGUGGAGAGAUAAACGGAGUGGCAAAUGUGAAAGUGCUUGUACACAAGAAAACUUAAAUUACAUCUCUCCAUUCUAGAGCAUUCCUCUGAUCUUCGCAUUUGGACUUCCAUCUGCCUUAUGCCCAUUUCCACGUGGAUGUCUCCCAAGUAUCGCAUAUUAGCAUGUUAAAACUGAUUUCUGAGUUCUUGCCCACAUUGAGUUGUUACUCAGCCUUCCCACUCUAAUCUGCUUAAUUGCUUAAUGAUUUUUCCCUCUCCCUCUCCCCUACCCAAUCCACCAGCUAGUCCAAACCAUAUUCUUGAAUCUAUGGUAUUCCUCCCAUCUCCUUUGCCUCCACUUUGAUCCCAGUCACCUCGACUGCUCUCCUGGACCAUGGCAAUUGCACCCCAGGUGGUCCCUCUGUUUCACCUCUGGUAUUCCCCACACACUGUCUUCACAACAGCCAAGAUGAUCUUUCUAAAACAUCAGUCCAUUUACAUUAGUUCUCUGCUCAAAAACCUCCAAGAACUUCUCACUGUAUUUACAAGAAAAUCUAACUCCUUCCUAGAGUCUCUGAGGCCCUGUUCUGUGUUCACCUGGCCUUCUUUCUGCCUAAUCUCUGCUCCCUCCCUGUAUUCACCUGGCUCCAGCUGGGGGCCUCCCUACUGCUCCUGCAACCUGUGCACACUUACCUAUGCAGGGAUUCUGUACCAUCCCUGUGCUUUCUUCUGGGAUAGAUUAAGACAAGGAGUAGGAUGUUGUAUGGAAACCAAUUUGACAAUAAAUUUCAUAUAUAAAAAAAAAAAAAGACAAGCAGUAGGAGAAUCCAUUCAAAGAAACCUGUCCUAUCUUUGAAAAUUAUGAUUCUCCUCCUUAAGAAGGAAACUCUUCAGGGCAAGUCAUUAAACUCAUGCUGAGGGGCGCCUGGGUGGCGCAGUCGGUUAAGCGUCCGACUUCAGCCAGGUCACGAUCUCGCGGUCCGUGAGUUCGAGCCCCGCGUCGGGCUCUGUGCUGACUGCUCAGAGCCUGGAGCCUGUUUCCGAUUCUGUGUCUCCCUCUCUCUCUGCCCCUCCCCCGUUCAUGCUCUGUCUCUCUCUGUCCCAAAAAUAAAUAAACGUUGAAAAAAAAAAAAAUUUAAACUCAUGCUGAUUCUCACCACCUUCCUCUGGGCCAGAGUGAGAAGCACAGGGAGCAAAAUUUUCUCUUUGUUGUUCCUGGGAAGUUAAAUUAUACAUCUUACUUCAUCUUUAUCUUCACUGUCUAAAUUGGUUUUCAUUAUUUUUGUAUUCAUUUUUUAAUGAGUAUUUAUUUGGAAGUAUUACACAAAUAUCCAGAAAAGUGCACACAUCAUAUUUAUGGAAAUGGAUGAAUUGUCUCAAACGGACAUAUCAUUGUAGCCAGCACCCAGACUAAGAAGUAGAUCAUUCCCACUACUCCUGAAGCACUGUCCUGCCCUUGCCACUCAACUCUCCACCAAGCUAACCACAAUGCUAUCUAUCUUCUAACAGCAUGGAUUAAGUUUGCCUGUCUUUGAACUUUAUAUAUAUAUAUAAAUAUAUAUAUAUAUAAAUAUAUAAUUAUAUGGUAUAUACUCUUUCAUGUCUAGCAUUUUUCACUCAACAUUAUUGUAUUACUUUUAUAUUAAUAAAAUAAUAAUAAUAAUAAUAAUACAAAUUCUUUUCACUCUGUAAAAGGGACAGUGAUAAAGUUCAGGGAGCUUUGGCUGACUGCUCUAUAGAUACCCAUUCUACAUUGUGUAUCUUUGCUUCUCUACUCACAGGUCUCUCUGCCUGGCAUGCCCUUCUCAACUUUACCUUUUCAACUCUUGGGCCAUUACCUCCCCUAGUGAGCAUUCUCUGGCUUGUGGAGCCUGGUUCUGUGCCUCUAUUCUAUGGCCUCCCUCCCACAGCCCCUUGUACUUGUAUCCACUAUCAGAGCAUUGCUCACACUAUGGUAUCCUGACUGUUACAAGUCCAACUUGCCCACAAGGGGUGACUCAAGGGAAGGAUCCAUAUUUUAUUCUGUAUUCCCAGCACAAUGGCCAGGAAGGGUAUAUAUGGGUCAAUGGUUGUUGAACUUAACUCAUUGAAUUGCAAGAUAGCAAUGAUAUCUAUAAGACCAACUCAGGGGCCCCGGGUGGCUCAGUCGGUUAAGCGUCUGACUUCGGCUCAAGUCAUGAUCUCACAGUUCGUGGGUUCGAGCUCUGCGUCGGUCUCUGUGCUGACAGCUCAGAGCCUGGAGCCUGCUUCAGGGCCUGUGUCUCCCUCUCUGCUCCUCCCUGCCCACAGUCUCUCUCUGCCUCUCUCUGUCUCUCAAAAAUAAAUAAACAUUAAAAAAAUAUUAUAAGACCAACUCAAAUAUUGAAGUUGACUCAAAUCUUAGGUUCUUAGGAAAGUUACUAAUUGUCAAAACUUUAGAGCAUUAUUCAACACUUAUUGGAAGUAAGGCAAUGAUUCAGUAAUAGCUUCUGUUUUUAUUAAUUCCUCCCUGGCCAGCAGAACUGAAGAUGAAUGAAUUAGUAGUUCCAUGCAUUGCUAUUAUAUGUGUGUAUAUGCCAAAUACUGUGUUAGACAUAAGGAAGUUAGGGUAGAGUGAAGGAAAGGUAACAAAAUCUGCUUUACAGAGUUUUAAUAAAAAUUGAAUACAGGGGGCGCCUGAGUGGCUCAGUCGAUUAAGUGUCCAGCUUCAGCUCAGGUCAUGAUCUCACAGUUUGUGAGUUUGAGCCCCACGUCGGGCUCUGUGCUGACAGCUCGGAGCCUGGAGCCUGCUUCAGAUUCUGUCUCCUUCUCUCUCUGCCCCUCCCCUACUUGUGCUCUGUCUCUCUCUCUCAAAAAUAAAUAAAUGUAAAGAAAAAUAAUUAAAAAAAAAAAGAAUUGAAUACAGUGCCAUAUACAACACAGGGCUUGACCCCAGUAGACACUCUGCUGAUGCUACUUCUCUUCUUCUUCAACCCCUAGCAGCAGGUGUAUCCUGAAAAAGUGCUGUGAUCCUCAUGUCCAAAGAGGCUGUGGUGAGCCUUGGGCACAUAUCAAAGUACCCUCAACCCUAAUAGGUGGGUUGCACCUAAUGGGGUGCAAUUGCCAUGGUCCAUUCACCUAAGAAGGUGAAUAAUUGGCCUUCUCAUUCAUCUCUUGGAAAUUCCUUCCCCUUGGCUCCACUCUGUUUCUGUGCCCUUCCUCUAGGGCCCAAUCACUUCGGGUCCCACACUGCUGCCCUUUAUUUUUCAUACUGUCCACUGCCUUACCUCCUGCUGUCUGUCCUGACAUCAGCAUGGAUCUCUGGGGAAAGGCCUCAGGUCUUACGGACAGAACAUCAUUUCCUGCUCAGAAAGACCUGUGUUGGGACCAUUCCUCUGUUUUGUAAAGGCUGAGCGCCCUUCUAUGAAUGGAUUAACUUCUCUGAGUUCAUUUUUAAUGAACCUCAGGACAUCAUCCUCACAGGACUUUUGUCAGAAUGGAAACAUUGUCUGUGUCUAAGGCACUCAGAGAUGAACUGGGAAAGGACCUAACAAAUGGACAUUGUUAUGAUUCAGCAAAACUAAACAAAGGAGGACUUGGGUAGUGGUAAAAAGGAUGUUUUUUAUGAGGAAACAUGUGGGGUUGAAUUCUAUUUCCAUCAUCUACCAGUUACGCCAUCUUGGGCAAGUAACUUAUCCUCUCUAGGUCCAUCUUGUCGCGUUGUAAAAAUAAAUGAGAUGACAUAUUGUGUAGUAAGAGUUUAAAAAGCAUUGUUAUCAUAUCAGUGCCAUCAUUAUUUUAGACUCACAUGAAGUCCCAGUUUACCAUCACUCUUAGACGCCAGCUGCUGGGAGCUGAUGAGACCCCUCUGCUGUCUGACUAGCUCCUCAUUUCUAGUGUGGUCUCCUUCCUUCUGCAUCUUCUCACUGAUGAGUUCCCAUGGUGUAUUGCAGCUUGGAUUGGCUGAAUUAUGACAAUCAGGGUUGCAAAUGACAAAUACAGGUCCUGUCACAUCCCGGAGAAACGAUGCAUCGUUUGUCUAGUUCUUUCCAAUACUUUGAAUUUUCAGGGCAACGAAAGUAGAGGAGGAGGGUAUAAAUGAUAAUGCAAAGUUACAGAAAUUAAUGAGGUAAUGGGUGAGCACAUUUCCAUUCAAAUGAGCUGGGGUCAUGUUCCUGAGAAGGAACAACAAAGAGGAAUAGCCAAUUGAACAAGCUCAAAGUAGAAAUCAAGCAAACAGGCUGAAUAAAUCAAUGUCCGGUUGAGUCUUAUUUGUGGCAAUUACUUCCCUGAGCCUCUAGUCCCCGGUGCCCCAUGUGUGGGCUACAGAUGCUCAUUUAGCAGCCCCAAGGUUGACAUCUUAAUGUUUUCCUUCCCACGUUAAAAAUGGAUAUCUGCUUCGGAAUUCAUAUAUGUCAUUAGUGGUUCCAUCAAAUCCUUUCCAUUCAAAGACACAGACAAGGAAGAAAGACGGAGAUGAGGGUGUCCUGGUGUGGCAGAAGGGCAACUUCCCUGGGAGUUUUGACAUUUGGUAUGUAAUCCUGCCUUCACCCUUUGCUAGCUAGGUGACUAAGGUCAGGAUACUCUACUUGCCUGAGUUAAAAGAAAAAUAAGUUUGAGCAUCCCUUGUUCAUUUGUUCUUUCUGUCUUUUGUAUGUCCUAUGGUUAUUAAAGUACUUCCUGUUAAUCAUUUAGUGAGUAAGUCAUGUUGGGGCACCUGAGUGGCUCAGUCAGUUAAGCACCCAACUCUCAAUAUCAGCUCGGGUUGUGAUCUCAUGGUCAAGAGACUGAGCCCUGCAUCGGGCUCUGUGCUGAGCACAGAGCCUGCUUGGGAUUCUUCCUCCCUCUCUCUGACCUACCCCUGCUUGCAUUCUCUCUCUCUCUCUCUCUCUCUCUCUCUCUCAAUAAACAAACAAACAUUAAAAUAACAAAAUAAAACUCAACUCAUGUUGGGAGGUACCACCAGGGUUCAGGGGAUGUAGUGAGAGGAGGGCUAACAGAGCAGCUACAUGUGAAGCACUGCUACUUACGUUUUCCCACUUAACUUUCGUGUCUACUCUAUGAGGUAUUAGCAUCAUUAUCCCAUGUCUCUAUUAGUGGAAACUGGGGCACAGAGAAUUGAAGUAACUUGCCUAAGGUCCCAUAGCUAGUAAGUGGCAGAGUUCAAGUUGGAUGACUCUAGAGCCUGUGUUCUCCUCACAGAGGGGCAGCCUGGAGGUUUCAGAUGACUUCUAAGAUGUUUCUUUUAGCUGAGAAAAUGGGUCUCUUGAGAGGUGUGGUGAAAGAAAGGCCCAGUCCUGAGGCUGUCAAGGUGUCUGCUUCUCAGCUGCUCUCAGCAGAAGCCAAUGUUGGGAAUAGCUGGGGAUUCUAGAAUGAUAUUCGUAUUGAUUGAGCUUGGUGAAGAGGCUCCGGGGUACUUUGGCUGUUAAGCAAUUGGGAGUCUCAGAACACUGGCUACCUUAGGCCCCCAACUCCAUCUCAGUCUUCCCAUACCCUCCUAAUGUUUCCACUAGGAAACUUGUGGACUCUAACAACCAAACAGGCACUGUGCUGUGCUUGUAUUACAAUCACAGGGGCCAAUAGACCCAGGGAUUCCACCUCAGUAGAGCCCAGCAUGACUCCUGGGGAAAAUGAGUCUCAGUGACAGGAACUGUCCUAGCUCAGUGUGAGGGAUCAUCUCUCAAAGGGAAGGAACUCAAGUUUUUUUUAAUAUCUAUUAUGUGUCUUGAAUAUCUACUAUGUGCCAGGAAUUUUACACACAUGGUUGGUCAUCUGAAGCCCUCAAAUCCUCUACCGGAGAUGCAUUUCAUUUUCCCCUGAGAUGCAUUUUAACUUAUUUUUCCCUACCUUAAGUAUCUUUUUUCUUAAGGUACUUAUCACACUCUUGCCUGUAUAGUUCAUUCUUUCAUUCAUUCACUCAAAUGAGGAAAUGAAGUCCAGAGUGGUUAACUGACUUGUCCAGGAUGACACAACCAUUGAGCAAGUAAAGAUUCAGAAAAGGAACCCAGGUCCCUGAUAUUGUAAAUGCUCUCUUCUCCACUUUGGCACCUCAUCUCUCAUAAAGUAACCUCGGGGCCCUUCUUCCUUGGAGAGCUCUGCAUGGAUGGGAAAAGCCUUUAGUUUUCUCACCACCCUGCCUGCAAAGCUGCAAUGGACCAAUCACCUCGUGCUUGUGUUCUUGAUCCUUUCCAGGGCAUCUUCCUUUUUAAUGCAGUGAGUCUCUCCUGGGUGAGGCUGGACUUGUAAGUACUCACCUGGACCCAAGCUCUGUGGGACAACCCAACUGUCAGUAUUCUCUCAUAUUAGCUACUUAAUUGCAACCUCAGGAAGGAAAGGAUGAGCGAAUGCUACCUGCCAGAUGCUCCAGGCGUGCGUUUGCCUCCCAAGUAUACUCCUCAUCUUUGCUGCCUUUUUUUUUCUUCCCUAUUAGUAACCUCAGUGUUUUUCCUCACAGAAAUCACUCUGCUUUGGAGGGGACACUUCACAGCACUCCCCACUCCCUCCCCUAGCUCCUUCACUAGCAAAUUAAAACUUCUCUCAGCACCAGCAGAGGCAGGCAGGCAUCUUAUAUAAAUGGUAAUUAGUGCAGCCUCACUGAAGACCUGCUGGGAAAGAUGAAGGCAUCUUUUUUCCUGAGCUGAACACCCUUUGCAUUUUUUUGGACCUCUCUUAAGGUACUUAUCACACUCUUCCUUGGAUGGUUCAUUUGUUCGUUCGUUCAUUCAUUCAUUCAUUCGGAAAGUUUCCGUAGUGAUGUGGGAGGAGCAUCUGCCCUGACGUCAGACAUACCUCACUUUAAAUCUUGGGGUUUUCAGCUCUGCUGUUGGACAGAUCAUUUCCUCUAGACAAUAGACUUUAUCUUUAUGAGCCCUGGCUUCCUCAUUUCUAGGACCAGGAAACCCUCAUAGCAUUGUGGUGGGGUUGAAUGAGAUGUCAGUGAACUGCAGUACAUAAAAGGUAAAACAAAAUAACAAAAAAAACUCGCAUAACUGUGAAUUAUCAUUAUAGAAAAGAGAAUCUGUGUGGCUGGGCAGAACUGUCUCCUGGAGGGAGUGAUGCUGGGCAGAGAGCUGAAUUUCCCAUUACCCGAAGAGCACCCUAUAAAGGGAGCUGACUUGCUCUGUGUAGUUCCAGAGGGAGAACCAUAGCCAACUGAUGAAAGUUCCAGAAAGACCAGUAUUAGUUAUAUUUACCACAAAAAAGUUAUGACAACUAGAGCUACCCCAAAAAGGCAAUAUUGGACACUUAGCAUGUGGGAUCUAGAUGGAGUUAGAAAACCUAACGUGGAAUCUCUGCCUACUCCUUAUAAGCUGAAUAGGCUUGAACAAUUUAUUUAAACUCUCUGGUUCUCGGUGUCCUUAUUUAUGAGUUAGAGAUAAUAAUAACUAUCUCAUGGCUUUGGGGGGACAUAGAAAUCCCAGUGGCUAGCGCGUAGUAAAUAUUCAAUAAAAUGGCUGUUAAUUACAAUGUGAAUAAUAAUAAGAGCUGCUAAAGGCCUUCUGAGGUGGUAAGCUCCCCGUGGAGAGCCAUGAAGGUGACAGGACAUGGAGUUGGAGUCAGAUUCAGGAGAGGUCUUUGGGAGACAGUGCUCUGAUGAAAUUAAAAAGCAGGAAGCCUCCUGGUCUGUGUCACAAAUAGGAACCUUCAGAACUUGGGUGUCUCACCUCUGUGGGGCCCAUUCCAUACUAGAGGAGAAGGUGAAGCAGCAGAGAAAUUGUGGUGCUUUGUCAGGGAGACUGGAGAGAAGAUAGGGUGUCAUCAAGGCUGGGCUGUUCCUUCCCUUCCCAGCUCUUGCGGCCCCCAGGCUGCAGGGAGACUGAGCAACAAUCAUAGUGCAGCUCAGAAAUUCUGUACUAUCUCUUUUAUUUAUUUAUUUAUUUAUUUAUUUAUUUAUUUAUUUAUUUAUUCAUUCAUUCAUUCAUUCAUUUUUUAUUUAUUAAAAUUUGUUUAAUGUUUAUUUAUUUUUGAGAGAGAGAGAGAGAGAGAGAAUAAGCGGGAGAUGGCAGAGGGGGAAGGAGACACAGAAUCUGAAGCAGGGCUCUAUGCUCUGAGCUGUCAGCACAGAGCCCGAUGUGGGGCUUGAACUCAUGAACUAUGAGAUCAUGCCCUGAGCCAGAGUCAGAGGCUCAACAGACUGAGCCACCCAGGCGCCCCUGUACUGUCUCUCUUUCAAGUGGGAAGGGCACUUCCUGGGAAUAUGUAUGACCAACUGUGUGUCAGUACCAACAAGUUGGGUAAUCUCUGAGCCUCAGUGUCUUCAUAUAUAAAAAGAAGGGAUAAUAAUACCUACUGUAUAGAUUUAUUAUGAUAAAGCAUGAUGAUGGAUGGGGAGCCCCUUGUGCAGUCUCUGAUACAUGGCUUGAUCGAUUAUGUUAUUCCCACCCUUUCUGAGUACACUUAGAACUCCUGGGUCACGGACAACAUUUGUCUCUGUGCUUGUGCAGUGCACUAAGAGCCCUGGCCACACAUCUUUCCAAUCCCUCCCACCCCGCACAUUUGGUCAGCGGAUAACUCUGUCUAGGAAACUUGGGUUCCUUCCUCCUCCAAAGCCUAACAAGUCCCAAUGUGGCUAAUACAGCCAAUAUUUCCCUUGUUUUCUUUUUUGAGGGUCUACUAUGGGUAAGGAAACAUGCUAGAAACCAUAUUUUUUUUUCUCAUUGAAUCCUCACCUCAGCCAUUCAUUUACGCAUGCUUUUGAUUUUAUCAGUUUCUGUUUAGUACACUUAUUAAGCAUGUAUUUUGUUCCAGGCACAGUGGUACGUAGUAGAAUACAGAAGGAAUGCCAUUAGUAAAAGAAUUCAACUAGUAAAACUAAUACAAAAAUUGUAAUGUGGAUGUCAUUAUUUCUAUGUUACAGAUGCAGAAACAAAGGUUUAGAGAGUUAUGAAGAUACUAAAGCAGGUUUUCAGUCCAAUUUCUGCUAUACCUCCUUUAACCCUGCCCUGAAAGCUGUAGUUCCAAAGCCCCUUUGCUGAACUGUAUGCUUUCCAAGUGGGACAAUUGUAUUUGGGAAGAAAAGGAAGGGAAGGGCGGAGAUAGCAGAGAAAUGCAAUUGAACUGACUUACAGACCCUUUUAAGCAACUGACCUUCAUGUUUUUUAUGAAACCUGUUGAACUAAUAGUAUUUUGGGGUGCCCAAAUUAUUAACAUGUAGUUGGGAAAUGUGUUUCUCAAAUGCAAAAUAAAAGCAGCUUGCCUCCAAACUCUUAAGAUCUCAUUAAAUGAGCUAAUUCACCUACUGCUUAAUUUGCUGGAAGCCCUAUGAGUAAUUAGGCUGCUGACAUCUUCCAAAAUUAUAUUCUUAAUUGUUGCAUUCUUUUGCAUCACAAUGAAGCUGCCCAGCCUUCCUCCUAGAGUGCCUUCCUCUUCUGCCCACCACAGCUCCUUGGUGAAAAAAAGAGUGAGUUUUGAAGUUAGCACACUUAUCAUCAUGAACAUAAUUAGGAGGAAAUAUUAAUUAGAAAGACCACCCUGGAGAUCCAACAGAAUAUUUGAAGCAAUGGGUUUGGUCGUUUCUUCCUUCCUUUCCUUUCCUUUCCUUUCCUUUCCUUUCCUUUCCUUUCCUUUCUUUCUUUCCUUUCAUCUUUCCUUUCUUUUUUUCCUAAGGCUAGUCCUGAGCCCUGAAAUCCUGCAGCUGUUAUUUGCCAAGGCAAGCUUCUAUUUCUUGAUAUUGUUUGCAACAAUUUAUAAGUGCUUACAGGAGAGAUGCUGCCUUGCUUUGGCUUGUAACCCACAACACAAUAUUUCACUCUUGAGAUGUUGCAUCCAUUUGUCAUAGUAAAUGCGUGUGUGUGUGUGUGUGUGUGUGCGCGUGCGCGCGCACGUCUGUGUGUGUUUUACACUCUAGGAAAGAGCAGCAUCUUCCUUACAUAAAUAACACUGUUCUGGGGAAAACGUAUGCUGAGCCAUUUCCCAGAGAGCCACUGCAGAAACAUUUUGGGCUCACUGUAGAUAGACUCUCUAAUUGCUUUGAAUUUACUUUAGUACUUGACUGGGGAUUGCUUUGAGGUGAUUAUGAAAGAAUAAGGAUGCUUCUGCAAGGAGAAUUUAGAAAGAAAGCGCUUAAGAGACUUUCUGUUUUCAAGUUUCUGGGUGAGUGAGCUGGAGCCUCCAGUUGCUCCCAUAUGACAGUGCCGGCCCUUUCACCAGAACAGUGGGGCUGGGGUCCUCCUCAGUGACUCUUAUUUUGGUAUGACAAGUCCAACUAUGCCCUCACUGCCUUGCUCUUUCAUUGCCUGGGAACCUCUGAUGCUCUUGCUUCCUGGCAGCUGGAGAGCUGUUUAGCAUUCCUGUUUGUACUGUGCCCAGGCUAUGUUCCCUUCUGCUGUGCCCAAUGAGCUCAUUGGCUGCCUGGAAUUCCCAUCAUUCAAUGCCUAGAAUGUGCUGGCCAGAUUCCGCCCCCACCAGUCUUUCAGUGUGGCUUUGACUAAGGAGAAUGCUCCUAUGUUUGAGAAGAGACUCUUUCUGGUUCUCACUUCGCAUCAUGCUUUCUGUGUGGGCUUGAACAAGUCAUUUAAGCCCUCGGGGUUUCUGUUUUUAUUUAAUAUGUUAAAGGUCAAGGCUUCUCUCAGCUACAAAUUGUAGGGAAUGUGUGUGUGUUGGGUGUCAGAAAUCCAACUCAAGAGAGAUUGAACAUUUAUCUCUCUCCGUAUUUUGCCUUCCUAAGGAAGAAAAACCAAUGACCUAAUUGAGUAAUGAGAAUGGGCGAGAGCCUUCAGCGUGCACUAUAGGAUCAGGGAUUUGGAUUCAAACAGGCCUGACUGCAAGCCAGCUCUACAACUUAAGAGUUCUGUGACCUUGGAUCCCCUCCCCUAUCAGAACCACUUCCUUUUUGCAGGGCAGGACCAUACCUACCUCAGGCCCAUCUGUGGAAAUGAAAUCAGAAAAUGUUGGUAAAAGUUAGGAACACAGUGCCUGGCAUAUACAAGGAUCUCAAGAAAGGUUAAUUCCUAUCCCGUACUCUAUCCCAUCCUCCUUGAGAAAGGAUGUGUCAGAAUUGAAGUCCCGAAACGGAAACUAAAAUCAGUAACCAGUAGCAUAAGGCGAUGGGUAUAAAGAGAAAAUGGGAAGCCAUCUGCUUUACUGAUGGCAGAGGAUUUUGCUUCUCAAAGGCAGCUUUGUGAAGACGAGGUACAUACCUUCUUUUCUUAUCUGCAGCAGGAUUUCUUGAAGAUACUAAACCCAUGGGGCACCUGGCUGGCUCAGUCAGAAGUGCAUGCAGCUCUUGAUCCUGGGGUUGUAAGUUUGAGCCUCAUCUUGGGUGUAGAGACUACUUAAAAGCAAAUCUUUUAGGGGUGCCUUUUAGGGUGACUCAGUCGAUUAAGCAUCUGACUUUGGCUCAAGUCAUGAUCUUGUAGUCCCUGAGUUCAAGUCCCAUGUCAGGCUCUGUGCUGACAGCUCAGAGCUUAGAGCCUGCUUUAGUCUCCCUCUCUCUCUGCCCCUCCCCAACUUGCUCUCUCUCUCUCUCUCUCAAAAAUAAACAUGAAAAAAUUAAAGUAAAGAAAAUCUUUUAAAAAAACAAAACAAAAAAGAUACUGAAACCACAACAAAAAUACUAAUACUAACUACUGCUUACUGAGUCAGUGAUACAUAUGGACUAACUCCAAUCCUGACACCAGCUUGGGGUUGCAUUUAUAAUGAACCAGAUACAAAGUCAGAUAUCUAAGAGGCAACAGAGUUUGGACUUGAAUAGUUUGAUUCUAAAUCUACUACUCCUGUUCAACUUGUGUCAAAUAGAGUCUAGCAGAAUACAGUGGUUAUUUAAAGUAAACCCCAUAGUUGGUCCUUGUGAUUUUAAUAAGAGUGCUUUAUCUAAAACAGGUUCUGGUCUAUAUGGCAAUUCACCUUUGUAUCCCCCGUCGUAUGGUGCAUGGUAACUGCCCACUUAAGUGCUGAAUAAGUAAAUGAACAAAGGGUUAACUCAGGUCGCCUGGAUGACUCAGUUAUUUAAGACUGACUCUUGAUUUUGGUUCAGGUCAUGAUUCUUGAGAUCAAGCUCUGCAUUUGACAGGCCUGCCAUCAGCUCAGAGCCUGCUUGGGAUUCUCUUUCUCCCUCUCUCUUUGCCCCUCCCCUUUUUGUCUCUCUCUUGCCCUCAAAAUAAAUUAAUAAACUUUUUUUUCUUUUUAAAGAAAAGGUUAGCUCUAACUUAAAUUGGCCAUCUGGUUAAACCCACACCUUACCUUAGGAAAGAGCCAAACUGUAUGUCCCGAAAUGAACUUUCUUAUUACCUGGAAGCACUCCUGGCAGGUGGAACACAGUGCUAUCAUCCAGGGCUCAGGGACAAGAAAUGAAUGCUGAUUUCCUGUCGCAGAAGGAAGAGCAUUUUCCAUAAACCACAAUUAAUUUUGGGGAUUGGAUUUUGACUUGAAUGCCAGUGUUAGCUCUCACAGAGGAGCACGAGAGAACUUUCAAAGGACAGAUGGUAGAACUUGAACCUCACCUUCUUCUGUGCUCAGAUCUCAUGCACCCAUGGUAACCAACAUGAAGUUAACAGUGUCCUUUCUCUGUGGACCAGUAUUCCUAUCACCAAAAGCCUGUUGAUAGUUGAUGCAAAUGUGCUGUGUGGUUAGCUUGUCCACAGCCUAGUGACAGAAUGGGCUCUCAGAGCUACUUACUUUUCUUGCCAACCAGUUUGAACAUUUUAUUUAUUUAUUUUUUAAAUUUUUUUAAUGUUUAUUUAUUUUUGAGAGAGAAGGAGACAGAGUGUGAGCAGGUGAGAGUCAGAGAGAGAGGGAGACACAGAAUCGAAGCAGGCUCCAGGCUCUGAGCUGUCAGCAUAGAGCCCGACACAGGGCUUGAACUCACAAACUGUGAGAUCAUGACCUGAGCCGAAGUUGGACACUUAACCAACUGAGCCACCCAGAUGCCCCUUGAACAUUUUAAAAUAAAGAAGGAAAUUAAGUGAUGCAAGAGAGAGGAAACUAAUAUUUAUUGAACAGUAUUCUGUUUUAGGCAGCAUUCUGGGCAUCUUUUGUAAAAUAAAUAUGUAAUAUUUACCAAAAAUCCAUGACAAAUACUAUCCCCAUUUUACAGAUGAGGACAAUACUGCCUACUCAAUCAACAAGCUCAUUUGCUCAGUGUUGAAUUUAUGUUAGGAGACAAAAGAGAUGAAAGGAAAUUAUAAUGUGAUUUUGUCAUGUUUCUCAGGGUAUCUAUAAUACUGUUUGGACAAGGAUAGGCACCCACGGGCAAAAAAUAUAUAUAAAGCCAAGAUAUUGAAGAAUUAUAACCUCUUACAUGUAUGUACAUAGUCUUUUCACUGAACUAUGAUAUUACUCAUGUUAAGUACAUAUUCUUCCAGCAGUUUUCUAAGAUUAAAAAUAUGUUAUUGGAUUAUUAUUAUACCCAGAAUUUAGAAUCCUGCUUUUUCACUGGUCAUUAAUUCAUUUUCCAUAUUAUUAAUUCAAACUCUGUAAACAUAGUGCUUAAUAACGGCAUAAUAUUCUAAGCAGUGGCUGUCUCUUCUAAUUAUUUCCUCCUCCCUUUCCCCCUCUUCUUUCUUCUCAUCCUCCUUCACCACUACCCCUCCUUCUCCUUCACCACUACCCCCUCUUCCUUUACCACUACCCCCUCCCCCUUCACCACUACCCCUCCUCCUCCUUCACCACUACCCCUCCUCCUCCUUCACCACUAUCCCUCCUCCUCCUUCACCACUAACCCCUCCUCCUCCUUCACCACUACCCCUCCUCCUCCUUCUCCAAUGACAACUUCGACUAUACUACUACUCGUACUGCUUCUUCUCUGUAACUCAUCUUUAUUAAGAACUUGAAAUGUGUCAGACUCUGAGUUAAAUUCUUUUCUUAAAAUCUUAUUCAAUCCUCAGAGUAACUCUAUGAAGUCAGUUCCGCUAAUAUCCCUUUGUAGAAAAGAGUACAGAGAUGAGGCAACUAAUGCACAGAAAGGUUAGAUAACUGACUUAAGUAACACAACUAUUCAGAGAUAGAGCUAGUAUUUCGUGGGGCUUUCUUUCUUUCUUUCUUUCUUUCUUUCUUUCUUUCUUUCUGAUUCUGGAACUCCAGUUCAUAAUCACUACCAUUUACUUGUGUGCUAUGUGUAGUUACUUUUGAUAAAUUUCUUUAAAAAGAUUUGCAGAAAAGGCCUGAGCAAGUAAAAGCACAUGAAUAUUUUCAGACUCUUAAUACAUACUGCCAAAUUGCUUUCCAAAAGUUCUAUCCAGUUACAUUGCUGAAAGCAAUGUGUGAGAGUGUCCAUUUUAUCACUCAUUUGUCAGAAAUGAAAAGGGAAACAAAAGAAGUGAAUGACCCUUUAUGACUAACAAUUUCAGGCAUGCACAGUAUCUGAGAGUUCUGGGACUCCUCGUUAUUAUGGGUCCAAAAGUGUCUUGAGGAAGGUAGACAGAAGUAGCAUCAGAUGGAGGCCAAGGAAGUGUGUUAGAAUAUUUGGAAUUGAGACCAAUCUCUACCAUUUACUAACUGUUGGCUCUACGAUUUUAGUCUUCUGAUUGCUAAUUUAUUUCAUUUUUUGCAAUUGUGGAGGGGGGUCAUGGGUAGAGUGGAGAUAGGCUUUAGAAAAGCAAGUGUUGUUCAGCUGAGUUAGGGGUAGGAUUUGAGUUGUGAAGAGGUAACAGAAGGGCAUUUGGGGUAAAAAGUGACUCCUGAACCUUGGCUUGGUGUCCAGAGCUUAUUCUGGGAACAAUGCAAACAAUGAAUACUCACAGCAUGGAGCAGUGGCUAGAGUUGGGGUUGACACAGCCAGCUUGGGCAGAACCUUGAGAGCCUUAAUUAUCAUCCCAAAGAGUUCAUCUAUAAAGAGAUUCAAUCAAACUUGGCUCCUGCUCUUGCUUUGAUGGGAGUGGCUUGAUCAGAUUUGUAGUUUUAGGAGACAGCUCUGAGUAAACUGGAAUCGACACUGGGCAGAGAUGCACUAGUCAGAUAAGGCUGAAAUAGUAUAAGCAAGAUAUGAAUACAUCUUAAGUUUUAGUUCCAAAAAUAGAGUGACUGUAGCUGUAAUAGAAGUAUAUACAUUUUGGGGGGAUCCCAGCAAAGUGAUUAACCAAUUUCUACCCACAAUAGGGGUUAAGGGAAAAGGUUUGGAGAAUUAAACGUAUCCAGAAAUGAAUGUAUACAACCACUCUAUAAGGAGAGAAAUCUUAUCUCCAUUUCACAGAUGAGUAAAAUGAGAGUUAAGUCAGUCAAUCAACCUACUCAACAUUAUGAAGAUAGAAAGUGAAAAUGUUGCAAUUAAAGCCAAGUGUGUCAGACCCAAAUCCCAUGCCACUCUGCUACCUGUCAAGACAUCCUAGAGGAGAUGGCCUUUCAGCUGAGCCUUGAGGAAGACACAGCCUUUCUCCAAGUGGACAAUGAUGGAUGAAAAGAAUUCCAAGCAGAGAAAAUAGCCUGAGCCAAGGCAUUGUGUAAUCAGUUGGUGGUCCCUUUAAAAAUGUGCAAAUCUGCUUUCAGAGAUAAGUAUACACUGGAUUAAUACUCAGUUGCUAAGUUGAGUGCUUACUAUGUACCUCAUCCUAUUCUUAGUACCCAAUACUUAAUGAAUCUUUUAGUCUUGCCUGUAGCUUACAUGUAGGUACUGUUUAUCAUGCCCACUUUAUAAAGAUGAUCAAACUGAAGGCACAAAGGCGUUAAGUGAAUUGCCCAAAUCCACACAGCUAGUAAGUGGCAAAGCCAGCCUGUCAUCUAAGAUGUUCUGGUUCCAAGGCUCUUAAGCACUUAGCAUGUAGUCUUUUAUGUAUAGCAGAGAGGCUAGGAGCCAUUCUUCCUGCACCAAAGUGGAAGGAAACGUAGUCAAUCUACUUUUUUUUUCUUUCCCUGAAGAGGACAUGAAUGUCUUUGAUGAGGGCAGAGAUCAACCACGGUGGCCUAGAUAGCACGAUCUUUUUUUAAUGAAUGAGAUGAUGAUGAUGACAGUUACCAUUUCCAGAACUUUGCUGUUGAUCAGGCACUGUGUGGGAUGCCCUAUAGCUCUCUCCUGUGCAGACCCCACUGGGUAGGAGAGGGUUGCUGCACCAGGAGAAUAAUGACUGGCUGGGGCAUAAGACAUCGGUGUGGAAAUGGAGGAGAGUGAAGCAUUGUAAACCUUACUGAAGGAUGAAAGCAUGCUUUAUCUUUAGGGCAGGAAGGGUUUUGAAGCCAGUGACUGAUGAAAUUGUGUUGACAGUUACAAACUCCGCGUCUGGUGAUCGUUUGGGUGGGGAAAUGUAAACCGAUUUAGGGAGUAGUAGGAAACUACAGGCAGCUGAGUGGGGUAAUCCUGAUGACCUGGUAUGGACGUAGACCAGCGCAGAGGCAGCAGGAAUGGAGAGAAGGGGAUGAACUCAAGAAUAAAUAGGGGCGCCUGGGUGGCGCAGUUGGUUGAGUGUCCAACUUCAGCCAGGUCGCGAUCUCGCGGUCCGUGAGUUCGAGCCCCGCGUCAGGCUCUGGGCUGAUGGCUCGGAGCCUGGAGCCUGUUUCCGAUUCUGUGUCUCCCCUUCUCUCUGCCCCUCCCCGUUCAUGCUCUGUCUCUCUCUGUCCCAAAAAUAAAUAAACGUUGAAAAAAAAAAAAAAAAAACAAAAAAACAAAAAAAACGUUGAAAAAAAGAAUAAAUAGGUACAAUAGGACUUAGUGUCAAACUGCAUGUGAAGAGUGAAGGAAAGAGAUGCUUGAGAUUGCACCCACUUUCCAGCUAUCUUAUUUUCCUGGAAUUCACAGAUUACUUAUUUCCUUGCUUCAUUGGAUAACUAUAUUUCUUUUUUUUUUUUUUUAAUUUUUUUUUUCAACGUUUAUUUAUUUUUGGGACAGAGAGAGACAGAGCAUGAACGGGGGAGGGGCAGAGAGAGAGGGAGACACAGAAUCGGAAACAGGCUCCAGGCUCUGAGCCAUCAGCCCAGAGCCCGACGCGGGGCUCGAACUCACGGACCGCGAGAUCGUGACCUGGCUGAAGUCGGACGCUUAACCGACUGCGCCACCCAGGCGCCCCUGGAUAACUAUAUUUCUAUAGAGAAAGUGUAUCUAGUGUUGGGGCCAGAAGCAAUACACUUGUUUUCUUUUCCUGUGCAGAGAAAACUAAAAGUGUCACUUAGUGAUAUGCACGAGUAAUAAAAAUCCAGAUUCCCCUCUCCCCUCCCUGCUUAAGGAGAAAAAUUAUUUUGCUCAUAACUUUGAUGAGCUUGAUGAAUGUUCGGAUAUCAUCCCAAGCUUGCAAACCACCCAGGCGCUGGGGAAAUUAUUAAUAUUUUACUGGUGGACUUGGUUGAGCAAACACAAUAAAAGGACUCGGUGUCAUUGCAUGCUGGAAAAGCAGAUGGCAGUCGGAAGCAAAGCUGCAUCCGGCAGUUUGAAAUUUCAAAUUACAUCAAUUUGAAGCUUUGCUUGUGCCUCAGGCAAGAUUUCCCCUCAAAUGAAGGAGACAGGAGAGGCGAACCCUUUAUUCCUGGGUUGUUUGGCAGUGGCUGCUGAGGGACGCCCUGCUUUCUGUGAUGCUGGGUGGCCAGAGAACCGGAAGGGAAAUGGCCUACUUCUGUCCCAACUUCUAGAGUGUGAUGGGGGAAGUCUCUGGUUCUCUAGUAUCUCAUCACCCCAGUACACAUGGACUGAAGCUGCUAGUCUCUGGGUGACAAGGGCCUCCAUCUGGAGAGCUUCAUGCUCUCAGACUUGGCCUUGCCAACAAGUGACACCAAGUUGUUCGUAUCAGGCAUUCAAUGGGUAGUGACCCAACUGGAGCAAAAGUCCACAAUGUUGGCAGCACUGUAGUUCUCAGAGCUAUUAUUGGCUAUUAUUAGUAGAUAAGAAUAAAACAGCAGGUGUCUUUGGAGUCCUUAAGCUCAUCAAAAGUACAUUAUAGUGCCAGAUUGCUUGACUUUUACUCCUUUGGUCCCUUAAUUUCCCUCCCUGCUCCGGAAGCCAGCAAUGUCAAUUCAUCUAGACCAGUGGUUCUCAACCCUGGAAGUACAUCAUAGUCAUCUGUGGGGCUUUACAAUAAUACUUUUUAGGGAGCCUGCAUAGUUCAGUCAGUUAGGCAUCUGACUCUUGAUUCCCGCUCAGGCCAUCAUCUCAUGGUUCAUGGGAUUGAGCCCUGCAUCAGGCUCUGAGCUGAGAGUGUGGAACCUGCUUGGGAUUCUCUCUCUCUCUCUCUCUCUCCUCUCUGCCCUCCCCCACUCACACACUCUCUCUCAAAAUAAAUAAAUUUAAAAAGAUAAUACUUUUCAUCAGGCCUCACCCCUCAGUGUUAUGAGUCUGGGGUGAUAUUCUGUUAUAUUCUUAGGGACCAAUGCAGUGCCUGACACAUGAUAAGCAUCUAAGUUUACCUGUUGAAUGAACAAAUAAACUGAGCAACCUGUAGUUCUCUAUUCAAACCAUAUACUCUAGUUCUAUAUUCUUGCACAUUCUAUUCCUUUGGCCUCAAACACACUUCCCCUUUUCAUCGCCUCCUUCCAACCUAAUUAACUUCAGUUCUUUAGGACACACAUCAUACAUUGUUUGCUUCAACUUAAAUAUGACUUGGUCAACCUGGCAAAAUCUCCUGCCCUCCUGUCUGUAUUCCCACAGCCCACUGUGCUGCCUUCUUUUAUAAUGCUUACCAUCUUGGGUUGCAGGAACUACUUUGGUAAUUGGGGGCUGUUAGAUCUUGAGAGCUGGACUGGGACCUCCUAUCCCCAGCACGUCAAUUAUGGCAUCUAGAACAGAGUAUUAAGUGUUAAUAAUUGCAGGGUAACAAUCAGUGUAUACGGUAUGGUGUAUGCAGUGUAUGUAACAUAUAAGAAGGGUGGGUACAUAAAUAUGUGCAUUAUGUCUGCUAUAGGAUAUGCGUAAAGAGGAUUUAGGUGUGGGGUAUGAGUAUGCACAGGGGGUUUGCACGUUGCUUAUGUGUUUAGGUCAGCUAAAGUCAAGACACAUGCGAAUCUUUUUCAGAAUGUAAAUUCUGGGGCCCUAUGACUUAUAAAUUUCAAUCGAUCAUUUCUAAGGAGGUGCCCAGGAAUUGGUACUUUUAAAGAUGAUCAGGCAUAACUCAGAUUGUCAAUCAGGAUUGAGAGCCAUGUAUGAAAUCGGUAAGUAUUUGUUGAGUGCCCACUGUAUGCUAGCACUGUUGGAGACUCUGAAGACCCACUGGUGAUCUAGAAAUGGUCACUGCCUUUGUGGUACCUGUAUUUGAGGGGGAGUAAUAGAGGCAAAUAAAUCACUGGAUACCCCAAAGAUGGUACUAAGUGAUGUUAACAAAAUAAAGUAGGGUAAUUAAAUAGGUAGUGACUAAAGUGGUCAGGAAGGUUCCCUUUGAGGAUGUGAUAUUUGAGCUGAAAUCUAAACGAUGUAAAGGAUGCAAUCAAAUAAACACCUGGGGAUGAGACUAUGAAGUAGUGGGAACUGCAAACAUAACGGGGUUCUGAGAGAAAUGAGCAUGGCACAUUCCACGAGCAGAGGGAAGGCUGGUGUACCCGGGCCAUGAAGCAUGAAGCAAGGUGGAGUAAAUUAGGUCAGAAGAAGAAGGAGGGAAGGCAGAUCAAGCAGAGUGCUGUAGGAAAUGGUAAGAAGAUUGAUUUGGGAAAAUUGAGAAACCAUUUUGUAAGGGUUUGAAUGUAAGAGAAUGAAUGUUCCCGUUAGGAUUUUAAAAGACCACUUUGGGUGUUGUCUGGAGAAGGUAUUGUGAGGAGGCAAGAAUGGUAACAGAGAGACUGGAGGCUAUAUACAGUAAUCUGUGAAGGAAGUGGUAAUGACUUGGAUAAAGAUGGUAGCAAGGGAGGUGAAAAGAAGUGAACGGAUUGGGCAUAUUUUGGAGGUAGAUGUGGUAGGAUUUGUUACUGGACUAUGAAGGAUUUGAGGGAAAAAAAAGAAACUGAAGAUAACAUCCAGGUUUUUAAGCAACUAGGUGGACAGUGAUACAAUUUCUUAGGAUUUCCUAGGAGGUUUUCAGGGAAAUGUGUUUAUUGUGUACUAGGGCUUUGUGCACUUCGUGUUCAUUUGAUAUUCCUAUAUAAUGUAUGUGUGUAAAAUAUAUAUUUAAGAGAGAUAUAUUGUAUUAGUGUUCUGUGGCUGCUGCAACAAAUUGUGGCAAACUUGUGGCUUAAAUCAACAGAAAUUAAUUCUCUCAACAGUUUUUGAAGGCAAGUGGGAAAUCAGUUUCACUGACUAGAAAUCAAUGUCAGCAGACUCAUAGUCUCUCUGGAGGCUCUGGGGAGAGUCUGUGCCUUGCCUCCUCCCGCUUCAAGUGGCCGCUGGCAUUCCUUGGCUUGUGGCUGUAUUACUCCAAUAUUCAAGGCCAGUGUUUUCAAUCUCUCUCUGCACUGUCUUCAUAUCACCUUCUCCUCUGGUGUGCGUGUGUGUUGAAUCUCUCUCUUCCUCCCUCUUACUAGGAUUUCUGUGGUUGUGUGUAGGGCCCAUGUAGAUUACCAGAGUAAUCUCCCCAUAUCAAGAUCCUUAACUUAAUUACAUCUGCAAAGAUAUAAUAAAGGCAAAGAAAGACAAUAUUUACAGAUUGCAAGGAUUAAUACCUAUGUACGUUGGGGUUCACAGCAUUGGAGUUCACAGAGAAGUAUGCAUAUUAUAGUUCAAUGCUGUGUGUGUGUGCACGUGUGUGUUGUGUGUAUGCACUCAAGUCAAAUGUAUGCAUGGCUUUCUAGAGCUAUAUGUGAAUGUGUGGGCCUCUUUGUAUGCUGUGCAUCUCUCUUAUGUCCCUACAUCAAAAGACUCUACCAGUUACUUGUUUACUAUUGUGAACGUGUUCAUAAAUAACAUAGGCCUUUCUUGUUUUCCUUGCAAAUCCAAGUUAGCAUUAGAUCCUGAAGACUCCUCUUUUGGAAAGGUAAGAAAAAAUGCUGUGCCCUCUUCCUACUACCAUGAGAAUGACUCUAUGUAUUUAAUGUCCUUGAUUGAAAACUACACACUAACAACAAGUUAGUAUGAGUUUGUUUAUGCUUUUGGGUAAACGUAUACUUUAUUGAUUAAUCCCAAUGGCACCUACCUACAGUUAGAAAUACUACUAUCUAGAUAUACCUAAUGUUGUUUUUCAGGUAAUAACUAAUGUUGGGUAUGUGUGUAGGUAUUCAUGACCCUUUGAAAUAACUAAAAGCCCUUAGGGGAUUGAUUGUCCAUAAUUUAGGAGAUAUUAUAAUAGAAAUGGGAUUUACAAAUUGGUGUCUUACACACCUAAUUUGACUAGCAGGUGUAUCUGGAUUGACUAGCAGAUUAUUAUUGCUGCAUAAUUAAAAUAUAAUGCCUGGUGGAAUCUGUACUCUCCUAUAGUUUUGGGUCUCACCACACACAAUUCUACUAAACCUGCCUGUUCCAUUCCUUUAUAACCUACUUGGCCCGUGAAACCAUUUGGUUUGUGAUCCCUGGUAUAAAAUGAUUAUAUACCUUUGAACGAAUGGAACUAUCUACAAUAGGCGAAGUACUUUGAUAUCUCUGACCUUAUUUCAGCUUCAUAGCCACCACCACUACCCUGUGAUGGAAAUUAGAUCAUAUCACUCUUGUCUUAAAGAUACAUUAAUUAAGAUUCAGUAGUUAUAACUGCUUUUCCAAUAUCAUUAAGCUGGUGAAAUUGCUGGGGCUGGGAUCUAGGCCUCUUGACUCCUAGAAAGAUGUUCUUUUCCUCAUAUUACACUGUCUUCCUUGUAAUUUGCUUGAUCUCGAGACAUACUAGUUGUUUGUCAAUGAAAAGCUAUCAAAAUCAGAUCUGAGGAAAUAGGAGUAAACAACUGACCUUCAGCAAAAGCAAAGGAGAAAAUCUGACCAUUUCAACCUAUCUCAUAAGUAGGAAUAGGUAAUGUACAGGAAGGCAAAAAAGAGAGUUUGUAAACAAUAGAAAAAUUCUAUCCAACCCAACGGAAAAUCAGAGAUUGUUGUAGGCAGAGAGCAAAGAAUAGAAAAAAAAAAAAAAUACAAGCGAGGAAGACAGGAGAUCCAAGCCUAGCUUUGCACGUACCUUGACAAAGUCACCUCUCACAAUAUCUGUUCUGUUUUGUUUUGGUUUUCAUCUGUAAAUAGGGGUGAUCAUAUAAUACCCACUUCCUUGGGUUGCUGUCAUGGGAAUCAUACAAAAUCACAGAGGCAAAAAUGUUCUGAAAAUAAUAAAUAGCAACUGUAUGAUCUGAAACCCAGAAGGCUCUCAUAUAACUUUGUUUUCUCCACGGGGAACCAAUUUUUAAUCUAUGUAGUCACUGAAGUUUUCCUUGUCUCUCAUAAUAAAUUGUGAGUUUCUGGGAAGGCUUUGGACCUCUGUGACAGACCUCAGACCUCAAGGACACAGAUAACUUGAAAGUUGCAUAGUAAGUUUCCAUAAAGACCACUGGGCCAGACAUAUAAUACAUCGAAGUUCCUGUUGAUAAUGAGUUGCAAAUGUUUACUUCAGUCAGUUAGAUUCUAGGAGGUUGGAUUUGAAAGUGAGUGACUGUAGUAGUCUAUUUGGGCUGCUGUAACAAACCACCAUCUAGUGCGUAGUUUAAACAACAGUUAUUUCUAACACUUCUGAAGGCUGGGAAGUUCAAGAUCAAGGCAUUGGCAGAUUUAGUAUGUGGUGAGGACCCACUCUUGGUUCACAGAAGGGUUUUUUUGUUUUUUUUUUUUUUUUUGGCUGUGUUCUCAUGUAUGCAAAGGGAUGAGGAAGUCUCUGUGAUGUCUUUUAUAUGGGUACUAAUCCUAUUCAUGAGGGCUUGCCCUUAUGAACUAAUCCCCUUCCAAAGGCUCCACCUCCAAAUGCCAUCACAUUGGAGAUGAGGCUUUGACAUAUAAAUAUGGGGGGGCACAAACAUUCGGUCUGUGGCAGUGACUAUGGUCUUUGGACUUAAAAGGAUUGCAUUUCUUCCUCCUGUUGAGUACCAGCUUUCCCCAGUAUCUUUUUUUCCCCCAAUAUAUGAAGUUUAUUGUCAAAUUGGUUUCCAUACAACACCCAGUGACCCCAGUAUCGUUUAGGUAGUCUAUUGACUACCAAAGGUGACAAGUUACCAGCAAUGACAGUUUUCUUCAAGCGCUAUAGAUACCCUUUUCUCAUACUCUUGUUUCUAAAUUUGACUGUGGCUUUAGAACAUAUCAGCAAAGAGCCCUGGGAAAAGCAGAGGGUGUGAUGGAAUUUUCUGCAUGUUGCAUGGUUAAUGAGUAAUCCCACUGCCUAAACUAAACCACUGAGGGAGAGGAAGGAACAUGAGUGACUGUGGUACUCUCUGCCCAUGCUUUUUUGACUGCUUCUGAAACAGAGCCUUCUCACACCUCUAGUUGGGAUCUAUUUUUCUUUGCACUUUUAGGGUUUACUAUGACCCCCAAAGCAGAAAACUUACCUAAAAAUGGAAAGUCAGUAAAUCUCCAUUUAUACAGAAUCCAACCAGGCAGAAAGGGAACUAGAAAGAGUCUUGCUCUCAGAGGUGCUCUAUGAUGAUUGCUGAUUUGAUUGCAAAUAUCUUUUAAGUACCUUGUAAUCUUAUAUGUAAAGAAGCAGCUUCUAACCUAUCUUAAGCUGAGGCCUCUUUUUUAACAUUGAGAAGUUUUGUGAUGCAUGGUAAUAGCUAUACUUUGGUGUCUAUUGAAUGAGAAAGCAUAUAAUGACUACAGGCUACAAUGAAUAGCACAGUGCUAUUUUUAAAUGAACUUGUCUGUUAAGUAGAUACAAAUAUUACAUGAAGAAACACGCACACAUUAACGUCUAUGGAGCAAUACACAUAUAUUUUUAAAAUAUUAAUUUAUAGGGCACCUGAGGGGUUCAGUCAGUUAAGUGUCCAACUCGAUGUUGGCUCAGGUCAUGAUCUCACAACCAUGAGAUAAAGCCCCAUUUGGGGGUCUGCACUGAGUGUGAAACCUGCUUGGGAUUCUCUCUCUCCCUCUGUCCCACCUGCUCACACUUGUUCUCUCUCUUUCUCUCAAAAUAAAUAAACAUUUAAAAAGUUAUUAAUUUAUAUAUUGCCCGGACAUUAUAUUUCAAUUUACAAACAGUAUUUGGUGGAUAUACAGAUUCUUUGAACUCCUUGUAAAAAUUUCAUAACUCUUCUGGGGUAUGUGCCCACUGGUUGAGAAAUACUACAUUCUGAAACAAGUUUUGCUUUUUGUGAACAUCGAUACAUAAUAUGUGUGAUGAUUAGGUAACCAGAUAAUUAGGUUUAUUCCUCAACUAUUUCAUAUAAAUAAGAAUGACGAAGGUUUAAGAACUUCUGUCUAUCAUUUCUUAUUGAUCAGCCAACUCUACAAUAUACAAAUGACACAACACUUAUGGACCUGGAAGGGGUUUUAAAGAUGAGAGGUCUUAUGAUUGUGGAAAAAUUCAGAAAGACCUAGACACAUGGCUGCUCGUGUUCCAUUAUUUUCAAGCUGUGUGUCUUUGAGGAAGUUAAGCUUUCUAAGUCUCAGUUUCCUGAUUGGAAAUUUGGGUGUGAAGAUGCCUACUUCAUAGCAUUGUUGCGAGGCCUUACAUAUGAUAGGCAUUUGAUGAAUAGUAGAUGUACUCUAAUCCAACCCACAUUUUACAGACAAGAAAAUUAAGAGUCAAAAAGACUACAUUUAAAGGACACAAAACAAACUAGUUUGUGACCGUGCAAAGCAAAGACCUCCUGACUCAUGCAUCUGUGUCCUACCACAAUUCUAAAAUUUAUACUUUCUGCUUCCUGUCCUCUAAAUGUGCAUGACAGUUUUCUAGGCUGGAAUUGGCAAUGGCUGACAUACAAGGUUGGCUUUUAAAAGAGAUGGGGGAAAACUCACAACAUCUUUUUUCCAGAUUCUCAGAAUGGUUUCCAGUUAAGUGCUACUUUGACCCAGGAACUCAAAUGGUAGGUUUCUGCUUCUCCUGCCUCCUCUGAUUCUGUUCACACUUGGAAAGCCCUGUGGUUCACAGCUAAUUAAAGAGGGGUGGAAGAAAAUUAUACCUCUGUUGAUGCUAUUGUUUUAAUCUAUCUCAGAAGCUUCUUAACAAGCAAGGCAACAAGCAGUGGACUGAGAGGGAAUUCUCUCUGACAGAGAGGGCACAAGAGACUCUAGAAUGAUUUCUGUGAACCCACUAUCAUUUCAUUAAGUGACUUUUAUAUUUUCUGUUGUUACAGAGUCUCUCUCUCUUUCCCUCUUUCUCAGAUAAUAUUCCAGAAUCUGCUGAGUCUUAGGAAAGAAGAGAGACCCAGAAGAGAAUAAAAUAUCAUUUAUAUAUUGUAUUUGUUAUAUGUCUUGCACCAUAUUUUCUUUUCCGUUUUCUCAUUUAACCACCACAACAAGCAUGUGUCCCCAAAGAUUUGAGAAGUUAAAGUCACACAGCUAGUAAGUGUGAGAGCUGGAUAACCUUAUCAUUAUCAUCAUCAUUAUAAUCAGUCCUUAUAAUUAUCAUUCACUAUCUUUAUUAAAAUGGCUAACAUUUAUUGAGCACUUACUAUGCAUUGAGGCUUUUUUAAGUACUUUGAAUACAUUAAUUUGUUUAUAUACUUUAUAUGUAUUUAACCAGUUUAUUCCUCAAAAAAAAUUCUACAUAAUAGGUAUUGUUAUUAUAUCCAAAUUUCUCCAAGAUAAUUCAGCAAAUAACCUUUUAGUUUAGUUCUAGAUGCUGUGUUCUUGAUCACACUGCUCUGUCUGAAUUCAAAUCAGAUAUUUUCCAACUCUACACUUUGCUUCAUUAGGGCUUUUAGGACUGAGAGGCCUUUUGGGAACCUCAUGGAACAAGAGGAGCACAUCUGCUUGAGCAUAUGAUCCCAAUCAAGUAUACCUAAGUUUAAAUGCUCCCAGAUAUUAUGACAGUACUAGUCACUACUUAAUAGUGGACAAUAUAGUGGAUAAUACUACAUACAAUACUACAGGUACAGGAUCAAACAGCUGAGCAUUAGUAGGUCAUCUGGGUCCCUUGUAGCUUAACAAAACACUGCAUAUUUUAACAUGAUUUAGUAGUGUGACCAAGUAAUUACCUGUAAGGGAAGGGUUAUGGUGGUCCACACCUACAAAAGUGCUAAUUAACAGGGAAUGGGCAAGACAAUGCAGUCAGCACUCAGGACAGCUCCAGGGGGCACAGGGCUCCCAAACAAUGCUUUCUUACAAUGCACUGCUCUUUGCUGUGCAAUAGGCCCCUCCCUAAAGCUGAAACUUUAAAAGUUCUUGAUGUUCUUGCUCUAGACAUACAACAGUGGUUCUUACCCUUCCUGGUGUAAAUACUCUUUUAAAAAGUGAAUUGAAGGGAUAUACAGGAUUUCCAGAAAAACUAGAGAUGUGUACAUGCACAAAAAGUUUAACCUAAAUGUUAACGAUUAAAAGACCUCCUUGGCAUUCUAGUGAAAGCUUCUGUUGAGUCAAAUAUUGCUGAGUAACAAAUGAUCCCAAAAUAUACAGGAGUACCUAAAUAAUGACAAUGUAUUAUUUCUCAUGGUUUUAUGGGUUGGCUAAGCAGUUCCUCUGUUGGUUUCCCUAGGCUCAUUCAGGCAGCUGCAUUCAGCUGGAGGGUUCACUGAGUUGAAAGGUUCAUGAUGGUUUUGCUCACAAGUCUAGAAGUUGGUGCCAGAUGUUGGCUCAAGUACCUCAUUUCUCUUCCAUGUGGUUUCUCAUUGUCCAGUACGCCAUACCAGCUUCCUUACAUGGUGAUGACAAGACAACAUUCCUCCUUUUGGGACCUAGUCUCCAGAACUCAGAAAAAGUCAGUUCUCCCACAUUCUAAUGAGCAAAAUAAGUUUAAGGUUCACCCAGAUUCAAGGUCAGUAUACUGACACUGCCUUGAUGAAACAGCUGCAAAACACUUGCAGUCAUAUUUAAUUUUUUGCUGCCUCCUUAAAAUAAGUAGUUAAAAUAGGGGCACCUGGGUGGCUCAGUCAGUUAAGCACCCAACUCUUAAUAUCAGCUCAGGUCAUGAUCUUACAGUUUGUGGGUUUGGGCCCCACGUUGGGUUGUGCACUGACAGUGUGGAGCCUGCUUGGGAUUCUCUCCUUUCUCUCUCUGCCCCUCUACCACCCAUGCUCUCUCUCCAAAUAAAUAAAUAAACUUUAAAAAAACAACGGGUCGAAACAGAUCAUAGUGAGAAAACUUCAAGCUGCCUGAGGACAAGACUGUUUCUUUCUCCUUUGUUCAUUACCAGUUCAUAGACUACUACUGGAGAUGGUUCGUAGGUUCUCAGUAAAUGUUGCUGAAUGGAGAGAUGAGUGGACUUCCAAGUGAGAUGCUGUGUUCUUUUUUCUAUGAUAUCUCCAGUUUGUAUUACUUGAGCAUAUGUGACUGAAAAUAAUAUUACCAGAAAUAAUAAUUAACCACAUUGUUAGCAAAAGCUAAUUGCAUGCCAGAAACUAAGAAUAUUUGCAUAUUGAUUUCAUGUAUCCUCACCACCUAUGAGGUGAGCUCCAUCAUCUUGUUUUUACAUAUGAGGAGCCAAGGGAUUAGAGAACAGAAUUAGAUCAUCCGAAGUGGACAAUACCUAUUAGGACACAGAGCAAAAUUUGAACUCAGGACUGCCUGACUCCUAAGGCCAUGUUCUUGAUGACUGAGUUAUUCAAUUCACCAACCCCUUUGCUUUUGUGCAUUCUUUUCUGAAAGAAAAGUUUACAAGUUCAUGUGAAAGGAAAAUUACAUGAGAUAAACUUCUCCAUCCCGUAGUGAAUAAAAUAAAAAGAAACCCAAGAUUCUUUAUGAUUUGACUCCAGACUACCUUUCUCGCCUUGUUCUCUACUCUGCACAACUAUAGAUUCAAUAAUACUACCACAUUCUCACUCUUCCUAUGACAUGGCCUCCACUAUCAUGUAUGUGUGUGUGUGUGUGUGUGUGUAUGUGUGUGUAUGUAUGUGUGUAUAUAUAUAUAUUAUAUAUAUAUAUACAUACACAUAAUAUAUGUAUAAUAUAUAUAUAAUAUAUAUAUUAUAUAUAUAUACAUAAUGCUUCAUUCUUCACACACGGAUAUCUUUUUAAUCUUUGUGACUAGCUAAAGUGAUUUUUUUUCAGUAACACAAUUAUUUUAUUCCUUUAGUUGCCAUUAGCCACCUAUUUUGCAAUGUUUCUCCAGCAAAUAAUGUGUACCUUUAUUUAUCCUGAUUCUCUCUUAGUUCACUUGUUAAGUGCCUGUCUUAUACCAGACACUGAACUUCUUCCUGCCUCCAUAUCUCCUCCUCUUUUCUUUCCAAUAGAUUUCACAUUUCUGUUCUGUCCCAGGCAUUCUGCUAUAGCCCAGAACUCUAAAAGUAACUAUGACAUCGACCCUAUUCUCAGGAAACUCACAAUGUUCAGCACAGAGAAGCCACUGAGUAUGCAUUAAGAGAACAAAUAAUGGAGCUUGUCUGGAGUGGGGGGAAGUCAGGGCAUUAAUGAUUAUAGUAUUACUUCUAUCCUAGAAAUAUGGGCAGUGCUUCACACCAUAAACACUCGGCAAAUAUUCUUUCAUUUAUUUGCUCUCUAUAAUGAGAUAGGCCUAGGUUGAAAUCCUAAACUUAUUUUCUUGGUAGCUUUGAGCAAAUCACUUUAACUUUCUAAGACUAAGUUAUUUAAAUCUGUGAAACAGUCAAUAAUAAUGACCUCAUAGGGUUUCUGCGAUAAUUAAAUAUGUAGCAAAUGCCUACUGUAAGAGCUCAAUAUAUUUUAGCAUUAUAAAUUUCUCUAUAACUUAAUUCCAGAAGGAAUAUGUAGCGAUUCAAAAUGCAUUGCUCGGGGCGCCUGGGUGGCGCAGUCGGUUAAGCGUCCUUCAGCCAGGUCACGAUCUCGCGGUCCGGGAGUUCGAGCCCCGCGUCAGGCUCUGGGCUGAUGGCUCAGAGCCUGGAGCCUGUUUCCGAUUCUGUGUCUCCCUCUCUCUCUGCCCCUCCCCCGUUCAUGCUCUGUCUCUCUCUGUCCCAAAAAUAAAUAAAACGUUGAAAAAAAAAAUCAAAAUGCAUUGCUGAAUGGAUGGCUGGUUGGCUAGAUGGAUGGAUAAGUGAAUGGAUGAGGCAUGACUUGAGUGGAAUACAACUUCAGGGCAUGAUGACACAAGACUCCACAGGGCAAGAGAGCAUCAGCUCCCUUCUUAAGGGCUCUGAGCCCUCAAAGCCCUAGAAACAACCCCUCUGCUACCCCUAGCCCCUCCCCAAAGGCCAUGCCACUGCUCCUUUCCUUCACAGGGGGCCCAAACAGCUUGUUUUUCUCUUCUUUGUGUGUUGGGGAUAUGUGAUUUUACUGUCAGCAUGGUGUUUCUAAUGAAAGGCAAAGGGUGUCCAAUGUGACUUGGGAAAAAAACGUACAAACAACAACAAAAUUAUAUGUUCUUUUUUCCUGUAGUGUUCGUAGGGAGACUAUGUGACUUGUUUGCUGUCAAUACAGCUUAUAAUGACAUGGUGCACAGAGGCACUGCCAACUGUGUGCGGCAUUCAUUAUACACAUGUAUUAAGUGUAAUGCGAUAUGAAUUUGGCGGUGGAGCAGACGAGAGCUGCCUUGGGGCUAAUUUGGAGUUACAGCACCUCUUCCCCUGGGAUGAUUAAGGGGGAAAGGGGAAGUGGGCAGCAGCAUGGGCGUGUAGCAGAGUGUUUAGAAUUUUCGGGACUAAUUUGGGGCUGGGUUGAGAGAACAUGUUAGAACUCAAAGAGUCUUUAAAGAUACGUCUUUUUUCAGCAACAACUGAAACAAAAUAUCAUUUAAUAAUCAAUUCUUGACCCCUAAUAAGUGCCAGGCUUAUAACAGGUCCUAGGAAUAAGAUCCUUCACCAGCCUUCAAGAAGUUCACAGGUUAGUAGGAUAGAGGAAAAAGUAGAGAGAGAAUGAUGAUACGCCGUGGUAAAUGCAAUAAUAUCUACAGGCUAAAGUUGAUCUCAAACUACAGACGAAGAUUCCUAAACCAGCCUGAUGUCACUUCUGAGAUGCUUUCCCUGACCCCCUUGUAAAUGACUAGGUCACCCUGUUACAUAUUCUCAUGGCACUCGGGCUUUUCCUUCAUGGCUUAAAGUCACUUGGAUGUAUGAUAAAUCCAUCCAUGUCUGGCUUCUAGCUCCUAAGCCCUAUGAAGGUGGGAACCUCUUUUGUUUUACUUACCUUAUAUCUCCAGCACAUAGCACAAUACCUGGCACAUAGUUCAUGCUCCAGUAAUAUUUGUGGUUGAAUGAAUAGAUACUGUCAUUUAUGAGCUUAAUCUUGAAGGACAUGGAAGAAUAAAGCCAAGUAAAGAGAAUGAGGGGAAAGGCGAGCCCAAAGAUGGGGCAUGCAGCAUAUGUAAAGGUAUAUAAACUUACAGAAGGGAGAAAGUGAAGUGUAAAAUAGGGGAGAAAUCAAUACAAGUGGACUGCUGCUGAGAUUUUUAAUGGUAUCAUUUAUAUUUUCUCUAUUGAGGCAAAAACUCAUGUGGAAGGCCAAACCUCAUUGGUCGUGUUUGCGAGGAAAUACAUAAUACACACUGGACUCUUGGUGGAAAUGUACCUGGGAGGCAGAUAGAUGUGAGACUGAACAAACAUUUUGGUGAUGAGUAAGGCAAUAAAGGCACUAAUAUGGCUAUUGAAUUAAACUAUGUCAAAGGAGAGUUUAGCUAAAGAAUGUUUAAGAAUUUCUUCUUUAAAUGGUGAGAUGAUAGGGGCGCCUGGGUGGCGCAGUCGGUUAAGCGUCCGACUUCAGCCAGGUCACGAUCUCGCGGUCCGUGAGUUCGAGCCCCGCGUCAGGCUCUGGGCUGAUGGCUCGGAGCCUGGAGCCUGUUUCCGAUUCUGUGUCUCCCUCUCUCUGUGGCCCUCCCCCGUUCAUGCUCUGUCUCUCUCUGUCCCAAAAAUAAAUAAACGUUGAAAAAAAAAAUUAAAAAAAAAAAUAAAUGGUGAGAUGAUAACAGGUAGGGGCAUAUCUGAUGCCUCGCUCCUAAAGCUUGUUGAAAGAAAUGGCCCCAAUGGAGCAAAAUCAUUCUUAAUGAAAAUGUCUCAUUAAACAUACAUUCAGACCCAUGGAAAAAUAAAAGUAAUAAUAUUAACAAUGACUGAUGCUUUUUGAGAAAUCAUUACAUACUGGGAAGUUACAGAGAUGAUCACCAUCCAUGUGGUAUCACAUUCAAUAUUCAUGACAAAACUGUAAGGCAAAUACUAUAAAGAUCACACUUAGAGUUAUGUGUAGAAGACCUGAUGAAAUGAAGUUACUUGCUCAAGACCAUCCAGCUAAAUAGAGUGAGAGUCAGGAUUCAAAUUGAGGUCAUUUAACUCCUGAAUCCACUCUUUUAACUACCAUGUUGCUGAACCAGAGUUCUGGACAGCCAUGACAGACUGAGUCCCUCACUGUCUAAAUUUCAGUUUAACCCAAUUGCCUCCUUUAUCCUAUAAACUCAGCAUUAAAUAAAGACCAUGUCUUUCCCAUCUGUUGGCCUUUUGAGAAAAAAAUUGGGGCUCUAGUGACACUUCUUUAUGGACUCCUGACAUGCUUGCUGUCGUGUCAACCUUCAUGAAUUUGCAGAUUUGAAAAAGUUUUAGGAAGUGACUCUUGAAAAUAUUCAGCAUGACAGGAGGGCGGGGCAAUCAGUUGGCCAGAGAUAAUGCUGGGAGUGGAUGAGUCAAUCAUAGGAAGUCUGAAUGUGCCACAGGAAGGAAGCUAACCCAAUUGAUACUUAGAAAAAAAGGAAGAAAACUUCAAAGGUUAAGGGAUUUUGACAGUACUCUAUUAAAGUAAAAAAUAAAAGUAUAUAUGUGUGUGUACACACAUACACACAAGUGCACAUAUGUAACUAUUAUACACACAUGUAUAAUAUUUACAUGCACACAUCAUAUAUAUACACAUAUACUAUAUAUACAUAUAUACAUGUACAUAUUAUCAUAAUUUUAAAAUAUAAAUAUAUGUCUGUACAUAUUUGCCUUGAAUUACACCAGUGAACACUUACUGAGCUCUUACAUACCUUCUAUGCUACCCCUUUACAAGCAUUAUGUCAUUUAAUCUUCAUGGCAACCUGAGGAAGUAAUUGUUAUUAUGUUCAUUUUUUCCAGGGAGGGAAACAAGGCUCAGAGAUAUUAAGCCACUUGUCAAGGCCAUAGCAUUUGUAUAGCCAGUAUUUCCCCAGUCUAUCCAGCUUCUCCAGGAUUGUUCCAUGAAUAGCCAUGUGAUUCUGUCUCUGUUACUUGCCACUAUGGUUUGCAGAAAGCUUGGCAAACAGGUUCCUCUGUGAGCCAACGCCCCUGUGAGAUCUGGUAGGUUAAGCCUAGGGUCCAUUCAUCUGUGUCUUCAUGGCUUGGCCCUAGCCCACUUCAGUACCUGUGAAUGUUUGUGGAAUUGAUGAAGGAAUGAUUUGCCUCAGUUUACCUGAUAUUAAGUGAAGGGGCUGGACUAGAACCAGAGCAUAGAGGGUCCCUGUUUAGCUUCCAGAAAUCUCUCCCUCCUCUGAAAUUUAGCACUUAUAGCCAUUUCCUCUUUCUGAGUAAGUCACCAGAUACUAACCUGUGCCAUCCUUUACACUAUUGUAUUUCUUAAUGUCUAACACUUGUAAGGAUUUCCACUUCUGUGAGUGUGCUUCUCCCUCUUCCUGGACCACAAGUUCCUCAGGAGUUAAAGGGAGAUAAAGGCAAUUCACGUUCGUGGAGCUUGUAUAACAUGGUAAGCACUGUAUCAAGGCCAUCACCUACAUGAGUUUAUUUGAUCAUCAUGACAAUUCUUAGAAACAGUUAUUAUCUGCCUUUUACAGGAGAGCCAAGCUGGGCUCAGAGAGUAACGUAAUUUGAGCGAUCACACACAGCAAGAAUGCAGCAGAGGUGGGAUCCAAACCUAGGUCUUUCUGACUCCAAAGCCUGAGGCAUGGGCUCUGACUUUACCACCUUAGCCUUAAUUGCCACAUGGGCCAGGCUUCCUCUGCCAGAGACAUCACCCCUCCCUCUUCUCCCACAUGCUCCCCCUGUAGCAGGACCCGAUGGCAGCAAGCCCGGCAGGCAGCGUGGAGGGCUGCAGCAAAGACGCGCUUUGGCAUCUUAGAAUGCGGCACAAGGUAUGCCAGCGAGAGGAAGAACAGUUGGUGAACAGUUGGCGAAUGGAUAUUUUUAUGCAAGGGUUGCCUAGAGCGAGGGGCGGGGGGAAGAGUGGAAAAAAAAAAAAACCUGUUUAUAAAGAAGCCACAAUUAAUAAGGUCUUUGUUAGCUCUUUGGAUUUCGAUUUUCAAGUCCAUUGCUUUGGUUUUGAAAAGGAACAGAAAGGUCCCCGAGGAGCCAAACUCCCCAGCUUCCAAAGCGUGAAGGCAUUUAGGAAUCCAAUCCAAGCCUGAGUGUGUUGGGGAACUUAAUUAUUCAGCAAGGAGCGCAAAGAUGCUCUGAAUUCCUUUGGACAGCUUCUUGUCUGGACGGUUUACAUUGUGGCAUGCUCAGUGUGUGGGCUUAAGAGCUAUAGGAUGACAAAGGGCGGGACAGCGGGGGGGGGGGGGGGGGAGUAAAAGAGAGCACCCCACCUAGGAUUUCUGAGAGAACUGUAGCUGCCCUAAUCCCUUGCCUAUCAUUUUACAUCCCUUUUUGGGCUUCAAUGUUUUCAUCUAUAAAAUGGGCAUAAUAGUAUCCAUCCAAGUGGGUUAUUGUGAGGUUGUGAAAAAUGCCCUGUAAAGAGCUUAAAACCACUUAGAAAAAAAAAAAAAAAACAUUGAGUAUUUUAGAGUACUAAUUUUUAAAUAAAGGUCUCUAUUUCCCUUUUCUCUUUCUACACAUAAAUUUAGUCUGCAAGCAUUUAUAAUACUUAUGGUAACAAUAGCUGCCAUUUAUUGCAUGCUUAGCACAUACCAGAUCCAUAUUUUGCUAUAUUUGACCUUUGCAAUGCCCUUAGGAGGUAGGUCCCAGUUUUCAGUGCAGUGGGAACUCAGAGAGGUUAAGUAACAUAGCAAAAGUCAGCAAGAAGCAGGCUCAGCACUCAAAGACUGCCCUAAUGUGGACAGUUUGGCCUGGAGGGUGAACCACUCUGCUGUGUGCCAGGAGCCCCAUAGCCAUCCAAAGAGCUGGCAAGGGGGUAGGUAUCUCCAAAUAAUGAUAAGUUGACGUCCUAAGCCUCAGUAAUUCAGAAUAUGACUUUAUGUAGAGAUGGUGUCUUUAUGGGGUAAUCAAAUUAAAAAAGAGGUCUUUAAGGUGGGUCCUAAUUCAACAUGACCCAUGUCCUUAUAAAAGGGAAUAUUCAUAUAUACAGAGACAGAUACACAUAGAGGGGAGAGACACAGGGAGAAAAUAAUUAUCUGCCAGGCAAGGAGAGAGGCCUGGAACAGACUCUUCCCUCAGAGCCCUUAGAAGGAACUAACCUUACAGACACUUUGAUUUCAGACUUCUAGUUUCAAGAAAGGCAAGACAAUAAAUUUCUGUUAUUUAAGCCAUCCACUUGGCAAUGCUCUGUUACGAUAUUCCUAGCAAACUAAUGCAUAUUCUGAACCCCCUUCUCUGGACGAGGCACCAGAAGAGGAAGAGACUAAGGUGAUUUGCUGAAGCUGGUAAGUGGGAUUGCUGAGAUGUGCACUCCCUUCACUCUUCUUCGCCUUCUCAUGGAUUUCUGGAGAAGGAAGGCUCUUUGGAUCUGGAAUUGAUCAUUGCUUUGUUCACUGCUGCAGCCCCUGCAUUGACAUCAGUGUCUGACAUAUCAUAAAACAUUACUGUUGAAUGAAUGAAUGAAUGAAUGAAUGAAUUUUCUUUCUACCAAUUUAUCCAAAGCUUCACAACUAAGUUAGCAUGAUUUAAAAAAUCACAUCACAUUGGAACAAGAAUUUCAACUUAAAGUAAUUGUUACAACAAAGUGUUUCUUACUGUGUAUCCGAAUACACUUUGCACAGCCAGACAUAACUACGAACACUGAACACGUUUUCAAACGUUUAUAUUGACUAUGAUAUAGACUGUGAAGUAUCAAACUCCAAAUUUCUAAUUCUUACUUCUAUUUGGAAACAUUGACUCACCUACCUUCCUUCCUCUCUAGUUUCUGCUCCAUCAGCCACGCCUUGGUUUUCCUGUACCUGUUCUUCCUCGUUUUUUCAAACUCGAAACUCUGGCUUGCUCCAGGAUUCUGCUUUCCCGUCUACAUUCAUUCCUUCAGUAGCCCCAUCCUGUCUUGUGGCUUUAAAUAUGAUCUAUGACAGUACUCAAAUUUAUAUCACUUGCCUAAACUUCAACACUGAGCUCCAGACUUGUAUACCCAACAACCUACUUAACAUUCCCACUUAGAUGUCUAUGUAUGCCUCAAGGUCAGUGUGUUCAAAAUCAAACUCCAGAUUUCUACCCUCAUCUCACGUAAAAUACUGUUCUACUUACAGUCUGUUCUGUCUUAAUAAGUGUCAACUUUAUACUUCCCAUUGCUUAGGCUGAAACCCUUGUCUUGCUUGAUCCCUCUUCUCUCCUACCUAAUAUCUAGGGAUUCAGCUAAUCUCAUUGGUAAUACUUACCCAAAGUAUUUAAAAUCUGGCCAUGGCCACUUAUUAUCACCAUCUUCUUUGCCUGGAUUAUUGCAACAGCUUCUUAACUGGUAUAACUGUGUCCACCUAUGUCCCCAUACAGUCUCUUCUCCACACGAUUUCCUGAGAGAUCCUAUUAAAAUGCACCUCAAGUCACAUAGUCCUCUGUCCAAAAUCUUUCAACGGUACUCUAGGAUUUAGCUCCCCACCAACUCUCGGACUUCAUUUCUUCCUCCACUGGAUCACAUUUAGUUUUAUUUAUAUUGACUAUGAUCAAUGUUUGCAAAGAGGUGUCUGGUGGACCCACACUUUUCUGACAGAUUCAUCUGAAUUUAAUCCUUUGAAGUAAGCAAACUCUUGUCCACAUUCACUGUGCUGAUACUUCCCAAACUCUUCCCAGGCCGACUGCAAGAUAGGGUUAAGUAGACCACACGUUCUGCUUCUUGUUAAAACAGUGAUUCCAUUUGCAUAUGAUUUUCUCAUAUUUCUGUUAUGAUAUUGUUUGCAGAAAGAGUAGCCAACGUAAAAUGGUACAAGUGCCUCUUAUCUAUUUUGGUCAAAAUCCAUCUAAAUGAGGCGUACCUCAUUCUUACAGUUGCAAGAAGGUAAAGAAACUGCAAUCUCCUUAUCCUGUCUGUUUUUCUGAACUUCUUGAUGUGCUGGAUAUAUUCUCUCAAGCAAGUCCCCUCUUGACCCUUCUCCACUCUCCUCCCCUGCCUUAGGACACUGACCUAUGCGAAGUAUGUCAGUGGGGCUCUGGAGACCUCAGGCUUCUGGAUGAAGUGGGAAAGGAGGAGAGUGAGGUCAAGGUGGGUUGUUUUUUGUUUGUCUGUUUUCUGUUUUUUAUUCUGUCCCUGAGAAGUCACCUUGAACUGCAUCCCAGAUGUCACUUAAUCCUUUCAAGGAGGCUAUACUACAGAACUCCUUGUCUAAAUUUAGAGUUCUGAUAAUGACUCUCUCCUAUCUCUUCCUUUCUUGCUGGGGGUGUUAGCUUCCAGUAUUAUGAGUUCUGGGUAACCACCCCAACUUUUAAGGUUCCCUUCCCUUCCCCGUGCCUUUGUGAUUAGUCCCUCCUUGAGCUAAUCUCAUGUGAGUGUGUCACCAGUUCCUUCCUGAUACCCUAACAGAUAUACCUGGUGAUGUAUAAACAUUCCCGUCUUACCACUUUUAUCUGUAGUAAUUAGACUUCAUAUAUUACCUUCCUUUGACACAAAAGAUUGUUUUUCUGAUCAAUACUACUUAAACUGAGUAGUAGAAAGUCUAUCUUGCUGGUGGAGGGUGCGGUUCUGAGGCCAGACUGACCUGUCUUAUAAUCUUGAAUUAGACAAUGGCCAAGUGCCUUACCUUCUGGCAUUUCAUUCUCCACCAGAUGUUGUCCGUUUUUGAAUGGGGUUUAUAUGACUGAUACAGAUCCAUGCGUAGUAGGCACAUUGCAAAUCCUAAUUCAUAUUCCUUCUCCUUCACUUUGGUGCAUUUGUUUUCUUAGCUUUUUUUUUUUUUCUUCAUUUUUCGUUUUGAUUAAUGCAAUACCUUAAACUUCAGCGGAGCUUGUGGAGUAGCACAGUAUGUAAUUUGCAGUCAGAUAAUUUCCUCAUCAGUGGGAGUUGCUCUGGUGCUAAUUUGGGCUGUAUCCUCUAUUUCAGUCCUUUGUCUCAUUUAUAAAGAGCAUACUGUAUUGUUCCAACUUCCACACUUUUCUUUAAGAGAUUGUACAUCAUGACUGAAACUGAGACUAGAAAAGCCAUCUGACACUCAGAAUCAUCAGUGGCAGGCAUGUGUACAAAAGGACACUCUUAUUAGGAAAAAUCUAAAUGUACCACUUUCUGAAUAGAGGAGACUGUCUUUGCUUUUAGGUGUAGCCUUGAUUUGCACUCAGUGGAGACACCAUGGAAAGAACUGGACUAAGUCAGGUUCACUGAGGUCCUUAAUUCACCUCAGCUACCUGACCUCCUGGGGCUAGAGUCCAGUUCAUGGCAAACAAUGACCAAUGGGCCUGUUUAGAGAGAGAGAGCUGAGGUAAUGUAAGAGAGCUCAGAUCAGGUGGGAGAACACCUGCUCCAAGCCUCAGGAUACAUAGCACAUCAUAGAGGCUAAAAGCUGGAACACUGAGUGCCAGAGUUCAAUAUGGAGGUGGAAAUAAAGCAGGUCCUGUAUCCUAAGGUAGAGCGUGUAAAGAAUUAUCUUCAAACAUAGAGAAGACAGUGGCAAAAUGAAGUGUAGACAUACACUGAAGACAUACAAUGAAGCUGACGUCUAUAUAGGAACAAAUUAUAUGAACACAGUCACUGUGCCUCUCAAGGGAAAGCUUCACAUGGUCCCAUCAAGUGAAAGACCAAAGCUGAAAGUGGGACCUUUGUCUCUCUGAACCCUACGACUCAUUUCAGUUAAUAGAGGAUAACCCUCCCUGCCUCGUUUGUCACCAGGACUGUUGUAAGGGUAAAGUGAGAUAAUAGGUAAGAAAGCAUUUUAUAAACCUCAAAGCACUGCACAAAAGCAAAACACAGACAUUCCAUCAUGUACAGCUGAUCUCUUCUCUAAGAGGUCACUUACCUGGUCAGUUGGAGUCAGACCAAUCCUGAGCUCCAUCUCUAGGAGGGCUGCAUUAAUCCAGAAAGAACCUACAUACUCAAAGGAAUUUAAGCCACAAAACAGUCAAUGAAAGCAAACUGCAGGAAGGUUGGUGUGUGUUUGGGCUUUCCGGAUGCGGGAAACCUGGUCUUCAAACAUAAGCUGUCCUUGCUCCACAUGGACUCUCCUUCUUCCUAUGGUUCAGCCUCACUGGGUUUCUAUCACAGCCCAACAUUCUGCUUGAGGCUGAAACAUGGUCAUUGCAAUUCCUAGACAUGUCACUUCCUAGCAUCGUCACCCUCUUCCCUUAGUUCCAUUUCAAAAAAUCCUGAGAGAAUUUGUCUUGACUUGGGUCACAUGCCCAUCUAUGACCCAGGCAAAGGGCAAUAUGAUUGGUAUUCCUGCAUGCUAUGGAUCAAGAAAGAAGCCAUUCUUCAACUGUUCCUGGAUGUUGUCAGCACCAGGGUGGGGGGGUGGGGGGAGAGGGUGCCAAAAGGACAGAGAAAUAGAUGCUCACUAUGAGCAUCUGGUUGACACUACAUCCUGUACACUAGGUUUUGAAGACUAAGAUAUCUGGGCUUUUCAGAAUGGACUUCCCUCCCUACUGGAAGUACAUCAGAAAGAGUACUAAUAGGGAAGUAGUCAGGGUCCUGGCAGGGAACAUAGUAUAUUCAGAAGGGGGAUUUGAGGAGGUUUCAGAGAAGGCAGCUUUUACGGGUGUGGUGAGAGUUAAGAAAAACAAAAUAGGGUGGGUGAAAUAUCCAAACCAGAGAGAAGGCAUUUCUGUUCCUUAGACUGAAAGGGAAAGAGUCAAGGGUUGGCUAUCUGAAUGCCCUGAAACAAGUAGCUAUAGGGGAGGACCCAGAGCCAGGGGCUGUGGCCUUCAGUACAGGGACCUAGCUAACCUCUGCAACUGGCAGACCAUUGUGGAAGGAACUGGUAUGUAAUCACUUCUCUCUCCUUCCAUCUGCCUGUUUCAUGCUGUGCCUCUCAUUGACCAGUCCCAAAUAAAUGCCGGACGUCAUGCUGCCCAGCUAGGAGGUUCCCAGGGCACAGAGCAAAGUGGAAAGUUAUGGAUCACCUGGAGGAGCAAAGAGGAUAUCCAACCCAAGGGUACGUCUGUUCCCUUUGGCUCAAAGGAGAGACCUAGUUAGAGUCCACUCUAUAAAAUCAGUUGGUUCAAAAGCAUGACAAGAUUUUAGAGCUAGUGGAGUCCUCAGGCUCACUCAGACCAAAAAUCACAACCUUGUCUAUAUCUAGCCUUUGGAUGUGAUUUGCAUGGCUGCCACAACUUUAAAGCCAAAAACCAAAACCAAACAAACAAUAGGCAAAAAACCUCAAUCCCUGACAUUAACAUCUUUUAAAAAUAUUUUUAAUUUUUUAUUUAUUUAUUUUUGAGAGAGAGAGAGAGAGAGAGAGAGAAUAUUAGCAGGGGAAAGGCAGAGAGACAGGGAGACAGAAUCCGAAGCAGGCUUCAGGACUCCACAGAUUCCAAUGUGGGCUUGAACCCACAAGCUAUGAAAUCAUUACCUGAGCAGAAAUCAGACAUUCAACUGACUGAGCCACCAGGAACACCAAGAUUAACUUCUUGUAGUUCUAGUUCCCCACGGUCAUCAUCAUUCCAUGUCAUCUAAUACCUGCCACUGUAUACAUGAAUGUAUAUAGGGCAUACAUACACAUAUAUACAUACAUGCAUACAUACAUAUAUUUAAUUAGAGGACUUGUGAUUGGAAAAACCAAAAUUCUUCAUUUUUUCAGGUAGAGAAACUGGGCCUAGACAGGGAAACUUAUUUGCCCACGCUUGCAUAGCCUUGAUGGGAAUUCUGUGUGUCUGCACACACAAGAUUAAAAAUGUAUAAAUAAGAGGAAAGGAUUAAAAAAGUUGUUAGUCUGUGUAAGACCUUCAUACCUGGGUGUAGCUCUCCUUUGAAGUAAGGAUGAUGCAAGGAUUCUACUGUGGCUCCUGUGGCCCCAGCAGGUGAAAUUAGAACAAUGAGGAAAAGUGAUUAUGGUCAGUGCAGUCAGAGCUUGCAGAGGGCUCUUCAAAAAUGGACUGGGCUGCCUCUCUGCAUCCAGGGUUCCCAUGUGUGCAGAUGUGGUCCAUUAACAGAAAGUGAGUCAGCCCUUAGUGGGGCUGUGUUGGACUCUGUCCUUUGAGCCCUCUUACCCUGUUAGUUGAGCUAAUGCUGAAUUGAGUUGAAAUGAGAGGAAUGUCUCAUUAGUCUGCUUGGUUCUUUUUCCUAAAUUAUCUUUAAUUUUAUUCUAGUCCUUUUGGUGGCAUGUGGGUGGGGAAGCUUUAUUUCACCCUCUGUUUGGAAUCCCUAAGUCUUCCUCCCAUCAAGAAUCUAGAUGUGAGGCUCCUCUCUUUGCCUUUCCCCAUUCCUCUUGACUCACCCUCUUCCCCACUCAGAGCAGUCUCCUCUCUGUCACCAUGCAUGUCAGGCUCAUUUAUACCUCCACAUAUAUCCUCACGGUGUGUUUAGUUAGGAUAUUGGUUUGGUUGUAAUAACAGAGAUCAAACAGCAGUGACUUAAUGAGGAGAAAGAUGUAUUGGUCUCUCAUAAAAUUUGAGCUGCUGGGCUGUCCAGAUGGGCAGGGUGGCUGUGUUCCACAAGGCCAUCAAGAACCCAGUUCCUCUGUUCUGUUGCUUCCACACCCGCACUGUCUGCAUGAACAAAGAUAACUCUUCUCCGCCACCCUCCUGUCCCAGUUCUUACAAAGGAGGAAGAUGACACACAGAACAAGCAAAUUCAUCUCAGGAAGUGAGCCACAACGACACAUCUUGUCACAUCCCAUUAUUCAUGACUUACUCAUGUGGUCAUGCCAAGUGGCAAAGAAGACUGAAAAUAGAGUUUCUAGCUGGGCACCUACAUUUAAAUAGAGAAGGAGUUGUUUUGGUAAAAGGAAGAAGGGAUAAAUGGAUCAUGGUAGCAUGUUUAGGAUGUCUUUUCUAACCAGAAUGGCCUCUUUUGCCCUCUAUGAAGCCAAAACUGAUCAUCUUUCAAAUGCCAGUUUAAAUAUAUCCCUUCUUAAAGUUUUCCCAAAAGUACAAUCCUUCAAGACUAUCUAUUGCACAUCUAGAAGACCUGGCUGAUGGUCAUGCCUAUGCCUACAGAAUACAUGAAGAGUUGGUUCAAAUACUGUCUCUCCCUUUGCUAUUAUCACCAGUUUAGGAAAAGGAAGGAGUAAUUUUACAAGCUAACAUUUACUGGUCACCUAAACUAGGUGCUGUGCUAACUGCAUUAUGAGCAUUACCUCAUUCGAACAUUCCAGUUGACCUAUGAAUUAGGCACUGUUGUUCAGUUGCCAGAUGAGGAAACUAGUACUCUCUGAAGUCACUUUCCCAAAGCUUUUCGGCUAGGAAGUGCCAAAUUGAUCAUUUCAACAUAAAACCUCUGGCUCCAAGCUUUAUUAUUUCUUUCAUCACAUUGCAACUUUUCUAUAAAGAGCUUUGCAAAGACAAACUUCACAGACCUGAAACAAGGGGGUAAUUCAGUGUUGAUUAGUAAUUUGAAAAAGAUACUCAAGGUAAAAAAAAAAAAUCUAACAAACUUAUCUGCACUAAUUUAAUUUUCUGUGUAAUUGUAUAUUCCUUGUGAAUCAGGGUCCUCCUUCUCCAUGAUAUGUUUUAAAUAAGUAAUACUGAGGACUUAUUUCUCCCUUGUUUUCAUCUUUCCUUGAUUCUUUCCAUGAUUUUCUCUUGGGGAAAAAGAGCAGAUUGAAAACUGUGGUUAUAUAUGUAACCAUUAAAAUAUAUGCUCUCCCUAUAAAAAUGAACUUGUGCCAGGGUCUAAUAAAUUACGUGCUAAUAUGCCAGCUCUCCAGUCUGCAGGGGAAUUGCAAUCAUUCUCCUGAUCAGAGUAGCAUAAUUCCAAGCCUCUCUAUCUGUUAGUUCCUUAACCUAGCAAAUCUGAGGACCUCAACUGCAAUUAAUUCAACAUCCUCAAGUACCACGAGGUGCCUGGUUAUGAACUAGGAAUUGCAUGUCAGAAAUGGAGAAAACACAGCCCUUGCCCUCAGGGGGCUAAGAGUCUACUGGAGAAGGAAAAAACAAGGGAAACAAAUAACUGUAGUGUUAAGAGAUUUGCCCAAUAGGUGACAUGUGUUUAAAAGAGAGAGAGGCUUGGGUCUGGGUUGAAAUGAGGAGGGGAGGUAAUAUCUGAGCUCAGUUUUGAAACAUAAGAGCAAGUCAGAUGCAGGAGAUAACCUUCCAGGGAAAGGGAACUGAAUAUGCAAGAUAAUGGGCCAUGAUCUACAUCAUGGGUUUUGAAAACCAUCAGUGCAUUACUAAUUUUGCAGUAUGAAUUGAUCGUGUCAAUUUAAGAACUUUUUGUGGUGGGUGAUGGGUUGGAGUAAGGACUUUGAAGCAGAAAAGUGAAAUGAUCCCAUUUAUGUUUUAGGAAUAUCCCAGGGUGGGGGCCCUUGGAAAAAUCAGGGACACCUGCUAGAAAACAUUUGCAAUGAUCAAAUAUUAGACGUGAUGAAAUACAAGUUGUAUGGCAACAGGCAAGAGAGGCUAGAGAGUGCAUAUGGGAAAAUAGCUGACAUUUAUUCAGGAUUUACUAUGUGCCAGGCCCUGUGUUAUGUUGUUUGGCAUAGUAACUUCUUCCAUCUUCACAACUGUCCAAGGAGCUAGGUACUGUUGUUGUACUCAUUUCACAGAUGAGGACACUUAGGUAUUGGGCCCAACUAAGAAAUGGCAGAACUAGGACUUGAACCUCCUCUAGCCCCACAGUCUUCCACUUUAAGCACUGAAGGGGUGCUUUUAAUUUUAUUUUCUUAUUAAAAUGUUGGGCAUCCUCAAUUUCUCUUUGAAGGGCAUGAGAUAAACUGUCUGGCAGUGGAUUAGGAAGAGGAUGAACAGAACGUCCCUGCACUUGACCAUCUUGAUAACCUUGAAAGCAUGAUAAUCUGUAUCCUUAUCUGUGAAAUGGAGAUAAUUAUACCCAUUUCAUAGUAUUUUUCUGUGGAUGUAAAGGGCAGUGUAUAUACAAUGACUCUCAUAGUUCCUAAAACAUGGAAAGCACUUCUCAAAUACUAGUUUAUUUUUCCUUCCUUCCCCUUGGAGAAUGCUGGCACUUUUGCAAUUCCUAUUAAAGUUCUUUAUAAAAAGAGAUGAAAAUUCUUAGAGUGCUGAGGAAAAAUGAGCCAAAGCUACCUGUAACAACACAGAUGAAUCUUGAAGACUAAUGUGGGUGAAAAAGCAAUUCUCAGAAGACCAUGUACAGUGUGAUUCCAUUUUUAUAAAGCACAAAAAAACCCCACAUCUAAAGAAUGUAUUGUUUAGGGAUAUGUGCAUAUGUGGUAAGUUAUUUCUUAUAAAUAAAAGGAUUGUCUAAUACAGCUUUAAGGAUGAUAAUAGCAACUGGAGGGGAAGGCAAGGAGACAGGAUAAGGAGGGGCGUGUCAUUGGUGCAAUGGUGGACACAACAGUAUGUUGGUAGUGAGCACAUGGAUGUUUAUUUUAAUAGUAAUAGUAAUAAUCCUCUGUAGGUAUUAAAUAUUGUAUAUAAAAAUUAUAUAUUUUAUAUUAAUUAUAUUAUAUUAUAUUAUAUUAUAUUAUAUUAUAUUAUAUUUAAAUAGAUAAGGGGAAAGAGUAUCCAGGGAAGCUUUAGGACCCAAACAAGAACCCAAGUUUUUAUCUCUUGGCUCUGCUUCCUCUAGAUUAACAGCUUCCUUAAUCUGGACAGGGUGGCUCUCCUGGCAACUUCAGACUCACUUCAUUCUAGCACAUUGUCCAGCAAAAAAGAGAAAGUGUCUAUUUCCCCAACAACUCAAAUUAAAGAUUUAGCACUGAAUCUCAUCCUUCCUGAUUGGCCUGCUGGGUCAUGCUCAGGGCUGGAAUCAGUCUCUUAGGCUAAGGUUUGCAUUAAUUGAUUUAGUCCCAGUUACAUGCUGGACACGUGUGGCCUGGGCUGGAGUCAAGCUGACUCAAGGCACAUUGGUUAAGAAUGAGAGAAACGUGGGCUCUCCAAAGCCAAAUCAGGAUGUUAAUGUUACACCAAGGAGUGCAUGUCAACAGUAAAAACAGCCAAUGCUCACAGGAGCUAUUUAAAAUACCUUGUACUGUCAUGAUUACAUAGCAAUGCAGUUUAAUAUUGGCAUUUUUUUUUAAUUUUAGAAAAUCAUAAAGGCGAAAAUGAAAGUUACCGGCAAUCUUAGAACUCUAAGAAAACCGAUGUUGACGUUGGGACCUACUUCCUUCCAGUCAUUUCUGUAUUUGUUUUGUUGCAUUGGCGAUUCUAUAACUCUAUAACCUAUCUGGACUUAACAAAUACAUCAUUAGUAUUUUCACAGGCUUUUAAACCUUUUUGUGAUUAUUUCAUUUAGUUUUUCUUCCCUUCUAAGUUCCAGGUACUUUGUUUAACGUUUGAAAUACUGAAAUGAUUGUCACGGUUCUUGUCCUCAAGCUAAAUUCAUAGUCUAUUACUGAGUAGUCAUGGGAAAAAAUAUGGUUAUAUAAACAUUAUCCUAAGAGUGUAGCACAUAGAGCAGGACCUCCUACCCAAACAAGGGUUUACAGAGUCAUGCCUGAGCUCAGCCUCUAAGGAAAUGUAGGAUUUCAGCAAGGUUAGGAGGCAGGGGAGAGGGAGAGACUAUAGGGUAGAGGAGGGUCAGGCAAAGAGGAAAGGACAAUCAAGGACAUAGAGGUCAAAGUGCCAUGCUAUGUCUUGAGCCCAAAGUUCAAGACCCAACAAAAAAGGUGAAGCCCGAGAUGAGGGGUUUGGAAGGCCUUGCAUUCCCUGCAAGAGAAGCUAGACUUUUCAAAGGGAGGCCAUAGCUUAUCUAGAUUGGGAAUAUGAUCUGUGCUCCUGCUCAGGACAUACCACUACAUGAAUUGCCUUUUUUGUGGGCCCUCUGUGUGCCUAUCAGAGUCUUACACAUUCUUUGUGGCAGAAAGUGAGCUGCCUAUUCCAUAAAGCCUUCUUCAACCAGCCAAGGGGAAUCUGAUUCCCUCUACUUCAAUAAGCAUUCAGCUCUCCCUCUUCCGCCCUCUCAGGCACUUUGAAGGUGGUUGUGUUGGACUUAUAGGUGGGAAGUUUUUGGGUGCAUACCUCUAGACAGAAGGAAUGCUGAGAGUCUUACCUGAAACAUCUUUGUGUUGUCUGCUAUAUCUGACACACAGAGUAUGAGUGGGUUAAAUGCUAUGGAAUUGAACUAUAUACCAGUGAUUUUCAACCAAGACAGAUUUUUCCCACAUGAGACAUUGGUAGGAUUGGUAACAUUUUUGGUUAUCAUAACUGGUGAGGGAGGUGCUACUUGGCAUUUAGUAGGUGGACCAGAGAUGCUGUCCUACAAUGCACAAAAUAGCCCCCAUAACAAAAAAUUAUUUAGCCUGAAAUAUCAGUAGUUCUGAGACUGAGAAACCCUAAAAUAUACUGAGUGAAGUAUAGGGUCAUUUUCCAGAGUGCUCAUUUCUGGUCUUGGCUCUGCACUAUUUCCAUAGGUGGCUUUGAGCUAGUGUGCUCCCUCUGGGUCUCAAGGUCAUCAUCUGCAGGAUAACUAGUAUGAAGAUCCCAUGCUUUGGAAUCAGGUAAAGCUGGGCUCAAAUUUUCACUCAGCUGUCUACCUCCCAUGAGGUUCUGGGCAAGUUAUUCUUUAUGUCUCUGUUUCCUCUUUUGUAAACAGAGACAAUGGUGUAUACUUUGGAAAAGUAUAAGGCGUUGAGAUAAUUUAUAUAAAGCAGGACCCCGGGGCGCCUGGGUGGCGCAGUCGGUUAAGCGUCCGACUUCAGCCAGGUCACGAUCUCGCGGUCCGUGAGUUCGAGCCCCGCGUCGGGCUCUGGGCUGAUGGCUCGGAGCCUGGAGCCUGUUUCCGAUUUUGUGUCUCCCUCUCUCUCUGCCCCUCCCCUGUUCAUGCUCUGUCUCUCUCUGUCCCAAAAAUAAAUAAACGUUGAAAAAAAAAAUUAAAAUAAAUAAAUAAAUAAAUAAAGCAGGACCCAUAGCACGUGACACACAUAAGAUGCUCAAUAAUCAGUAUUGCUAUGACACUACUACCAUUACUGUUAAUAUCAUAAAGGGCUUGGGAAUGGACUCUAAGGUCUUAUCCAGCUCCAAUAACCUAGGACUCCUUGCUUUGUUUUCUCUUCAUGAAAAUAUUCGGCGUUGUCACUCACCUGGAUUAAAGGAGGUGGCCAGGCAUCAGGUGGGGUCCCAGCAAGUAACAUGAGGCAUACUCAGACUGAGAAAGUUUAUUAAAGGGAUUAUUAUAAAGGCACGAGUAGUUUUAAGGCAACCAACAAGAGGUAACACAGGACCCUGGGCUAUACCCUCUAGGUCUGAAAGGCUAAGGAAAAGGAGAAUUACUAGAAUCUAAAGAAGGUAACUCUGGGGAGAGAACCCUCCUCCAGGAGGGCAGUGAACCUUUGCAGAUCGCCAGGGAAUAAAUAUCAGACUUCAUCUUCUUCCUCUUUCUCCAUGUCUUGCUGGUUCUUCCCCCUGAAUUCUACAGGAAGUCAGAGGUCAAAAAGCCUGUUGAUGUAGGCUUUAUGUCAAUUUCCCAGGACACAGAUCCUGGUAAGAAGGUAAAGAGAGUGGAUCUGAAGAAGCAAAGAAAAAAAUCAAUUAUGGCAUUGUCUUAGACUUUGUGGAAUAGCAGCCAUCUGGGGUUUAGGCACAUAGCCUGCUAUCAGACUCAUCAUGUUAGUACUGUAGCUCUUCACAAGGGAGAAAUAGCACCACACGUGGUUAUCCAUGCCACCCACAGUGUAUCUCCUCCCCCAGACUCAGGAGGAAACACAGCUCCAUUCUGAUAAAGGCUUCUGUGUCUCCUUUGAGUAAUAUGCACCUCAAGGAAGAGAAAGGUGCAGGGAAGCUCCAUGCUGGGAGCUGGAAAACAAUGGAGGCUGCUUUGGGAAGCUGUAUGAGUUGGUGGGAUCCUGGCAACCUGGGUCCCAGUUCUGGCUCUAUCCCUUGCUGGCUUUGUGAUCUCUGGGACUCACUUUAAUUACCUAUAGUGGGGGUAGAAGUCUCUAGCUUACCAACCUGUUUUGUGGAUUAGAAGUACUUGAAAGAAUGCAUUCCAGUCCUUGGCACCUUGUGAAGCUCAGCAACAUCAGAAUUCAUUUACUUAACGUUUAUCUAGUGAGCAGUUGCCGUGUGCUAGUGUUGUGGCAGGCCCUGGAGUAAAAUCAUGAUGGUUAAGUGAGGCCCGAACUUUAAGGAAUCACAGUCCGGAAUAAGACUUUCUAUUUUCGGAUUGAUAGGUAGGCUUUGGCAAUUGCAUAAAUCCCUCGAAAUUGAAUUGAAGUUUGUAUACAGGUAAGUAUGUGUGUGCGUGUUUCUGGAAAGAUUUCAUUAAAUUCUCCAAGUUAAGAAUCACUGAGGGAGAACUUUCAGAGGAGGAUUCCUAAGAGAGUAGAUUUAGUAGAAUAGCAAUAAAAACAAACAAACAAACAAAAAACAGGCAGUAUUUAGUGUACAGAAAAUACAAUUAGAGGUUAACUCCAUACUUAUCUCUCUGUGGCCCUGCCUGGAAGUUUGGAGUGGAGAGUAAAAGCCACAGGCAGGAGAGAUCAGCUACAUUCAAUUAAUAACUUUGCAAUAAUCAGAGAUAUCAGGAAGAUGUUUGGGAGAGAUGGACACAUUCAAGAAGAUGCUGAAAGAUUGCUUAUAGGGCUUUCUAUUACAGGAGUAAGUAGCCUACAGAGUUUUUUCCAACUCUGAUGUUUCAACAAUUCAGCAGGAUGGGGUGUGAAGAUGGUGAUGCCUACAGUAGAGAGACCGGUGGUAUGUGUUUGUAUCUGUCUGUGCUUCCUCUGCCUUUUCUGUGAAGUGGCAUGAUCACAUGAUUAAGUGAGAUGUUGUAACAAGCUAGGGAGUGAACCAAUGGAUCAUUGACCAGGUACAGGAAGAUAGAUGAGAUAGCACUUUUUGGAGUCUCUUGCCAAGAUCCUAAGAGUGACCAUGUGGAAAGCUGUUUCUACUAAGCAGUUCUACUAAGUAUCUAUGUUAUUAGAUACUCCAUGCCAACUUGAUAACCUUGACUCUCACCAAGGCUAGGAAGCAUGGAACCUGCAGAGGUCCCCUAGUUCCAAAGCCUGGGCCAGUGAUAAGUAGUAUGUUUAAAACGUCUUUACAGAAUGUGAGACAGGAAACCAUCAAAACCCUAGAGGAGAAAGCAGGAAAAGACCUCUCUGACCUCAGCUGUAGCAAUCUCUUACUCGACACAUCCCCAAAGGCAAGGGAAUUAAAAGCAAAAAUGAAUUACUGGGACCUUAUGAAGAUUAAAAGCUUCUGCACAGCAAAGGAAACAACGAACAAAACUAAAAGGCAACCAACGGAAUGGGAAAAGAUAUUUGCAAAUGUCAUAUCGGACAAAGGGCUAGUAUCCAAAAUCUAUAAAGAGCUCACCAAACUCCACACCCAAAAAACAAAUAACCCACUGAAGAAAUGGGCAGAAAACAUGAAUAGACACUUCUCUAAAGAAGACAUCCGGAUGGCCAACAGGCACAUGAAAAGAUGCUCAACGUCGCUCCUUAUCAGGGAAAUACAAAUCAAAACCACACUCAGGUAUCACCUCAUGCCAGUCAGAGUGGCCAAAAUGAACAAAUCAGGAGACUAUAGAUGCUGGAGAGGAUGUGGAGAAACGGGAACCCUCUUGCACUGUUGGUGGGAAUGCAAAUUGGUGCAGCCGCUCUGGAAAGCAGUGUGGAGGUUCCUCAGAAAAUUAAAAAUAGACCUACCCUAUGACCCAGCAAUAGCACUGCUAGGAAUUUACCCAAGGGAUACAGGAGUACUGAUGCAUAGGGGCACUUGUACCCCAAUGUUUAUAGCAGCACUCUCAACAAUAGCCAAAUUAUGGAAAGAGCCUAAAUGUCCAUCAACUGAUGAAUGGAUAAAGAAAUUGUGGUUUAUAUACACAAUGGAGUACUACAUGGCAAUGAGAAAGAACGAAAUAUGGCCCUUUGUAGCAACGUGGAUGGAACUGGAGAGUGUGAUGCUAAGUGAAAUAAGCCAUACAGAGAAAGACAGAUACCAUAUGGUUUCACUCUUAUGUGGAUCCUGAGAAACUUAACAGAAACCCAUGGGGGAGGAGAAGGAAAAAAAAAAAGAGGUUAGAGUGAGAGAGAGCCAAAGCAUAAGAGACUGUUAAAAACUGGGAACAAACUGAGGGUUGAUGGGGGGUGGGAGGGAGGGGAGGGUGGGUGAUGGGUAUUGAGGAGGGCACCUUUUGGGAUGAGCACUGGGUGUUGUAUGGAAACCAAUUUGACAAUAAAUUUCAUAUAUUGAAAAAAAAAUAAACUUUUAAAAAAUGUAAAAAAAAAUAAAACAUUUUUGCUGGUAAAAAAAAUAAAUAAAAUAAAUAAAACGUCUUUACAGAAGAAAUCCCAAACUACAGGUGACAUUAUUGGUUUAUUCAUAUAUCUGAUAUUUAUUGAGCACAUAUCAUGUGGCAGAAACUGUACUGAGCAUUAGAGAUAUAGGCAUAGAAAAGGGGAAGGAAUCAAGGUAAUGUUUGUUAAUGAAAGGCACUUAAUACUCAUUAUCAGAUUUAAUGAGUAUGCCAAUUUUGCAAGAUGUAUUUCAUCUUCAUCUUAUAUUUAUAGGAAACAGGUUCAGCAACUUGUCCAAGGUUUUGAACCUGUUGAGUAUUUGGACUUCAGAUUUGAAUUUAAGAGAGGUGUGUUUUCUUCCUAACAUCAAAGUCUCUGCCAUUAUGGUACCUAUAGCAUCAGCUGGGGCACACAUACACAAAAGAAACAUCUGCAGGCCCAUGUGUAGUGUGAUAUGAUGGGGGAGUAGGGGAUGGGCUGAGUGAGUUCUGAAGAGCCAUCCAGUUCUAAGAGACUUGUUUAGGGGCUGGGAUGUGAGCUGAACUCCAAAGCAUGCAUAGAUACAGAAAGGCUGGAUACCAACGGGUGGAGUAGGAAAUUCCAGGCCCGGGUAGCAGGGUACCAGACAAAACAUAUGAAAAGGAAUCUUGGUUUGAGGAAAGAUAAAGUCUGUGUGGUGCACAUGGGAAGUGGCUGUGGGAUCUGAGCCAGUAGAGUCCGUUGGGAAGAGAUUAGGAAGAGCUUUGAGUGUCCUGGCUUACAGUAUGGGCUUUAAUCUGAGUCUGUAGAAAGUCUGUGAAGGUGACCAGCAUGUGUUGGACAUGGCCAACUUACGUGGUAGAGAGAAAUGCUUCCUGUGUCUCCAAGUAGAAUGGUGGGCACUAGAGCCCAGAGUCACUCCCAUCUCUCUCCAUCUUCUCCUCAGGCGGCAGGCCGGGUCCCUAACGGCCUAUUCUUCCUGCAGCAGGGCUCUCACUGGCCCUUUCUCCCAAUCUGCAUGUCUCCCUAUAAAUCAGGAGAAAAAUGCCAGGAGCCCAUGCAUGACUCUCUUGUUACCAUAAAUCUUGGAUGUGAGUGUGGUGGAUGGUGGGUUUAGGUAAUUACAUAAUAUAAAACCGUUCUUGCCUUUCUCAAGUCUGAAGAAUUGUUAUCUGUGUAUCUCCUUCUGUAAUUUAUGGCCUUUCUGGAUGAGGGGGAGCAUUCUCACAGCCACUGCCUAUAAAUUAUGUGCUUUUCCCAUAAUUCCCACUGGUGAAUAUUCCUGAUGGUAAAUGACUAUUAUUUCUAUUUCUAUAGGCUGUACUCAUAUAUACAUAAUAAAUAUAGGCAUGUUGGAUGAUGAGGACCAAUUUAUCAUGACUCCUUAUUUAGAGGGCAGGGCCAAUAUGGGGGAGGGGGCAGAGAUAGUGUUUGUGCUUCUCUGAAUAGGUUCUUCCAAUGGAAUAGGGGCCUCUUCCAAUGGAGCCUCAGGAACCCUUUGCUUUUCAAAACACACUAGCAUUCUGCAAGGUGGUUCAGCUGUAACAACUCAAAUAAUAAUAGCCUGUGUUGAUUUUUAUUGUGCAAUUGGGUUUGUUCUUGUGUUAUAUAUUCUCAUUGUUUCUCGAUUCUUAAACACAGAAUUAUUUCUUAAAAUGAAGACGAUGUCUCAAUAUCUCCAGCUCUUGCUCGGUGUUAUGUAGAUAUAGUGGAAGGAGUAGAACUUUGUUUUAGAUAGGCAGAAGAUUUUCUUCUUUUUUUACUCUUAUUUAUGUUUAAGUUAGUUAGCAUACAGUGUAGUCUUGGCUUCAGGAGUAAAACCCUGUGAUUCAUCUCUUACAUAUGACACCCAGGGCUCAUCCCAAAAGGUACCCUCCUUAAUGCCCAUCACCCAUCCCCCCCUCACCCGCCCACUCCCUUCUCCAGCAGCCCUCAGUUUGUUCUCUGUUUUUAAGAGUCUCUUAUGGUUUGCCUCAUGGAUAUUUUCAUUUUUGGUCCCUGAUCAGCCCUGUUUUAGCUCUGUGACCUGCAGAAAAUUACUGUGUAGCUCUGAAUGACCAUCCCCUUAUCUUUAUAAUGAGGAUAACAGUAAUCAAUCUUCAGCUUCAUAUUGUUAUAAGGAUUAACUGUGAUAAUAUAUGUCAGAGUGCCUUGCAUAGUGCCUCAUACUUUAUAGAUGCCUAGUAAAUGUUUAUGAAUGAACACAUGAAUGAAUGGGCCGUGAUUGCAAGCUAUCUAUAGCUUAAUACAUAACAUUAUUUUCAAGCACAGCUAAGCCCAAAGUACAAUACCAGUAAGAUAGAAAUUUCUCAUCUAACAAGAGUGAGCAUUCAUUGCUCUGUUCUAUGUCAUCCAGGGUCAUUAUUCCUUCUAUCUUGUAGCUCAGCCAUUUCUCUGGGCAAUAUUAUGUUCUUUUUUUUUUAAUGUUUAUUUAUUUUUGAGACAGAGAGAGACAGAGCAUGAGUGGGGGAGGGGACAAAGGGAGAGGGAGACAGAAUCUGAAGCAGGCUGCAGCCAUCAGCAUAGAGCCCUACGUGGGGCUCGAACUCACGAACUGUGAGAUCAUGACCUGAGCUGAAGUCGGAUGCCCAACUGACUGAGCCACCCAGGCGCCCCAGGGCAAUAUUAUAUUCUGCAUGGUCAAAGCUGUUUUAUCAGUACUGUGUCCAGUUUCCAGCCCAAAGGAAAAAGGAAAGAGGAAGUGGAAGGCACAAGCAGCUCUCCCCCCUUUCUUUUUUAAAGAAUGAGAUCUGGGGGUACUCCUGGGUGGCUCAGUUGGUUAAGUGCCUGACUUCGGUCCAGGUCACGAUCUCACGGUUUAUGAGUUCGAACCCCCUGUUAGGCUUUGUACUGACAGCUCAGAGCCUGGAGCCUGCUUCGGAUUCUGUGUCUUCCUCUCUCUCUGCCCCUCUCUCAAAAACAAAUAAACAUUUAAUAAAAAAAGAAUGACGUCGGGGCGCCUGGGUGGCGCAGUCGGUUAAGCGUCUGACUUCAGCCAGGUCACGAUCUCGCGGUCCGUGAGUUCGAGCCCCGCAUCGGGCUCUGGGCUGAUGGCUCAGAGCCUGGAGCCUGCGUCCGAUUCUGUGUCUCCCUCUCUGUCUGCCCCUCCCCCGUUCAUGCUCUGUCUCUCUCUGUCCCAAAAAUAAAUAAACGUUGAAAAAAAAAUUAAAAAAAAAAAAAGAAUGACGUCUGGAAGAUGCACCCACCUUUUCCACUUCUGGAACUUCGUCUCAUGACCAUAAUGAGCUGCAACAUAGCUGGACCGUGUUGUCUUCUGUUGGGUCAACAUCUGUCUAUGCCCAGAUGAAACUUGGGAGAUCAUAUUAGUAAACACAAGAAGAGAAAAAGGGAUAUGAUGAUGAUUAACUUCCUCUGUCUCGUAUACCUAUCACCAUUUCCAUUUGGAGGUCAGCUUUAAUUCAACCUGAAGACAGUGUGCUACCUUAUAUAGUUAGUUGUAGUUCCAAAUGCAUCUGUCUUAUUUCCUCAUUAGAUUAAAAGUAUCUUGGGGGGGGGUGGCUCUUACUCCUUUUUGGGUAUCCUCCGGAGCUUAGCACCAGAUCUGACCCAUUGCAGCUCCUCAGUGUUCAUUGACUGACCAAUUAAUUGAGUACAAUGUGCUCUGAGUUGGAUGCUGAAUUAGCUCACAGCCUGGCUUGUGAGGAAUGAUGCAAAAUGUGCAUUGACAGGAACAUGGGUCACCCUGCCCUUGGAGCAAAACUGGUCCAGAGGAUUCUGGCAGAUAACCAGCUUCUCCAUUAAUGGUUAUAAACUGAGUGUCUGGGUAACAUGAGUCCACUUGAUUGCUUCAUCUGCUCAGAAAAGAAAAAUAAAUAAAUACAACCUGUCCCAUUUUACAGAUGAGAAAACUGAGGUCAUAACUUGUCAAGCGACUUGCCCAUAGUCACCUAAGGAGUUAUUGCAUCACUAAGGUCACUAUUCCAUUCUCCAAACUCAUCAGUACCCUUUCCACUACCCCAUUAGAUUUCCUAUACCAGAUUAAAAUGAUGCCAACAAUAGCAAGUGUUUUGUUCCUUAUCAAUUCUACCAUGUUUCACAUUCAUGAUUUCAUUUAAUCCUUAUAAUAGCUGUUGGAGAUAGCAUUAUUAUUAAUAUGCCUCUUUAACAGAUGAGGAGACAGAGACCCAAAGAGGUGAUAAAAUAUUUCCUGCCAGUAAGUGAGGUGCUAGACCCUAGAAUCAAUUGUUCAUAUCCCAGUCUUGCUUGGCCCCCUCUCUGCAGAUAAAAUAAUAAAUACCAAAGUGCUUUGUAAAUUGUAGAGCAUCUCCAGCGUCAGGCACUGUUAUUGAUAUGUUAUUUCCGGGAGUUCUGAAUCUGCACUUGAAUUCACAACAUGGAAGCCCGCAGUAUAUUUUAAUUAUAGCCACUUGAUAAUCCUGGGGUUGUGGAGUGGGAGGCUGUCCUAUAGUAUGCCUAAGAGCCCUAAAGAGAUCACUCCAGGUCCAUGAAUAUUCAUUGCUAUGCUAACUCAUGAGCUGCAUUUUCCUCCAGUCACAGUAAUCAGAUGCUUCCUGCAUCGCUGGAACGUUACAGUCACUUUACAGCAGAUGGAUCAUAAGCAGGUAUUGAGUAUCUCUGCUAGGGUUUUCUCUUCCCAUCACCUAGUGAUGCUACUAGGUGAACCUAGUGCUGGAGACACGAGAAGCUACCAUGUCCUUCCAGGAAGAUUGGCAGGCAAUUGUUUACAGAGAGUUUCACACUCUUAAAUUGGGCAUUACAGGGACUCAGUUCUUUUAUUCUUUGUUUACAUUUUUUUUUAAUUAGAGGGAGGAGGGGAAGAAUAUAACUAGGAUAGGACCUUGCUACUCAAAAGUGGUCUCUGGAACAAUGGCAGUGGUGCUAUCUGGGAGCACCGUGGCAAAGUGUUACCUUGUUACAAAGGCAGAAUCUUCGGUUCUUCCCAGGCCCUCAGAAACAGAAUCUGCCCAUUACCAAGAUCUCAGGUCAUUCCUUUGCUCAUUAAAUUCAGGAAGCACUGGGCUAGGAGGCUGGAGUUCUCAUCCUCUACUUUGCCCUCACUGGCUGUGCAACCUUGGGGAAGUCACUUAACCACUUUGGGCCCCUGUGGCCACCUUUUUUCUAAGGUGAGAAAGUAAGGUGAAGAUAUUAGUGAUUCUUGGUUUGGUGUAUAGGAGGUGGUUUCCUCAUUAGCCCAGUGCAGCAACUAUCAACAAAAACUCUAUCUUCCUUGAAAUUUCUAAGACCUCUUCUUUUCGGAACGGUUGCUCAUCCAACAAAUUAUCUACUGAUAAUGCAGCAGGCACUGUGCCCUCAGUCCCCUGAAAUUUGCUUCCCUGGACUUGGAAGGACCUUCCUCCCUCACUGAAACCAAGCCCAGAGUCUCUGAAGUUUGUUCAGGGGAACCCCAGGUGUGGAUUCAGUGAGGAAAAUAUUGAGAUUUCUUAGGACUCUUAAUUCCUUCUGUGAUCAUUUAAGUAUUUGUUUGCAUCAUUAUUACUGUAGGAUUCACCCUCUGUAUAAAUAAUAGAAUAUUCCAACCUUUCAUGGUACAUGUUAGAUUUGCACAAGGUGGACAUGGUUUCUUAAAGUUUGUUGUGAGGCUUGUUCAUCCAACACCUGUUCAUCCAACACUUAUUGAGGCUUUAAUGUGCUCUCUAGACACAGGGCCAAAUGCAUUGGACCGAGAAGUAGGAAGACACAAGCCUGGCCCCAAACCAGACUUCCUUGGGAAAGCUGGCCUGCCAUUUACCAAGUAUGUGGAGGCAUGCUCCUUGGCCUCAUGUGGCCUUGCUUUCAGCAUCUGUAAAAGGGAAUCAUAAAUGCUUUGUGAAGAAUAGCACAAAUUUUAACUUUUGGCCUACUAGGGAGACAAGUCCAGAUUUGGGACAAGGCCGUGGACGCUGCUUCCUUGACCUGCAUUGUUCAGGUUUCCUAGAAGAAAUGACUUCUAGACUGAGACUCAACAACAAGGAACAGUUAGGUAGGUAAAGGCAAGAGUGGAGAACAGGUGGGAUAGAUGGGAGACUUUUCCUGGAAGGGUGAACAGCACUUUAAAAUUUUGAAGAUGAGACAGGACAGGAUGAGUUAAGCGGAGCAAACCUAACUGUAAAUCUGCUUGGUAGAUAAUUGUUCUGGGGCCUUUACUGUUAUGGACUGAAUGUGUGGGUAUGUAUGUUGAAGCCUAAAUCCCCAGUGCCCAGGAAUUUGAAGGUGGGGCUUUUGGUAGGUAAUUAGGCCAUGAGGGUGGAGCCCUAGUGAAGGGGAUUAGUGCUUUGAAAGGUGCUCUAGAGACCAGAGCGCUUCAGCAAGUGAGGAUACAAGAAGAGAGAGCCAUCUAUAAACCAGGAAGAGGGCCUUCCUCAAGAACCCGACCUGCUGGCACCCUGAUCUUCGACUUCCUGCCUCCAGAAGUGUGAGAGUUCAAUGUCUAUUGUUUAAGCCACCCAGUCUGUGACAUUCUCUUAUAGCAGCCCAUACUAAGACAGUCACUUUAUUACAAAUUUGUUUGAAUAACACUGAAAAGUAAGGAGUAAUGAGGGGACACUGAAAAUAUUUAGUAACAGCUAGUUUGGCACAGCACUGAGUAAACAAAGAGAAGCAGAUAGUGCAAGGAUGGGGGGGUGGGCACCACACCCAGGCAGGCAUUAACCCUUUAGUUGUUGUUAGGUGUGGAAUAGUACUGGGAGAAGGAUAAUGGCUGCCCAUGGCCGGUGGGGAUCAGCAGAGGAGUUUUGGAUCAAUGGUGAUGGAACAGGAUGUAAAUAUUUCAGUGCUAUAAGAACCAGUGUGAUCCUACAGAUGUAUAUUGCCUGGAAUCAGUCCUGAUUGUAACUAUAUUUCUUAUGCAUUUAAGACCCUGCACUGAGCAUUCAUCAAAUGCCUCCCACCAUCCUAAGAAAUUGCCCCUGCCCUUAAGAUGUUCUUAAGGCAAGAGAGAAGACAGAUUUGAGAUUUUGGAUUUAAUUAUAAAAGCAAAUGGAAACCACUAAUGGGUUCUAAGCAGGUAGGUGACAUGAUCUAUUUUAUAUGUUUAAAAGUAGAAAGGGUUAUAGUGGGAUGAAGAGGCACAGGAGAAGCAGGAAGACUGUUUGGGGCCAUAAUCAGGAACCUGGGCAGGAACUGAUGGCAGCUUGGAUGGAGAAGGCAGAGGGAUGAAUCAAUUCAGAAGGUGGUCUGAGUUAAAUGUAACUGAGGUCCAGGCUCCAGCCAGUGAUCACAGAUGGAAAACCAAUUAGCAAGCAUGGGCUGUGGUUGUGUGAGCCUUCCAUUCUCAAGGCUGAUGAUUUGUUUAAGGGCCUCUGCCUUCUUUGUAAUAACCUGCCUAUAGGGCUUUAUAUUUCACUAUGUAGUUGGCUUUGUGAUCCUCCAAAAAUGUGCCCAUUUUCUAGAGAAGAAAACCAAGAUUCAGAAUAACCAGGUAACUAUCCCAAGGUCACACUUCAGGAAAGAUACGAAGCCUGAGAUUAAAAGCAGGUCUUUGAACAAUGGAGCCUAUCCUUUUCUUUUUAUACCCUUCUUUUCUAUGCACUGCAAAAACUGAGCUCUGUGUCAAGUUUCCUGUUUCACCUGCCGAGUCAAGCAGUUAGUGCCCAGCGUUCCCAGCAUCUGUGGGCAGCCUGACACAGUAUCUACAUAGGAGAGUUUUUUUUAUGCAAUCCUUUCUGUUUUGCUGUUAAUGGUGGUGCUGUGACCCUUUUCUGUCCUUGGUAAUGUUACUUAACCACUGUGUGACUUGUUUUCCUCCUCUGUAACAUGGGAAUACUAACUCCCCUCCCAGCAUCAUUAAAAAUAUGAAUGUAGGUAAUCCAGCAUUUAGUUGGUGUUGAAUAAGUGUGCAUUCUCUUCUUCUCCUUCUCCUACCAUUGACCUAUUAAUAUUCACUACCCUGGCAGUAACACUCAUUCACUUGAUCUCAAAUGAAGACAGACACCACUGAAGAAUCACCAUAAUGAUACUUGACAUUUCUUGAGCACUAGUUCAUGAACUAUGGUGAAUAUUUUUAUUUAUUUAUUUAUUUAUUUAUUUAUUUAUUUAUAAGAAGCUUAUUUAUUUAUUUUGAGAGAGAAAGUGCGAGCAGGGUAGAGGCAGAGAGUUGAGGGGGGGGCGGGGGGAAGAGAAUCUCAAGCAGGUUCUGUGCUGCCAGGGCAGAGCUCGAUGCAGGGCUUGAACUCAGGAACCGCAAGAUCAUGACAGGAGCCGAAAUCAAGUUGGGCGCCUACCCAACUGAGCCACCCAGGUGCUCCAAACUAUGGUGAAUAUUUUAGUCAUUAUCUCGAUUAAUCCUCGCAAGCUCCAUGAUGCAUAUAUUGAGUUCAUUAUGCCCAUUUCACAGAUGCGGAAAGUGAGUCUCAGCAAGAUAAUACAAUUUACCCAGAUGCAACACAGCUAGAAUGUGAUUGAGUCAGAAGUCAAAUGCAGGUCUCUCUGACUCCGGAACAGAUGCUCCUACCCACUCACCCCCUGCCUCCCAAGCAAGACUAGCUGUGCUGUGACAGGUGCCGGGUUGCCUCACUAAUUAGCCUCUGUGGCAGAUGUGAGUCAGCAUAGGGCCCGAAGCUGGCAGCAGGAGAUGUGUUAUCUCAAUUAGGCCUCGAUUUUAACUUCCAGAGAGUGAAAGGAGGUUGAGUCUCAGAAGUUGCUAAGUGAAUGAAAUCGAAACAGCCAGAAAUGACUUGCCUUAGGGGAAACAAACUCCUAGCUUCCUGGGUCACAGAAAUUUUGUUUCCUCUCUCUGGCAGAAUGCUGAGCCAGCAAAAGUCAUAGCCCUGUCUUACAGUUUGCUCGGGUGGAAACUUGAAAGAGGCUCGGUACUUUGAGUCAAAUGCAGGGCGAAGGAUCCACGACCCAACGUCUUCUGUCUCAGGGUGACCAAGAGGCAGUGAGGGCAGGGUGGUGCCAUACCCUGAGCGUGGGUCACGGAGUUAGGCCAACAGGGGUUCAGAUCCUGGUGCCGUCACGCUCUGGUCUUGAGCAAGUCAGACUCUUCAUCUAUAGCAAAUGGCCUUUGAUGCUGACUCAGCAGAGUUGUGGAGAAGAUCAAAUUAGAUCAGUAAAGUGCUAGGCGUUGAGCACAUAGUAACCACUCAGUACAGGGUAGUUACUGGGGUUUUAUGCAUGUAGAGAGCUCGGAAGCCUCCCUGGAACAUAAGCAUAUUAUAUCAGCUACACUUAUUAUUAUCUCAGUGUUUUGACAAUGAUAGCACACAGCUUCUCUUGCUCUUAACCCUCUAGUUCACUACACAUCCAAAUAUAACACAACUAGAAUUAUAACUCCCUGAAAUAUUUUGUGGCUCAUAGAUGUUUCACUUAAAUUAUUUUCAUAUAACUUUAAGUCUCUUAAAAAUCCACUUUCACACAACGAGAUAACACAGCACACACACAAAAAAACUGGCUAAAAUUAAAAAGACGGAUAACCCCAAAUGUUGGCAUACUACUGCUCUCAUACAUCAUUUGUGGGAUGGUAAGAUGGUGUAUCCACACUGGAAAAGGGUUUGUUGGUUUCUUAUAAAAUUGAACACACACCUGACCUAUGGCCCAGAAGACCGGCAACUUGUCACCUACCGAAGAGAAGGAAAACCCUUAUCUGUGAAAGACUUAUGAGAAUAUUCAUAGCAGACAUCUUCAUUCCAGCCCCAAAUUAGAAGUAGCCAGGUGUUCAUUAGCAAGAAGUAGACAAUCAAAUUGUGGUAUAUUGUACAAAAGAGUACAAAGGAACAACUUACUGAUACACAUAACAUCAGAGGUGAAUCUCAAAAAUAUGCUGAGUAAAAGAAUCCUUACACACACAAAAAAAUACAUACUAUUUGAUCCCACUUAUAUGAAGUUCUAGAACAGGGAAAAGCUAUCAUGAAUUAAAAAUUAAAGGAAUAGUGGUUGUCUCUGGAGCCUGAAUGAGAAUGGACGCCUUGGGGGGGAGAAUGGCAAUAUUUCAUUUCUCGAUAAGGGCUUUGCUUACAUAAGUAUAUGCAUUGUCAGAACUUAGCGUGAAAGUUCACGUAAGAUUUGUACCUUUCACUGUAUCUAACCUUUCCCUCCAAAGAAAAAGAAUAGCAAAUUCUGAACAAAACCCACAUAUGUUGAACUCUAGUUAAUGAGAUUCAUGCUGAAGUAUUUAGAGAGAAAAUGCACAGAUGUCUUCAGUUUAAUUUAAAAUGCAUCAAAAAUUAAGAUGAAUUGAUGAAUGGCGAUAGAGAUGGAUAGAUAGAUAUGUGAAAAAAAUAAGUAUAGUAAAAUGUUGAGUAAUGGUUAUAUGGGAGUUCAUUAUAGAAUUAUUCUGUACGUUUGAAAGUUUGCAUAAUGUUGGGGGAAAAGCGAAAAAAUAAUUCUUUAAUAGUUACUAGCUUCCGGAUAAAGAGAUAAUUCUAAUGAUCAUAUUGGAAGCCUAAUGCAAAUAUAUCAUAUUAAGGAAUGUACCUUCAAGUUUGUUGUUAUGUUUUAAGUGGGUAAGCGUGGACUUACAGGCCACUGAGGGUCAGAAUGAAAUGUGAUUUAGUAAAGGAAUUAAAUUGAUGGUUUACCGUCUACAUUCAUUACCACUAGAGAAUUUUUUUAAAGACCUAAUUUUUUUAGAGCAUUUUUAGGUUCAGAGAAAAACUGAACAGAAAGUACAGAGAUUUCUAUAGAGAUUUCCCAUAUAUCCCCUGUCCCCACACGGGCAUAGCCUCCUCCAUGAUCAACAUCCCCCACCGGAGUGGUGCACUCAUUACACUGAUAAACCUACAUUGACUCAUCAUUAUUACCCCUAAUCUGUAAUGUACAUUAGGGUUCACUCUCAGUCAUGUACAUUCUGUGGCUUUAGGCAAAUGUAUAAUGAGCUACAGCCACCAUUAUGGUAUCAUAUCAUACAGAGUAGUUUCGCUGCAGUAGAGAAUUUUUUCCGUUGGUUUGCUCCUGUUGAAUAAGGAGGUGGCUCUGGUAGCCAGGUAUGGUACCAUUGAUGAUUAUGAUUCACUUACCCAUAUGUAGAGCCAGGGAGGGAGACCAGGGCCAGUGCUCUCACCCCAUGGAGUAGCUGUCCUUAGCCCUACACUUCAGACUCCUCAGGAGAGAUUAUGGUGGAGCUGUGGAGAGGUGCCUUCUUUAUGCAAAUGAAGACAGCACAUUCUUCAUGUAUAGGAAAGGAGCUGUUCUGGGCACACUAUUUACUCUGAGCUUCAUUUAACAGUUCCAAGGUGGUCAUCAUCAACCACAUUUCACAGAUGAGGAGACUGGAGAUCGGAGAGGUCCAUUCAUUGGUCUGUAGUCCCAUAACUAGGGAGUAGCAGAGGUAAGACUUGAACUCAACCUAACUGGUUCCCAAAGUUGUGACCUCCUACCACUUAAAAUUCUGGAAAGGGAGAUAUCUUCCGGGGUACUUAGGAUCCAGAAUGCAUUUUCCCAGAGAUACUAAAUUAUCAAAGGUGAUUGGGCACAAUAGAAAUUAUAGCUUUUAUACCUGUAUUUUUUUUUUUUUUCAGUUUUGAGCUAAGCAGGAUUCUCUCAGCUUGCCUGGGAACCUAAUUCCUAUGCAUAGCAUUAUUUUGAAGAGAGUUUAUGUCCCAAGAUUUCAAUCUGUGACCUGAAAACUUUUGAGACAAGCUUUCCAUGAGCUAGGAGCCAUCUGUAUUAGUUAUAUUCUGUUGCUUAUAUAUGACUUUGCUAUUUACAAAGUGCCUUCAUGUCUGUAUUCUUCUGUGGGCCCCAGGGCCAUUCUGCAACAUGGAGAAAAUGAGGAUAGGAUCAUUAUCUCCAUCUGACAAGUGCCAGGGAAGUCAGGAGAGAGGUCCAGAAGUUUGCCACACAGCUAGACAAGGGACAGAGCCAAUUUGAGAAUCCAAGCCCCAGGACACCUAGUUGAGUACAGCUCACCCCUCACCCACUUUUUAUUCCGUUUUGGCUGCAGGCCUGUAGGCCCAGUCUAAUUUACAUGUGAAAUCUUACCAGUUCUUGGUCGGUGACCAAUAUAUAAUGUGCAGCUAAUGAGAUAAAGUACAAUUUCACUUUUGUUAGCAAGGAAGGGGAACUCUCGAGGGGAUCAUAAUAAUCGGGCCUUUCUCAGCGGAACUCAGAGAGUUUUAUGGGCAUGGAGAAACAAUCCAUCCUCACAAUGGACCAGUGUGCCUGGGCACUCCCAUUGUCCUCGCCAUUCUGUGGAGGAGGAGAGAACAUUAAGAGAUUUGGCCCAGGGUCACCAGCACCCAGGCUGUCAAUCAUACAGUCUUGGUGACAGAGCAGGGAGUGGAACUGUGACUCCCAUGUAACCAUCCAUGAGAAUAUGCUCCAGCUAUCACAUCGUGUAAUGUAUUUUUGAAUACCCCAAAGAGCUUUUGCCAAGGAGCAGAAAUGGAUGUUCCGUACGGCAGCCUUGAGACUCAUCAGCAAGGCCAUGUCCAAGGUCAAAAGGAAAUCGGGGUAGGCCCUAGAGAAACCCCAGACCUCUUUAUUUCAUCAGCCUAUGAGCAUUUGUAUUUUUUAUCUGUGAAGGAUCAUGCCUUUGCUUAAGACAUCUAAUCAAGCCUGCCAGUAACUUCCUUUGUGUCCUUGGGUGAGUCACUUUACAUCUUUGGGCCUCAGUUUACUCCUCUGGAAAAUGACAGUUGGAGCAGAUGACCUCUCAUUCUUUAGAACCAUGAAAAAAGGAGAUCCUUACCUGGAGAACCUGAGAGCAUUUUUCUAGUCUGAAUGUCUCCGAGAGCAAGGACCGUGUUCUUUUCUCUGUGGCCCCAGUGUCUAGCCCAGUUGCUGACACAUAAACGUGGCUUGAUGAAUGUUGAGUGAGUGAAUAAAAAUGGCACAGCCCCUUUGCUUAGGAUGAGCAAUGUUAUCAUAAAUUCUGUACAUCGCUUGCGUGUAUUUCAAGUGUGACCCAUUUCAUGCUGGAAAUGCUGGUUGUUAAUCAUCCUAGAGGCCUGUCAGAAUAUAAUCACUGGCUCCAAGAGGUUCUCAUGACACAGAAGGCCAAGUCUUUCUGUUACUGCAGAGGUCUGAAUGAUAGCUGAUGGGCAAAGCUAGAGAGUGAGAGAGGGACUCAACUCAACCAUACGAGAAUUCUAAUUGUGACAGGGGCUUGAGGGUUAAUUUUUACAGUUGGAGUAAAGAAUCUUGAUGAGAGGCCAAAUGGCCACUAGACCCUAGAAGAAAAACUAGAGCCUCCUUCCAUACCCAUGAUUUUGUGUUCAUCAGCCCACUUUUCAUAGGGGAUGUACGCAGAUAUUUGUCUUAGAGGAUAUGGCUUUGAAUUCCAUUCUGAAACUUAUUAAUCAUGUGAACUUAGGUAAAUCUAAUACUAGUACUAUUAAUAAUAACAUUAAUAAAACUUGUGAUGAUAAGAAUAUGAAACUGGCACUUACUAAUAGGCAAUAUAUGUCAAGUGCUUCGUGGAUUUUUUUUUUUCUUUACACUAACUGAUUUAAUCCGCUUGAAGAAGGACCAGUUAUUGCUAUCCAUCAGAUGAGUAAACUGAGGCACAGAGAAUUUAGGUAACUCACCCCAGGUCUUCCAGUGAGAAGGUGGCAGAUCCAGUGAUUGAGUCUCUUGACUCCAAAGCUGGAGUUCUCUAUCAGUAAAACUCUGUCCUUCCAUUUAUUAGGACUGUAAAAUUGGGAUUGUAAUAUCCGGUCAUUCUUACAGGGUAGUUAGGAAAAUCAGGUAAGUUUCAAAUUGUUUUCUCUUCCAUCAGACAGUCAGCUCUUGAGAUGCAUGGUUCAUCUGGGUAUCCUUCCGAGUGGUAGAUUCACAAACAGUGGUCAGUAACUCUUUGCUGAAUAAAUAUACAGAUUAAUGAACAAAAUAAUAAGAAACGGCCUUAUGAAGAGCAAGGUGGUAUACAAAAGUUGUUGGUUUUUUUUUUUUUUGAUGUUUCAAAUUUGUACUCAGCCUUGUUUAACAUAUUUUGAACUUGCAAAGUAACCUUGCAACAAAGUAACAUAUUUUGAACUUGCAAAGAAAGCUGCUUGUUAGUGCAGUGACUUUAAUGCCCAAAUCUUUAUCUAUUUUGAGUGUUUCUUUCUAAUUCCUCUCACCAUCCUUGGUUGUAUUUAAUUUACAUUUGUAUGAAAUUUGGAAGUGAAAAUUAUGGCCAGUGUUUGUACUUUAUCCAUUUCUCCUAAAAUUAUUUAAUUAAAAAAAUUUUUUUAACAUUUAUUUAUUUUUGAGAGACAAAGACAGAGAAUGAGCAGGGGAGGAACAGAGAGACCUGAGGGAGACACAGAAUCUGAAGCAGGCUCCAGGCUCUGAGCCAUCACCACAGACCCUGAUGCAGGGCUUGAACUCACGAACCACAAGAUCAUGACCUGAGCCAAAGUCGGACGCUUAACUGACUGAGGCACCCAGGCCCCCCAAUUUCUACUAAAAUUAUUAAUGCUGUUUCUGGUAGGAGAAACCAAGUGUUUGAUACAACCAACAAGAACCUCGUAAUAACCCUGAGAGGUUCAUGGUUUAGCCCAUUAUACAUGUGAUGACCCUGAGACUCAGAUUUAUUUGCUAUUGCUGUUGCUCAUUCAUUCAUUCAUUCAUUCAGCAUACAGGAACUGCACUGGAGUCUAGCAUAUGAUGUCACUUCAGACUUGGUCUCUGUCCUAAAGGAAUUGUGUGGAGGACAGCUAAGAGUUCAGUGGGAGAGCACUGUUUGGCUAGCCUAAUGGAUUCUAAACUUCCGGUUGUAGAUCCAGGACUACAACCGUGACUGUGGCCCGAUACUUGUCACUGUUGAUACCCGGAGGUCAUGGACACUAAAAUGGAAAGGUGUGGUUUGCUAACCUAAAGCCAUCAAUUUGGUUGUCCUUCCCUUCUCACGAGCUAGCUUCUGGGUGAAUGAUCACACAUGGACAACCUCCAUUUAGACUGUGCAUAUCACACUCAACACUGAGAGACACAUCUUAAUUUUCAUGCAAAAUCAUUUCCUGCUUCUAUUUGAUAUCAGCAGAACAUGUGUGUUUCAGCCCCUGUAUGCAAACCUGACAGGAACCUGUGGAACUCUCUUCUUGUUGGGAGAGUUAUAGAAUUGUUACUGGGCGUAGCAUUAUUCUAGAGCUCCUAUGCUCUCUGUCCCUGUUCUGUAAGUUGUCUUCUCCUUUUUCAUUCAAACAAGAAAGAAAGCAGGUGGGCAGGCAGUAAGGAAGGCAGGAUGGUUGGAAGGAAAGCAAGCAGGAGGCAGAAAGGCAGGGAAGAAGGCAGGAGGGAAACAAGGUAGGCAGGCAGGAAGAAGGCAGGAUGGAUGGAGGGAAGGAAGGCAAGCAGGAGACAGGAAAGCAGGAAGGAAAGAGAGUAGGCAGGAAGAAGGCAGGAGGAAGUCAGGAAGACCGGAAGGCAGGAAGUCGAAAGGAAGGAAGGAAGGAAGGAAGGAAGGAAAGAAGAAAGAAAGAAAAGAAAAAAGAAAUGCGCUACAGUCAAAGAAAGUUUGAGAAUACAAAUACAAAGAGAGUCCUUAAUUAUGAAACUUCUUGGAUGUUUUAUUAUGCUAUGGACAUCAUAUAUUUGCACAACGGUGUUAUCAUGAUGUACAUUUUUCAACUUACUUGUCCAUGGACACUUCUUUCAUGGAACAAAUAUGAACAUUUCAUGGGAUGGUGGUUCCUUGGGACAAAGCUGCUUCAGACAUCAGGCCCUCAGGCUGUGCACUCUAUUCAGCUUCUGUUUUCUCUAUUUUAGUUCCUUUUGCUCUCUCAUACAGUGAUUUCCAAAUGUCCACCUUCCUUUCUUCCUAACCCUCCUUCCUUCUGUCUUUUUUUCUGUCCUUCCCCAUCUACUUAACUGCAGACCUAUACUAUGUGCUGAAAAGACUAGUGAUUGGCACUGAGCCCACAACUUUGUGGAGCUCAGCAUCAAUGGGAAAGACAGACAUGUAAGUCUUAUGUGACGCUAUUGUUUUGGGUGUUAUGAGGGAGGAAACUGUGGGAUAUGGUGAAGAUGUAAAGGAGUGGAUAAGAAGGAGUCAAGAGGAGGUCUUUUUUUUUCCUUUUUGAAUUUUUUUUUUUUGAGAGAGUGAGAGAGUGCAAGUUGGGGAGGGGCAGAGAGAGAGAGAGGAGAGAGAGAGAGAAUCCCAAGCAGGCUCUGUGCCGUCAGCGUGAAGCCUGACGUGAGGCGCCAUCUCACGAUUGGUGAGACCAUGACCUGAGCCGAAAUCAAGAGUCAGGCACUUAACCAACUGAGCCACCCAGGCGCCCCUUGAAGAUUUUAUUUUAAAGUAAUCUCUACACCCACAUGGGGCUGCAGCCCUGAACCCUGAGAUCAAGAGUUGUACAUGCCACUGACUGAGCCAGCCAGGUGCCCCAAGAAGAGGUCAUUUAAAAAAAAAAUUGUAAUGUUUAUUUUUGAGAGAUAGAGAGAGUGAAUAGGAGAGGGGCAGAGAAAGAGAAAGAGAGAGAGAGACACAUACACAGAAUAUGAAACAGACUCCAGGCUCUGAGUUGUCGGCAUAAAGCCUGAUGCGGGGGCUCGAACUUAAAAGCCAUGAGAUCAUGACCCGAGCCGAAGUCAGAUGCUUCACCGACUGAGCCACCCAGGCACCCCAAGAAGAGGCCACUUUUAAGCUAAGUCUAGAGAAAUGAAUAGAGAUCAGUGACAGAAAAUGAGGGGAAGUUAAUUUCCAUCAAUGAAAACCAAAAGUGGAAAGCCAGAGAUCACAGUAUAGCCUGGAAUAUCUGGAAAGCUGCACGUUUGACUGGAGUCUAACCUUUAGGAUAUAAAUGGAAUAGUGGAUGGGUGAUGAUGUAAGAAGCAGGACAUGAGCCUCACGUUUGCAUGUUUGAAGCCAUGAUUAAGUUCUUUCUCCAAAUAUCAUAAGUCAAAAACUUUUCUAACUGCCUUUGGUCAAAGUAAGGAAAUCAGUAUUACUGACCUUGUUGUGAAUGUGAAUCCGACUAGUCGAGCCUUUUUCCCAACAUGUAUUCUGCUGAAUUCUCAUAUUGUGAGGUGGUCUGCGUACAUGUACCCACACAUGCCUGCAAACACACAAAUUUUAAGGCCCAUUGGCACAUUAAAAACUAAACUUCGUGUGUUUUUUUUUUAACCUUGGAGCUCUUUCUUUGUUGAGGAACGUAUAUUUACAUGCCAUAGAACAUGCUUUAGGAAAAUCUUUCUGACACUUUGAAAUACUGAAAAUGGCACUGCUAUCACAACUUUAGAAAUUACCAGGUGCCUGGAGAUACUGGGCUGGAAGUCAUUGCUACCAUGUGAGCCUUAGAGAAGUGACGAGAACUGCUUUAAUGUCACAGGGCGUAACUGAUGGAGAACCAGAGUUCAGGUCUCCUUGUUCCAGUCCAGGUCUCAUUUUAUUACACUAAUAAAUGGUCCAGUGAAAGUCAACAGGCAUUUAUUAGGGACUCCGUGUGCCUGUGACUGUCCUGUGUGCUGAGGAUGAUGUUGAAGUUUGCUCUCUAAUAGGAGAGAUAAGGCUCCACCAAUAGAUGAACAAAUAGUGUCAGGCAGGGAAUAUUGUCAUGUAGAAGAACAAGGCAAUAUGAGGCAAUAAAGAGCAAUGAGCCGGGGAAGUGAAGUUAGGACCUGGGGUUCUAGGGGUGAUUGGGGCCACAGCCAUGUGAGUGCUUAGGGGCCAUGGUAGGGACAUUUGUACUAUUUGUGGGUUUUGAGUGGAGAAUUGACCCGAUUUUAUUUGUGUUUUAAAAAAGCUCAGAGCCGGGCACCUGGAUGGCUCAGUCAGUUGAGCAUCUGACUCUUGAUUUUGGCUUAGGUCAUGAUCUCAUGGUUCGUGAGUUCAAGCUCCCCCAUCUGCGCUGACAACAUGGAGCUACUUGGGAUUCUCUAUUGCUCUCUGUUUCUGCCCCUCCCUGACUCGAGCACACGUGCUCUCUCUCUCUCUCUCAAAAAUAAAUAAACGUUAGAACAAAUAAAAAAAGCUCAAUAGUGCUUCUUUCUCUGUGGGGAGGAGACCAAAAGACCAGUAGGGAGGGUAGUACCAGGGUCUGAGUGAGAGAGGACAGUGGUUAAGUCCAGGGAGGGUGCAGCAGAGUGGCAAGAAGUACUCUUAUUCUGGAUCCAUGCGAAAAGUACAGUGGAUAGGAGUUGUUGACAAUCAGAUAAAAGAGAGAAGAGAUGGGCAGCUCUGAGGCUUGGCCUGGUGACAUGGGGCGGCUGUCUUUUGAAAUGAGAAAAGUGAUGUGCUUCUGACCCUUUGGAGCUUAAUGUCUAGUUAGAGAGUCAGCAUUUUUAUGGUCCUUUUGUUUCUGUUACUAUAAAAGGAACACAUAUCCCGGUGAAAAUGAUAGAAUAGUACAAAAUGCAUACAGUAAGAUGUCGGUUCCCUGAUUUCCUUUCCAAGAGGCAGUGUGUCCAGAUAUGGCCUAAGAGUACAUGUUGUGUGUGUAUGUGUGGGUAUAUUAUAUUCACUUUUCUUUUUUAGUAUGGUGGUUCAGUCCAUAUACUUUGCACUGCACCUUACUUUUUCCACUAAGUAAUAUAUCUCAGAGAUUAGUCCAUAUCAACAUAGGUAGAAAGACUUCAGGGGCGCCUGGGUGGCUCAGUUGGUUGAGCGUCUGACUUUGGCUCAGGUCAUGAUCUCACAGUUUGUGGGUUUGAGCCCCGCAUCGGGCUCUGUGCUGACAGCUCAGAGCCUGGAGCCUGCUUCGGAUUCUGUGUCUCACUCUCUCUCUGCCCCUCCCCUGCUCGCGCUCUGUCUCAAAAAUAAAUAAAAUUUAAAAAGACUUCAUUCUUUUAACAACAGUGUGUUCCAUUGCAUUGCUGUAUUAUUAUAUAUUUAAUUAAUUCCCUACUGAAGGACAUUAAGACUGUUUCAGUGUUUUUUUUUGUUUUGUUUUGUUUUUUGUUUUUUGUUUUUUGUUUUUUUCCAACGUUUAUUUAUUUUGGGGACAGAGAGAGACAGAGCAUGAACGGGGGAGGGGCAGAGAGAGAGGGAGACACAGAAUCAGAAACAGGCUCCAGGCUCUGAGCCAUCAGCCCAGAGCCUGACACGGGGCUUGAACUCAUGGACCGCGAGAUCGUGACCUGGCUGAAGUUGGACGCUUAACCGACUGCGCCACCCAGGCGCCCCUGUUUCAGUGUUUUUAAUUUACUAAUGACACAGUGUUGAAUAAUAUCUUUGAACAUGUGAACGGUCUCAGAUGUGGACUGAGAUCUGUAGAGUGAAUUCCUAGAAGUAGGUUUUGUGUUGUGUUUCAAAAGGAAUAUGUACAUUUAAAUGUUGGUCCAUCAAAAGGGUUGUGCCAAUUCAUUGUCCAGCAACUAUGAAUGAUGACACUUGUCAGGUGGGUGAAAACCUUUAUUAUAACAGUGAAACCAAUGACAACUUAUGUGUAUGUGUGUUGCAUUAUAAUUGCCAGAGAGUCUUGCCAACUAUUAUUUAUUUAGUCACCAAACAACUCUAGAAAGUAGAUAUUUGCUUUCUAAUUUUGUGAGGGUGGGGAGACUUGGAGAGAUUGAUCAUUUGCCUAGCUAGUGAAUGGUAAAGUCAGGAUUUGAACCCAGAUCUCUCAGAUACCAAAGCCCAGAUGGACUCUAGUUCAGCCUUUGCAGAAAAAGGCUUCCCAAGGCCACACUCAGAGUUCUGUCUCUUAGAGACUGAACAACCUGUCCCUAAAAAUAACAUGACAUUAUCUUGAUAAGACCUUGGCAGAAAUGCUGUUUAGAGCGUUGUAGCCACAGAAUGAGGGUCAGACUAACUGACCUUCAGGGUCCUUUCCACAGUUUAAGCUUGCUCACAUCUCAGCCUUAAUAACUGCAUUGACAAAAUGAGAAUAAUAUUGCCUCCUUCUAACUACAUUAGAAUGUCAUGAAGGUAAAGGAGAUAGUAUCCCUGAAGCACUUAACAAAAAGAAACUCUAUAAACCCACAUUAGGCUGGUGGGGGGCUGGGGUUGCUGCCAUGGUAUGGAGCUGUCCAGUCUGCUUGGCCUCCCCAGGUAUUUAUCAGGACUAAGCUCCCUCAAAUGGAUCUGUAUUAGAUACAGAUACAAGUAUAAACAUGUGCUCAUGUACACACGCUGAACUACUUCUAACUGACCGGCACAUUGUGUAGGGAUUCACAGAAUUUUAAAAUUUUUAUUGACAUCUAGCUCAGCUCACUGUAAGUUUCUCAGUCACACUCUUGUAAAUGUCACAACAAUCCCCACAAGUUAAGCAUUAGUUACUUCCUUUUUCUGAGAGGGUGGACACCAAAGCUCAGAGAGGUGAAUUUUCUCUGUCAGGGUCAUACAGCAAAUAGGGAGCAGAGCAGGGAUUAGAACCCGGGUUGUCUGAUGUGGGCUUUGUGUGCUUUCCUUUCCCAAAGCUUAGCUCAAGCUUUACCCCUUCUGGGGUACAUUUCUAUAUGCUCCGGUAUAUAGAACUCCGGUGUGGAGUUCUUUCAAGGCAGUAAUGGUGGCUUCUUCAUUUCUACACCCCCAGCCCUUAACACUGGGCUUCAGCCACGGUGCUGGAGUAGGAAAGGAACUGCCAAUUUUCAAGUGUCUGUGUGUGUCAGGAAGCAUAGCACUCAGUGAAUGGAAGGACCUGGGAUUCAAAAUGAGGUCUGUCUUAUUCCAAAGCCUGGGCUCUUACCAAGAUAUCAUCACCCCCUCAUCGACCCUGUGUGUUUAGCAUGAAGUCGGAAAUCUAUUUUUUUGUAAAUAAAGUUUUAUUGGAAUACAGCCACCACCAUUUGUUUACACAUUGUUUGUGAAGCUGCUUAAAAAAAAAAAAACAAAAAAAAACAAAACUUCACUGAAAUAUAAUUCACAUACCAUUUCAAGUGUACACCCAGUUUAGAAAAUCAUAUCCCAUUCUUACAGGACAAGAGAAUGGUAGAAGACUGUUUCCUUGUUGGUGUCUUGAAAGUGAAGCAGUGUCCAUGUGCGAACAAGGAGAGAAGACGUCGGAAGGGGAACCACUGGGCAUAUUAGCGGUGACCCCUGAUUUAGAGUUUAACCUAAAGACUUUAAGCAGAUGAGUUCACAGAAGCACGUGGGUAACUGAUUUCAGAGCACCCAAGGCCUCCCCUCUUUAAAAGAAAACAUACACAAACAGCCCACCUCUCAAGGUACCUGCCUCUUUAACACACAGCUAAAGCCAGGGUAACGGUGGGGAGGAAAUGGGAAUGCUAAUGGGCAUAGUAAAGGUGAAAAGAAAUAUUAGCAAAACAUGCUCUGGGAGUUCAAAGGUAGAUGCGAUCACAGAAGUUUCCAAAGCCUUUUGUGUCCUUCUCUCAUUUAACCUUUAUUCCGACUGUGCGGGGCAGGAUUAUUCUCCCUAAUUUACAGGUGAGGAGCCUGGAUGAACUUUUCUAUUUCAAGAUUCAGUAGAUUUCAAGCCCAAGUUUCUGAAGUAUUCAGUCAAAACCCAGGGCUCUCGGGGCUCCCUUGGGGACAGCUCCAUCCAUGACUGUCCUCCGCUGCUGAGAAGCAUGGAUAGCCUGGAAAUUCAGAUCUGGCCUUGGGCCUGGGGACUCUUAUACUGUCCUUACUCCAUCGGGAGGAGGGGAACGUGGGGAAAAUCAGCGGGAGUAGGAAAGAUACAUUUAGAGAAGAGUGUUUGGACUGGCCCAGCUGGUGGGGAUCACCCCUUCCUUGGAUGACUGGGGAACACGGGUACCCAUGUGGGCUCUGGAGUCAUUCUGCUGGCUCCCUUAGGCAGGGAGCCUUGACCUGUGCCUCCGUUUCCUAUCUUCAUUAUUGUUCUUUUCCUAGGGUUAUUUUGAGAAUGAAGUGAACUACUUUUUUCCCAGACCCCUAAGGAUAUUGCCUAGUGUGUGUAGUGAGCACUUAGGACACGUUGGCUAUUAUGAUUUCGCGUUCAGGAAUAUUAGCUGGAGCUGGAAUAUAAAGGGACUUGGAUGCCAGGCUGUAAAGCCCGUCUUUGGUUCUCUAGCUUUUCGUUUUUUGAACCUGAUGACAUCUGGGCUUUGGGAAGGUUUACCUAUGUUAGAAUGGAUUUAAAUAGCAGAAAAACUGGAGCCAAGAGAUGGCGAAGGGGCUGCUGCCAAGGGCUUGAUGGUAAUUUCGGUGUCUGGGAGAGGAGGGCCGGCCCUGCAGACUGCACAGUGUCAGUGCCUGUCAAACUGCCCGCUCUGAGGUGCUGGUUUGGCUGUUAUGGCCCAGAUUCUGCCGUCGGGGAGCACUUUUGCCUAUUCCUUUAGAGGAAAUAGGCGUCAUUUUCUUUCACCUGCCUGGGAGAGUGACUGUCUUUAUGGAGCACCAAGGAAGAAGGCCUGGGGUCUCUGCAGAGAGUUGCCAGCUCAGGAGCUGGCAUCAGGGUGGAAGCAUCGGCCCCAACCAGCAGCCCAGCUGAGCUGGGCUCUAUUUUAAGUACAGCAAAGGGCUCACCUAAAAGUCUCCUCCUAGGGUACAGCCUAACAGCAUGCCAUUAUGCUCUUUCUGGGUAAUGGUAGGCUCCAGGCUUGGCUACGCAGAGAGUCUCCCCCAAGAUUAACCCCUGCCACACGUGCCAUCUUCCCACUUCCUCCCAUGACAAUAGUUGUGCAGUCUGUUGGGAGUCAGACUCUAGGGGCUCUGAGCUCGUUGGCUGCUUGGCUCCCUUUCUGCUCCGCAUCAUGCACAUACCCAAGCCUUUAAUAUACUGCAUGUGGGCUUUCUCCGACUCUGCCUCUCCAUCCCGAGCGAGGCUUUGGCUAAAUGUGGUGCCCAAUAACUUCAAGGGAUCAAGUGCUUUCAAGAAAUUUUUCUCCUAAGAAGAUGAGCUGGGGGGAAUUGACAGCCAGGCUGCCAGCUUUGAUGUCUUAAGUAUGAAAUUUCAAUGGCUUACCAGCCGCCAAGCUCUGGUUUUAGUGCAAACGGGGUAAGAUUUAAGGAAAUGAUCACAUCUCCUGCCCUAUGGGAGACAAGUAAUGAUGGUGGAGCCGCCCAAGGAACCCAGAGGGAGAAAGGGGGAGAUUCUGACCUGGCAUUUUCAGCUGGCCUAGGGGACCUGCUGAAUCUCUUUCUUUUUAGAGAUAAUUUGGUUUGGUAUUUUUCCACAGUAAAAUACAUACUUAUUUAUCAGAAAUUCAGGGAAAAUAUUGAAAGUCAGAAAGAGGAAGACAAAGCAGUGUUUUUGCAAUUCCCCAAAGAAAACUAUUUUGGUGUGUUUCCUUCUAGUUAUUUUUCUAAGAUUAAAAAAAAAAAGAAGUUGUUAUAUUUGUUCUUUGUUUAUCUAUUUACAUUCCUACAUGUCUAUUUGUUUAUCUAAUUUAAUUGUAUGCCUCAGUUUUUAAAAAAUUUAUUUGGUUGGUUUUAUUUUUGCUUCGUCCAAUCAACAUGAUAAAACAUUUUUUUAAAUGUUUAUUUUUGAGAGAGAGAAAGAGAGAGAGCAGGCAAGCAGGGAAGGAGCAGAGAGAGAGGGGGAGAAAGAAUCCCAAGCAGACUCCAUGCUGUCAAUGCAGAGCCAGAUGCAGGGUUCGAUCUUGUGAACUGUGAGAUCAUGACCUGAGCUGAAAUCAAGAGUCAGACACUUAACCAACUGAGCCACCCAGGCUCCCCUAAAAUACGUUUUUAAGUUAGUGCAAACUCUCUGCAAUCUGCAUAAAUACUUGUUGGAACAGGGAUUGCCAAGAGUUAGGGUACAUGAAAAUCACCUACAGAGUUUAUGGAAAUGUGGAAGGAGUGCCUGGAAAUCCAAAUUUUAAUAAUAAUUCCAGAUGACUUGUAGGCAUGUGGCUCAUGGGCCACACUUCGAAAAACAUUUACUACAUUUUUUAAAGGUAUUAUUUUUAAGUAAUCUCUACGCGCAGUGUGGGGCUCAAACUCACAACGCUGACAUCAAGAGUCUCAGGCUCUACCAACUGAGCCAGCCAGGUGCCCCCACAAAACAUUCACAUCAAGCUAAAUAUUAUGGUUCUGUUGGCCUAUUGAGUGGAUUUUUCAUGGACUUAUCCAUUUUUAUCAUAAUGAAUUUCUAGGUUGUUUAUAGUUUAAUAUAAACAAUGCCGUAAUGACUAUCUCUGGUCAUUCACUUAUUCAUACUUUCAAUAGGCAUUUUUUGAGUACCGUACAAGGUAAGCCUUUUUCCAUGUGCUGGAAAGACCAGUGACCAAACAGAUCCAUUUCCUGCCUUGAGCUUUUAUCUAAUGGAGAGAAAGACAAACAGAAUCACAAAAUUAGAUUAGUAUAAAUUGUGAUGAUGCUAUAAAGGAAAGAUUCAGGCUGCUGUGGGCAGGCAAAUCAUUUAUUCAGGAGGCCAGAAAAACCUCUUUGAGAAGGUGUCGUGUCAGUGCAGCUUGAGGGAAGAAGAGUAGUUAGCUGACAUCAUUUUUAAGAUUUGCAGUACAACUAUUGGAUUAAAGGGUACUGACUUUUUUUUUAAAAAAAUUUUUUUUUUCAACGUUUAUUUAUUUUUGGGACAGAGAGAGACAGAGCAUGAACGGGGGAGGGGCAGAGAGAGAGGGAGACACAGAAUCGGAAACAGGCUCCAGGCUCUGAGCCAUCAGCUCAGAGCCCGACGCGGGGCUCGAACUCACGGACCGCGAGAUCGUGACCUGGCUGAAGUCGGACGUUUAACCGACUGCGCCACCCAGGCGCCCCUAAAGGGUACUGACUUUUAACACAACCUUCUUAAUCCCCCUCAGGUUUCAAUGUCCACAUUCACAUGUGCAGGAUAUAUAUCUGGGAGGGUCCCCUCAGGAAACGAAAAACCAUAUUUAGUAGUUCCCACAGAGGGGGGUUGAUAUAGGGGAUUCGUUAUAAAAUAGUUGGAAAGGUUGAAAGAAGAAAAGAAAAAGGUGAGUGGGUCAGAGAUUAGUAAAUACAGGAAGUAGCUACCUCACCUAGGCUUGAGUGGAUGUAAAGAAAGGUGUGGUGUUUCCAAUGCCUGACAAUCCCCUCCUACUAAGCUACUCUGUGAUGGGCCAGGGGGACCAGCCCAUGCUGGAAUCAGUGAGAAGGGAUUGUCAAGGCUGGAGUUGGAACCAGAGAGAAGGCAUCACAUGGCUUGUGCUGGGACAUCCAGAUACUGGGCUGUAGUGCUGAACCUCUGGGGAAGGUCACUGGUUGUUGAUGAAAGUGCUGAGCUAACACUGCAUGACUGACGGGGAAGUUUCAGGGGCUACCACUUGGCUGGAGCCAAGUGGACUUGUGGAGUUGCUGCUGGGCUCCAGUCCUGGGAUCCAGGAAGAUGCUUUGUACUGUAGAGGAGGAAACUUCCAAAGAUGCCAGAGAUCCUGGGUGUCCCCUGCUACCGGAAGAUUGCUGGCAGAAACUGGAAGUAGGAAGCGAGUUCCUUCUCCCUUCUUCCUGACUUGCAACAGCCUACCAGGUCUUCCUAUGGACAAAACCUAAGCAAAAGCCACCAGGUAAAAGAACAUAAGAAAUGCAGGUUUGGGUGUUAGGCAGAAGGGCAGAAAUGGGACCUGAGACUAAAUGGGCAUAUGGUCAGCACACAGAGAAAGGAGACAUCCUCUUACUGGUACCCUUCCUCCUCUGACCUUGUGCAUUGCCCCUGCAGGAAAUUAGACCAGCUCAGUAGUCAUCCAUUCCAUGGCCCCUCUAUACCCCCUCCCCAAUCCUUUCUUUUCUAAAUGUAUUUGCACAUAUAUCUGACUCUGAAUUAUCAAAGUCAGUACUCUGUUGAUUGGAUAGAUAGAUGACAAUUGAAUGAAUUAUAGCUGCUCCUAGGCAUUGCUAAGAAUCUGGACCUGUGCAUAGUGUCUACAUUUGUUCUUCCCCUAAAGCCUUACAUCUGCCCCUUCGGGUAGGUAUUAUCACUCCCAUUUAGCAGUGAGACGGAAGCUCCAAGAAGUGAAGUGACUUGCUUACUGUCACACAUUUCCUGAGUAGUAAUGAGACCCAAACCUGGGUCUGCAGGCCUCUAUACCUGCUACUCCUUUAGAAAUUUCCAUAGUAUAGGCCAACAUUUAAAGGCCAUUCUGAGAUAAUUCUUAGAGGCAGGUGGAGAGCGGCUUGUUGAACAUACUGAGUUUCUGGGAGGAUAUAUUCGUAGUUACCUGGAAGCUAACUGACCCUGGAAGUCCAGUGGAAAUGACAACCUUGCCAUUCGAGGCCAUGAUAUGGCUCCGGGCUUCUGUCUGAAACCCUCCGCUGACCUUUUCCUAACACUUGGCAUUUUAGUGUUCCGUUGAUUACAGAACACUUACAUGCAGCACGCAGUUGACUGUUUGUUAAAAUGGAAAGUGGGAAAAAAAAUAGAAGAGAAAAUACACGCUUGCCAGAGCAGUGCUGUGGAGCGGCUGUUCCCUAGGUAUUCAUCUCAGUACGUCUAAACACCUAUAAUUAAACUAGCUUUGGAGCAGUGCCUCUUGGAGAGGGUAGAAGAAUCAAUUCUGCAGCAUUUGGAUCUUGUUUUUUGUACACACUGCUCAGCAGUGAAGAUGUUCAAAAAAGACCAGAUGCUGUGGCUCAAGAAUGCAAUUACCCACCUAUCAGGGUGAAUGGAUGAUGGUCUGGUCUUGGGGACAUCCAAGCUCAGGGCAGCAGAGGGAAAGAGACAAGUGAUGAAUAUGGUGUCCUCCAAUUCUGUCUGUACCCCAGUCUCAUUUCCUUGCCGGGAAUUGUAUUUUUAUAUCCUGGAUGCAGUGAUCACUGGGUAGCUUUGUGUUAAACAGCUAAUUAAUGGGAACUGAAGUCAGCUGUCCUAUUCGUGAGACUCUAGACCAGGCAGAGACGCUUCACUCAUCUGGAAAAAUAAGUUGGGAUCAAGCUGUAUCUUCUAUAGAAAUAUGUGAGGAGGCAUUGCUGUCAGAUGCCAGUACCAGCCAGCACUGUCUGGCUUCUCAUGAAUCAUUGAAAUGACCUGAGCCUUCGGUCUGAGUUGAUGGUAGCUAAUGUGCGCCAUAUAAUCUCAUAUGCUCGGAAUGUCUUGUGAACCAAGCAUGCUAUCAAGAUACAGUUUUAAUUAACAUUUGCUUUUUAGAUAAUAUACGCAAUUUAUUUUGGCAAGAGUUCAUUGAAUGUAAAAUCUACAUAAUUAAGAUACUAAACCUGCAAUAUUUUUUUUUCUUUGCAGUAAUUUUUGCUGAAUGACACAGAUUCUGCAACAUUUAUUAUCCAGCAGAUAGCUGCGAUGGGCAAUCGCGAUUUCAUACUUUCUUUUUCUCUUCUUCUUUUCUUCUUUGCUUCUCUAAGCAAUGGAUACAAAGUCACAUAAUCAAUUUUAUUCACUUUUUAGAUUUGAGGGUAUCCGAUCUUUUUCUGAAUUCAAUUUGAUGUUAAAAAGAAUGCAAAGAAAACAUGCUCGUGAUUCUCCUGCACAGAAAUCUGCUGUAAAAAUAGGGCUUAUUUUAUAUUUUAAUAUGAUUUUGUGAGUUUAUUUCACUAAGUUUUUCACCAUCAUGACGGGAUUCUGGGGUAUGAUCAACCAAGAGCACACCGGAAGAGACCUUAAUGAUCAUUAAGAUAACUCCUCAUUUUACCAAGACAGCCUUGGCCACUGAGUCUCCGAGUGGAAAUGUGACUUGCUCAAGGUCAUUCUUACAACACGGUGGAGCCGGGACCAAGACUAGACCCUUGACUAGUGUACCUACUUUUCUACUAUUCCUGCAGCUUCCCUUUAAGAACCAUCUGCCCUCUACCUGCAAAGAGCCUCUUCCACCAUCAUCAACUACGUCUUGUAAACUUUAAAUGCCUUCAUAUAAUGUAAAAUAGGCCAGCUUGGGGGAGUGGGAGCAAAAUAGACCUGGUUCCCAAAACCUUUGCCUGUAGGGAAGAACAGCACAAUGGCCGAAUCCCAAUUGCUUUGUUCUUUGUGAUAAUCCAUAUAAUUGGGUCAGAGGGCUAAUGACUUGGCUUCAUGAAUCUGAGCCAUAUGCCUCCAUGAUUUGCAGCCAGCCACAUGCCUGCAAUGAGAGCGUUCAUGAUGGAAGCCCAGGGCCUCAGCUGGGGGAAAUAGCAGCCAGACCAAAGCUGGGAAUGGGAAACAGAAUGGCCCCUGGUUAUGAGGCCAUUUUCUAGAGGCUCCCUCCACCCCUUCCAAUCUGCUUGGUCUCUGAGCUGCCAAGUUCCUCCCAAACAGGCCCUUGACAAGGGCCUUUCCCGAAGACUCUGACUGCACUCAGAGUGCGGUAGGCAGGGAUUGCGCCAGUGUCAGCCUCUUCUCUCAGAUCUGUAGUAAGCUGCUAAUUAGUGUCAGUAAUUGCUGGAGGAGAGGAUAGCUGGCUGCCCAUCAGCCUUGGGAAGGAGGGGGUGCUCGUUCCCUCCCUCCCUCCCUCCCGGCUCCCUCCUCUCUAGUGUUAAGCCAUAAAUCUAUAUCGGUUAAAUCGGCUGUUGGGCCGCUUGUUGAAAAGGACGUCAGUGGAGUCGCGUCAGGUUAAUGGGUUUAGCUAAUGUAUGGGCAUAAGGAUAAAUAACCGAUCAUGCAUUGUAGCCAGAGGCAGAAGGAUGGAGGUCUUUGAGAGUCAUCAAAGCAGGGGACUCACAAGUACCCUUCUGAGGACUUGGGCCCUGCUCUUCUGGGGAGGAGUCCCACAGAAUCCCUUUCUUGGGCAACUCUGUUAAAGGAACAAGAAAACAGUACUUUCUAUCGGUGAAUCAUAGGCCAAUAGAUGGUGUGGAGGAACAGAAGGCUUAGAUUUGGUGCAGAUCUGCAGGUUGAGGUCCUGUUACUGGUGCUGUCACAGAUGGCUGUAACCUGGGGCAAAGGAUGAACUUCUCUAAGCCUCCGCUUUCCCAUCACUGCAAUGGGGCUGGAAAGAGCAUCUAUCUUACAGUAUCAUUGAAAUGAGCUGAUACACAUACAAUGUCCAGUACAAUACUGGGUAUAUAAUCACUAGUCAUAAAGUGAGCACUUAAUAAAUACUACGAAUUAGAUAAAAAUAUUAACACACCGGGCACAUGGGUGCUUGUGAGCUAGUAAAUUUCAGUGGAAUUUCACACAGAUCCUGGUGUCCCUUUUCCAUCAACUCAGAAGACCUAUUUGUUUCUGACUGCCCCACGGUCAUUUGUCUCUUUACCACCCCUCUCCCACCUUUUUGGCAUUGGUAUAUGAGGAAGAGGUGGAGGAAUUAUGGCCACCAGAUAUCUGUGCUGUGCAUAGCCUUCUGUAUCAUAUGUGCCCCGUGCAUUAAUGCCCAGUGUGGCAGUACUGAAAGCCCUGCUUAUGUCCCAAUAAAGCGUUCCUUCUAAGACAUACUGCAAAGCUUCAGUAGUUUAGAUACAGACUAUCCAAUGAUAUGGAGCAGCUGUGGUUUAGUUUUAUUUGCAUGUGGUAUAAUUAUAAAAUAAUGCUAUUGGUAUGUGUGUGUAGGUAUAUGUUUUUACCUUCCAUUUCCCAAAGAUCUAGCUAUUUUCUUUGCCUACAAUAUUCAUUUGCUCAGCAAAUAUGUAAUAUAUAUUAUGUUCUUAUUUUUAUAUGUAUAUUUGCUAAGAAAAUGUGUCUUGCCCAUGUGCAUACACAUCUCUUCAUUUAUUCAUUCCACAAAUAUUUAUUGAGCACCAAGUGAAUCACAGAAUUUUAGAGCUAGAAAGGAAGGACAUGCAAUCAUCCUAUUCAGGGAUCUCAGUUUAGAGAAGAAGAAGAUGGGAUCUUAACAUGACAAGCCCCCCACCUUCCCCCUAGGUACCCUUCUCCCCCAUCUUCACUUAGAGAUUAUGGUCCAUCAAUAUAAUUACCUUAUAACAAUCUCCAGUAGCCCUCAUCUCCCUCUCUGUCCUGCUGAGCUGUCCAGACCACAGUUCUGGAAAGCCUAGCUGUCUUCCUCUCCUGGCACCAGAGCAGCUGCAGGUAGCUGGAUAAAAUUGCAGCUUGAUUGCACUUCAUGACCUCACACCUCCAUUUCAGGGAGUAUGGCAAAAUGGUUAGGAGCUAAGGCAUAUUGCCUGGGUUCAUUCAUAUACUAGUUCUGCCAUGUUCUAGCUUUGGAAUCCUGGGCAAGUUACUUAACCUCUCUGUGCCUUAUUUUUCUCAUGUAGAAUAAGGAUAACAUCCUUUAUCUCACAAGAUUGUUUUGAAGGUUAAAGAAGUAAAAAUACAUGAAGCAUUUAGAGCAGUACCUGAUACUAUAGAGGUAUAUAUUCAUUAUCAUUAUUGGAUACUCUACAUUGUUGUCUCUUCUACAUACACAAAGGCUGCUGGGUCUCCAGCCAUCCAAACCACAUUCCAGGACAGCAGGAAGGGAAAGGGGCUUUUGCCUUUUGAGUCAGCUCCUUUAAGAAUCCUUUCCAGAAGGUUCUCACAGCUUCUAUUUACAGCAUCUGGCUUCAUGGACAUGCCUGGCUGGAAGAGAGACUUCGAAAUGAGAUCUUUAUUCUAAAUAGUAUUGCACCCCAAAGGGGAUACUGUUACUAAGGAAAAAGGGAACACAGAACCUCUUCAGGCAAAUGGCAGACCUUACCACAUCCACAAGGCCAAAUUUAAUGGACUCUUCUCUGACUUCCUCUCCCUUAGCUGCCCAGGAACACCCAUUCCACUCCUCUGUAUACACUUGUCUGUCUUGGCUUCUCUGAGUCCACACCCGAUUGGUUUUCCUCCCACUUCUCUGGCUACUGCCUUUCCAUCUGUUUUGCUGGCUUCUCCUCUUCUUCCCAAUCUCUGUAUGUUAGUGGGCCCCAGGUUACUACUGAACUCCCUUCUCCAGCUCAGCUCAUUCCUGUGGUGGGUGAUGCCCCACUCGUGCUGGCAGUUUCCACAUUUAGAUGUCUAACUCAGCCUUUACUCUAAACCCCAUACCCGCACCUAUUUGCCAUCUUCUCUCCGUUUGUAUAUUGAAGAACCAUCUCAAACUUACAUUUUAAAGCAUAAUUCUUGAUUUCUCAUCAAAUGGGUUUCUUUCCCAGGCUGCCCCAUCUCAGCACAUGGAUACAGCCCCAAUCUGCUGGAAGUUCAACACUUUAGAAACUACCCUUGAUGGUUCCUCGCUCUUUAAGCCCCCGCUCCCUUUUGCAACACCCAAAUAAUUCUCAACUCUGUCUACCUCUUCCCACAUUGGUAAGCGCUGCUGUGGUCCAAGCCAGCAAUAGUCUUCACCUUGACUGCUUUGAGUCCAUCUCAAUGACUCUCCCUACCUGAAUGUUUUCUCCUACAGCAGAGCACAGUGGCUGAGUGCCAGAACUCCGGACCCAGAUGCCUGGGUUCAAAUCUUAGCUCCAACAUGUGCUAGCCAUGUGACCUGGACAAGUUUCUUAACUUUUUUUUUUUUUUUUGGUCUCGAUUUGUUCAUCUAUAAAAUGAGAAUAAUAAUAGUACCUAUUUUAUAGGGUUAUUAUGAGCACUAAAUGAGUUAAUAUAUGAAAGCACUCAGAGCAAUGCCUGGCAUAAAAUAAGCAUGAUCAAUAAAUGUUAGCUAUUAUCGUCAGCUAUUACUACCAUACAUUUUUCGUGGAGUAGCCACAGUGAUCUUUUAAAAACAUAAAUUAGGGGCGCCUGGGUGGCGCAGCCGGUUAAGCGUCCGACUUCAGCCAGGUCACGAUCUCGCGGUCCGUGAGUUCGAGCCCCGCGUCGGGCUCUGGGCUGAUGGCUCAGAGCCUGGAGCCUGUUUCCGAUUCUGUGUCUCCCUCUCUCUCUGCCCCUCCCCCGUUCAUGCUCUGUCUCUCUCUGUCCCAAAAAUAAAUAAACGUUGAAAAAAAAAAUUUAAAAACAUAAAUUAAAUCCUUUCACUCCCUGUGCUUAAAACUUGCCAGUGAUUUCCCAUUUCAGUCGCAAUAAAAUUCUAACACAUUACGAGGGCCAAAGGUCCCACAUUACCUAGCCCUUGGCUCCUCCAAUCUCUGCUCAUAGCUCUGUCCCCGUCAUACAGGAUCCUCAAGCUACACCUGCUUCAUUUUCAGUCCUUUAACAUUGCAAGCUCUUUGCUUUCUCUGGUGCGUUGUCCUGUUCUUCCGUCUGUCUGCAAUGCUCUUCCCUCUCUCCAGCUGUUCAUAGGACUGACUCCUCUAUUUUCAGAUCUCAGUUACAUGACCUCCUCCUCUGUAAAACCCUCCCUGACCAUAUGCCAAAAGGGGUAUCCCUGCUCUGGUCAUUCUCCCUCUUCCUUUUCCAUGGUACUUAACACAAUUUUUCAGUUAUAUUAUUGGCUUGUUUGCUUAUUUUAUAGUCUCCUUCUCUUUCCCUCUACUACUUGUGGGGUUUCUGAGAGCAGAAACCUUUCCUAUCUUGAACAGUCAUGGAUCCUAGGACCUAAACCGGUGAUGGCACCUAGUAGGUGCUCACAAAGGAGGUGGCAAAUGAAAGAUGACUCUUGAGCAAGAUUUUAAAGAAUAAAUAGGAAUUCUCCAGAUGCACAAAGAGAACAAGGAUUUGAGGCAAAGGGAACAGCAUUUGCAAAUGCAUUCAGAUGUGAAGCAGAGUAAUGCCUUGCUCUCAAAAAAGUGGGGUGUGGUCCUCAGACCAGCAGCAUUGGCCUCACCUGAGAGCUUGUUAGAAAUGCAGAACCUCAGGUCCCUAGCCUAGACACACUGAAUGUGCAUUUUAAGAAGACUCCCAGGUGAUUCCUUUGGGAAACACUGGAGUAGUAUGUACAAGGGGCCAGAAAUAGCCAUUGCGAUUAGAGCAUAAAGUAUUUGCAUCUCAUGUAAACGUCCAAGCUCUGUGACUACUUUUGCUAAGUUUAUCAGAGGUCUGCACCAUUCUAAGCAGUCUGGCAAGGUGAAUUUUCUUUCCCUGUCCUCUGAUAAAGAUUGUCUGAGAUCUUGAGCUGUCACUUUGUGCUUUAGUUGAAGCACUCAUUCCUGGGUUGCAUUGCACAAUAACCCUUGAGCACCUGUUACCUUCCAGGCAGUGUGCUGGAGACACAGCAGUGAGGGGAUGUAAGCCCAUCCCUCAAGGAGCUCAGCAUGAAAAUGGGUUUUAUAAUACAGUUCCAGAUCCCUCUGUGUGACUUUCCAGGUUUCCCUGUCAGGAAUAAAGGUCAGCGGGGUGAAUGGGAUGGUGGGGGAGGGGGGAGGGAAUGAAACCUCAGAGGACUGAGGGUGGGGAGAAACAGGAUAAGAGGGAGCUAGAAGGCCUACAGUUUUCUCCUUCAAGAGAUCAUUUGGAGAACAGAAAGAAUAGUGGCAGCAGUAGAUUCCAACACGCUAAUACAAAAAGGAAUCCAUGACUCUAGAGUGAUACUAAAAAUUAUAGAGGGAGAAAGGAAGCUCUUUGUACAGAAGACGCCAACCACUGUAUGAGGAAUGGUAGAAUUAGAAAACUACUAUCUUGCAACUGCUAGAAUAAUAAUUGCUUUAUUGUACGUUAACUAACUAGAAUUGAGACAAAAAUAAACAAAACAAAACAAAGCAAAAAAGAAAUUAAUGGAAAAAUACAAAAACGUAAGACUAUUAAGGAUUUGAAUAUCACACUUACUAGUUUAAUCAAAGCAAUUGAGAUGACUUAACAUAAUUUAAAUACAUUACUGAGUUUAGAUGUACCCCUCCCUCUUUCUGUAUAAUAUCGAGUCCUCAAUAUAACCUAUAAUCGUUAUAUAUUAUUAUAUGUUCUUCACUCCCUCUCUGUACUCCAGCUACCCCACACACAUAUAACGAUCUCAAGAUCUAAUCAUAAUUGGGCCAUGGAGGAAACCUUAACAUUUUUCAAAAGGCAGAAAUUAAGGUGGCCACACUCACUGGCCACAACCAGGCCAACUUAGAAAUUACUGAGACAAUGCAUAAAAUCUACACACAUACAAAUUAAACAUAAAAAAGUAAUUAUGAUUGCCUUAGACAAGUAUUAUCAAUGGAUGCUGAAAGCACCAUAUUAUAAGUUAUUUGGGAAAAGGAUAUGCAUACACUCUCAAAUAGCAUCCCACAGGGCACUGAUUAAUUAUAUAGGGGAAGGGGUAACUUUUUACCUUUGCAAUGAAGAAAUCUGGUAGACACCAUAUUUACCAUGUGAUAAUUUUAUUUAUUCUUUGUACUUUUAUGUUUUUUAUGUUUAUUUAUUUUUUAAAAACUUUUAAUGUUUUUAUUUAUUUUUGAGAUAGACAGAGCAUGAAUGGAGGAGGGGCAGAGAGAAAGGGAGACACAGAAUCCAAGCAGGCUCCAGUCUCUGAGCUGUCGGCAUAGAGCCCUAUGUGGGGCUUGAACCCACGAACCAUGACCUGAGCCUAAGUCAGACAUUUAACUGACUGAGCUACCCAGGUGCCCCACCAUAUGAUAAUUGUAAAGUCAUCAAUGAUGGGACCAACUGGAAUCAUGUGAUUGAAACUGAGGAUUAUUCUGAAGAACACCUGGCUAUGUUAUUCAAAAAUGUCCAUAUCAUGGGGAUAAAAGGGCUGAGGACCAGUUUCAGGUUAUAGGCUAACAAAAAAUCACAAUCAAAUGCAACUUGAUUAGAUCCUUGAUUAGAUCCUACAUGGCAAACAAUUGUUCAGAGGACAUUAUUGGGACAAUUGGGGACAUCUGAAUAUGGACUAUAUAUUAGGUAACGGUUCUCUAAUGUACUGAGCAAGAUCAUAGUAUUGUGGCUAGGCAGGAAAAUAUUCUUGUUCCUAGAAGAUACAUGCUCAGGAAUUCAGGGGUGAAAGGUCAUGAUGUUUCCAACUUACUCUCAAGUGGUUUAAAGGAAAAAAAAUAAAGUAUAUAGGGAAAGAGAUAAGAUAAAUGUGACAAAAUAUUAAGCGUUGGUGUAUCUAGGUAAAGGAUAUUGAGGUAUUCAUUGUGUUAUAAUUGCAACUUUAAAGUAGGUUUAAAUUUUGUUUUAAAUAAAAAGAGUGUUUUACUAUCCCUGGGGGGCUGAUCCUAUACAGACCGAGUUCAGUGUAUACAGUGGAUUCUCAAAACUCACAUCAUUUGGGAUUUGAGUUAGCCUGACUACUGGCCCCUCAGCUUGCACCCCAGGAAGUGAGGUUGGCUCUGAGCAGAAGGGACAGGGGAGCCGGGCUUCUGUGGGCUCAGAUUUAGCCUCUGUCUGAAGCUUACAUCAUCCGCUUCUCUUCGGAGUGUCUGCACUAACGAGCCAUGAAUAUACAGUUCCCGACAGACUGGGGAACACUGAGGAUAAAAGCCCGCUUUCCUUUUCAGCAAAAACUGGGCCCCAAAGCCUCCCACCACAUCUAGGCCCCUUUCCUGCUGGCUGGGGAGGGUCUGGGAAAAGAGGGGCAGACUGUCAGGGUGGGAGCAGGUUCUGGCGUUUUCUUUGCAGGGGUAGGGGUCUUAUUGGGGUGAGCAGGGAAGCUAAAGAUGAGAUGAAAUUCUGAUUGUGAGUCAGGGCGAGUGAAUUUAAAGAACAUUUUUAGUCACAGAUGGUUGAAGAGAAAUACAGAGAACAGGCCCCAGCACCUCGUCUUCCUAGCUGAUUGCAGGGAGGGGGAGCUUGCUAAUGAACACAUUGAUUUCCCAGCUCCUCAGAACAAUAGCAAAUGCUUUUUGCAGUUAUUAAUUGGGAUCCCACAGCAGGUGUGGGGGAUGGAAGGCGCUAGUGAUUCUAAGUUUAUCUUUGGGGGUUAGGAGAAGAGAAAGAAUUUAAAGAGGAAGGAGGGAGUUCACGGAAUAUCGUGGCAAGAGAGCUGGAUUGGACGAUCCCAGGUUGACUUCAACUCUCACCUUGCUGUGAGCAGCAGAACCUCUUUAACACUUUGCUUUCCUCAUUGGUACAAGUUUGGAUAAUCAUUUUCCUUCGUUUAUUUAUUUUUGAGAGAAAGAGAGAGAGAGAGAUCGAUCCUUCAUGUGGAUAACAUGAAUACCAAGUGUAUUAGUUAAUACCUCUACAAAGUGCUUUGUAAGCUUUCCAGGUUAUGCACUGUUUGUUUUUCUUGUCAGUCAUUUAUUUCUAAAGUCUUUAUUAAGCACCUACGGUGUACCAGGUGCUGUGCUACAUUCAGGAAAUGUGGCAACGAAUCAGAAAAUAGUCCCUGCCCCAUGGAACCUGUAGUCUAGGGAGGAAUAAAGCCAUUGGUCAAGUGACUACAAAUGCACUGAGAUAAGCCAGUGCUAUUCCAACAGGAAGCAUAAAACAGGUUAACCCAGGAAGUCAAGAAGGGCCCUUAUGGGAAGCAAUGGCAUUAAGGAGACCCAUCAUAAACAAUAACACUACCAGCCUUCCCCAUGGAGCAGGGUCAGAGACUUAAAUACCUAGGUUGGUCAGAUAGACAAAGGCUUGAAACCUUGAGAAAGAUGGAUUGAUUCAUAUCUCCCCACUGAGGUGAGACAAGCCAAUACGUCCUCAGAGCGACCCCUGCAGUCCUGCUAAGGUUGCCUAGCCUUGUCCACGAGGCAGUCCUAGAGCAGGGUAUUCCUUAUUCUCAUGAAGCUGACACACUGAUAACAAAGCUAGAGCUUUCCCAAAGAGGUUAGGCAACUCUCCCGCUCUCCCAAAUCAAGAGGCAGCAGGGAACUGAGGUCUCCUCAGAUUCCCCUAGCAUCCCACAAUGCACCUUCCAAGUGUACCUCUCGGGGGGAGGGGUCUAGUUAAUGACUGCCAUGAGCCUGUGCCCAGUGGUACUCAUAGUAUAUAUCCCCAGUCCUAGCUGAGCACCACCUUUUAUAAAACCACCCUGGAAAGACAGGACCUCUGGAUGCAGGCAGGAUAUUCUAGGAUAGAAAGCAUAUGCCGGGAAGGGAGGUUUGCAUUCACUUCCAUUGAGACUGAAGUUCCUGAGCAGCCAGAGAGAGAAACUGGGUGCUGAGCACAGAGUGCUCUACUUCUAGUAGACUUGGGGGCUGGACCGCAAAACAAAUGUUGUGUAUGGAGCAACAGUUAAGACAAAGGGUGGAUGAAAAUACCAUGGGCGGGUCUGAAGAAUCUUUUUUGCUUGCCCUUCAGCCGUGGAAGGCUUUGUAUAAAUCAGCAAAGCACUGCUGUUUUGUGGACUUUGGUUUCCUCCUCAAGUGGUGAUGGUGGGGGUGGGGGGUGGUAAUGGUGGAGGUGUGGUCUGUGUAUGUGAGUGUUUGAGAGUAGGGGAGCGAGAGGAGGGUUGGAGCAGUGGGAGGAGUAACUUACAGAGUAAGCCCUAAGACACCUUCAGCUGCUUCUGUUGAGUUUCUGCUGUAAUCAUUUACCAGUCUGUAAAAUGGAUAUAAACACUGCUUGUGUUCUUUAGAGAGAGAUUUCUUGAAUAGGACAAAAAGAGACAAUUUUGUAAGGCCUUCCACAUCGAACAAUGGGAUCAGAUCAUACACUUUCCACUUUGCCUUCAGGAUCCAGAUGAAAUUAGGAAAUAGCUUCUAUUUCAUGAGGAAACUUUUUUUUUUUCUACCAUGUACCAUACUCUCUAUUCAAGACUUCACAAAAGAAAAACAAGGAAUAAAAUUCACACGUUUGCGAGAAACUGCUGAUGUCUUUGAAUAGCUUCCCACAAGUAGGAAAAUCUGGUAUUUUAAAAAGUUGAUUUCCCACAUAUGAAAGAACACACUUAUUGAUGAUAUGGAUGAACAAACCAUUAAGUAAGUGUUGUUUAGGUUAAAACAAAAAAGCAGUACCCUUAUUCCCAGUGUCUGGAACAAACCAAUCCCAACCCCCACAAGGGGCAAGGAAUAGGUGAUAGAAAAUUUCAUGUGGUUCUUUAGUACACACACACACACACACACACACACACACAAAUGUAGAUAUAUUCUGGGAAUAUCGAAGAUCAGUUAAUUAUAUGUUCUAAGUGUUGUCUGUGCCUUAACCCAUUUAAUCCCACAACAAUUUUGUAAGUGAGUUGACUAUGAUCAGCCUCUUUUUCACAAAUGUGGAACAGAGAGGCCACAGGGGAGAGCUGAGAAGUGGUAGCACUGGGAGUUGAACCCAGGCCACAGAGCUUUAAUGUCUGCACCCUUGAAACAAAAAUAGAACACUUGCAAAUAAAAGACAUGUAAAGUCUAAUAAAUAUAGACUACACAUUUGCUGGCUGAUAUUUUCUUUUUCUUUCUUUCUUUUUUUAAAGUUUAUUUUUAUUUAUUUUGAGAGUGAGAGAGAGAGAGAGUGAGAGCAGGGGAGGGGCAGGGGGAGAGAGAGAAUCCCAAGCAGGCUCUGUGCUGUCAGUGCAGAGCCAGAUGCAGGGCUCGAUCUCACGACCCAUUAAAUCAUGACCUGGGCUGACACCAAGAGUCUGAUGCCCAACUGACUUAGCCACCCAGGCACCCCGACAUUUUCAUUUUAUGAAGUCCCACUUGGUCCAAAGUCUUACAUAUUUGCUAUACAACCUUCAUCAAAAUGUUGACUGUCAUGUACAUGGGCCUCACUGUUAUUUCUUACAACUUCAUGUGAAUCUACAAUUUUUUCAAUAAAAAUUUAAGAAAAGUUGGCUAGCAUUAUACAUGUCGAUAAACACUUUCUAACGUACCAGUGAAUUAAAAUUUAAGUUAUAAAACUACCUCGUUUAGAGUUAAAAAUCACUCUGUAAAUGUAAAUAAAUAUUUUACGGAAAUAUCCCAGCCACUGGUAGUGGGAGGCUUGCAAAUGAGUGGGUUAUGGAUGGCUCUGUUGUUUCAGCAUCUGCCUCUUGAUUUCAGCUCAGGUCAUGAUUCCCAGGUCAUGGGAUUGAGCCCCACAUCAGGCCUCCCUGCUGAGCAUGGAGCCUACUUAGAAUUCUCUCUCUCUCUCUCUCUCUCUCUCUCUCUCUCUCUCUCUCUCAAAUUAAAAAAAAAGCAAAAUUAAGAAAAUAAGAUGGGUCAAAGUCCCAGUCAAACUCUAUCUUAGAAAAGAUCCUUAACCUGUCUGAGCCUGUUUCCUAAAUAUGUAAAUGGGGAUAGGGAGGCCUACAUCAUUGCAUUGUUGGAAAAUGGCAGCCUUGAAACCAGGCUUGUCUGAUUCCAAAGCUGCUUGCUCUUAGCGGCUGCAUGCCACCCUGAGUGGAAAGAGAGUAGGUGCCAGGUGCAGAGAAGGGAGGCUAAUGGGGCUUAUCUGUAGACCCUGCCGCUUACCCCUCCAGCCCCUCUCUUCGGCCACUUUCCCGGGAACCCGUUCCUUACUGCGGGGGCUAUUCUCAGAUUGUCAUGUCAGCUCCGCUGGGAUUGAAACCCGUGCUCUUCCCAGUUCAACUUACUUCUCCUUUGUUCCCAAACAAGCUGAAUUUGGAGCCAGAAGAUCCCAGGUUAAGACUUGCUUUUGCUGUGUAGAUUCUGGCCAGCCAUUUCCCCAGCUGGGUCUCUGAUUUCCUGUCCUUCCAUAGCAUGAAGACCCCACAGAAGGGUGCACUGUCAUCUCCAAGGUGCUUGGAGCCUCAGCAUCUCUCGUGUUCCCCUCCCCCCCACCCACUCCCCAACCUCAAGGAGUGAGAAAUGCCUCCUGGCACCUCACACCUCUUUGUGCAAUCCCAUAGCUGCAUUCUCCUACCAUCCCCUGUCCCUUCAAAAACACUGGCCCAGGGGAGGUAAGGGGUGCAGUUGUGAGACCGUAUUAUAUGUGAAAGGACAUUAGCUAGGCAGCCCAAUCCUAAAAUGUAUCAGGUUUCCAUCAUGGAGGCAUGAGGCAGCCUCUAGCCUAGGGAAAUCGAGAAGAUGCUAUAAUUGGAGCAACUCAGUGUUGCUAAACUAAAAAUUUUGCAAAAUCAAUUGAGAGAAAAAUCAAUAUGGGAUUUUUUUUUCCACGAUGAAAAGACAAGAUUCCCACACAAUUAAGAACUGGGCUGCGGUUUCCACACUCUGCCUGUCAUGUUCUCUUGUUUCUGUGCCACAACUGUUCAUCAGAAAUAAUUAAACAUUUUCCCAUGGGCAACAAUUACUUGCUUAAAAUAUUAUGAGUAAGGAGAAUACAUUUAUAAUUACCUAACCUUUCUGAAGGUGAAAAUAUAUAUUAUCCUUUGAUAGAACAGAAAAAAGGAGUUCUUGGAUAUGCUGGCUCUCUGUGCUGUAUCUAUCCCGAUUACACUAAUUGCUUUAAGGAAUGGAACAAUACUGUUUUACACACCCAAACCUUCCCUUUCAUUUUCUGUAACUUUUAGGCAUCAAAUAAUGGUUCCUCCUUCUUGUUGUUUUUGUAAGUCAUUAAAUAGCCAGCCUGUGGCUAUUAGGACUGCCAGACAGCAUCUCUGAAUUGUCCCAAUGCUAUAAUAUAAUGAGAGACGCAAUGUCUGUCUUUUAUUUAUUUAUUUUUUUAAUUGAAGCAUAAUGGGCAUACAAUAUCUUGAUAGUUUCAGGUAUACAUCAUAGUUAUUCAAUAUUGUUGUACAUUACAAAAUGAUCGCAGUAAGUCUAGUUACCAUCUGUCAGCAUACAAAAUUAUUACAAUAUUGUUAACUAUAUUCCCCAUUGUAUACAUUCUCAGGACAUAUAUUCUAUAACUAGAAGUUUGUGUGCCUUAAUCCCUUUCACUUAUUUCACCUGCCCCCCCAGAACACCCCACCACUCUGGGGUGUUUGUUUUCUGUAUCUACCAGUCUGUUUCUAUUUUCCUUUUUGUUAUCAUUUUUAGAUUCCAUACUUUAGAAAUCGUAUGGUAUUUGUCUUCCUCUGUUUGACAUACUUCACUUAGCACAAUACCUUCUAGAUACAUCCAUGUUGUCACAAAUGGCAAGAUUUCAUUAUUGUUUAUGGGUAAUAUUCACACACACACACACACACACAUAUCUUCUUUAUCCGUUUGUCUAUCAAUGGACUUAGGUUGCUUCUCUAUUUUGAUUAAUAUAAAUAAUGCUGCAAUGAACACAGGGGUGUUUCCAUUUUCUUCAGAUAAUUACCUAGAAAUGGAAUUGCUGGAUUGUAUGGAAGUUCUAUUUUUUAAUUUUUUAGGAACUUCCAUAUUGUUUUCCACAGUGUUGGCAUCAAUUUACAUCCCCUACCUUUUCUCCACAUCCUCGCCGACACUUGUUAUCUUUUGUCUUUGUGAUGAUAGUCAACCUGACUAGUGUGAGGCGGUAUCUCAUUACGGCUUGAUUUGCAUUUCCCUGAUGAUGAGUGAUGUUGAGAAUCUUUCCAUGUGUCUGUUGGCCAUCUGGAUGUCUUCUCUGGAAAAACGCCUAUUUGGGGUCUCUGUCCAAUUUUAAAUCAGGUUGUUUUUUUGAUAUGAAAUCUUUGAUACCAAAUGUAUUUUGGAUGUCAGUUCCCCAUAAGAUGCAUGUUUUGCAAAUAUCUCCUCCCAUUGAGUAGGUUGCCUUUACAUUUCGCUGAUGGUUUUUUUCACUGUGCAGGAGAUUUUUAGUUCAAUAUAGUCUCAUGUUAAUUUUAGCUUUUAUUGUCCUUGGCCUGAAGAAAGUGGUCCCCCCCCCAAAAAAAAAAAAGAUUGAUAAGACUGAUGUCAAAGAGCUUACUGCCUAUGUUUUCUUCUAGAAUUUUGUAUGGUUUCAGAUCUUAUGUUUGUCUUGAAUCUAUUUUGAAUUUGCUUUUGCAUAUGGUAUAAGGUAGAGGGCCAAUUUCAUUCUUUUGUGUGUAGCUGUCCAGUUUUCCCAGAACCAUUUGUUAAAGAAACUAUCUUUUUCCCAUUGUGUAUUCUUACCUCCUUUGUCAUAAAUUAAUUGACCAUAUAUGUGUGACCACAUAAUAUAUAUUAUUUCUGCGCUCUCUAUUCUGUUCCAUUGAUCGAUGUGUCUGCUUUCAUGCCAGUACUAUAAUGUUUUGAUUAUGAUAGCUUUGUAAUGUAGUUUGAAAUAGUUUAAGUUGGUUACUUUGUUAGCCACAUGCAGACACAAACCACGAACCCAGCAUUCUGCAUAUUUUUUACAAGUUUUAUGAUUUUGCCUUAAACACACACACACACAGUGACAACAACAUAGUAAUCACAGUAGUUAACAUUCAUGUUGGGUGCUCACAUCCUGUUAAGCAUUUCUAAUGCUUUAUAUGUACUAUCUCAUCUAGUACUCAAACAUUUCCAUGAUGCCGGUUACUAUUAACAUUCUCAUUUUACAGAUGAGAGGACUGAGGUCCAGACGUGUUCAGUAACUCACCCAACUUCACACACACAGCCAAUAAGCAGUGAAGCUGAGUUUUGGUCCAGAGUCUGUCCCUUUAACCACUACACUGAACUAUCUCUCAAAUCUUUUAUUUAUUUAUUUAUUUAUUUUUUUACCAUUUAUUUUUAUUUUUGAGACAGAGAGAGACAGAGCAUGAACAGGGAAGGGGCAGAGAGAGAGGGAGACACAGAAUCGGAAGCAGGCUCCAGGCUCUGAGCCAUCAGCCCAGAGCCCGACGCGGGGCUCGAACUCACGGACCAUGAGAUCAUGACCCGAGCUGAAGUCGGAUGCUUAACCGACUGAGCCACCCAGGCGCCCCUCUCAAAUCUUUUUAUCAGGUUAUUUUGGUUCUAUAUUUUUUGUUGUUGUUGACUGGAAAAGAAUAUAUUUUCUGUAAAAUACUCAAAAGGCUGAUUGCAAUCAUGUUUUUGUGUUACAACCUUUUCUUUUUUCGAAUUUGUUUGGCCUUAGUGCUAGUUUUCAAGUCUACAAGCAAGUAAUUACAAUAGUAAUAGCAGUUACCACUUACUGAGUCUAUAUCCUGGGCUAAGCACUGAUCUAGGAUCCUCACUUCCUUCCUGCCCCUUUCCCCAUAUACGUGAUAAUGAUACAGGGUAGAUAAUAUCCUUAACUUUCACUUGGAUAAACUGAAGCCCUGAAAAGUUAAGUGAUACAACUAAGGUCACAUGGCUAGUAAGCUCUAAAACAGGGACUUCAAGUCAUCUGCCCAUUUCACUCAGCCAAUUUUAUCACAAGUAUUUUGUGCCAGGCACUCUCCUUGACUCUGGCAAUACCAGAGUCACCAGUACCCCCACCAGUGCUACCUUGAAUUAGGCCUUCUCCCUACUACUGCCAGGGGUUGGCUCAUACAACCACCAUGUUUUAGGGUGAGUAGUUAAUAUAGCUAUCUGCACACUUUGUUUGGAAACGUCCUCUCCCUUAUUUAAAAAAAAAAAACGAAUUUUAACAACUGUUCCACAGGAUCUAAAGUUAUAUAAAAUUUUAUUGAGGUUCUGCAGAGUCUUUUAAAAGCAGCAGUAGAGGGGCGCCUGGGUGGCUCAAUCAUUUGAACAUCCGACUUUGGCUCAGGUCGUGAUCUCACAGUUCGUGAAUUCAAGCACCGCCAGCCUGCUUUGGAUCCUCUGUCCCUCUCUCUUUCUCUGUCCCUCCCCCACUCAUGCUUGUUCUCUCUCUCAAAAAUAAAUAAACAUUAAAAAAAACCCCAGCAGUAUGUAUUUUUGUGUUUGCAUAUAUCAUUGGUAGGAGGGUAUUAUGUCAGAACUCAGUUUCUGUCUCUGAUUUUGUCUCUCUUCUUUACCGCCUAGCAGCAGACAGCAAAGCUCGGUAUCCAGUAUCAGCACAUUGUCAGAGAUGCACGACUCUGUCCCCAGGAAUUAUGUUGAUAAUACAACAAAAUUUAUAAUGUGGAGUCUCCCUCUCAAUGCCUACAGUUAUUUUUUCUUGUUUUGCUGAUUUUUUAGAAGCAAUGGUAUGAUGGGUAAGGCCACAACUCCAGAGCCAGACUGCCUGAUUUCAAGCCUCCUUUUCAACACUGAUCAGCCGUGUAACCUUGAGCAAAUUACUUACCCUUUCUGUGCCUCAAACUUCCUUAUCUAUCAAAGGAGGAUGGUGGAAUCGUAGUGCCUGCCUCAUGGGUAGGUUGAAGGUGUAAAUAUGUGUCAGUGUUUAGGACAACAGGGCUUGGUUCAUGGGCCAAGUAUUGGCCAUUGUUACUGACAGUCGUCUAUAGACUGGAAUUUUAAUUAUAAUUUGAAAAGGCCUUAUUUUUUAAGACAGAAAAACUCGUCCUUCAUGAUCUACUUUUUCGGCUCUCAGAGGGCUGCUGUGUUCUUUAAAUCUUCCCUUCUGGGAGAUUAUACACACUCAUUCCGGUAAGGAUGCUCUCAGUGCAAGUCUUCCAUGGACUUUUCCAGUGAGCGAGAGGGUCUGCAUUGCAGCAACUUGCUACAAUUAGCCCAGACUGGUUUGUGGAUGUUGUCUUUAAACAGUGUGAUGCAAGUGGAUUAUUUGAACAGGCUGUAAAGUUUUAAUUGGUACAGCUGAUAAACCUCUCCCGGCUUCCACCCCCCACAAGCUGUUAGGUGUUUCAUGUCCCACGUCGCAUAGUAAGAUUAACUCCUGACUGAACCCUUCUCUUUUGCUGUUGCCCCUUACAAACCCUUCUCCACAGGGCAGCCAGAGCGAUCUUUUUCAAAUGCAAAUCAGAUAUGACACUCUUCUGCUGAAACCCUUCUAGUUUCUUCCCACUGCACUGAGAAUACAAUACAGAUCUCCCCAGCGGUACAAGGCCCACCUCACACCUAUGCUUCAAGGGCACUGGCCUUCUUUAGGUGUCUAAAACCUGCCAAGCUCCGUCUGAGUGAGACCAGAGUGCUUACUGUUGUGAGUCCCUCUGUCUGGAAUAUUCUUUCCUGGCUAUUCACAGCCUGGCAUUUUUUUCAUUCUUGUGGGCGCCGUUGGAGAGGUCACUGUCUUCAAGAGGCCUACACAACUUCCCUGCCUUAAAUGAGCCCUGCUGCCCCCACCAUUGGACUGCCGAUUUUCCAACUAAAACAUUUCCCAGUGUGUAGUUUUUGCCUCUCUUUCUAUGUUUGCAUAUUUCUUGCCAGGCUUUCCUUCUAGACUAUGCACUUCCCAAGGCCUGUCUGGCGGUCACUGUAUCCUGAGUGCUUAGCACAGAGAAUCCAAGUGAAAUACACACAGUGCACCAGAGGUUGACUUAAAGUGCGUCUGGAGUACCUAGAACCACAUUCUGCACUGAAUUAUGGCUCCUGCUUUAAAUGUCAUUUGCUAAUUUGCUUGACUUGUUUUUUUUUUUUUUUUUUUUUAAUUUUUCAACGUUUAUUUAUUUUUGGGACAGAGAGAGACAGAGCAUGAACGGGGGAGGGGCAGAGAGAGAGGGAGACACAGAAUCGGAAACAGGCUCCAGGCUCUGAGCCAUCAGCCCAGAGCCCGACGCGGGGCUCGAACUCACGGACCGCGAGAUCGUGACCUGGCUAAAGUCGGACGCUUAACCAACUGCGCCACCCAGGCGCCCCGACUUGUUUUUUUUAAUAGAAAAUGAAACAAGUCUCUGAGUUAUUCGUAAACUAGUAGGAUAUUUAUUUUCUACUCCGUUUAUGCUCCUGAAUAGGAGAGGUGAGAAUUCCCUUGGGCCCCAGAGUUUUCCUUACCUCCCCCUGAAAUGCAACAUCUUGCAGACUGCCUUAGGAUCGUUUGUGAAAGACGGGACACCUGGCUGGCUCUGUCAGUGGAGUACGCGACUUUUGAUCUCAGGGUCAUGAGUUCAAGCACCAUUAUGAGCGUAGGGAUUGCUUAAAAAUGAAAUCCUUAAAAAAAUAAAAAGGACAGGAUCCUUUGUGAAAGACAACUGAGAACCCAUGAAGAGUAAAGCAAGCAGUAGUUCUCAAAGUGUGGUUCUCAGACCAGCAGCAUCAUGAACGCGUGGGAAUCUUUUAGAAUGCAGGUUUUCCCUAAACUCACUGAAGCCAGCUGUGGGGGUGGGCCACAGAAAUCAGUGUUUUAACAAGCCCUCCACGUGAUUCUGAUGCAUGCUCUAAGUUUCACAUCCACUAAAAUCAAAGGAACUUGUGUCAGAGAUGGAUGCAAAAGUUGGAAAUUCUAUGAAUGUUUAUGCAAUUCAGUAGUUGAGAAAUACGUCCUUAGCAUCUACUGUGGGACAGGAAUUGCCGGGGUGCCUGGGAUUUGGAGUUAAAGCAGAAUGGACCCCAGUCUCGAAGAAUUCACGGUCUGAUGUGCAAAGUAGCAAGUAUACAGUCUACCUCAAUAUAUUAUUGUGAGUGUUGGGACAGAGGAAAGCAGAAAGAGCUGAGGAAGCACAGGCAGGGCUCUGUUGGCUGGGAAUUUUCCAGAGUAGCAUAGAGUAAAGGUAAGAGAGUGUGGGCUCUGGAGACAACUGACCCGAGUUUAGGCCAGUCUCCCGCGUUUACCAGCUGUGUGGCCCUGGGUAAGUUACUCAGCCUCUGUGUGCUUGAGUUUCCUAGCUUAAAAAUGACCCUGAUAAUAGUUGCAGUCACCUACUUCAUACAGUUGUACUGAAAAAUUGAAUUCUUUUUUUUUUAACUUUAUUUAUUUUAAGUAAGAGAAAGAGAGGGGCACCUGGGUGGCUCAGUUGGUUAAGCAUCUGACUUCAGCUCAGGUCAUGAUCUCAGGGUCUGUGGGUUUGAGCCCCAUGUCGGGUUCUGUGCUGACAGCUCAGAGCCUGGAGCCUGCUUCAGGUUCUGUGUCUCCCUUUCUGUCUUCUCCUCCCUCGCUUGUGUUCUCUCUAUCAAAAAUAAAUAAACAUUUAAACAUUAAAAAGAGAGAGAGAGAGAGAGUGAACGUGGAAGAGACAAAGAGAGAGGGAGAGAGAAUCCCAAGCAGAGAAUCCACACUGUCAUUGUGGAGCCAGAUGCUCAUGAACCCUGAAAUCAUGACCUGAGCUGAAGUUGGACACUGAACUGACUGAGCCACCCAGGCAUCCUUGAAAAAUGGAGUUCCAAAGCAGAAGCACUUGGAAUACUGCUAGGUUCGUUGUGGGCACUCAGUCUUGACUGCAAUCAUCAUGAUCAUCACCAUCAUCAUCAUCUGAUUGUACCAGAGGCUUUCAGAUGGACCUAACUGUUGAGGGCAAGCAGGUGAGGGUGAGGGUAGGUUAUUUAGACAAGGUUUCUGCUCUAAAUGAUGGAAGAUCUUGUUCCUUACUCAAAACACGGUCCCUUUGCCAGCAGCAUGAGCAUUAUCUGGGGGCUUGUUGUUAGGAAUGAAGCCCCUCUGGCCUCACCCCAGAUCUACCAAUUCAGAACCUGCAUGUUAACAAGAGGCACAGGUAACAUUUGAAACACACACACACAAAUUUUAAAAAUUGAGAACCACCGAUGUAGAAUAGUGAUUCUGAGUGCCAGCUGCACAUACUUGGCAAAGGCACUGAGUCCCGAACCAGAAACCCCUGCAGGUGUGGAUUGUGGGAUUGUGGCAUUUGUAACACGAAGAGGUGGGAGAGGAGGUGUGUGCGAGCAAGGCCAUGGACGGAGGACGGAACCUCAGCCUCUGGCAGGUUUGCAGUAGAGAAGCCAGGUCUGUGGUCAUGUUCUGAGGGAGUUCAACAUGGCGGCCACGAGAGGGCUGGAGGGAGGGGGUGCUUUUCUGAAAGAAAAGCCUUGACUCAGAGGCAGUGAAGGUAGAGAAGAGGAAAUGAGUUUGAGGAUUAUUAGAAAAUGGCUCCGGUGGAGCAGGACUAAACAUCGGAAAUGAGGAAGGCAGAGGAGACAAGCAUGACUUAGGGAGUAAGUUUGAAAAGCUACUCUCUGGAAAUUUUUCUUCAUAACCUUUUUUAAAAGUUUCUGUCUGGUUAAGUUUCCCUUAGCUUUCUAUUUUUAUCCAUGUAGGGAUUUCUUGCACAACACACUGAAAAGACGUUUCGGAUUGUUCCCUGCUGAUGAGGGUUUGGAGACAAAAUGUCCUGUUGGUUUUCAAGUGGUGGUGGUCGUUUUCCAUCUUGGGCCAGUGUUUUCGGCUGUCUGUUCAAUUACAGCAAAACUUCAGUUCCCCAGAUCGCUUACAGAAUGAGUCACCCCAUGCAAAGUUUUCAGGUAGCUGAGGGCUAAUGUGUUAUGCAUGGAAACAUUUAAAAUAUGUUUUGGGGGAUACAUUUUUUUUUUUAAAUUUUUUUUUUCAAUGUUUUUAUUUAUUUUUGGGACAGAGACAGAGCAUGAACGGGGGAGGGGCAGAGAGAGAGGGAGACACAGAAUCGGAAACAGGCUCCAGGCUCCGAGCCAUCAGCCCAGAGCCUGACGCGGGGCUCGAACUCACAGACCGUGAGAUCGUGACCUGGCUGAAGUCGGACGCUUAACCGACUGCGCCACCCAGGCGCCUGGGGGAUACAUUUUAAUGCAUUAAUUUUCACACGUUUUGUUUUAUUUUGAGCAGUGGGAGCUUUUUUUCAAGUAGAAAAGGUGGAACCCCAAUAUAUAAAACAGAAUAAAGAGUUACUUCUAUUAAAAACAGAAAGGAGGGGGCGCCUGGGUGGCUCAGUCGGUUGAGCGUUCGACUUCGGCUCAGGUCAUGAUCUCACGGUCUGUGAGUUCGAGCCCUGCGUCGGGCUCUGUGCUGACAGCUCAGAGCCUGGAGCCUGUUUCAGAUUCUGUGUCUCCCUCUCUCUCUGCCCCUCCCCCGUUCAUGCUCUGUCUCUCUCUGUCUCAAAAAACUAAAUAAAUAUAAAAAAAUAAAUAAAUAAAAUAAAAAAAAAUAAAAACAGAAAGGAGUGGGCCAAGCCCCUGGCACUUGACUUUCUCAAUUUAUCCAUAAUUUGUUCCCUGAGAGUCCUCCACAGAUACCUUGCACCCCAUAGAACAGUUUGAAAACCUUGUUUUAUUUUUUAUUUUUUUUAAGUUUAUUUAUUUUUGAGAGAGUGAGCAUACGUGAGAGAGGGGCAAAGAGAGAGAGGGAGAUACAGAAUCCGAAGCAGGCCCCAGGCUCUCAGUUGUCAGCACAAAUCCUGACAUGGGCUUGAACCCAGGAACUAUAAGAUCAUUCCCUGAGCCAAAGUCAGACACUGAACCAACUGAGCCACCCAGGUGCCCUGAAAACCUUUAUUUUAAAAUGAAUUUAUUUUCUACUGAUUUCAUAAACAGAAGAAUCAAAUGUAAUUUUUUAUGACUGGGGGCUUUGUCAUUAGUGUCAUUAUUAUGAUAUGACUGAGUUGGUGCAAAUAACUUCCAUUGCAAGUGACAGAAAUCCAAUGUGAACACAAGAAAAAUUACGCAUUAAUUGGCCCAUGUAACUGGGAAGUCUGGAAGUAAUGGUCCUAUAUCAGGUGUGGUCAUAUCCAGGUGCUCUAUGACUUCGUCAGGGUCCAUCCUCUGUCUCCAUCUGUGGAUUCUACUUCUUUCUGUUUCUAAAUGUGUCGUAAUUUAGCAAUAUUUAUUCCUGCCAAAGGGCUCUCUAUUCUUAUGGCUAACAAGAUGAUUUUGGUGGUCUCAGGUGAAAUCUUCACAGGUCUUGGAACAGAGGCUCUUCCUUAGUCUCCAUAUAUCAGCUCUUGUGGAAGGACUCUUAAUCCUGCCUGGGUUUCCUGCUGACCCCUAAGGCCAGUGGGCAGAUGAGUCACUGUGAUUGACGGUUCCUCCAGAAUCCCACAGGAUGGGCCAGCUAUAACAAGGAUGUUGUGCAGACCAUAGCAAUAUGUGUCUACUAUGUGCUGCAGGCUCCUUUAAAAAAAUAAUUCAUACUGUGUGCCGGGCACUAUUGCAGAAACCAAAGAUGAAACACAGAAAACACCCAGAAUUGAGCAUGCAGGUGCAAGGGCAUAUUCAUCAACCACAGACCAACAUAAUGUGAUGCAUUGUGACUGAGGGGAAUACACAAAAGAUUCUGAGAAAAAUGCUCAUUGACUGAAUAGACAAGUGGUUAAUUGUGCCAGAGGAAAUCAGGAAAGACUUGACAUAGGAGGUGAUAAUUGAUGGCCUUUGCAUGGCAGAGAAGGAGAAAGGAGCAGUUUAGAUGGAAGGAACCGAACAUGGAAAUGGAUGGGGGUAUGAUUGAGGUUGGACAGUCAGAGGUGAAGAGCUAGGGCUGUGCACCUAGCAGCAGAAGUGACUGACUUUCCUCAAUUUAUCCACACACCUCCUCCACAUUCACGCCCUACUUCCUGAGCCUCCCUUCCUCCAGGAGGGGUAUUACCCUUGCAAAAGCUGGAGAGAUGGUGUGUUUCCAUGGAUGCUGUCUCCUAGACUGCAGACCUGCUAUGGCUUCCGUCUCUAAAAUCCUCAGGGCAGCACCACCCCUCUAGGUAAUUACCACCUACCCCUCUGCCCUCCAUCAAGGGACCGUCCCCCUCUUUCUUCUCUCCCUCUCUUCUUUCUUGUGUUCUGUUCUUUCUGUUUUUGCUUCUACACUUUUCAGCCUUCUUAGGAAAAGAAAGAUCGCCCCUCUUAAAGACCAUCAACCAAUCAGAGUAUUUCUUUAGUCCAGUCAUUUUUCAACCCAGGCAAGCUCGAAAACUUGUAAAAGUUUUCCAGUGUGCAGGCUCCACCCCCAGAGACUGUGAUUCGCUGGGGCAUGUUGUGCCUGAACUUCAGUAAGUAGUAAAAUUUCCCCAUGUGACUCUAAUAUGCAGUUUGAGAACCACUCCUUCAUUCUAUGUGCAGAGUGCAUCAUGUGAUCAGUGGGCUAGUCUCUUGAUGGCCACCAAGACUUUGCUAUGGUCAGAUUUAAUGAGAUAUUCCCAGGUUUGUUACACUGUUGUCCUGUUCAUAAAAAUCAUAUUUUAGUCCUAUAGACAUCAGAUUUUACAAAUCAGAAUCAAGUAUAGAAAAGAUUCUGUCACUUGAGAGGACCACAUUUAGCAAUUAUAACGGUUAAAGACCAACAUGGAAAUGAGCUUUCAGUCAUGGAAAUACAUUGACUAACACACAACAGAAAACAUGGUCUUAUGGUACACUGGCUAUUGAUGCAUAUAUACAUUAGUGCAUUGGAUAUACUGAUACUGAUAUCUCACGUGCUUAUAAUAAUAGCCCUCAUUUAUGGAGUGCCUACUUUAUGAUAGGCAGUAACUAUACUGCAAGUUAGUUUCCCUCAAAUCCUCAAGCUAAUGCUGCAGGUAGAAAACUCCAGGCUCAAAAAAGAAAGGGAAUGUACCCAGGAUAACACAGUUACAGGUGCUAGAGCUAGGAUCCCUUGCUAGACCCUCUGAGCAAAAACUCCCAUCUCUAUACCACAAACUCCUUUAUCAUCAGUGACAAUGUGCAGGGAGCAUGUUGUGUGUGAUGGGCGCCCAGGACCAUGGUUAUCCCCCUGUAGGAGAAUCUGUCCCCAGAACACUUGUACACACCGAAUAACACUUGCUGAUUUGACAAGUGAAAUAUGAUGGCGGCUUGUGUUAAUUUGUUGUUUUUUCAGAUGUUGGUUCCGAUCAAUUUCCUUAUUUUGAAUUAUCAGACUUGAGUGCAUUGUAUUGGGAGCAAUUCAAAAGACAAGGAUGGGUUGGUUUGUCUCUUUGAACUUGUAAGCUGGGGAUGGGGAAAAGAAUCAUAAGCUUUUGAGCUUUGCUUUUAGUAUUUAUGUACAUAUCAGUCAUUAAGGUAGGGAAGCACAAACUCCCAGUCAUCCUCACCAAAAGAUUACAAAGCAUGUUUUGUUUUUUUGUUUUUUGUUUUUUUGUUUUUUUCAGCUGGUCAAAAAUUGUGUCUGCUGUUUUGCAUCUGGGAGUAAAACUGAGCUCACUAGCAAAAUGUCUGUUUUGAUAAAUCGAGAACAAAAAGACCAAAACUAAUGGCUUCCACAAUGGAAGGUGCCCUGGGAAAUAUAAUACAGAAUAGUGGAAUCAGGGGCUUGUUUACUAUGAUUCUGUGUAUCCAUCUGAUGGGGAGUAUAAAUAGUUUUCUUUACACAAAGGGACCCAGGAAAUAGUGAAUCAGAGAAUAAUUGACUUGUCUUGGUAUGUUUGUGAAUGUGCAUUUUUAUCUGAUGGCAAAUAUGCUGUUGGCCUUUGAGUCAGUCACCCACCACAGAAUUUCCUCAGCCUCAUAUGCACCGAGAACGAGUGCCCAUUCCCCCCCUCCCCCCACCAAAGAAAACAUUUCAAAUUAGCAUUAAUCAGCCAAUGUUGUAUUUGGGGCCCUAUGUGAAAGCCACCUACUGCAGCUGAAUGCCAUUCAGCAGGCAAGAAGUGAUUUGCAAUAUAAUUUAAAUUAAGAGUUGGUUUCCUUUCCCAUUUAGAACACACCAGUAUGGAAAACUGAUUGUCAGUCAUUCUGGUGAUGUGCAUCAACUUGGCUAUUCACUCAGAAAAUGAAGUUUCCUGAGACACCAGCACAUUUAAUUUAUUUUUUUUUCCUCUGUGAAGUUAACUUCAGCUUUUUAAAUACAAUGACUAUCCAAACCACAGAAAAACGAACGCCAUUAAUUUUAAUGCUCAUAAUGCAAUGGAAGCAGAUUAUAUUCAGUUGGGAUUUUUUCCCCUUUAAUAGAAUGUUUACUUGCCCCUCUUCUUAUGAGUUAAUUAUUAUUUUCUUUCCAUAAUAUUCUGUUUAUACCUGAGCUGCCUAACAGCGUGUCUGUUAAUGUCUUGAGUUUAUGAAUUGCUGGUAAAUCUAUCAUUUUGCAAUGUCUAUCACUAAAAUAUCAAUAGCCUGGCAGCACGGGGAGUGAAUAUGUGACUGAUAGGAAUACAGUGAAUCCCUUACAGAACCCUCUCAUCUAUUUUUAUAAAACAUUUAGUUUUAAUAGGGUUUCUUUUCGAUGCUUUGAUUGGAAGAUUGAAUGACUUCUCAGUGAAUUAUACAGGAGUGAGUUAAGAGUUGUUAACUUUUCUUAUUCAGGUAUUUUUCAUUCAUCUUUUUGAUCACUCAAUGGACACUAAGAGAGCGCCCCAUUUAUGCAAAUAGUGUGCUAAGUAUGAGGGGUUAAAAAUAAUUAAGACCGAGUCCCCAUCUUUGUAGAGCUCUUAGUUCUAAGCAGGAAUCACCUCACUGGGAGAUGAGGGGUACAAGUGAAUUGGGCAUAAGGUAAUAGAGGGUGUGAAAGAGAGAACUUUCCCUGGGAAGGGAGCCACCAAGGAAGGCUUUGCGUAACAAGAGAUGCUAGUGCUAGUUCCUACAGAACUAGGCAUUGAGUUCUUCAAGUUGGCAGUGGAAUAAUGAGUGAGGAUGGGAAAAGGCAGUAUAGGCAGAGGGAAUAGCGAAUGCAAAGUGGAGAAGCAAGCCUUUUCUUGGAACCUACUAUAUGCUAUUUAAAAUAAUAAUAAUAAUAAUAAUAAUAAUAAUAAUAUAAGCUGGCAUAUACAUAUCCAUCAUUUUCCACAUAUUGUUUCAAAUUCUUAUAUCUGCAAACUCAAACCUUCUAGUAACUCUUUCCAGUUGGUAUUAUCAGCAUUUCCUUUUACAAAUUAAAAUUGGAGAGAAUUGGGAACCAUAUCACACAGCAGAUAGGAUCAGGAUCAGUAACCCAGGUGUUUUCACUCCAGAGCCUACAAGUUCAAAUACUACACUUGUGGCCUCUUUGCUCUUCAGUUGAGUUCAGUCCAGCUGUGCACACAAGACGUUCUAAUAAUGACUGACAUUCAGGACUAUGUCUAAGUGCAGAUGAUAAUGGUAACUAUCACAAGUGAAGAGAAUUAUGUGAGAUAUAAAAUAUUAUGAAAUGCUUAAAACAGUGCAUGGUGUAUGAUAAGGCAUUUGUUAAUUGUUAGUAUUAUGAUGAUUAUGUCUUAAAAGAAGUAGAGCCCAAUAAUAUUUAGGAAGUACUUAGGAAUUUAGUAGUACUUAGGAAUUCAAACCACUCAGGGGUAGUUUACUGCAGAAGGCAUCAUUCAAGAAACACUGUGGAGGGGCGCCUGGGUGGCUCAUUAAGUUAAGAGUCUGGCUUCUGAUUUUGGCUUAGGUCAUGAUCUCACAGUUUGCGAGUUCAAGCCCUGUAUCAGGCUCUGUUCUGAUCGUGCGAGCGUUCUUGGGGUUCUGUCUUCCUCUCUCUUUGUUCCUCCCCCACUUGCUCUCUAUCUCUCUCUCAAAUAAAAAUAAACUGAACAAAAAACAAAAAAAAACAAUUUGUGGACUUGGUGGCAUUUGAUGUAGAUCUGGCUGGCUUAAUGGUAGAAUUCCUAUAGAUAGGACUUGGGGACAAAAGAAAUAUUUCUGCAAGAGAGAAUGAAAGGCAGAAAUGCAAGAGAGAAUGAAAGGCAGAAAUGAAAGGCAGAAAUGGAAAGGAGAAUUCCAUCAUACUUGGAAAAGGUAAACUAAUUUGAUGAAAGCAGAAGGUCUGCAAAGAGAAGCAGGAAGAUUUCACAGAUAGAUAGGAAUUAUUUACAGCUGAUGAUAUUUUUUGAGUGUUUAGGCAUUGUUCUUUGCAUUACUUAGUUAUUGUAAAACAUUUCCUGGGGUCAUGUGCUCAGUUUUUGUUUUGUUUUGUUUUGUUUUGUUUUUUCCAUUUGAAGAAAAUGAGAUUAAGAAAAGUUACAUAACUUGAUUAAGGUCAUCCAGCUAACCAAAGGUAUAACUUGGACUUGAACCCAGGUUUGUGUUACUUAAAGUACCAUACUUAUUGGACAACACUACCCUUUAAAUUUUGUAGCUCUGACCUUUAUUUCUUUUUUAAUUUAAUUUAAUUUUUUAUUGUUGUUGUUGUUGUUGUUUAGAGAGUGAGAGAGAGUGAGUCCAGGAGAGAGGCAGAGGGAGAGAGAGAGAGAAUCUCAAGCAAGCUCACGUUCAGUGUGGAGCCCAAGAUGGGGCUUGAUCUCAUGACCUUGGGAUAAUGACCUGAGCUGAAAUCAAGAGUUGGAUACUUAACUGACUGAGCCACCCAGAUAUCCCAAUGUAGCUCUGACUUUUUUUUUCUUAAAUAUAUUUAUUAUUUUUUUAUUCUCAAAUUAGUUAUCAUACAGUGUAGUCUUGGCUUCAAGAGUAGAAUCCAGUGACUUAGCACUUAGUUAUAACACUCAGUGCUCAUCCCAACAAGUGCCCUCGUUAAUGCCCAUCACCCAUUUUCCCCACCCCACUCCCCCAUCCCCAUCAACCCUCAGUGUGUUCUCUGUAUUUAAGAGUCUCUUAUGGUUUACUUCCCUCUCUGUUUAUAUCUUAUUUUUCCUUCCCUUCCUGUAUGAUCAUCUGUUAAGUUUCUCAAAUUACACAUAUGAGUGAAAUCACGUGAUAUCUGUCUUUCUCUGACUGGCUUGUUUUGCUUAACAUAAUACCCUCCAGUUCCAUCCAUGUUGUUGCAAAUGGCAAGAUUUCAUUCCUUUUCAUUGCAGAGUAGCAUGUCAUUGUGUGUGUGUGUGUGUAUAUAUAUAUGUGUGUGUGUAUAUAUAUAUAUACACAUAUAUAUACACACAUCUUUUUAAUCCGUUCGUCAGUUGAGGGACAUCUGGGCUCUUUCCAUAAUUUGGCUAUUGUUGAUAGCGCUGCUAUAAACAACAGGAUGCAUGUGCCCCUUUGAAUCAGCAUUUUUGUAUCCUUUGGGUAAAUUCCUAGUAGUGCAAUGGCUGGGUUGUAGUGUAGUUCUAUUUUUAAUUUUUUGAGGACCCUCCACACUGUUUUCCAGAACGGCUGCCCCGGUUUGCAUUCCCACCAACAGUGCAAGAGGGUUCCCGUUUCUCCACAUCCUCACCAGCAUCUGUUGUCUCCUGAGUUGCUAAUUUUAGCCCUUCUGAUAAGUGUGAGGUGGUAUCUCAUUGUGGUUUUGAUUUGUAUUUCCCUGAUGAUGUAGCUUUGAUUAACACAUCAUGACUAUUUACAGGAUAAUGUCUUUCUAGUGAAAGGGGUAGAAGUUCUGCAUUUAGAGCACUAUAGCCCUACACUUUCCCAUUUAUAGCCUGUGUCUACUUUCAUUAAGAUGGAAAGAACUGGUGUCUCUGAUUCACCAUGCACGUACACACACCCCCUCAGAUUUCCUUUUUGUGUGUACCUGUUAUAACAUGUACCAUAGAUAACAUCCCACCUCUGGAAUAAGAGCUAGUGGUUAAGAGUUUGGGCUUUGAAGACCACUAGGUGCCAGGACUAGAACCACAGCUCUGCCCUGCAUAACUAUGGUCAUAAACAAGAUUCUGAAGUUCUCUGUGUUGUAGUUUCCUUCUGUGUCUAGUGACGAUAAUAAUACUACCUAUAUCAGUGGGUUGCUGCUAGGGAUAAAGGGAUUAAUACAUAUAAAGACUAAAAAAUGUACUUAAAAUGCUCUGAUCAUUAGUAUUAGCAUUAUUGCCAUUAUUAUGCCUUAUAUGUCAUGUGUCUUUAUUUUUUUAUCUUAUUUUUAUUUAUUUUUUUUAGAGAAAGAAUGUGAGAGCAUGAGCAGGCGAGAGGAAAGAAAGGAGAGAGAGAGAGAGAGAGAGAGAGACAGAGAGAGAGGGAGAAUCUCCAGCAGGCUACAUGCUUAGUGGAGCUCGAUCCUCACAGCCUGGGGAUCAUGACCUGAGCCCAAAUCAAGAGUCAGAUGCCCAACUGACGGAGCCACCCAGGCUUGCCUAACUCCUGUCUCUUUCUUCCUCUCUCUCUUCUUUCUUUCUCUCUUUCUUUCUUGCUUUCUUGCUUUCUUUCUCUCUCUCUUUCUUUCUCUUUCUUUCUUUCUUUCUUUCUUUCUCUUUCUUUCAAUGUUUAUUUAUUUAUUUUUGAGAGAAAGAGGCAGAGAGAAAGGGAGAUGGAGAAUCCCAAGCAGGCUCUGCACUGUCAGCACAGAGCCCAACGUGGGGCUCGAUCUCACAAACGGUGAGAUCAUGACCUGAGCUGAAAUCAAGAGUUGGACGCUUAACCAACUGAGCCACCCACGUGCCCCUCUCAUGUCUCUCUAAAUAAAGAACCAAGAUAGGCUCUAUUGGUGGGAGUGAGGGAGAGGUGGUUUUUGAUAUAUUGUUAACGAGACUGUAAAAUUGUACAGCCUUCAUGGAUGGUAAUUUGACAGUAUCUAUCAAAACUUAAAUUAUGUUUUCUUUACUUGAUAAUUCCAUUCUAGGUAUUUGUCCUAUAGAUAAAUUAAUACAGCUUGUCCUUUUUGAAUUUUAACCUCUGUGUGUACAACCUAGCCCAAAUUUUUAAAGCACAGAUUGAUGAAUGUUUUAUUCUUUGUACCCCCUAAAUAGUCUAGUACAGCACUCGCAACGGAGAUACUGAAAGUUCCUUUUGUCUGUGGCUCCAUUCCUCAGGUGUCUGUGCCCCAGGCCCACUUCCAUGUACUGGGUGGCUUCUUCCUGAGUCACUCACUCCCAACUCCACUGUGGUGACUAACUUUGUACUUUAUCCCCCUUUCUCCUUCAUUGGUUUGCUUUCAAAAUGACAGAGACUUCUUUCAUUGCAGCUACGUCCUUGGCUUUUCUCGAUGACGAUUCCUGACUUGUGGCCCCGGAAAUCUUGGCAAAACAUCAUCCAGUCUCUUCAGUCCAGACCUUGGGUCCUCCUUUUCCCCAGCGUCACCCCCACUCAGCUGACCAAACCACUUUCUAGGACACAUGUGAGUAAAAUGCUGGAUUCUUUAAUGGAAAUAGUUCACAUCAUCACCUCCUCAUGCCACAUCUUCUGCCUUUGAGCAUGUGUCUGUCUCUCUUAAAUGCUGUUCCAAUCCUCUCCCUUUUUGGAACUAACUGCCUGCCUAUAGUUAAUGCUGUUAUAUUCAUUUUUCGCUUAAUCAUGGACUUGUUCGAGGAGCUAGUUGCCGGUAGAAUCAGAACCGAAAGGCACAUGCCUUUGUUCUCCUCCUGUGUGGUUCCAUUCAGGGUUACUUGUCUCUAACUUAGACUGGAGACUAAAUGGAUUAGAAUAAAACCAAUUUAAGGGAAAAAAGAAAUGUUCACAGACACAGAAAUAGAGAUUCCUGCUAUCUUGGCUGCCUAAGAUCUGCAGACCUCACCAAGGAAUUUAAAAAGUAAUGUUUCUUAUCAUAAGUGACAGAAAUAUGCUGCUUUCUGCAUCAAUAGAUAUGAAGAUUAAAGGGUCUGACCGUAUUAAACAAUUUUGCACAGCACCAGGCACUCUGGGCUCUGUUCUCUCUGCCUUAUUACUCUUCAUCUUGUGGCUAUUUCAGGCCCAAUUUAAGAAUACAAUGCAGUCUGGCUUUGCAAAUUGACAUCCUUUAAUUUAAACUGUCUUGUGGGAGAAUUAAGAAAUUAUGGAACAAUUAUUCGCCCUAGUUGAAAGCUGGAUGGCAUCCUGAGAUCCUCGCACAUUAGCCAUUUGAAUUGAUUAAAUCACAUAAUUGAAUUACACUUUUGCCCCCAUAAUAUCUUGUGGCAAAUAUGUUGGUGUUUCAUGUUGGGAAAAUGCUUCCAUAAAACUAGAGUAGGGGUUGGGGUUGGACACUGACCUGGGUGUCAAAGCAAACCUCUGAGCAGAGUGGGCGGGCACUUCAAGAUUUGUGUGGGAGUCUGAUUAGCAGAGCAAGCUGUUCCUUAUGGAGUUUAAAUGGAAGGCCACAGAUCACAACUGUAUGCAUGAUAUGGGGGAAGUAUGCAUGCCUGGUCUCCCUUGGCAUUAUCCUUCAACGUUCAGCUUAAGAGUCUAUUACCAAUCAUUCUCAGUGCUUUUUUAAACAUUCCCCCAUGAACCGAAAUGCUGGGUUUAGUGUACCUUCCUUUGUCCUGCACGUUUUCCCAUAUAGGCUUCAAUCAUGGCAGGCCCCCCGCCCCCAGAAAUGAGACCUACUUUAACAAAGCGCCUUAAAAUGAUGACAGGUUUUCUUUGCCAGGCAAUGUGGCUGAGCCAACCUACCUAGCAUGGAAAUAGCACUCAAUAAGUGUUUGUGGAAUGAGGCGAUAUUUGGAAGUCUCAGUGGUUUUGUCCCUAAACUCAGUUUUCUUCUGUAGAACAAGAAUCAGAAGGAAAUGAAGUCUGCUAAUAAUUGUUAAAGCAGUGUCCUUAAGUAGGGCUUUUUACACCACUUAUGUCAUUAGACCAUUUCGCCAAGAAUUUGUUAAACACCAACUAGGCAUUUCUUAGAUGCCUAUUAUAUACAAAAGCUAGGGUGGGUGCUGAGGGGAAAGUACACACACACACACACACACACACACACACACACAUUUGCUGUUUUUUAGAGAAGCUCAGAAUCCAGUUGGGGAUUGGGGAGGUCAUUGCAAGAAAUGACCCCAGUGCCUGAAAGAGCAAGCGGGAGGCUGCUGAAUAGUGCAAGACUCAUGAAGAGGUGACGGUACAUUCCACUUGAUUGCUUUCUCAAGUUUGUGUUGCCCUUGGUCUGCUCUGCCCCUCACCCCCUCCCACAUCAUCCAGUGUGGAACCCAGCAGAGAAGAAAACUCUGAUACUAAUGUCCUGUGGUCAGGCUGGGUGUGUGCCUUUCAUUUGAAAACUUGUCUAAGGAGUGAGAUUUUAAAGCACUCUUCUCCGUGCCUGGCCCCCAGCCCCAGCUUUCAGCUUCCCCCCGACACUGUGCAGCCUUCUGGGUCUUCAUAUUCUUUGUCUCUCCUGCAUGGCAUGAGAAUCUCUUUCUCGUUUUAAAAGCUCUUUACCUUUUCUUUACCUUUAUCAAAGAACACUCUUGGAGCUUUAAAACCCAACUAUAGCUCUCCUCCUGAAUACUUCUGUGUGGAAGGGAUUAAUCAAGUCUGUCAAACAUUGAGCUGUAAAACCUUUAAUAUUUCUAAAAGGUUUAAAGCCGGCAUAUUUAUCACAUGCAUCAUUGAGAAUAAUCUUUCUUUUUAUUAAAAAAAAAUUAAACUCUCACUGUAAAAUAUUGUGGUGAUGAGCACAGUGGGCGAAAGGCUCACACAGGGGCCCAGUGGUAAUACUGGAAUGGAGAUUCUGGUAAGAUCUUCCUGUGACAUCACUCCCCUAGAGGACACACAUCAUCUCCCACACAUCCUAUUUGUAUGAAUGUGUUAUAUUGUAGAAUUCUAGAAUCUUGGUGUCCAAAGGGAAAGAAAAGUAGGAAAAAGGGAAUAAUUUUUCUUGAGUGGCUCCUCUGUGUCAGGUAUUGUAUCUGCAUGCUUUAAAAGGGUUGCCACAUUUUAAUUUUCACAGCUCAUUUUUAUAGUAGGGACUAUUGCAGCUGAUUUAUAGAUAGGGAAGCUCAAAUUCAAAAAGUGAAGCAAAUUUCUCAAGCUCACUUGAAAACUCACUUGCAAAUCUGGGACUUGACCGUAAGCCUGUCUAAUUCUUUCAUUUCAUUUCUGGGGUAAAUGCCUGGCAAGUGCUUAACACAGGGUAGGUAACCAACAAAGGGUUGCCCAAGUUGUCAUUAUCGUUAGUAUUAAGGUUCAGAGGGAUUUUUAAAGAAAGCCCUUUAUUUCCCUACAGUUAGAGAGGCAGUAAAGAUUGUUGGGCGUGGUUCGGAGAACCUGAGAUGUAAGUUUUAAGAUGUUUAAUCCAGCAGUGGUAACGCUUCCCUUAGGAUAGGGAGGCAUUCACUCAGCUUUUUAUUAAUGGAACUGUUACAAACAUUGUAUUUCAUUACUUACUUAUAAAAUGCUUUCACAGGCACAGCCUAAUUUAGUUUACUUUUCAGCCUUGUGAAGUAAUAUCAGCACUCCUGCCAUUUUACAGAUGUGGGAACUGAGGUCCAAAGACACUGCUAAAUCAUCCUUCCCAGGUCAUUCAGCUAGAAGCAAGUGAGUCAGGUUCAAACUCUUCUUCUGGUGCCAAAGCCACAAUCCUCCCACGAUACUAUAAUAUGUUUAGACCAUUUGGUUAUUCCUAAGAAUUUAGACAAAACUCGUUCUGAAGCUUGAAAAGACCGUGGAGGCUUUCCAGAUUUAACAACCGAGGCCCAGACCCAGAAAGUAGUGCCAUAGAAGCCCCAUGCUAUGUGUGUGGUAACGCAGAGGGAAGAGGGAUUCAGUCAUCUGGGGAAGGGGAAGUAAGACCCCAGGGAAGGCCGCCGUGAGGUGGCGGCUCUUGAUGAUGUCCUGAAAGGAGGAGAAGGAGGCUCACAGAAGAAAAUUCCACAAGGGAUGCCAACAGAGAGGAAGGGAAAGAUUGUGUAGGGAAAUGACAACAUGGUGGUCCCAUGGGCGGAAGCCCUUCAUGAAGCUCGAGUUUGUUGUUUCAAUAUAAUUAGUUGUGUAAUUGCAUCCUCAGACUGCCCCCAGAACACUGCACACACAUGUGAUUAAGCCCCGCCAGCCAGGCAAUGUCUUCUCCAUGCCUCCACUCCAUGCUCCAGCUUUGUCUCCGAGUAAGCAACCCAAAGGAAGGGCCCUGAGGUUGGGGAGAUUUGCAGUCGCUUCCCACCUCUCCUAUGAACAUACCUGUGUUUACCACACUCCCUUGUAUUGUGAGAGAAAAAAGUAUAAAAGAUUUAGAAGGAGGAACAGUUUUCUGCUCCCAAGUUACUAUGAAGGCAACAGGCUCAUUUCUGGAACUCUUUUGGGUGGGCGAGAUGUCUCCCUGGUUUACAUUUAGCAAACUGUAAUUAGCGUCAGCGGAGGAGAAACAACCAUGCCGGAAGCACCACUUUCCUCUGCACAACAGCCUCUGUUCUGAAGGGCGGUCCUCAGCGCUGGGCUUCUCUCAUGGGGAGACAGUGUGCAGCUGCCUUGUGUAGCUGAAAUGCCCUUGUUCUAGAGGUGAAGCCCUGACAUGCAGCACAGGGUAGAGGCCAGUGGUUGACCUACCUCAGAUGGCAAUGUGGACCUCACUUGAGGUUCAGCCAGUUGGAAUCACGGAGCUCUUGUCUAGUUUCAUCCACUCCAUAAACACGCAUGAAUCCACACCCAGGUAAGCCGCGCUCUGUGCCGAACGCUAGAUUGGAUGCCGGGGACUGCAGAGGACUUACGCCUUUGUGCAUAGUCAUGCUGGUCAAAAGCAGAUUGAUGGUGGGAUACACCAAGAACCAGCUGAGGCUUUGGUUUAGGAACCUUUGAGUAAAUCAGACACUCUGUAUUAGUUAGGGUAAGUAAUGCUAGCUGCCUUAACCAGCAACCCUUCCCAACCUAAGAUUCAAUACAGUGUGUAUUGUACUUAACACAGUCAUUCAGGGACACAAAUGAUUUUCUGUCUUGUCUAUGCCACGGUCAUCUUCAACAUGUGGCCUCUAAGGUCUUUGCAGGAGAGGACAAGAGAGAGGAAGAUCAUGCAUGGGAAAUUUUGAGGGGUUAUUUUUUGGAAGUGGCCUAUAUCCCUUCCACCCACGUUCUGCUGGCCAGAAUAUAUCAUAUGCUGCCCCAAUGUCAUACAUAGUAAAAGGAUUGAGGAAUGUCGCUUAGCUCUUAGCCCAGGAUGAAAAUGAAACCACUUAGAUCAGCACAUAGUCCUGUCUUGACAUGUUCCUCCUCAGUUCCUAUUCAAAUAAAUGCGAGAUCAUCUAAAAGAUUUCUCUUCACUAACACUUGAAAAGACUGCUCUUCUCUAGCACUUUGAGGGGAACUUUUCCAGGAAAGGUGAUCUUCCAGUGUGGGGUGCAACUCUGCUGGUGAGAAUUUAAUUACUUUAAAUGACCUGGAAGAGCCCGAAAUAAUUGCAUAACUUUUGAAACCCGGAAUGCCUCUUCUAGUACUCUAUCCUAAAAAUAGAGAUUACAAAGAUUUGUCAACAGAUACGUUUGCUUUCACGUUACUUGUGAUUUCGGAAAAGGGUAAAUCUAAAUUUCCAAAAAGGAAGAAAAUGUUUCCCUGAAGUUUUUCACAUUCAACGAAUGUGAUCAUUAAGUACAAUCUAUUUCUAGUCUAAAGAAUUUUAAUGUUUUUAAUGGCAUAUGGACAUGAAGGUAGGCUUCAGAAUUUUAGGUAAAAUAUGAUUCCAAUUUUGUUGCAAACGUGUCAUAAACACCUAAAAAAGGCAAAACUGAAUGCAUUAAAAUAGUGAAUUUCUCUGUAUAAUGGGAUGAGAGAUGUUAUUUCUCUCUUUAUAUUUUGUUCUUCUUAGAUAUUAUGAAUAUGCAUAACAUUCAUAAUAGCUUUUUGUAAAUAUAAAAAUUAUUUUUGUGGGGCUCCUGGUUGGCUCAGUCGGUUAAUAAUGCAUCCAACUCUUGGUUUCAGCUCCGGUCAUUAUCUCACAGUUUGUGAGUUCAAGCCCCACAUUGGGCUCCACACUGAUGUUGUCAGGCCUGCUUGGGAUUCUCUCUCCCGCUCUCUCUGCCCCUCUCCACCCCUGUCAAAAUGGAUGGAUGGAUGGAUGGAUAAAUAAAUAAGCAAGCAAACAAACAAAUUAUUUUUUUAAAGUGUACUACAAAGAAUAGCUUUCGACCAGGACUGGCUCAGGUUGGGUAGAAUUAUCCCAAGUAUUUCAGAAGGGAACAGUCAAAGAGUAUGUGCAAGCCAUGUCCUAGAAUCGUGUCAAGUACAGAGGGGAAACAGUGGGCUAGAGACCAGAGGAUAUCCCAAAGGAGGUUUACAUACACAAACUAAGGGGGCAACAACAUUUUCUUCAACUGGGCUAGAGCACACAAGUCUCAACUGUAACUGGCUUUCAAAACUGGAAAUUUUAACUGAUUUUAAAAGUUCAAUAAUAAGGCAAUGAGUUUAUGUCCUGGCCCUACUGCCUACUAGAUGUGUGGCUUUAGGCAUGUGUCUAUCACUCUGAAACUUGCUUUAAAAAUGGAAACAGUAGGGGGGCCUAGGUGGCUCAGUCAGUUAAGCAUCCAGCUUUGGCUCAGGUCAUGAUCUCAUAGUUUGUGGGUUCAAGCCCUGCAUCAGGCUCUGUGCUGACAGCUCAGAGCCUGCAGCCUGAUUCGGAUUCUGUGUCUUACUCUCUCUCUUUCUCUCUCUCUCUCUCUGCCACUACCCCACUUGUGCUCUCCCUCUCUCUGAAAAAUAAAUAGAUAAACAUUAAAAAAUGGCAGUAAUGCCAUGUUAUUUCUAGUGUUGCUAUGACAUUAAAUGUCAUAUUUUCAAAUAUUUGCCGUAUUUGAAAUAUUUGACCAGGGGUCAAAAUACAAAGGGCUUCCCUAGUUGUACACAUAAGAACACGUUCCUCUAAUAAACAGAAAAUAAGGUAAGGAUGGAAUUGUGGUGCCGUGUUAUUGACAGUAUUGACCAACACUUUUUACUAGCUGUGAUCUUGUAGCAUCCAAGGAGACAGUAGGGACCCAAUCCAGCCUGGUCCACGGACGCUUGGGCAGUUUAUCUGUAACACUGUGGAAGCUAAAUCCUGGUGCCUCACGCCAACUACACGGGAGUGCACUUUAUGUUAAAGCCCUUUCCUCACUUCAACUUUUCAUGAUCCUGCCUAGGCUUUGCUCCCAAACUCCAUCUCUGUCCCCAGGAAACCAUCACAAGGACCACCUCGCGUCUCAUGCUGUGGUACUCACCUGAGAUUUGGGGAUGUUUACCCUGGGAAGUGUCCCUUAUCUUCUUUGCAUGUUCACGUUGACAUCUAGGCAGUCAAAGUCUGUUCUGUGGCCAGCCUGCGUAUCAACUAGGAGAAAAAUGAAAAGUCCUAAAUGAAAUCCUCUAAGACAAGUAUACAAGAAGAAUAUUCAAAAGCAAAGGAAUUAUGGAUUCUUUUCAGAUGAUUCUGGGCAAGAGCCUCUUAGACGGUGACACUGUAUACACUAUAGUAUCGAGGGGAGGAAAGCCAGCCCCAGAAGCUAGGACUUCACAUCCGGUUUAGUUAGCUCGAGCUGCUAGGACAAAAAUACCAGAGCCUGGGAGGCUUAAACAACAUUUAUUCCUCAAAGUUCUAGAGACUGGAAGCCCAAAAUCAAAGGGCUGGCAGAUCCAGUGUCUGGCGAGAGCCUUUUUCCUGGUUUGUAAGUGGCCGUCUCCUUGUGUCCUCACAUGGCAGAGAAAGCAGAGAGAAGAUGCCAGCUAUCAUGGCUCCUCUCAGAAGUGCACUAAUCCCAUUCACAAGGGCUCCACCCUCAUGAAUGACCUAUUUACUGCCCAAAGACCCCAACUCCUAAUGCCAUCAUAUUGGGAAUUUCAUCAUUGGAAUUUUGGUUGGGGGGGGGGGGGGGGACACAAGCAUGCAAUCCGUAUCAACAUCCCUGUUGCUUAAACGAGAGGUUCUGAAACUUUUUCCCAAUUCCGUUCAAAGCUGGUCUCAAAAGAUCAUCACAACUGUCACCUCAAGCGAUGAAUAUCUUUUUGUGCCAGAUAUUGUGCUAUGCAUUAUCACGCCUGGUACAUCUGGCUCAUUCAUUCUGUCGUGUUUCUUCCAGCAAGAACACUUUUAUUCCUCUGCUGUUCUUGUCCCCUUCUGGGCACAUCUUUAUUAAGUGGCUGAUAAACCAAGCGAAGAUGGGAUAGAAGUUCUGAGGAUGUGCUAUAGGAUGUGUUAUUUUGGUUGUCCACCUUCUCUUUCCCUGCACAGCUGAAGUGGACAGAUUUGCUGAUGGUCCUGGAGUGUCCUUGAAAUUCAGCAUAAAGGUCUUCAGCUUAAUUUCAAUAGUGCUUAGUGACUUAUAAGGGAAAAGAGCAUGAAAGGAAAUUGCUAUGUUUGCAGCUUAGAGACUCCCCCAAAUUCUUCGCUGGUCUCUGAUUUAUGCUGCCAAGAAGCCUGUUGCUGAUUAUGCUGGAUGCCCCAUAAAUUAAUGAGGGCUGGGCUUGGAGGUGACAACGAUCGCUGAGUCUCUGGAGCAGAAAAUGCAACACUAAUACAUAUGUUUCAGAAAUGUCCCUUUGUCUAUAUGUUUGGAGGAGAAAGUGCUGAUGAGGAUCAAUUUCAUAUUGACUUUAAAUUUUUCAAUUGACCCAGAGCUCUUUUUAUUAAGUAAUGCGCACAAAAACAUUUCAUCCCAGGCCAGCUUGAUGGCUUGGAGAAGUCCCUUCAGAAUAUAGCAACCUGAAUAGAAUUAGAAACGAAAUUCACUCAUUUAUUCUUUUAUUCACCCUUUAAUGAAUAUCAAGCACCUGCUACAUGCUCAAUUCUAGACACUAUCCUAGACUGUAAGCAAGACAUAAUCUACCCUCAAGAAAUCUAAAAUCUAAUGAGCUCAACAAACACAUCAAUGAAUGCUUCUAACCUAGGGUAAUAUGUUUUGUUAGGUGAAAGUGUAGGGUAUAUGGAGGCACUGAAGAAGGACUCCCAGAAGGAUCUCACACUUCUGAGUGAAUAAAUGGGAUGGCCCUCAAACUGAGAUUUAGAAAGAGGUAGACACAGUAAGGGAGUGAGGAAGCACCAUGUGCAAAGAUAGGAAGGUGUGAUGUUUUGAAUAUAGCCCAGGUAUGAUGGGAGGCCGAAAGGAGAGCCCCAGGUAGUCAAGAACUAGACACAAGGACCCUGGAUGUUAAGGUACCACCUUUACAUAUAGACAUAGAAAGAGUAGACCCAAGGGGCCUUACGCCCCUUUAGAGGGCAGGUCUCAGAACACAAUGGAUGGCUCCUUGGGGUACAUAUUUCUGUGUGUAGAGUGGAUAUCAUACAGAUAGGAGGUAGUCAGCACAGGCUCACCUCCUUUGGACACGUUCCUGCAGAAGCAGCCCAGUAGAAGCAAAGCACCAGCUCUGAGGAAGUCCUGUUUUCAAAUCUUGGUUCUGUCACCCUCAACUGAGCCGAUUCCCCAGCUUGCUACAGAGCCAGGCUAUGUAUUCAGUUUUGACUGAAUGUUGGGCAACACAGUGUGAACUAUUCUCUUAUUUACUGCCUUUCCACACUUUUCUCAGCCAGUCUUUCCCCCAUUCUUAAUUACUGUCUUCAGGUUCGUUGGUGUCACAGUUUUGUUUUGUUUUCAUCUCGUUUGACUCCUCAAGCCAGUCUGAGGGAAAAGCGAGCAUCACUCUUGUGAGCAUGUACCUCUGGGACUGGGGCCCUGGGCUUUGACUCACAGGUUGAAAGUCCUGUCGUGCUCCCCUGAACUUGACUCAAUGGCCACGGUGGCCUGGCUGAUUUAUGGCUGUUUCUUCCCAUGUUUGAUCUUAGCAGAGAGCUGUGAUGUAGCAGCUUCAUUCUACUCACCUGCUGGUGUCUUCAUGUUUGGUCUAAUAGCUUGUUAACUGCUCUGAGGACGGACACUGCCCUUCAUGGCUACCAUUGAGAGUGGUCUCUAUGGUAACCUUAUCACAUUGAGGACCAUGCUCGUUCUUCAAGGCUUUCCUUUUCCAUUUUUCUUUGGUAGCUUCUGAGUAACCUGUAAUGGUCAGAGCCCUGCCUCACCCUGCCAAGAAGCCACUGCUGAUUUAAAGCUUCUCAAAGGAACCUAACAAGACACACACACUGCUUUUCUCUGGCCUUGUUGCUUAUUCUGAGUUGCAGUUGGUCCAGGUCUGCAGGGAGCUGUCAUUCCUCCUUUAUCAUCUCUUUUUUGGCAUUCCCCAGGUAUUGCUCUCACUCUCUCUCAGAAAGCUUUGACGUGGUUUCUCCAGAUCUCUCUGCUCAUUAAUAUCUUGCAACAAUCCCUUCUGAAUCCUGGCAUUCAAUAUGUUCUUUUUUCUUCAUUCCCCGUUGUUUAGACAUUCACUUAUCUCUUUGGAAGUGACUCUCAAGCUCUCUGGUCUUCAUCUGUACCAAAGAGAUAUGUGUCAUAGACUCCUACAGGCUGCUCAGAUAUAAUACAUGAAGAAAGAACCAAUUUAUGUGUGAUAAGACACUAGAACGUUGAGUCUGCUGAUUACAUUCAGGGUCCAAUACUAAUACGACUAAUAAAAGCAAACAUUUAUGUAGAGCUUAUUAGGUGCCAGACACUGUGGUAAGCCCCUUACAUCUUCACAAUAAUCCCAUAAAGUAAGCACUCUUAUUGUCCCUGUUUUAUAGACGAGGAAACUGAGACCUGGAGUUAAGGGUCAUGCUCUAUUUCCCGAAGCUGUUAAAUGGCAGAGCCAGGACUUGAACUCUGGCUCCAGAAUCCAUGCUCUCCACCAUUACGUACACUGUGCAGGGACAUUGUUUUCUGUACAUGUGUUCCCACCACCAGCAAUGGCUAAUUUCUGCAAAGCUAAGUUGUGCCCCUCUUCAAUGCCAAGAUUAAAUGUCACCUGCUUUAUGAAAACACCACCUUCCUCCUUAUUUAAGGUAUAAGUUCAUUUGACAGACAUCAAAGUAUAGAGGUUGUAGCCCAUUCAUUCAUCCUUUCAACAAGAUUGUAUAAAGUGCCUUCUGUGUUACUGCACUAGGUGCUGUGGCUGCAAUAGUGACCAAGAAACAAGCAGGUCCUGCUCUCACCCUACAUAUAAAUAAAAAUAAAAAAAAUAAGUAAUAAAAAUAAACCAGAAAAUAGUUAGAUAUAUAGAGAUAGCUUUAUGCGUAUACUUAUCUGUAAACUAUAUCAUAUAUAUCCAUAUUCCUAGAUCUACAUGUAUCUAUCAGUCAAUUGACCCAUCCAUAUUAGGUUUUUUUUUCCACUCAGGUUUUUCUGCCUAUUAAAAUGGUAAAGUUCAUCUCCUUAGCCUGAUAUGUAAGAUCUUCCACGAUCUGGCUUCAGAUAUCUUUCCAGGCUUAUCUCCUACCAGUUCUUGCCUCUUCUUCUUCAACCAUUCACUCUAGACCCCAUCUCUCAGAAAAUAUUUCCUUAGUGGAAGCCAUCCAAGCACAAUCACAGCAUUGUACAUUAGCUCAGCCUGUUUUUCUAUCUCAGAUUGCCUUUUCACAUUUCCCUUCCCACAUUUCUCCUUCCCAGGCCUUUUCCAAACACCAAGGCCUGCUUCAAACACCCCUUUCCUGCAGAACUUCCCAAAUCAUCUCUGUUUCCACAGCCCCACCAGCAGGGAAUCAGUCUGUACUUCCUCUGUGCUCCAACCCUGUGCAUGCUUCUCUGUCACAGUGCCUGCAAUUCCAAGUCUUAGCUGUCCCUUUAUGUGUUUGUCCCUUAACCAGGACUGCAGACUCCUUGAAGGUGAGGAACAGGGCAUAUCUUAGGCUGCAUUUGAAGAGCCUAGCACAGUGCCUGGUAUAUACUUCUAUAAUACUAAUAUGUCUGUUUUUAUCAAAAACAUUAUUACUAUUAUUGCAUUAAUACUAAUUAUUUAACUUUAACUUUUAAGUCAUCUGAUUGCCAUCUGUACCUGACAUUCUGCUAAACAUUUCACUUGUUUUACUAUAUUUUUCCAUCGUAAGAAUCUUAGAAUGUAGAUUAUGAUAUACUCUUAUUAACUCCAAUGACAGAUAAGAAACUAAGGCUUAGUGUGCAAUGCCAGCCCCAUGUCACACACACCCCUCAACAGCCGAGCUUGAGUAGGUCCCACAGGCACUUACCAUAAGGAUGUGAGAGUAGUGUCUGCUUGCUCUUUGUCCCCCAUGGUUGUCACACACCUAGUACAGCGACACUGAAGGUGCUUGAUAAAUCCUGUUGCCUGGAUGAAUGAAUGUUCUAUCCAACACUUUGAUGUUGGUGGAAGAAUAGAUGAAUUUAUGUCUUGGGAUCUAACAGUGCUUUCCAUAUACGGUCUUACACCACACACACACAAAUAUGGAUAUGGAAAAGGAAACCAGUAAAAGAUUGUAUGAAAUCCUGAUCAGGUGACCACUGACUAUAUAAUCUGUAUGUUUCUAUGUUUUUGUAGAAGUUGUCUUUGGGUUUAGGUGAAGUUCCUGACCAGUCCGUAAAACUCUACUAGAUGUUUGUAGACCAGAAGGGUCAGACUUGAGUCAAUAAAACCUGUUUGAAUCCCAGCCUUGCCAUGGCUUGUGUGUAACAUGGGCAAGAUAGGUAAGUUCAACAUAGUGAUUAGUGUGUGGAUUCUAGAGUCAGAUGACCUGUCUUCAAAUACUCCAGCUGUACGCUUAGUAGCUGUGUGAUUUGGGGAAGGCACUUAGCUUCUCUGUCCGUUAGUUUUCCCACCUGCAACAUGGGUAUAAUAAUAGCAUUUGCCUCAUAAAAUCGAUGUGAGAUUUAGAUCAAUUCAACUGAAACACUUAAAAUAGUAUCUGACACUCAGAAGACCACUAUUACCUCUUAGGUAAUUACUUCUACUUCAGAGGGAUGUGGUGAGGAAUACAUGAUGAAUGCAUUCACGAAGCCCCUUCUGGAAGUCCUAAGCACUUCCAAAGCUUAGGCCCAGAACGAACCCAAUAGCACAUCCACCAAAUGUUUUGGUUAGAGUCCCAGGGCCAGCCCAGAUUCAGGGGCCAUGGAGAAGGCCAUGUGCGGGUGUAAAUGCAGGAGGAGUGGAUCAUGGGGGCCACCAAGAAGCAGACUGCCACAGCACUGGCAGAAGAGGUAAUGUGAGCUGCAGACGUGGAUUGGUGUCAUGGGUGAUGAGCCCCAGAUAGAGGGAGAUACCACUAAUUUCACCCAUCUAUGCUCCCAUAUUGUGCUCUAGGCCCUCCGCUCAGAAGUCGCUCCUCAUUUCCUAGAGUCCUCCAACCACUGCUAGUAUAUGCUUCCUAGAGCCACAAGAAAUCAGAAGAAAACUUGAGAGAUGAACCAUAGUAGAGACAGGUCCCCUGGCAAUGAAAAGGAAAAUGACAAAAGACAAAACACAAAAAGUCCCAAGAUGGAAAACAUUCUAAAAUGAGGGCAUUUAAAGACCAUCAUACACACAAACGUGUAUUUCCCAUGUAUGCUGUGUCUGUCACCAGAAGCUAGACUGCACAUAUAGACCCUAAGGUUUCCAAUACCUCCAUCAGUAAUGAUAAUGAUGAUGAUGAUGAUGGCUGCUGCUCCUCCAAGGAUGCAGGCUGUGUUUCAUUCAUGAUGGAAUCCCCAAGAACGGCACUUAAUAGGUGCUUUAUAAGCAUCCUUCAUGGUAUUGUCAGUCAUUUAUUGAAUGGUUUACUAUUUGCAGGUGCUAUACUAGAUGCUUUCCAAAUAUCAUGAGAUUCCACUUUACAGUUUGUGAGUUCUUUUCACCAGUAUCACCUCUUUUACCUUAAUUAGGAUCACUCUUGUACAGAUGAGAAGAUUGAGACUGGGAAGGGGGGUGUUGCUUGAUCACAAAGAUGGGCUAUAAACUAAUAUGGUUCUGUCUCUGGAUCCAGUGUUCUUUUUCCUUUCCCCAGACAUCCCACAUUAUAGUGAGCUCCAUCCAUUUACUCACCUAGCACAUUUAUUGAGUACGUGGUAGGUGCCUAAUAGGUUGUGGACCAGCCUCUGCCUCAUAAUCCACAAUCUUGCUCUUACUAGAUGUUGUGUGUUUCAUGUGCAUGAUAUAAAUUCAUUUUCACAAGAGCUAUGUUAGGUAGGGAUUCUUGCCCAUAUUACAGAUGAGAGAACUGCACUCAGAGAUCCUAAGUGAAUUUCCUUGUGUCCUACAGUGGGAAAGUGCUGGAGCUGAGAUUCAAACACAAGUCUGUUAAUGCAUAAGCCCAUGACCUUCCCAUCACAUUACAGUUCUUCCUUCAUGUUCCUCCUACACGGUGACCCCGCAGCUAGGCUGCAGCCAUUCUCCACUACACUUGACUCAGAGAUCUCUUCAGCCCCAAGCACAGAGCCUAGAUUGAGGCUGAAUAUGUGUCAGCCCUCACAGGCAGGUCCAGAGUUUCUAUGGCAAGCACCUAGACAUAUUUACUGAGGAGGGUUACAUUUACUAAGCACCUCCUGUAUGCAGCUGGCAUUGGGCAUGCCAUUUACAUACAUAUUACAUUUCACCCUCAUAUCAAGCUUACAAGGUAGAUACUAUUGCCCCAUUAUAUAGAGAAGAAAAAAGAGGCUUGGGGAGGAAAAGUACCAUUCCCAAAGUCAUCCAGUCUUCCUGACUACAAAGCACUGUGAACUCCCUCAGAGAGGGUGUGAAUUGCACAGAACACUGUCUGAGAAGACUUUGUGAAAAGGAUGAAGCCUGAGCUGCACCUUGGAAAACUUAUCAUGCAACCAGGAUAAGUACGCCGAGAGCUAAUGAGCGUGUUAUUAUAGUUAUGAUUAGGUUUCCAUGUACUUCUCAAAUCAGAUGUGUAAAUAUAAUCAAAAACAUUUCUCUUUGCAGUGCAGACCUCCAGCAGUUUCCACCCGGCAUCCUGGUUCUGAGCAAAGAUAAUAAAUUAGCUCUAAUUAGCUUUCCCACACACUGAAGCAAGUCUGUCCUGUCACCACGUUGCACACGGGGGAGUGAGGGGGCUCUGCUGGACUUCUCCCAAGGACGGGGGUCUGUGGGAAGAGGGAGGUAGCAGGUGUGGCACAUGACCGUCAGCUCCAUAUUACCUUGUGCAUGUGGACAAGCUAUUUGUUACCCAUCCUGGCCUUCAGUUUUCAUCCCCUGUAAAGUGAAGAGCUCAGACUAGGUUCGUGCUUACACAGUAAGAGUCCAUGAUUCUAUCCUGGAGAAUUCCCCAGCUUGAAGCACCAAUUUUAUUUGUGUGAGCCCUGGAAUUGUUGUGUAUCUACUGUUGAUCAGGCAUUGAUCUAAAUACAGGAGCCAUGAGGAGUAGCAACUGGUCUCUGUCUGUAAGGAACUCUACUUUUAGUAGGGAGAAUAAUAAUGGCUACUUACUCUAUGUGCCAGGCUCCUGGCUGUGCUCAUCAAAUAAGUUCUCUCAUUUGGUUUCUGCAAGAGACCUCUGAGGUCGUAUUCUUGUCACCUGCAUUUUCAGAGAGGGUAAGUCACUUUUCCACAGUUUCACUGCUAUUGAGUGAUGGAACUAUAAUUUCAAUUCAGAACCUGAUCUCUUAACCAUUAGGUUAUAUCCUCACUCCCAGAAAUUGUUGGAUGUCGUAAAAGAAACAGAGAUAGUUGGUCAACGGGAGACCACGGGAUGGUGAAGAUUGUUCCAUGUGGGUGAGCAGUGAUGGCUUUGGUUAGGAUGGUGUAUGAACAGAAUCUUGAAUGAAAAACAGGCUUUUUAUAUAUACGUACAGGUGGAGAAGGGAAAAUAUUUUAGGUGGAAGAGUCAAGACAGAGGGAGGAAAGAAAAACACUGGUCAUGGGUGAGGACGAGUAUGUUGACUAAAGGGGGCCCAGUGGAUUAUAAGACGGGGUUCUAUGCUGCAUUCAUUCAAUGACAAAGCAUUUUUAAAGGCCUACUGUGUGUCAGGCACAUUAAAGCCUCUGGGAAUAGCCCGAUGAACAAUACAGGCUCCAACAUGUUAGGACAGUGGUUCUCAACCAGAGGCAAUUUUCUCCCCCAGGUGACGUUUGGCAAUAUCUGGAGAUACUUUUGGUUAUGACAACUGAGGUAGUGUUACUGGCCUGUAGUGAAUGGAAGCCAGUACUGCAAAAUAUCCUACAAUGCGUAGGACCAUCCUCCACAACGAUUACCUGGCGCUUUUACAAUGUCAGUUCCUCUAGUGGAAUAACAAACUGGGGCAGCUCAUGGAGAACCUUGAAGGUCACACCAAAGAAUCUGCCUAUGCCUCUCCUAGGCCAGGUGGCCUCAUAGAACCAAAACCUAAGGGCAGCAACGACAAAAGCAAACCCUUUCCACUGCAAAUGACCUCUCAGCACAAAAGAAAUCAGUCUGGUUGCCUCUGCUAUUUUAUUAUAGUCCUGGGAUGACCUGAAAAUGCAAUUCUACCACCUCUGGUUCAGAACCACUCAGGGCUUAUGAGAAUCUACUGCCCCCCAAAAGAGAAUGUCAGAUGGCUUCUUCCUUCUUAAUCCAAUUAAGUAAGUAGUGCCUCUUGCAGAAGCUCUGCACAGCUGAGAAAUUUAUUACAAAUUACCUAAUCUCAUGGUUCUCCCAUGAAAAGAAAAUAGACUAAACCAUGUCUAACCCUCUUCACCCUGAGCAGUUCAAAGUACCGGAGCUGGGCCAGACCCUAUUUAUUAAGUUAAGCAGUAUUUUCUGGAUCUAGCUGGGGAGUGUCAAUGUGGUGGAACUUAACUGCCUUUUAAAAUGAGAGUCUACUUUUCAUGAUUAUCUCAAGCACACCCGGCGCGAUUCUCCUUUUCUAACACUGGUCAAGAGGAAAACAGGAAUUCAUUUGUGGCUUCCAGGAACCUUCGGAUGCCAGCUCAACAAACAAGAUAGCUAUCAGGGCAUUACUGGGGCACACGUUUCAGAAAGAGCCCUGGCUUUGCAAUCUGCCAUGCCUGUGUGUGUGGACACCAGCUUUGCCUUUCACUGUGCAAACUUAGGCAACUCACUUACUUAACCUCUCUGCACCCCAGUCUCUUUACCAAGAAAAAUGGACAGCCAGAUGCCUGCUAGCACUGUUAUUAGGAUAACUGUAGUACGGAAAUGGGCGUAAAGUACCAUGCCUGUCCCGGAGCAAGCCCUCAGUAAAUUGUAGCUUGAUGGUGUCGGGUCAUUUUCCCACCCAGAUCUGCCUGCAGGGGUGUGGGGUAUGGCAAAAAAAAAAACGAGAACCUGCGACUGAUGUUUAGUUACUUUUCUUGUCAAGGACAGAAGAGAGGAGAAAUUUCUUAAGGAUUAGAGGCUUCUUAGCAAUUCAUACAGUUCAUGCAGUCUCUGGGUCCAGGCAGAGGCUGGCAGGUAAGCUCUUUGCCAGGUUGGAGAGAAUAAGAGGGAAAAUCAAUUAAAAGGGCCUUUGACGGAAUGAGGGGUGGCAAACGCCCAGGGUUAAUCCCGAUGGGAGACCUGUAUUUCCAUAACAGGCGAGGCCUUCCCUUUAACCCUUUGGCACCGUGAGUUGGAGUUUUCUGGGGUGAAGUCCAUUACUGGCAAUGGGUGUGCCGUGUGUGAUUAAUGACCCUGGUUACGGGCCGGUUAGCAACAGAGAGCUCCAUCCAUCUCACUUCAUGGAAGCAUCACACACCAUUUAUUGUCUGCAGCAGGGAUGUAUUCCUUUGCAAUUAGGUAAAUGCCUUCUUUUGGAGUAGAUGUAGUAAUUCCUGCAUUAGUGCCCCUGUGCCUCUACCCACACCCAGUGGAGAAGGGAAAGCAAAGCCUGGCUGGGACCAAAGGCGGACCGAGAUGGUGACUGGGUCAGGUGCUAUUUCCUGACCUCAAAUACUUUUGGCCCCAGAACCUUUGUCCAUUCUCAGCUACCUCCUUUCGAAGGGACAUUCAACACAGGGAGUCCAUAGGUAUCAUGGCUUUAAAAUCCGCCCCCUGCCCCCUCACCGCAAGGGAAAGAAGGGCACGGUGUGUUCAAUGCAUCCUGUGCUCAUUUUCUACUGGGAAAAGAAACCCUCACGACUAAUUGUUUUGAAUAACAGGUGUCAUGUGUAGGGGUGCUCCCUGCAUGUCAGGCACUGUGCUUCCCUCAGGAGAGCUCUGUCAGGCCCUCCCUAUUAUCUCCAUUUUACACUCAGGGAAACUGAGGUAUAGACAGAAGUAAAUUCAAACCAAGCUCAGACCCGCAGUAUCGCUGUAGGACUGUGUGCCUGGCCAUACUUCUAGUCUGCAGUUCUGUCUCAAUCAUUGAAGAACGGGGACCGGUGCAAAAAGAGUGACAAAGGACAGAUAGGUGUUUAAGAGAGCUCACCAUAUGCAAGGUAAAAGAGAACAUUAAUUUGCUCCACAGUUACUUAUCAGAUGCCCACACUGGCCAGGCAUUGUGGGAAGUUCUGAGAAUGUAACAGCAGAUGAGAACUGGUCAUGACGCUCACUCUCUACCUGUGAGCAGAAGUGGUAACAGUAACAGGAACUACUCAUUAUGGUUGAUUAUAUACUUGGUACCGUACUGAGUAUUUCGCAUACAGAAUCGCAUUCAGUCUUCACGUAAUGAAGAACAAAGGGUAACAAAGGGUAACAAAGGAUAAUUAUCCAGAUUUUGCGAACGAGGAAAUGAUGGAAAAGGAAGUUUAAACAACCUGCCAGUUGCUAAGGCCAGUUGGUGGCAGACCUAUUCUUUGACUUUGCAUGGGCUGACCAGGGCGUGUGCUUUUAGAAACUGAAAAAAGGAUUGCAAGUGUGGUGAGAUUUCUGGAGAGCAUGGCGGGGAGCAGAUGGACAUCAGGAAUCUGACGAGUGCUUAGAUCAGGAGGAAGUAGUGUAGUCUGGGUAAGAGGAGAGAGCCAGAAGGGAAAAGGGAUGCCAAGGAACCACGUAGGAUAGGGACUGAGGGGGAGAGGGGAGAGUAUAUUACUCCCAGAGAACCUUGGAGAGCAGGACACUUUUUAGGCACAUGGAGCUGGACCCUGUGGCUGGAAGCGCUGGCCCCAAGAGCUUCCCAGCAUCAGGGAUGGGAUGAUACGAGGCUGGGAAUGUGGGUUAGUAGCCUAUUUCCAUAGGGUCUGGUAGACUAUGUAAAAACUAUUAGAAGUAAUAAAUGAAUUCAGAUUUUUAAAAUGUCAUCACAUGGACCUUAUGCAAAGUAGGGAGUGUGUGUUAGAGUCAGCUAGUUAUUCAUUAAAAAUUGAUGGUCCUCCUUCCAUAAUGUGGGCUUAUCCAUAAUCCAUUCCAUGGAUUGCCUUUUCUGGCCCACCUCUUCAAUAUGUGGGCACAUGAUUAUCUCCUGCCAAGGAAUGUGAAUGGAAGUAAUGUAUGUCACCUCUAUGCUGGAGUCUUGAAGAGGCAGGUAUGUCUUGACUGGGCUAUUUUUAUGUUUCCAUUCCCUAGAAGGAGACAAUCCUGAGCCCCUGGGUGAUGGCAGAGCCACAUGGUAGCAGCGGCCUGGGUCCCUGAUUCACCACGUGGUACACAGCCCCAUGUGGAUGGGAUUUCUUUGAAAAUGAAGAAUAAACCUCUACGGAGUUAAGCCACUGAAGUGUUGAACUUUGUUGCAGUAGCUAGCAGUAGGAUAUCCAAUUAAAGAAACUUGAUUUGUAUUUUAAAAAGAUCUUUCUGACACAGUAUGAAGAAUAGAGAAGAGCAAAAGGUGAUCUGGGAAGACCCCCCGUGGUCCAGUAAAAAGGGACAGUUGCUUAGACCAUCCUUCAGACUCAAACAGCCGUGUGCUCCACUGAAAGACUAAAUCCCCUAUUCUGAUGGUACGUUAAACAGAGGGAAUGACUUAAAAAAAAAUGCCAAAAUCCAUUGCAAAGCAUUGUUUCAUUAGAAAUAAAUAAAGAAGGGGGACACCUGGGUGACUCAGUCAGUUGAGCAUCCGACUUAGGCUCAGGUCAUGAUCUCAUAGUUUGUGGGUUCAAGCCCUGUGCUGAACAGCUGGAGCCUGGAGCCUGCAUAAGAUUCUGUGUGUCACUAGCUUUCUGCCCUCCCCCACUUGUGUACAUUCUCGUACAUGCUCUCUCUUGCUUUCUCUCUCUCUCUCUCUCUCUCUCUCUCUCUCUCUCUUUCUCAGAAAUAAUAAAUGAAUAAGCUUUAAAAAAGAGAGAGAGAGAAGCAAAGAAGCAAUUAGAUACAGAGCAGAUAACUGUGAAGUCAGUAACUUCCCCUAGAUCCCGCUGCUGGAGCCUUCACAAACCUGUGCACCCUGAUUUGCCCACUGGGCACCUAUGAGCCCAGGAUGGAAGGUCAGACAACCUGGUGGAUCUGAAUCCACUGUAGUCUUGGGCAACUUUCAUAGUGUCACUUCCCUCUGCUAUAAAAUGAGAAUAACACCAGGACUUGUCUCAUGGGGCUGUUGUAAGAAUUAACUCUCUGAGUCAAGAUCAUGGUAUAUAGGGAAGAAGUUAUGUUAUUGUUAUAACUGUUCCAUUACAGAAGGACUUAUUUUAGGACCCCCAUUUGACAUCCCCCAACACCAUUUUUUGUUAAUAGCGCUUAUGCCUUCCUCUCCAGAGGGGAGUCUUCUUCCUCGGUCUCCAUACAGCUCAUUCUUGCUCACUCAGGUUUCUACUCAACCUGCUCCUCAGAGGUCCUUCAAGGGCUCUGGUCUCAGUGCCACCUCUCUCUGCCCUGCUUCACUUUUUCUUCUUAGCACACACUGCAUCCUGACCUCACAUAGUCAUCAUGUAUGUGCUGGUUCCACCUCAUUUCACUAGAAUGUGAGCUCUGUGAGAGACUUUAUCUCUUGUUCACAGCUGUAUCUCCAACCAGAAUAGUGUCUGCCAUAGAAUAGGAGCCCAACAUGCAUUUGGUGAUAUAUAGAAGAACAAAUGAUGAUGUGAUCACAUGUGUGCUGCUUUCCAAAUCCUAUCAUUCAUUCAGAUCUUACCAUUUCUUUUUUCCCCUUUGUUGUACCUUAGUGGAUCAUUUAUCAGUCCAGAGCCUAUGUACACAUUUUAUUCUUUUUCUCCUGACUAACCACUGCUCUAGGUCUGUUAUUUCCUAAUCUGCUUCCCUGAAGACUCCCUGCCUGAGACAAAGGAUGUGCAGGGGGGUGAUGGACCCUGUCUUCACUGACCAGCAGUUCCCUAUUACAUUCAUUGCCAGUACUGUAGAAUAUAUAGACUCCUACACUCUCCAAGUUAUUAAAGCCUGUAGCUUAGAAUCAUGGCUCAAAAAACUGGACUGGACCACAGGGCCAUCCUGGUGUAUGGUCACAUACUUCCACCAAGAUUUUUUUGUUAAUUUUUUUCACAUUUAUUUAUUUUCCAUAAAGAGAGAUAGAGCACAAGUGGGUGAGGGGCAGAGGGCGAAGGAGACACAGAAUCUGAAGCAGGCUUCAGGCUCCCAGCUGUCAGCACAGAGCCCGAUGCGGGGCUCGAACUCACAAACUGUGAAAGCAUCACCUGAGCCGAAGUCAGACGCUUAACCGACUGAGCCACCCAGGUGCCCCUUCCACCAAGACUUUUUAAAUGGUUUUAUUGAGGUGUAAUUGAUGUAUAAUAAAUAUACAUAUUUAAAUAUACAAAUAUACAUUUUCAAAUGACUUUUGGCAUAUGCAUAUAUUUGUGAAACCAUCACUAUAAUUAAGAUAAUAAACAUUUUCAUCAUACCCCAAACUUGUCUUAUGCAUCUUUAUAAUCUAGCCCUUUUUACUACAUCCUCCCUGGCUCACACACAACUCCCAUACAGAGGCAACCACAAGAUUUGCUUUCCGUCACUCUGGUUAUUUUGCAUUUUCUAGGAUUUUAUAUAAGUGAAGUCCUAAGGUAUAAAAUCUUUGGAUUCUUACUCUCACCAUAGUUAUUUUGAAAUUCAUCCAUGCUGUCAAAAGUGUCAAUAAUUUGUUUUCUUUUUAUUGAUUAGUAUUCCAUUACAUGGAUGUAUCCCAAUCAGUAUAUCUAUGCAUUUGUUGGACAAUUGGACAUUCUCUAGUCUUUGGCUACAACAAAGUUCCCUGAGCAUCCGUAGACAAGUCUUUGUGUUGAUAUGUUUUCAUUCCAUUCAUUAAACAUGAAAGAUAUGUUUCAUUUUACCGUCUAGGGUAAAAUACCUAGAGUUGCUGAGUUGUGUGAAAGGUGUAUGUUUAACGUUUAAAGAAAUUGCCCAAUUCUUUUCCAAAGUGGCUGAACCAUUUUAUAUCCCUACCAGCAGUCUGUGAGAGUCCCAGUUCUUGUUCCUCUGUUCUUACCAACAACUGGUUUGGCUAGCUGUUUACUUUUGGUCAGUCUAGUGGGUUAGAGUGGUGUCUCGCUGUGCUUUUAACUUGGAACUCCCUAAAAAUGAAUGACUUUCAGCAUUUUUUCACAUAUUUGUCAUCUUUAUCUUUUCUUUGAUGGAGUACCAAUGUUUAUGGGAUUAUCUUAUUUUUGAGUUAUAAGAAUUUUUUUAUUCCAGACACAAGUUCUUUUUCCAAUGGGCCUUUUGCAAAUAUUUUCUUUCGUUCUGUAACUUGCCUUUUCAGUUUCCUUUCCGAGUUCCCUGAGUGGAACGGUUUUGUUCAUUCCCCUCCAUAUUCCUAAAAACUAGACCCCAACAAUCUUAGAUAUUGAAAAUGUUCAGUAAAUUUCAAUUCAAUGAAUGAGACAAGAUCUAAUUCUAAAUAUUUCAAGCCAAGCACAUGAAAGGUGACUGAAUCUUCAGUUUUCCAAUCUGUAAAUUCAAGAUACUGUUACCUAAUUCAAGGGAUUACUGUCAGAAAUAAGUGAGUGACUAUGAAUUGAUUUUUUAGACUGAUGCUAGGCAUGUAGUAGCGUUCAAUUAGUAUUAGCAUUCUUUUAUUCUGUGAUCCAAGGGAGAAGUGGGGCUAACGGUUGAAGCCAUAGGGAAGCAGAUUGGUCAAUUUAGUGAAUUAUUUUCUAUUGCUGUUUAAUAAAUGGAACAAAAUGGACUGCCACACAAACUGAUGAGCUCCACAUCACUAGAAGCAUUUUAAUAGAAUAUCGUUUGAUCAGCUUCUAGAAGAGAUGUUUGUUACCUCGAGAAAAAUACCGAACUUCUUACAUCUCUUCUGUUCCUAAAAGAUGUGUCAUUUGUGGUAGGAGAUGAUAACAACAAUGGCAUGCUAUUAUAUACAGCUUAUAGUAUAUACAAUAUAAUGUAUAAUAUAUAAUACAUGGUAUACAUUCUAUAUAUUAUAUGCUAUAUUAUAUGCUAUAUGCUAUAUAUAUAUAUGCUAUAUUAUAUAUAUACAAUAAUGUCAUCGCUGAGGAUGUGCUAUUGUGCUAAGUACUAAAAAGUAUAUUAUUUAACCAACCAUCACAACCACCACCUGAGGUAAGAGUAGAUGUUAUCUCUGUUUGAUAGGUGAGAAAAAUGGGCUCAGAGGUGGUAGAUAACUUGUCCAACAACACAGAACCUGGAGUGGCAGGGACUUGAAUGCAGAUAUGUUUAAGUUAAGUCCAUACUUGCAAUCCAGGUACGCUAGCCAGUUUCCCUCUGCUUGGUCAUUGCCAAAGGACAAGCACUGCUGAAACAAGCCACUCCCCAACACCUUGUGUGCCCACAUUGCCCCACCCCCACCACAGGAUGUCUCUGAGCCAGUGAGAGUGAGUACUUAUGUCUUGGUCCACAGCUGCAUUUCUUUGGUUGGCUCAGCCGGUCACCCCACAGAGUGGCCAAAGACCAGGGCAGUCAUGCCUGAGGUCAGCCACCUGAUUUGCUCUCCAUCCAGCACUACCAGCUGCAUCUCAGCUUCCCGGGAAAUGGUAUUCACAUCUCCUGUUGGAACAGGCCUUUCCCAUGCUUUUCCUUCUGGCAUAUGGAGUAUUUAUUUGUUUUGGAAGUCCUCAGAAGUGCCAGCUUUCUCAUCAUACAACAGUAGGGAUUGUCCCCAUUUGGUGCCUGUCCAUCCAGCACAUAAUAUUUAUGCCAUCGUGGCAAAGCUGUUGGACCCUUGGAUUCUAAUUAUCUAAAGAUGCUUCUGUGGCUUUUAAAAACCAGGCCCAGUCUUCUGACAACAAGUGCCUGCCUCACCACCAUCCUGAUUACCCGUUCCUACUGGCGCAAUAACCAUGAUGAUAUUCACCAGAUUGUGCCAAACAGACGUUACCUAGCAACAAGUGGGGAGCACUUGGGAUGUGUCCUUGUGUUCUGAACACUGUGAGCAAUUCUUUAAACAUCUUGGAUACAACGAAGAAUGAAUGCACACCAUGAGGAAGCCUUGAGAGAAUGGUUUUGCACUCAGACACACUCUCAUGCAACCCUGGCUCUGUGUGACUCCAAUGACCUUGGGUAAGUUACAUAAAGUCUCUAAGCCUCGGUUUCCUAACCUAGAAAAUGGAUAAAAAUAACAGUACUUACUUAUGCUAAUAUUGUGAAUGUACUCUAUGAAUGUAAUGCAUGGAAAGAAAGUACAUUGGACAAUAUUCUGCAUUAAGUAGGUUUUCAAAUAUUAGUUUGCCUCAAUGUACAUAUUUUCUGUGCUACCUUUCAUUAAAACACAAAUACAGGCAUCUGAAGAACCCAGAUCUAGUUACCCCUAGCCUACAUUGAAAAGUAACUGUUUCCUUAAGGAAGUCUCUUAACCUCUUUUUGAUUUAUUUUCUUUAUCUGAUAGUAGUAAGUGGGAUAAUAAUAGUGACAAUGGGAGGACAGUAAUAAGUAUAGUUCUGAAAUUAGGAGUAUGGAAAAAAUCUGAAGACCAGAAUAUAAAUGCCAGAGGUGACCUAAAUAUAUUACUGGUAUUAUUUUUAGUUGAGGGGAAGCUAGCAGCACUAGGAGACUAACUAGAGACCUUUGUCUCAUAGUCAAUUUUAUCUUCACCCAUGUAUGACCCUGGUAUUCAUAUUGGUGAAACAGGUACUUGAAAUCACAUUGAAGCCCAUCUCCCUACCCACCCACCCACUUAUUUUUUCACUUUAAUCUCUAUGUUUGUUUCAGGAAAUGUAUUCCAUAUCUAAUACCAAGAGAGACCUUUGCCAGGGCAAAUAAAUGGUUUCCAGAGGAUGAGGUUACACUAGUUAGGUUAGAGAAACAAAGGGCAGAAUGAUCCAAAGGAUGGAUGUGAAAUAUAUAGCAUCUUGCAAAAUUCUCAGAUUUUUGGAGCAAAGUAGACAUGGCUUCAGGUCCUCCUGGUCUACCACUUUAUAGCUCUGAGGACUUGGAUAAAUCAUCUCGAUAAGCCUUAGUUUUCCCAUCUGUACAAUGGUUAUACUAUAAAUUAUCUUGUAGAGUUGUUGAAAAGAUGAGGACCAUGAAUUUAAAGUGCCUGUUAAGGAGACUGGCACAUGGAAUAUCCGCAAUAUAUGAUGUGUAUUAAAUACAAAAUUAAUACUAGCAAUAAGUGACCAUAAUUGAAAAGGAAAGAAGAGUCCAAGUAACGGAAUGGCUCAAAGUGUUUAGUCUGAGCAGCAAAUAUGAACCAUCAAUAGUAAGUAAAUGUGAACAGUCAAGAGGCAGGGAGAUGAGAAAUAAGCAAGCAGGUAGACUGAUAAAGACAAACAAUUUGGAGUCCAUGCCAGGAAAUAGGUCUGAGUUUUGGGGCCCCCAGGUAAAAUGUAUAGAACAGGACAGACAUCUCAGCUACUUAGGGAGGCUUUGUCCUCAUGCUUUUGCCUUUACAGGCCAUCAUUUUCUCCUUCAGGACUCAAAUGACAACCCCCUGCAGAAGUGCCUGGUGGAAAAUAGGUUGUUAACAAGAGGGGAGGCUGGAUGCUCCGGGCACAAGGUUCUGACCAAUGGCAAGUCUGCAUUCUGCACUUGGAAUCUCAGCUUUUGAAUGUCAGAGCAUGGGAUUUCCCUUAAGAGUUGCCCAUGUGACUAAGUACCCCUCAGGUUAGUGGAGUGAACAGUUUCCCUGACUUCAGUUUCUUCUUAAUCAGGUGUCUCAGCACAUCUAAGAUGCCUUUUGGCCAUUGUCUCCCUGACUUCUUACCUCAGGGAGCCUGAUUCGAAGGAGUUGCUGGAAGCAAAGAGAGAGAACUUGAAUUCCAUCCGUCAGUCAAUCCUACACUUCCCAGUUUCCUGGCUUGGCCAGAUACCACUGCCAGCCCAUGAGAAGCACCUGUCCUGGCAGAGAUUGGGUCCAACAUCUAGGAGAUAGAGAUGUGUGCGAAUGAAUAAUAUCAAAGAGUGUGGCUUUCUCAUGUUAAAUAUGAGUACUAAUUAUCAUCUAUCCACAUAGCACAGCUCAGGGGAAUCAUGGAGCAGCCUAAGACCAAUACUGCAUGUGGGUGCCUUGCUUUACAAUAGCUGGUCUAAGAAAAGUGGUGCAGAAUUCAUCUGUGCAGUUAUUUGUCUUUUCAAUGAUGCUAAGUCAAAUAGGGUAUUGAAUCCAUAUGGUAGUAGAAAUUUUCUAACCUACCAGAACCUAGAGCAUGAUAUUUAAACAUGUUAAGCCUUAAUUUCCCAAUAUUUUAAAUAGGAAUAUAAACAAAUAAUUCAUAGGACUCCUUAGAUUCUAAAAACAAAAACGGAAACUUCCAGGUGAAAUACUUGUCAGCCAGACUGGAAUGGGUGGGCCAGUGAUAGAUCUUGAUACUUCACCCAAACAUCCCUGGUUCAACUCCCUAGAAAUGCAGAUAGUUUCAUGUGUUCUGCUUGGUUUUGAACAGGAUCAUGAUUAAGAGUUAAUAGACAUAGAAUAUUGAUCUUGUUCUGUCAUUCAUUAGCUGUAUCUGUGGAUAAGGCACUCCCGCUUUCUGGACUCCAGUUUCCCCCUUGGUAAAGUAAGAAUCUUGAAACCGGUAACUUCUAAGGUCUUUUCCUACAUGAACCUCUGUGACUCUAUAUUGACCAAAUUGUAAUAAUUUUAAAUGCUUCUAUCUUGAUUAGGGAUCUUAACUUUAUCAGAUCUUACACAUUUCUUUAUAAAGCCCAAGUCCAAACUCUAGUAUGGGUUCUGGUACUAAGCACAGCUAGUACUUAGUAAAUGGGUAACACCCACCUGCAUCCCUCUCGUAGUUUCUACUUGCUUCAGUUUUCUAGCUGUAUGACCAUUGACAAAGUGCUUAACUUUUUUUUUUAUUAGAUUCAUCAUCUAUAAAGUGGAGAUGAUAAUAGUGCCUGUCUCAUAAGGAUUAAAUGAAUUAUAACAUGUAAAUUGCUUAUAACAGUGCCUGGCACAUAGAAAGUUCUGUUUAAGUGUUAGCUGCUAUCAUCAUUAUCAUCAUCACCACUACUUAUUCUUCAUGACUCAUAUAUCCCUAUUGUCUUCCAAACUCUUCUCCUGAUGCCAGUGUCAUUUAGUCAUCCACAUGUUACUUCCUUAGGACUCCUCAUGAUGAUAUGAUCCAUGUUUCACUUUUGAUGGGGAACACUCGUUGGCCAUAUUAAAAAUUAACACUGAUAUUUUUACCAGCACUUUUGGAAGUGAAUGUUUCCUUAUCUGAUAAUUAGCAUCUGUGGUUUUCUUCUUAAGUUAUUUCAAAGUACAGUGUCAUAUAAUUGCUUUACUUUAAGUUUCUCAUGUCUUCUAUGCUCUUACCAACUACUUUAUUUGGCUUGGACAAGGCCCUUCAUAACUUCCUCUAACUUCUGAGAGAGAAUGCUUGUGAUUCCAGUGAACACUUUUUAAGAUGCCUGGGUUUCUGUCAAGUGGAGCUACCAUCUGUAGAGGUCAGAAUCUCUGCAGCAGCCUUCAUUCAGUCAGUGAAGGGCAUUCACUUAGCAUCUUCUGUAUGAGAGAGACUAUUCUAGGUGCUGAGUAUUAGCUCCAUACCCUCAGUGUAUCAUCCACAGUCCCUCACAGGCCCAGGCAUCUAUUGAAUACAUCCCCAUUGAGACCCUUCUGUUAGAGGGUAAUCACUUUUUAUAGAUGUCCAUAAUAAACUUUUUAUACGCUCAGUAACUACUUUUAUUGGCAGGGCUAGAAGCUAGAAAUAAAAAAGCUGUGUAUGCCCUGCUUGUUGCCACUGAGUAGCUCUUCAUCUCAUGGGGUGGGAGCAGGUUUGUGAACAUGGCAGGUGUUCAAUGUGCUUCUGGAGAAACUAUUUUAGUGGCUGAAAAGAAGCAUCCUGCUUAGCUGAGAUCAUAUUCUUUAAUUGAUAAGGUGGGCACAGUAUCAUCCGCCUUCACACUUGUCUCUAGCUACACAUCCUGUCUAGGGGACCGCGUCCAGUCCCAUGGCCAAAUCCCAUGGCCAUGGAUACCAAGCUAUGGGGGUAAUUCCAAGACCAGCCUUACCCCAGGAUCAAGUCUCCAUAGUCACUCUCUAUGCUCCUCUAUCUUUCAUACCACAUGUGGAUCUGACAGUAAAUCUUGUUAACUGUCUUUUCAAAAUGUAUCCUGGUUCUUCCCACUUCACUGAAUUCCUUUCUCAUUCAUGCCUCAUGAGAUUAUUGCGUUAGCCCUUGGUUUGCACUCCAUCCUGCCCAUCCACAGUCAGUUCUUGACACAGCAUUCAGAGUGUCGUUUCAAGAUUUAAGUCAGAUCACAUCAAUCCCCUUCUCAAACUCCUGUGUGGUCUCCACAUUACACUUAGGGUAGAGCCCAAUGUGCUAUAAAAGUCCUACAAACCCCAUGUGAUCUGGCCUAUACCUACAGCCUUUUCCUUAUUCAUUCUGAGCUUGAUUUCCCUAAUCUUCCUCAAACAUACCUCCUCAGGUGUGAAGAUCUUUUCUCUUUCUCUUCACUUUUCCUCCAGGUAUUUGCAUGGCUCUUCUUCACUUCAUUUCAGUCUCUACACACAUGUCAUUUUCUCAGGGACAUCUUCCUUAAUUGCUACCCCCCAUCAGGUUCUGUAAACUCACCUACUUGAAUGCUCUUUAUAGCAUUUAUCUUUGUCAGACAUUGUAAUAGUUUAUUCAACUGCUUGUUUGUUACAUGACCCUCACCUAGAAUGUAAGCUCCAUGAGGACAGGGACAAUGUCAGCCUUGCUGAUUCCUAUGUCUCUAGGAGGAUAGGGCAUAUGGUGGGCACUUGGUAAGUACUGAAUGAAAAAAUGAAUGAAUGGGGACAUUUUGUGAAAUGUCAACCUUUGAGUUUCGAGUGACAACAUUAGUUGUAUCUUGAUACUACCUUACUUCACCCUUCCCCAUACCCUCUCAGCCCAUCUCGAGCCCUGCCAAGGGUGUGUGCAUCCACAGAUGCUCUUGAAGACAUCUUUCUGUUUGAUGAGAAAGCAGUCAAAAUCCAGCCUUCUGAAAAACCUCUUCUCAGGCUCAUUCACCUUGAAAUCCACUGCUCCUCUCUUUUAUCAAGGCCAGGAUAUUUAUUCCUCUGAGUUGGAGAAAAAUAAAAAUUAAAAGUACAAAAGAAUGUAGUGGCCAUUAUAUUCUAAAUUACUUGAUAAGUCAUUGGCUUUUCUUUCAUAUUUUCAUGUCAUUGGAGUAGUAUCCAAGGUAUGAGCUUAACUAUUGCAUAUGAAUUAUUCACAAAAAAAGGCCACGUUCAGGGUCUUAUUGUUUGAAUUCCUGGUCUCUGGCAUCAUGGCCACCCUUGGCAAGCAUUCUCUAGAUAUCCAAACAUAUCAGUCUUCUCUCCUCUGUGUUGCUCAUUGCAUUCACAUGCCUGCAAGGGUAGUCUGCAUGUUAGAGACUGAGAAGCAACCAAGCCACCAGCUUGCAAACAUCUGACUGUUCCCACGUGUGGUAGAAAGAGAAGGGCAUUGGCAGCGGAGACUUGGGUUCAAAUCCAAGUUAUUAUGUUUAUGGUCUUGGACAAAUCAUUUAACGUCUGGGACCCUCCAUUCCAUCAUCUGCAAAAUAUCCUCCUCAGAGUUGUAGUAAAGAUUAGAAUAAACAAUCAUUUAGAAAGCACAUCGCACAGAGGGACUAGAUGAAUGCAAGCCUCUCUUCCUUCCCACACUGGGUUCUUCCUUUGACAGUAGUACAUUCACACUCCCUCCUGGGACCUUGGGGACACUCCAUAGUAGUGCACUGUGUCAUGAUUUUUACUCAGCCUGUGGAAGCAUCAGAGUCUUAGCGUUUCAGGAUCAUUUGAAAUUUUUUAAAGUUAAAAACUGUUCUUCAAAAGCAGUAUUGCAGAGAGCCUGUGCAGCAUGUUGCACAUAGUAGGUAUUUAAUAUUAGCAUGCAGAAUGAAUGAAUGAAUGAAUGAAUGAUACAGUUAAAAAUGAGGUGUUCUGGUUAAAACAGACAUUGAGGUCUCAAAAGCCUGCAUUCUGUGCCCUCCCUCACUCAAGGAGAUAACCUUUGAAGCAUGACCCCAGAAUCUUCUAGCCCUUAUAACACAGAUUGGAAACCACUAAUCUGGUCUAAUGCCAUCCCCACUGCAGACAUUUCUGCUACUGUACUUUUGGUGAGGUGAUUAUCUUAUUUUGAUCCUUGAAAAAAAAAAGGGGGGGUGGGGGCUGCUCACUCUAGUUCUAGACAAGUAACAAUUUUAAGAAGUUUUUCAUGUUAAGGCAAAAAUUGUACCCUUAGAUUUCUACCUACUGGUUGUACUUCAUUUCAUUCACUCAUUCAUCUUUUCAUUCAUUUUAAUCACGCGUUAAAUAUCAGUUCUGUGUCUUGCCUGAAGCUUCACUCCUUGCAUAUACAGAUAGAUGAUCUUUCAUUCAUUCAUUCAUUCAUUUGUUUUAAUUCCAGUGUAGUUGACAUAGAGUGUUACAUUAGUUUCAGGUGUACAGUACACUAAUUCAACAAUUCCAGAUAUUACUCUGCUCAUCAUGAUAACUAUACUCUUAAUCCCCUUCAUCUGUUUCACCCAUCCCCCCUCCCCCUCUCUGGUGACCAUCUGUUUGUCCUGUAUAGUUAAGAGUAUGUUUUUUGGUUCGUCUCUCUUUUUUUCCUUUGUUCAUUUGUGUUGUUUUUUAAAUUCUGUAUAUGAGUGAGAUCAUAUGGUAUUUGUCUUUCUCUGGAUGGCUUAUUUCACUUAGCAUUAUACUCUCUAGACCCAUCCAUGUUGUCUUUUCUCUUUUGAAAGUCUUUCUUCUUAUGUGUCACAUUCAGUGAAGAUCAAUGUGGAUUUUUACUGAGGGUUUUCUUGAGCAAAAGGAAAUUCCCAUUACACAAUAUACUGCAAGAACUUCUUAAAAUCUACUUUCCGAAUAUUUGCUCUCAUGAACCUAUUCAGUAAAUCCACUCAAGUAAUCACCCCCUGCUGCCAGCAACCUGGCUCUUUACCUCUCUUCUUCCUUCAUUUGUUCUCCUGGAGAAUGACUUUCCUCCGGGUAGCCCCAGACUCUUUCAAAUGUUCUUUUGAAAGCUUCUACCACAUCCAUUAUCCCUACCAGCCAAACAGAAGUUCCUCCUGGUGGCCUGCACUUCUUAGAAUGUGUGAGAAGGAAGAGAUUAUCAUUAAGUAUACUCUUUUUGUUGUUGUUGUUGUUGUUGUUUACCCCAUUUGACAAAGAGAAUAAGCUCUGCUCCCAGCCCUCAAGUAGCUAACUAUCACACUAAGUAUAGUGCAAUAAAUAUUAAGAUCCACUCAUCAACAAAUACAUAUUGAGCACAUAUGAUGUAUCAUUCACUUUUCUAGGUGAUAGGGAUACUAUUGUGAACAAAAUAGACAUUCCCUGCCCUCAUGGAGCUUACAUUCUGGAGGACAGAGAUAGACUAAUAAAAAAAUAGAUAGUUAAAAAAAGUAUAAGUGUGUCAGGUGAUAAUAAAUAUAAUAAAUACAGUGGAGAAAAAUAAAGCAAAAAUAGAUGUUAGAGCCAGGAGAGGUUGAGUUACUUCAUUGCCCAUAAAACCUUAUGGUGAUUAGAAUCUGGUGGUGAGGGAAGGCUUAGAGUCCUGGGCUUAUUAGAUGUAUGUGUGAUAUUAUUCCUGACGGUCUCAAGCAGGAUGCCAGUGGUAAGAUGAUGAGUGAUGGGGGAGGGAAAAGUGAGGUCCAUGGCUGAGCCAUCUCUUUUUUCUGCCAAUGGUGAAAGAGUGGUCCUCUUUGGAUCCCACAGAGCUCCUGUGAUUCCCUCCUGAGAUUUACCAAUGGAGGAAAGAAGGAGACAUGAUGAGCUAUGACAAUACGAAUGGAAGUGUUUGGAACAUGGAAGUAGGAGGAAGUGAUUAGGAGGGACUCCUCAAAGGAGGAGACAGUGUAGGAGUUAUCCAUUUGUGGGAUGACAGGGCAAAAUACAUUCCAGUGGCCAGAAGGAGCAGUAUCUUUAAAGACCUGUAAGUAUGCAGACAUCUGUUAGGUUUUAAAAAACUAUCGGUGGGUUCACCUUGGCUGAGCUCAAGAAUGCAAAGUGGAGUCAAGAGAUACAGCAGGAGAGGAUGGCUGCCAUGAAGGAAUUUGCAUAUCAUGCUAGGAUUGUAGUUCUCACACCUCCAGCCUUGGGGAAACCUCCAAGCAGAAGAAUGAAAUGACCAGAUCUUGUAUUUCAGAAAGACUCUUCUGGUAUCUAUGUUUUGGGGGCAAAAAGACCUAUUGGGAGGAAAGAAAUGCUUCAUCCAGGAUCAAGGGAAGAAGGUAGUCGGGAAGGGAGAGGUGGAGACAAGUCCAGCCACCUAACUGUUGAUUGAUUCUUCUGCUUAACAGUCCAGGAGCUAUUCCAAGACUUGUCUGGGGUCUUCUCUCCACCAGGACAGAACCUCCCAAUUGCAAAGGGCAGCCCAUUUCAGAGGUGUGCACUGAUAUUCUUGGCUUUCACUUUUGGCUGUAAAUCAUGGCAGCUGUCCUUUCUCUUCACUGUCCUGUUGUCCUCUCAUGCAAAAAAUCAAUGUCAAAGUGAACAGGUGUUGCUAAUGGUACUAGAGAAUAGGAGAAUCAGGAAACAACAACUUCAAGGCUGAAAUAAUAACAUUUUAAUUGGAAAUCUACUGUGAAGAGACUAACCUAUGUAGAUAUAUGCAAAUCCUAUGCAAAUACACAUGUGGUCUUUCUAACUAUUGUCAGAACCUCGAUUUGACCCACGGGAAUUCUUAAUGGUAGAUGCUAGCUCUCAGCUGAGGCUAAGGGCUGUUGAUGAACAAUUCUAGGUUUUACCUAUGUUUAAACCAUAAUUAAGAAAAAUAUUGAUAGCAACCUGAACUUAAUUAGCUUAAUUGAAUGUUGGAAUUGAUUGGGUCUUGAGAGAGCUGGUCUCUGAAGCUAAGCCUUGGGGAGAUUGCAGGGGGUGGAAAGAAAACCGAACUUAAAAGCACCUAGCAGAAAUGAAAAGGAAUGGGCGAGGAGCCACUGGGAGCAUUAUUAAAGGGAAAAGAUUUUUAUCAGAGAGUUGAAAGAAGAAUACUUAAAUUUCAAGUCACGCGUAGCCGUUCUAGGUCAGAUCACUCAGUCAAAUGGGAAAAAAAUGAUGUUGGGAAGCAAGAUUGUGUGAGAUACAGAAGGGGAGGCCAGCAUCCUUGCAUGGGAGUAUAUCACAUCCAAUAAACAGUUGUGCUAGACUGAUGGGGGCCAGCCCAGUACUCCCAGGCCAGGCCGUGGGCUCCAUGCAAAGCCCUUGGGGUGCAUGCUAGCACCUGGGGAGAGGCCAGGGAGCCUUACGGUUAAAAACAAAGGAUUUCAGCUAUGAUGAUGCAUGUCUUCUCCUGUCUUUAUUUAUUAAGAACUAAUUAAGUUAUCAAGUUAUGUUUUAUAAUAAAUGGUUUAAUUUUCUCACUUAUGAAAAACCUCAUUAUUUGGGCUUAGGCGAUCCUGAGAUUAAAUCCCAGUUCUGCCCCUUUGUGCAGUAUGACCAUCGCAUUCCUGAGCCUCAGUUUCUUUACCAGAUUUGAUACUACAUAUACAAUACAAUGUGAAGGUAGAAGGUUGCUCUGCCUUCAUGGUACUGAGCAAUCGCCACCUCAUCACAUCCCCGCGAAGGCCUGUGGUUUAUAAGGGGUUGAACUGAGGUGGCAAGCACGGUCCCUGGUUCCAAGCCUGUGUUCUUUCCACUAUCUUUCUGCCUUAAUCCCCUCUGCCCUGGUCCUCCCCUACUCUUCAGAGAAGCUCCUUGAGUUACUUGUCCAAAGGUGCUGUCUCCCCCACCCCCAUUCUCUCCACCGUGAAGUCUGCCCCAUCUGUGUGCUCUUGCUUCAUCAACAAGGAUCUUCUGGCUAAGUCUUUGCUCUGUCUGUCCCACCUUCCAUGCUCCUUUCUUCCACAUGAUCUCCACCUGCCACAUACACAAUGAUGAAAUAAAAAAAAUUAACUAGGAUGCAAAAGAUGAACCACGUUUUCUGUUUUGUUUUUAUAAUUAUGUACAUAUGCAAAAAGAAAUGAACAAAUAAAUUACCAGAAAGGAAAAAGCCAAAAUGUUACCAGAUGUUAAUUCUGAGCAUUGUUGAGAUUUUUCAAAAUUAUCCACAAAGGAUAUAUUGUUUUGAAUUGAGAAAAAUAAACAUGACUUUUUAAAAGUGAAUGCACUUGCUUGGGAAGUCAGUUAACAUGGGUGUUAAUCCUGCUCCUUACAGCCCGUGCCCUGUCCCUUGUGAGGACAUUUCUGGUGACAUGGUCCUCCAGGACUUAUAUUUGAGAGAAACCAAUCUCUCUCACCAUCUCAAGCAUGCUGUCCCCAUUUUUAGCUGCACGAGAAGCAAGCCCAUUUUCAAGGGAAUAACAGCUCAAAUUUAUCAUAUUGCAGAAACAGAAGCCCCAUUUCUAGAAGAUUCAUAGAUUGCCUUGAGAUAACAUUUAACUUUCCAGGAAUAUCUUCAGACAUGACCUCCAAUCUUGACAUGACAUCUUGUUCCUUUUGGUGUAAAGAUUACACUUUGGAGUGGACCCUCACUGGAUUUCUAGGCCAUGUUAAGUAUCUGAUCUCAUGGGCACUACCUCUGCAAAACCAAGGCCACGUAGCUACCUCCCCAACCUACACAUAAACACACCAACCACCAUUGCCAUACUUCUGCUACUGCUAUCCCGCCCAUACCUACCACAUGCAGCUUCAGAUCCAGUGCAAGGUGUGGGACUCCCCUGGAUUUGGGAGCAAUUUCAGAACCACUUAGAAGGUGUCUUUAACCUUGGGUUGUUUUGCCACUGGUCUGGCUUGACACUCGUGAUCACUUCUGCAUUGUGGCUUGGGUUUGAGUGAUUGUUUUGAUAACUCAUGUGAUAUGACAGCCGCUUCUCUCUGGCCUGACCUGCCUGACACCUCUAAUACUGGCCCCAACUUUAUAAGGCUUCAAUACAAACAAGUGAUCUAUCAUAAUGACCAUGUUGUUUUUGCCUGUGACAUAUUGGUAAGAAACAUUAUACUAAUUAUCCCUGCAGUUCAGGAUAAGUCACACUUAGUGAUGAUAAUUCUUUAAGUGGAUGGAAAUAGGUUUGCAAAUGCUUAAUGUAGGAUUUUGGUAUCAUAUUCCUAUGAGUGAUUUAGGUGGUGUGUAUGUGUGUGUGUGUGAACACUUGUGCUCAUGUGCACACAUGCAUUCAUUCUACGUUGGUCAAGUUUCGGUGUCAUUAUGUCUUAAUGUACUACAUUGCAUUCAGAUUAAAUCCUAUUGUACUUUCUGUCCAUUCAGAUUUUAUUGAGGUUUACCUUAUAGCCUGUCAUAUGAUUACUUUAGGAGGUCAGUGUCCUAGUUUGCUUUAAAAGGACAUGCUUUCUUUCUUUGAGAUGGUUUAACAUAAUAGUUGAAAGGGAAGUCGCUGUGGAUACCUGCCUCAGUUUAGAACCAGACUUGAUUUUUUAUGCCAGUGCAGUUGAGUUGCAUCUUGGCUAGGAUUGUGCUCCUUGUACCACGGUUUUCUUAUCUGUAAUGCAGAGGUAAUAAUUUUCUAAUUCAUAUGGUUGUUACAGGGUUUAAUGAGAUAAUAGUAUGUGUAAACAUUUAGAACAGUGCCUGGAACACUGUAAGUACUCAAUUAAGUCAGCCUUUAACAGUGUUUAGAGAUGUAAAUGCAACUUAUUAAUGAUAGUAUUCUAUUUUUGCCUUUCUCAUUGCUUUUUUAAAUUUUUUUUAACGUUUAUUUAUUUUUGAGAGACAGAGACAGACCAUAGGCGGGAGAGGGCCAGAGAGAGAGGGAGACACAGAAUCUGAAGCAGCUCCAGGCUCUGAGCUGACAGCACAGAGCCCAACGUGAGGCUUUAACCCACGAACUGUGAGAUCACAACCUGAACUGAAGUUGGACACUUAACUAACUGAGCCACGCAGGCACCCCUUGUCUUUCUCACUGUUAAAACAUCAAGGUUAUUUCUAUCCCCAUGUCCUUAUAUUUCUAGUUUGAUUCAUAUAUUUUGCCAUUAAGUAAUGGCAUGUCUCAUAUAACUUCAUCGUAAAAUGAGUCUUUUAUCAAUAUAAAAUGACUUUCUUUGUCUCAUAUAAUGCUUUUUUUUACCCUAAAUUCUACUUUGAAAUGUUGCCAAUUGAAUUGUUUUUGUUUGCUUUCUAUGCUUGAUAAAUAUUUGCCUAGCAUUUCCCCCUUUUCUUUCUUUUGUCUUGCCAUUCAUGUCUUAUAAAUAGCAUAUGGCUGAAUUUUGCUUUUAACCCAAUCUGAAAGACUUUAUCUUUUAUUAGAGGAACUUAAACCAUUUAUAUUUACUGUCAUAACUGCUAUGUUUGGUCUUAUUCCUGUCUUUUUGUUUUACUGUUUCUCUUCUUCAUACUUUCUUUGGGCUUCUUUUGUUUCCUUUUUCUAUACAGGCUAUCUUAUUAUCUUGGAACUUUUUUUUUCCUUCUAGUGAUUUAAAACCUGCAUAUCUGUUUUUAGCCAGUCCUGAGUGAAUCUAAAAAAAAAAAAAAAAAUGAUCCCUGAGCUCCAGUAGUGACAGGAGUGUAAUGGUGGGUGAGCAGCCAGGCCGGUGAGCGUGGAAGUCAAUAAAAUCAGUCUUAUCCCUCAAAGGAAUAGUGAUGGCUAUUCCCUGAGCCACCUUAUCACAACUGUAUAGAGCCCCAGCUUCUCUCCGCUGUGUCACAUUCCUGUGCUUCGCACAUGGGCCCUGCCUAGCUAGCUAGCUGGACCUACUACGAGCCUUUCUUAUGUUCUGUGCACCUCAGACACACCAAACUAUGGUCCAUUCCCCCAAACCAGACAGAUGCUUAAAUGGCUCCACACUGUUUAGCAGGCAGAGUUUAGCAGAGUACGUGGCACAGACUAGGUACUCAGUAUGUUUUAAAUAAGUGAACAAGGAAAGGAAACAAAAGGGAAGAGAGGAGGGAUUGAUUUUUAAAUAUGCAUGAUGCACUGAAAAAAAAAUCAAGAUGUGUGAUACCUUGGCUUGCUGCAGAAAGGCUGAAGCUUAUACGUCUGACUACCACUGUUGGUGGCUCAUUUUAAAUGAGCCCCCCUCACACUCCCCUCCAUCUCUGGGGCAGAAUGGCAGUCAUGUGGUCCACAAAGCAUUUCAUGUGCAGACAUCAUCUUCAUUUAUAUUGCCUGCCUUGCAAAGGCCCACAGGCCUAGGGCAAAUUUAUUAAAGUGGAGUCUAUUUAUUCAAUUUAUUAAACAGGAAUAUUUGAAGGGUUUUCAUUUAGAAGAGCGAGUUGAUUUAUUCUGUUCAGCUCUAGAAGGCAGGCCAAAGCCCAAUGGGUAAAAGUUAUAAGAGGGCAGGUUUUAGUUCAACCUAAGAUAAAAGAUUUGUUGAAAGAGGAUUUGUUUGUUCAUUCAUUCAGCAUGUAUUCAUCAAUCUAUUCAUUCAUCAGCAGCCAGAGAAGAGAAGCUCCAUUUUCUAUAGCUCUUGCUUUAUCUGGGACACUGUGGUAGGCCCUCUUAUCUGCUCUUUCCUGUAGAAAGAGGCAUAUUAUCCCAUUAUACAGAUAUCAAACACUGAGGCUCCAGGGAGCUGUCACCAGCCCAAGCUGAACACAGCCAGCACAUGACUGAGUCUGGCUUAACCUCAGACCUCCAUUCUCUGCAGAGCUCGUUCUCUUUCCAUGUGGUUGUGCCAUCUGCCAAAACAGAUCACUUGUGCGUGACUACCAGAAAUUGGAUACAACACUGAAAAAUCCAUCAGGCCACUUUUCCCUCCAUCAUUCUCUCUCCUUUACUUUCCUCCCAUCUCUCCAUCCGUCUCUGCCAACCUCCAAACCAGCCCUAAUAUGCUAACACAAAAUUAGACACUUUAUAGUUUUAGCCCACAGAUUAUGAAUGUUGUCAGACCCUUUUCAAAAUUAUCACUCAUCACAGGGACACUGUUUCCAUCACAAGACCUCGCAUGUAGGUGGUUUCCUCAUUUAGAUUUAACCUGGAGGUGCCCCAGUGGUCAUCAGGAAUGAGACCCAAAAUAAAGGAGUAGCUUUCCCCUGAGUAUAUCUGAGGGAGGGUGCAUCUUCCAGGGCCCUGGUAGGAAACAGAAUUAACCUCAGGUGGUUUGAACAAAGAUGCUUUAGGAAAGGGACCACUUGCAGAGCUGUGGACAGGGAUUGAGUAGAGGUGGAAAGGCAUUUAAAGAUAUCAGGCUUCCAGGGCUGAAGAAGCAAAGGGAGAGAAUAGUGUUAUUAGAGGCAGUUUAGAAUUCCAGCUGUCCAGAACCCACAUUCCCAGAUGGGCACAGCUACUGCAGAGGAGGCUGUGAAGCAGAGAGGAAGAGGGUUAGAAAUAUCCCAACAUCUCUUUCUCCCUGCCUCUUGACCUCCUAGUACAGCUUCCCAUUGGGAGAACCCAGACAAAAGGUAAAGGAGCUCCCAAGAAGCUGUCCACAGGCAUCAAUCUCCUGGGCCACAAAGCAGGACAGAAAAGGAUGAGGAGUGGUUGGAGCAGAAGCAAACAAAAAAUAAUGAGUUCAUGAGGGGAAAAUGGACAAAUGAUCCAGUGGGCUGAAUUGAGGGGGAAAGCCCACAAUGAAUCACCGUGGCAGAUCCUCUUUCUGCUUCCAAGGGCCCAACUUUCAGAAAAGUAGAGGUUAAAGAAUUCUGUAAUUAUGUCUUUUGGAGGCAGAUGCCAUUCACACUACAGCCCUUGCCAAAUGCCAGGCUGGUUUCAGUGUGUCUGAACCUCGUGAAGGAUUUGUCCUAGAUGUUAAGAUUCAUCCAUUCCUUCGCCAGAGACUUACCAUGUGCUGUAGUUUAUUCUAAAUACUGGAACUACAAAGACGGGAUGGGUAUGACUCCUGUCCUUCAGUGUGUCCCAGGAUACUGAAGAAAACAGGGGAAUCUAUUAUUUCAACAUGUUAGAUGUAAAAUAAAAGUAACAAAUGCUGGUCUGUGGGUUUGCAGGCAGAGUGGGUAACCCUCCCUGAAACUACUCAGAAAGGUGAUGGUUGGGUCCUAAAAGGAUUAAUUGGAGUUUUCUAGUGACAGGAAAGGGCAGGACCAUUCCUGGAAGAUGUCAUGGCAAACACCACAUUUAUAUAAGACUGAAAAGAGAUGGUGUGUGCAGCGAACAGCUAGAAAAUAAUUGUGGCUGGAGCAGCAGGUACAGGUUGUAUAAUGAGUUAUGGGGCUAGAGAGCUUUCUAAGGGAGUCCAGUCAGGUCAAGUUAUUGCUUUCUCUGGUACAACAAGGUAGGAAGACGUGUUUCCAAAAAGGUCAAGCAUCGCCAUUCCUGCCUGCUUCUUCUUGCAUCCACGUCAGAGAAAGGGGAAGGGAAAUCUGUCCCAUGCCCCAGGGUGUUCACCCAUGGGGAAAAGAGCUUGAAGUUACGUUAGGUAAGCUCGUUAGGUAGCUGGAGUACAAAGCCAAGUAAAAUCCCUUAAGCUGCUCUUUCUCCAAAGCUUUCCAUGUGCAAAGUCUUUCUGGAAAAUACCAAUAUAUUGUAUGGUGCUUUACAAAGAUUAAAUUAACAUUGGCAGGAUAUGUCCCUGCUCUUAACUAGUUUCUAACUUGGUGAAUCUUGGAAGUCUUCCUGGGAGAGACACAUUUUGAACUAAUGCCUAAAUAGAGAAAGAAAGAAACCAACAAUUUUUGAAGUUCUGCUAUGCUACAAAUAAAAUACUAGGUGCUUUUUUUUUUUUUAUUAUAUUGUCUCAUGGAAGUCUCCUGGCAAUCGUAUGCAACGAGUAUCAUCAGCCCCAUUUUUCAGAUAGGAAACUGAGGCUCAGAGAAGUGUCACCCCUAUAGAUUGAAACUGAAGUCAGACUUCACUGGACAUAAAUCCAACACCUACGUUCUUGCCAUGGUGCUCUGUUUGCCUCUGAAGGGCAAUGCAGGCUGCUUGCUAUCAGACGUAGAAUGAUGAGGGCAGCAAGAGGAGUCUUUUCUUCUGUAAAGAUGCCAUCCACCCAGCGAGGUUGUCAGGAGGACUUAAUGAAAUAAGAUACCCUCUCCUUUCACACCCCAAUGCCUUCGCAUAUACUUAUCCUACAGCCUGGAAUAUCCUUCUCCCUCUGCCCAUUGCUCUGUAGCCUGUGUUUUCCCUUCAUCUUCUAAAUGUGGCUUAGAUAAUCCUCCCACCAGGAAGCCUUGCACUAGUCACAUGGUAGUGGGGGGUACCUGGACUGUUUGCUUGCCUGCCCCACUCACCACGGAGCUUCCUUCUCACUUGUCCAUGUGGCUUCAGCUCCAUCCACAAAAGGUGUCCUGCUAAGUGAAUAAAUGGCUGUCUGAGAGAGCCCACAGCAUAACAGGUGCUCCAUAAAUGACAGUUUCCCUUUUCCUUCUCCUUUCCUGGAGGCAGCAUACAUUCUGAAUAGACUUAGAGGCAGACAGAAAUACAAUUAGUUUGCUUGAAGUUAGCAUCUUCCAGGAAACCUUGUAAUGAGGACGGCUGCCCUCCACAAAGGAGGUGAGCACUGGGUUGCUGUGCCUGUUCGGGGCAGAAUCUAACCCACUGCUCCUGGGUCCUCUUUACUUGACACGGAGAGGUUGGGGCUAUACUACUCCAGGUGGGUGCCGCUGACCUGGUGAGAUGUGGAGGCUCUUCCGCUUAUGGGGCAGGGGCAGGGCUAGCUGAUGGAGUGACAAGAGCACAGUGGCACACAAAGUAACAGUAAAACAGAAUGAUAAUGCAUUUCCUAAUGGCCUCCUUCACAGCUGUGUACACUGAUUUAAUCUUUGCAAAGCACUCUAUUGUUUAUGAGGCCUCUGGGUACAAUUUUAUGCCUGACUGAAGAGGUUGCUAAUAGCUGCCAUAUUUGUGUUUAAGGACCUGCAAAGGAUUAAACGAAGUAUUUUAGAGCAAUGAGCCAUAAUAAACUAAUAAUAUAUUACAAAUAAUAAAUGUUUUUACCCAAUAAUUGACUACAAAUCUAGUGAACUUGAAAUGACAAAAAUACUAAUUAUAGUUCCAGUUGUUCCAUGUAUCCAUCAAUCGGAAUGGAAAAUCGGAGAAGGAUAGGAAAUCUGGGGCACUUCAGGUCAUUGGGAAGGUGGAAUGGACACUGGACGCUUCCCCCGGUGUCAUGGCUGAGAACUGUCAAACUCACUUAGUGAAAUGCUGGGUUUCAUUUCCAUCUGAUGGAGAGGGAGCAGGAGUCUGAGUCCUAAGCCACCUACUGAAGUUGGUGUUUUGUGGGGGUUUUUUUUUUGUUGUUUUUUGUUUUGCUUUUUUGUUUUGAUUUGUUGUACCUUGUUCACUUUCCAGUCCUAAGUUUUCCAGUGCUUGGUUUUCAUUUAGGGUGAUUGCUAGAGAAAUGCCCCAGAGGAUCUUGGAAACAGGAGUUGGGUCUUAAGAAAAGGAGUUCUUGCUCUCUUAGGCCUCUGGAAUAAGCCAAUUUGUCUCUCUCUCUCUCUCUCUCUCUCUCUCUCUCUCUCCCCCUGUUUUUAUGGAUGAGAAACCUGAGACAGAGAGAUGAAGUAUGUUGCCUGACAUGUCAUAGUUGGUAAGUGGCACAGCCACAGAGCCCAGCUGCAGAACUCCAAACCUCAUGCUGUUUCACCAAAUCUUAUUACACCUAUUUUCUGAGCUUUUUGGGGGCAUGUGGAUCUUUCCUUUCAAUACUUGGGAAGUAUAUAUUUCCAUACUCCCACAUCUCUCAAUCAUACCAGUUAUUUUUUUUUCCUUUUUUUUCACUCCACAAUAAAACACGGGCAUCUUUUCUCAUUAAAAACAAAAACGCUCAAGAUAAAAAUUAAAAUCAUCCACAAUCCUAUCCAAGUAAACCAUUGUCAACUUUGUUUGCAUUUUCUUCAAGGAUUCUAUUCCAUGUAAAUGUAACAAAAUAUUGAGAUCGUAUUUUAUGAGUCUUUGGUAUUUUAAUUUUUAAAAACACAGCUUUAUUUGAUGUCAUUUGAUGUUCCCUGAAAAAUACUGUUUUAUAAUUGUAUAAUAUUUCAUGGCAUAUAGUCUCUAUUGAGUAUUUAGGCUGUUUCCAUUUUUUUUUGCCUUGUAACUUAAACUUAAUAAACAUUGAGUCUAGCAUAGUGCAUGGCAUCCAAUAGACAUUCCAUGUAUUUGAUGAAUGAGUUAAAUCAAUCUUUGUAUGCAUUUCUGCUCAUUUGUUUUCAACAGAUGUCUAAAAGUAAAGUUAUCUAAAUAUUAUCAGACUCUUGAGAUAUAUUCCCAAAUUGCUUUCUAAAGGGGUAAUGAUGAUUUCCAAUAUAUGAUAAGCAUUCAUAAAUUCUGGAACCCAUUUUUUUUAAAGGAUAACUUAGUUACUAAUGUUUGUUCUUAUCUUCCUUACUGUUAUAAAUUGAGUGGAAAAUUUACCAAGCCUCACUCCUGAGAAACUCACUAUUUAGUGGCACAUGUGUGAGUAUAUCUAUAUAUGUAUAUUUAUCCAUGUAUGUAUAGGUAUGGAGAUAUAGAUAGAUGAUAGAUAGAUAGAUAGAUAGAUAGAUAGAUAGAUACACACACACACGUAUACCCCCAGCAUUUGUUGAAGACUUACUGUAUACCGAGUACUAUCUUUACACAUUACCUUUAUUCAUGCAUUUUUUUAAAAUUUUUUUUAACGUUUAUUUAUUUUUGAGACAGAGAGAGACAAAGCAUGAACGGGGGAGGGUCAGAGAGAGGGAGACACAGAAUCUGAAACAGGCUCCAGGCUCUGAGCUGUCAGCACAGAGCCCGACGCAGGGCUCGAACUCACGGACCGCGAGAUCAUGACCUGGGCCGAAGUCGGCUGCUUAACCGACUGAGCCACCCAGGCGCCCCAUUCAUACAUUUAAUCUCUUAUCAUGAGGCAGAUAACGCAACUCCACAAUGUUCAUUCAAUUGCCAAGGGUCAAAUACUAUUCUUAUGAUGAAGCCCACACUCUUCACAUCUACUAGUUACAUGUGAGAAUGCAACAAUCAGAUGAAGAGUUAAUUAUGAUAUAGUAUAGUAUAGUGUUAUGAUGGAAGAAUGUGAACAGAUUAGAAUAACAAAACUCUGUCUAAAGGAUUCAAAGAAAGAUUCACAGAGAAUAUUAAAGGACAAGUGACCAUUUGCCAAGAAGACAAAGGAAAUGCAUAAUAGGCAAAAAGAAUUGCAGAUACCAAACACAGAAUAUAGAAAGCAGCCUAGGACAUCCAAGGAGCUACAAGUAAUAAAGGGAAGGAAUACUAGUUAAGGUUCUAGGCUUCAGAGUUACGGUGCCUUGGUUGAAACCCAGCUCUUGCAAUUAUCGUCUAUUUGAUAUUUGAUGUUUGAUUUUUUUAAGUUUUUUUUUAAGUAAUAUCUGGUGCCCAAUGUGGGGCAUGACUCAUGACCCUGAGAUCAAGAGUCAUAUGCUCUUCUGACUAAGCCAGCUAGGCACCCCAUGUUUGAGGCUUAAUAUGACAAAAUAUGUAAAGACUUAGUAGUGCCUGACACAGAGUAAGCAUUCAGUGAGUAUUCACUGGUGGUGGUAGAUAUGACCUAAUGUGGGAGAAGGGAAGUAUAUUAGGACAGGAAUCCCUGCAAUCCCACCAUCUGAGCAUCUACCCACUCUGAAAACAUUUAAGGUCAGAUCUAAUUCGAAGAAAGGAAUAACCAUGUUUUAAGCCAAAGAACACAACUUGGAAGAUAACCUUGAACAGGUCAAACAGGAUGAUGUGAGACUGAAGAGUGUUGUGUAAGGUUGGAAGGAUGGAUAUAUUGGAGAUGUUUUAUUUAAAAAAGCAGACCUGGGGACACUUUAGUAAUGAAUAAUCCUUAAAAAUAAACCACUUGGCCCCAUAUCCACACUAAGCACCCAUUGAAUGUUGUUAAUAGGAAAGUGGUACAAUCAAGUUUAUUUUUUUUUCAAAGAUCCUUCUUAUUACUGCUUGGAAAGUAGAUGGGGAUUGGAGGUAGGAGUGGCAAAAAAAAAAAAAUGGUGAGAGAAAGAGACCUAUUGUGGGUGUCUCUGUCCAAGAAAGAAACACUGCUAGCUUGGAGUAGUAUGGUGGUGAUGAACAUGGAUUUGAAAAAAUUCAGGAGGUGGAUUUUGAUUUUGAGAUGGAUUUAGUGGGAACAAUAAAGGAGAAGUAAGAGCCAAGGACAAUACCUAGGUUUCUGGCUUGAGGAACUAGAUGAAUUGAGAUGCAUUUUGUGAGAUGAGAACAGUGGAGAAAGAUCAUGUUUGGGGGUUAUGAUGAAGUGUUCAGAUUGUUAAAUGAAUGAUGAUAUUUUAUGCCAUAGAUCAGUGUGUGUGUGUGUGUGUGUGUGUGUGUGUGUGUGUGUGUGUGUGUGUGGCUAUUCUCUAUUAGGCAGAUGGGAAGGGUGUAGGAGGAAGGUGUGGAAGGCUCUGAAAUAGGGGGGAAAAGACAAGAUCUCUGUUAGCUAUUAUGUGCGGCAAUAACCCUUGCUGUGUUUAUUGCCCAUUUAAUAGAGUGUACAUUACAACCCACAGUGAUAAUCAAGAGAUGGGGGUUACCGAAUGAGAUGCAGAGAUACCAUAGGUGGGAUAUUUAUUUCGCUUGCACGAAAGGUUCUCAUUUAUGAAAAUGGAUUCUGGCUAAAUCUCAGUCUUCAUCUCUCUCCACCCCUCCUUUCCUCAUCCCCAAAAGAGUGACCACAGAAACUUUUGAUCCAAAGUGAUUGACAGCAGAGAGCCAUUUUCAAAAGUAUGGUAUCCUAUGAUACCAUAGGAGAGAGAGGGAUAAGAUGAGUAGCCAUUUACCCAAGGGACUGUAAAGUUGAUUAUUUUGCCUGAAAGAGAAUGCCAUGCUAAAUAUUGAAAGUUAUCUUUGCUACCAUUUUCCUUAAGAGAGUACAAGUAUAGAACCCUUGAGACCAAUGACCAAAACCUUUCUUUACCCAAGACUAGCUGUAUUACAUUUUGAUGAGUUUCUUCAUUUUUCUAGCAUUAAUUUGUUCAUCUACAAUAUAGGGAUUAUAGUAACUUCUCACAGACUUUGUUGUAUAGAUGAAAUGAGAAAAUAUGUAUUAGACAUCAAAUACAUGCUUCUAAUAGAAUAAAUAUUACUUCUUCCCUCAUCCUCCCCAUUCUUUUCUUUUCCUACGUUAUAGAGUCAGACUUAACCAUGAGGCUUGAGUGUACUUGAAUUGAGUUUUGAGUGAGCUACAAUGGAACUGGGGAGUUGUAAUAUCUGGGAUCACUAAACAUCCAUUCUCCUUGGGGCCUUAACCCAAAUUGGUAGAGUGCGUAUGUCAGCAGAGGAUCAGGGUGGCUACUAAUGAAAGUUAGGAGGCUUUGAAAGUCUUGACAGUGUUUCCUGUAUAUCCUCAGAAGCUUGGCUGCUUUCAGGUGUCUUUUGGAAACAGCAGCAUCUGGUGGCUGCCUGAGCAGUAACCCGGCUGCAGGCUUCAGGGGGAGCAAAUCACAGCAUCUGUGUUUCUCCAGCAAAACAGCAGGGCUAUUAAAAUAGCUCUUAGGCACAAUCUAUCACUGCACUGUCUCCCUUGUUUGCACAGGCUGUAACUGGAAAAGUAAGAGUCUGGAGAGACGGCCUUGUAUUACCCGGGUACUAGAAAGGGACUUGGGGAGAAUUGGGUUCAUGUUGUCUUUGCCAACCACUUCCCAGGUGACCUUGGAUAAGUCACUUGGAAUCUGUAGGUCUUUUUCCUGAUCUGAAAGCCCCAGGGCCAUUCUGUGAUUUAUAAUGGCAAUUGCUACUUGGAGAAUAGGUAGGAUUAAUAACAGAAAGCUUCUUUGCUAUAUGACAUUGGAAAAACUGUUCAAUCUCUCUGUGACUUUGUUUUCUUAUCUGAGAGCAGGGAUGAUGAUAGCUACAAUAAAGGGUGGCCAUAAAAAUUGACUAAGAUACUGAUUAUAAUGUCCCAGAUAUAAUUCCUGGCAUAUAACAAGCACUCAGCAAAUGUUGGAUGCCUUUCUGCCCUUAGUUCACGAUGUUGCCUAAUGUCAGUGCUAAAUCAUAGGGCCAACUGCUGUUUAGUCCGAGUAUAGAAUGUAAGAUCAUGUUAGCAAUCAUUAUUAUCAAGUGUGAUAAACCUAUUAUUCCCAUCUUACACUCAUGUGCAAUUGAACCCAGACCCCUCAAGUUUAACAAAGAAUACUGACUCGAGAAGUAGUGCUUGGGUCAUCCUGUUGCGUAACUACACGUCUGUCAACCAUGUGGGAGCAUGAGGGUUGGCCUCAGCCCUGGAAGACAUACAUGGCCACCUUUCUGUUUGUUCAGGUCUCCUAUGUAUAUUCUCCUCGUCCCUUUGCAUAACUAACCUAGUGCUUGGCACAUAGUGUUGGUGUUAAUGAAUGUUUGGAGAAUGAGUGAACUAUGUAUCUAAUUCCACAGUAAUUAUUCAUUGAGCAUCUACUGUGCUCAGGAAGGCAGUCAACAUGAACUUUCUCUUCAUAUUAUAUAGUUAUCUAUAUUUUAUUUUCAAAAUUAGGUUUUUUGAUUCCUUUUAAUGGGAUGGUGAGAGUAUGGGGAACAAAAUUUAUAUUUCCUUAAAAUUCUAUUUUGUACCAGCAUUCCUUACCUCAGUGUGAUGUUGUAGACAAAACUAUGUGAAUUUACUGCAAUCUGAAAUCACUGCAUCAGUAUUACAGUGUUUAUUAUUAUAUUUGCAGUUGUUUAAUGCUACUUUAUAUUUCUACAUUCUGUAUUCUAAUGCAUUAGAUGCAAAAGAUUCCAAUUCAUCUCCUUCUGUUUGGGAUUUUAAAUAGGUUAAUAGGAUGCAAAUACAAGGCACAUUUUUGCAUUCUGUUACAAAUAUUGUACACAGAUAUUGCUAUGCUGUUUGGGCAAAAUGAAAUGAAAUGUAAUUUAAUAUGAUAUUUUCAAGCACAUUUGAUCGUUCCUGAGGGCUUUAUGGCCGUGGUCCUAAACUGUGUUAAACCAUAGCUAAAACAAGUCUGAACAAAAUUAGUUUCUUUCCUCAAUUUACUGGCCUCUCCUAGUUUGAUGACUUUUUGUCGUCCAUGCCAAAUGAUGUUUUAGGUUUCAUAUGGUUAGUCUGGGCUAGAAAUGAGUUUGAAAAUAUUCAGCUCUGCUCAUGAGAAUAUAUUGCUGUUUCUACUUUUAGCCUGCUCUUCAAUUCACCAACCAUUCUAUUUAUUUAUUAAUUCGCCAAACUCACUCGCUCAUUCAUUUAUUUAUUCAACUCUAUGUCUUGCUCUAUGCUCCUGGCAUUAAUCUUUUUGUCUUUCCACACUCUUUUCUGAGAUGUAGGCUGUGUGGUCCUAAACAAUCUGCUUAGUUGGAGUCUAAGGCAGUGCCUGAGUGGGCUACAUACAUGAAAACAGGAAGAAUGGAUGUGAAUGUUCUCUUUUAUAUGGCAAAGUUUCCUUGAUUGUAAAGAUUAAGUGGAAUAAAAUGGAUAAACUCCUUGAUCCAGCGUAAGACAAUGCAGCACUCAAAGUACAUUGGAAAAAUACAUAAAUGUACCCAUUUCCAAAUCUAUAAAAUAGGAACUAAAUACCUACUUAUAAUUUUGUUUUCAGAAUGAAGUAAUAUGCCAAUAGCACUAGAAGAGUGCCUGGCAUAUAAUAGGUGUUUAGUUUGAUCUCUUUUCUAAGGAAAGAGAGCAGGAUCACUACCCAUCACAUGUAAUAACAACCAAACAAACUCAUUAGGGGAAGAUUUUGAAAUCCUAGAAAAAGGGAUAUGAGCACAGAGAUUUUCUUCAGUCCCUGCCACAGCUGUUUACGAGGUUCUUCCCAGGCUCAUUCUGUUUCCUGUCACCUUGCCACUAGUGAGCUUCCCUCCUCCCAGCCUGACCUCCCAUGACUAUGGGGUCAGGUAUGUAAUGUCAGGGUUCAUGAUGGGGAAGGGGGUCUUCACAGCUCUUCUCCCCUCUCUCUCAACCCUACAGUGACUCCCUAAGGCCAGUUUUGGAUGGGUAGCCCCUAUCACAAUCCCUCCCCUUCAAAAGUGCCCUGGCAUCUGAGCCCAGGUCCCUUUGAAAUAUAGACAAAUCUACUCCAGUCUUUUGAGUAACCAAAGACUCAGGAAAGAACAAAUAGAAAGACUGCAGCUACUUUGACUCCUUCUAUCUUCUCUGUCUUUGCCCCUCCACAAAUUGAAUCCUCUCCAUUGACUGCACAUCUGCAUUUCAGCAGGCGAGCUGCAAUUAUUCAAUGACAGCAUGCCCUGAUUUCCAUUGCGGAAGAUCCAGGACUGGCUGAGAUGACCCAGGCGUGACCGUCCUCUGUCAGCAGUACUAGAAAGAAGCAUCUGACUUAAAAUUACAUAGCGAUGGAGAGCACAGUUGUUUAUGCUUCUCAUCAGUCAUUCAAAAUGCUGGGCCAAGAUCUGCCCCAAAAAGGGCCUACAGAACAUUCCUGAAGAUUCCUCUUUCCUGAUGCCUCAACAGAGUUUCAAUUAGGGCUCUUACAUUUGACCUAAUGACAAGCAUGGUUAUCUGGUGGAGUGAUUGCCACUUCCUUUCCUUUCAUUUAUUGUCCCAGGUUUUGAAGAUUGAGAGAGGAGAGGUAUUUGCGAACCCCCUACUCUUCUCUCCCCAACCCUUCCUUCACCUAGCUAACUGGACUUGUCCUUCAGACACCAGCUCAAAUGUUAUUUCCUCAGGGAAGUCUUGUAUUACACCUCCAUCUGAGUCAGUCCACCUUGUUACAGUGCAAUACGGCUUUUUGUGCUUUCUCUCUGUACCUUGGAUCACAGUUUAUUAUAUAUAUGUGUGUAUAUAUGUACAUAAUAUAUACAUCAUGUGCUUGUCCUCCUGUGUGAUUAAUAUGUGUCAUCUCCACUGGAAUAUGAUUUAUUCCCCAGCACAAAGUGCAGUCGCUGGCAUAGGGUCAGUUCUUGAUGAGUAUUUAUUGAAUGAAUGAUUAGACAAAUAAAAGAAAUAGGGUCAAAAUAGGAAAAUAAAAGAAGGUGGUCAAAAGGUACAAACUUCCAGGUAUAAGAUAAAUAAGUUCUGGUGAUGUAAUAUGUAGCGUGUUGACUACUGUUAACAGUACUGUAUCAUACAUUUGAAAGUUUCUAAGAGAAUAGAUCUUAAAAGUUCUCAUCACAAGAAAAAAAAAUUGUAACUCUGUGAGGUGAUGGACGUUAACCAAACUUACUGUGGUGAUCACUUCAUAAUAUAUACACAUAUAUUACAUCAUCAUGUUGUACACCCAAGACUAAUACAAUGUUAUAUGCUAAAUAUAUCUCAAAACUGGGGCAAAAUAAGUUUAAAAUUUUUUAAAGUAAAGAAAUAUUUACUAUUUGGUUGAUCUGAGGAUUUUUUUCAUAGCCUAUAAAUGAAGUUGUGUUUCAUCCAAUUUCAGUGACUCACAGGACUCAACCACAGUCAUACUCAACUAAAAUUUAUUACAGAGGUACAACAAGAAUGCACAGAUAGACCAGGAAGUGAAAAAAAUGUCAGUGAAACCACACUUCUUUUUUUUUCAUUUUUUUAAAGUUUAUUAUUUUUGAGAGACAGAGAUAGAGCAUGAGCAGCAGAGGGGCAGAGAAAGAGAAAGGGAGACACAGAAUCUGAAGCAGGCUCCAGGCUCUGAGCUGUCAGCACAGAGCCUGAUGUGGGGCUUGAACUCACAGACCCUGAGAUCAUGAUCUGAGCCGAAGUUGGAUGCUUAACUGACUGAGCCACCCAGGUGCCCCUGUGAAGCCAAACUUCCUAAGGUGAGAGUGAGAGGUCAUGCAAAAUGCACUCUUCCCCUAGUAGUGAAAAUGCAGCAAAAUUUAUGAGAUGCUUCUGGCACAAGGAAGCCCAUGUGAGACUAAGUGUCCAAGGUUUUUCUUGGGGACUGGUUACAUAUGCAUGCUCUUCCUAACUACCAAAAUUCCAAUCUCCAAAAAUGAAGUGGGUGUUCAGAAUAAGCUACCUUGUUUGUGUAAUAGUCUCAGUACAGUGAACCAGUCUUCUCAACUAGGGACCAUUUUAAGAGCUAAGUUUCCCAUUAUCUUGCAAGCAGUCCUUCUAAAGUCAGCAGUCUCAGGCCUGUAUGUUAAUUUUUUUUCUGUACAGAGGACUAGAUCUUAUAUUUUUCAUGUGGGUAGGGAAACACACAUAUUUACAUACAUGUAUGCCUCCUAGCCAACAACAGAGUGAGAGACAGUAUAGGGUGAAGUAGAUAAGAGGACCAACUUUGGCAUCUGAGCACUUUUUUUUUAAGUUUUCUAAGUUUAUUUAUUUAUUUUGAGAGUGAGUGGGUGUGCAUGCAAGUGGGGGAGGGGCAGAGAGAGAAUCCCAAGCAGGCUCUGCACCAUCUACGCAGAGACUGAUAUGGGGCUCAAACGCACAAACUUCAAGAUCGUGACCUGAGCUGAAGUUGGACACUUAACCGACUGAGCCACCCAGGCACCCCCAAGGACUUGGGUAUAAAUCCUCGGUAUGCUUGCUGUUUUGCGUGGGGUAAGUGUCAUAACCUAUCUAUACUCCUUACUAAUGUGCAAAAAUAGAAAAAUGCUAGACCUAUCUCAUAGUAUUGUUGGGAAGAUUGAGAUCAAGCACUCAUUCAACAGCGCUAUUAAUAGGGAGGAAGUGCAUAUUAACUGAUGAUGGUGUCAUCAUUAUGAUUUCCUGAUAUGUAAUGGUCUUCCUUAUUUUGGUACACGUAAACUGAAUGACUGAUGAAUCUGUGGAUGACAAAGCACCUGGGUUCUAAUCCUGUCUCCAUCAGUUACUUGCAACCUAAUAAUGGGCACACUAGUUCUCUCCCAUCUCCGUUUCCUCAUCUUUACAAUUAAGAGAGCAGUCCUUGUCCAGCCAAGUCUCACAGCAAAGUAGGAGAGAGCGCAGAAUGUCCCGGGAAAGUGUUUGACUUGCGCAAACAUAAUUGGGCAUCUCUCUGUACCUCAGCCUCCCAAACUACAAAGUGAGGAUGUCAGUAUAAUAUCAUACUUCUUAAGUGUUGGCCAUUAUUAUUCCCAUACCUGCAAAUAUGCUCACAAGAGAUAAAGGAAUGUAAGUAUGUUCUGUAUUUACCCAUGUAAGGGGUUAUACGAUUACCAGACAAAGCAAUUUGUGGUUGUCGUUGUUGUACUUUAAAGAAAUCUUACUGAGUACUUAUGAACCUUCACCUGGGGUGGGAAUCUCUAGGAGGAAGGAGGUAGCCUAAGCAAAGAAAUGGUAGAGAAAGGGAGAGAGAAACAGAAAAUGUGUGUCCCCACCAGACUGAAUUCCCCAGAACUAGCAACUAUCUUCUCAGACUGAGUCCCUGGCAUUUGGCAUGGUUUCUAUUAACUGGCAAGAAGCUCUCAGUAAAUGUUUGUUGAUGAAUAAAUCAAUCUGAUUAUCAGCUGAAAGUAUUAUUGCUCAUUAGAGGACCAAUGAUUAAGCACCUACUGUGUAUCAUGCACUUGAGGUAUUAUCUUUUUGCAGCAUGUAGAAAGAAGUCUUAGGAGGUAGACAUAUUCUACUCAUCUUGUAUGGCUGAGAAAACUGAGAACCUGUGAAGUGACAUCAGAAAGCAAAUAAGAGACAGAAGCAGAAUCCAAGCUCAGUUCUGUGAGGCUCCAAAGUCACAAGAUACAUUCAACCACCUAACACUAAAAUUGUCUUGUUGUUUUUAUACUUCAUUUUUCUUAAAUGGAUUUCUUAAAUUUUUAAUAGAAGUGCUAGCCAGUAAUCAGGGUCUCAUAAUUCACUUUUAAAGUUUUCCUAAUGUACCCUUGCAAGAGAAGAACAAGCCUCAGCAUAGACAUUACAAGUGGACCUCUUGUCUAUCGUUUAAGGCUAUCACCCAAAGUGAUUCCUUGAGGGGAGUGGGGUUAGAGAAAAUGAAACAUUUAUUAAGUUACCCAAAAGAUCGCUCUACUAGGCUUCCUUAGCAUAUGCUUUCAAGGUGAUAGAUUAACUGAAAUAAAAUUAUUGAAUUGAGAAGCCAUUCAUUACAAGGGAAUUUCAGGAAACCAGAAUGCUUUCUAUAAUAUUACCGCCAGAGCUGUCUAUUAAGUGAAAGUUAUGUGUUCUUCCACGAUUGUGAAACCUCUGGUUUGUCAUCCUUUCCUCUCAGCUUCCUUCUAGUGGUGAAAAAACUUGUAAUUUACAACUGCUGAUAUAAUUGGAAAUUUAAUUAGUUUUCUUCAGAUUUCACCUGCUUUGUUUUAAGCACUAUUUUCAUGGCUGCUCUCNNNNNNNNNNNNNNNNNNNNNNNNNNNNNNNNNNNNNNNNNNNNNNNNNNNNNNNNNNNNNNNNNNNNNNNNNNNNNNNNNNNNNNNNNCCGCCCCCGCCAACCCCCAGUUGUCACUUAUGUCAAAAGUAACUUUUCUCUUUGUCUUUCUUUGCUGUCCAUUGAAAUCUAAGACUCACUAUAGUAGCCAGGUCAGUCUCUGCCUGCAUCUACUUCUGCAUCCAUGUUUUUCUUGUCUCACUCUUUUUCUUUGACUCGAUUUUCAUUUCUCAAUCAGCAGGCUUUGUUGAUCCUAUAAUCUGUGCUAUCCCUGAAAUAGGGAAGUGGACAAAAUACAAGGAAGAAAGAAAGCAGGCUCACCUCCAGUGUCCAAGAUUGCUAGGAUAGGAGGAGAUAAGGUAGAAAUGCAUCCAAAGAAAUACUAUAAAAAUUUAUACCCAGAAUGGCUGGGCGGUGCUGUGAAAAAGCCUAGGUUUUGAAACAAUGUCCACUGAUCUCCCAUUUCUGAACAGUGGGAAUAUCAGCAAAGUAUGAAACCUCUCUGAAUCCUAGUUUCCUCCACUGUAUGAUGGAAGAUAAUCACAUCCACAUCAGGAGAGUGUGGAACAAAUAAUAAGUUAAUGAAAGUGGGGGCCUGGCAUAGGAUCUGGAACAAAGAAAGCCCUCAGGACUCCCAUGACUUCCUUUCCCCUAACCUAGUGCCACCCUGUGAUACCUGCGGGCAGACCUAAGGGAGUGCAGAGGGAAACACGCUUUGCGUGUUCCAGGAAAAUCAGAAAAGGCAGAAGGUGUGGCUUUUGAACUGGACCUUGAAAUAAUAAUGAGGCAAUAUAAUAGUGAUGAUGGUGAUGAUGGUGAUAAUUUGAAGAGGAGGAAAAAAAGAAUAGCUACUAAUCAUUAAAUAGUAAAUAUUACCUACCACUGCGCUAAAGACUUCACAGUAGGAGGUGAUUUAUUUCCCAACAAAAUUUGAUGAAAUGGAUGGUAUUAUUUCCCUCAUUUUAAUGAUUAAGAAAUAGAUUCAGAAAAUUUCAUUGCCUUAGGUUACUGAAUGGCUAAGUAGCAAAGCUGGGUUUCAUGCACAGGUAUAUUAGACUGAAAAGCUAAGGUUGAGCCACUUUUGAAUUCUCUUGGGCAUAAACAUCCACUCUUCUAUUGACUUUUUUUCUCCCUGACCACUGGGACCUGGUUGAUUUUUUAUAGCAGAGGAUUCCUUCACCAGUGACCAAAGCCAUCCUUCAUCCUGAUGUGUGUUUGAUGUCCUAUAGGAGAAGGGCAGGUUAUGAAGGGGAAAUAGACGUAAAUGUUACAAAAAGAAGGAGAAUCAAAAACUAGAUCUGGCCUUUGGCAGCAUUAAUUUUUCUCACAGUAACUUAUCUAAGAUUUAGCUAGUCUUAUAUUAAACAAUAAAGAGUUACCAUAGCAACCUCAUUGCCAUGUAAUAACACUCACAUCCUUCCCAACUGUAAAAUCAAAACCAGAGAAGCAAAUAGAAACCAUCAAAUUACCAAAUAGCCCUCUUCUUCAUCUCUUUUUUCUCUUUCAUAGAAUGGUUAUUGAUUACUUUCUUUAUUGUAGGUCAGUGACACCAUGACUUAUUUUUUUUCCCUUCCCCCUUCCUCUCACGCUCACUGCGAACAAGGAGGGACCCGAGAGGAGUACUCCAGCCCUUGGAGUGACAGGUCUCCUCUUAUUCCAGAAGGACAAAGCUUGGGUCAGUGCCAUCUCCUGCCAGCUGCUGCCAAUAUUGCUCUGGGGGCAUUUAUUUCUCUUGCUGGCUGCAGAAUGCUUGAUUAACCCUGUGCACUGGCCACAUCUGCUCCAACGCCUGCUCACGGUAUCUCUUCACCUUCUGGCAGGAAUUUGCUGUCCAUGUUGGAGCCCUGGGCAGCAGUGUCUGCAGCAGACGUUUUAUCUGUGGUGCACCGAGUGAGGCAAGUCACUGCCCCUCCCUACCACCUGCAUACCUGCUCCCGCUUUCCCCCCCCCUCUUUUCCUCUUGCGUGAUACCUGGUCUCCCUUCAAUACUGAAGUCUUCACUGAUGUUCUCGGCUUGGAUGAGAUUUCCCUCCUCUGAUAGUCUAUGGGUUCUAUUUAUUUAGCUGUAUAUUGUACCUCCUAGCAGGCCACACACACAGUAGGAACUCAAUAAACCUUAAACACCCCACUUCCUCAACUGUCGAUGGCAUGAAACUGUUUAUUGGCACUAAUCUAUGGGUAGUUAAUCAGACUGACUCAUUCUUAGUUUUCUUCUUCUGAGAUUUUUACAUAUGAAUAAAAGUAGAUGGACUGAGAAGCAAGUUUGGUUUAUCUGCUGUAUCUCUAGCAAACCACAUCUUUUUAAUUUCAUGCAUCAAUGGAAUGAUACGUCAUGCCUAUUACUGUGGGACAGCUUGCUACGUUGUAUAACUCAACAUGCUGAUGCAGCUGGGCAUGCAAAAUUAUUCCCAGAGGGAGUCAGACCCAGGAAAUCACAAGUGGUACCAAGUGUCCCAAGAUAGGAUUUUUUUUACCCUUUCCCAAGACCUCAUCCACUUGUGGGACCUGACCUGAACAACGUUCACAUAUUGGCUCAAUGAAGGACAAUUCUGUCUUUACUGGACACUAGGUACUUGGAGCAAAAUCCCUAGUGAGGAAAAAUUUCGUCAUUUAGAACCAAAUGAUCACUUUUUCAGUCAAAGGAUAUUCACUAAGGACCUCAAUAAUUGUUUGGAUAAUAAACGAGCGACUGAAUAAAAGAGUAAAGUGUCCCAAUUUCUGCCUUGCUACCAGGUUUGUUAUUCUAAAUCCCACCCACCUCACGCCCUCCAUGGCAUAGACACUUAGAAUACUGCAUCUUUUACAGAAUAAAGUCCGAAGGUCUCAGCUCAGUGAGGCAUCCAAAUGCUUUUGCAAUCUGGCUUCCAUUCCUACUGUUGCCCCAUGCUCCUUUCUCUGCACAGCCCUGCCUCCUCCAGUGCUCUCAUUUAUUUGUUCUCUACUGGAUAGACAAUAACUCUCCUGAAAGGUGAUACUUGAAUUUGAGAAUUUACAAAGUAAGUUCCUUUUAAACAUCCAAAAUCUGCCAUCGCAGGCUAGAUGAACAUCUUCAAAGGUGUCAGGGCUUCCCUUCUGGGCAACCCAGAGGCCAUAGGCUCUGAUUCAGCCUGAGAUUCCCAGAAGCUGGGGUUUUGUUUGGGACUGGGAAUGGCCUUGAACAGCUCAGGACAGAAUUGGAAGGAUAUUGAAUGAAACCUGCCCAAACCCUUCAUGUUACUUCUGAGCAAGCGGAGACCUAGAAAGGUUAAGUACCUUGUCUAAGGUGUCAGGGUUCAAUGACCAUGUGGACACUAAAACCCAGGCUACGUCUUUUCCCAGUCCAUCCUGGUUAAUAUCUAGCUCCCUUGUGGAAGGCACUCACCACCCCCACCCAGCCACUCAUCAGCAUAGUCACUCAUGUUCUUCCCCAAGCAGGUUACCUGUCACCUCCUCUUUUCAUCUCUGAGGUUGUAAAUUUCUCCCCCAAACUUUAGUCCUCUUCUGUCUAGCUGCUGCUGGAAUCCCUGAAGCUUGACAAAGUAUUCUAUUUGCUGGCUAGUGCUAGGGAUGAAUGCCAUAAAUAUUAGCUGUGGGUAACGAAUGACUGACACAGGGAAUAAAUAUUUGUUUUCUCUGAGAGGUUACAUUGUGGUAUUGGUAAAGAGGCAUAUCCUGUUGUUGGUUUCAGGCAAAACUGUUGCUGAACAUCUGACAUAUAUCACUCUCUGUACAUGUAAUUGAUGAGGUCAGAUAUAAACCUGUGCUGGCAACAUCUGUGUUUAUUGCACCCCAGUCUGUAAUGAAGCUCUCAUGCCCUCUUCCAAACUUGUUUUGAAGCAACAUGUCUUGGAUGCCCUUUUUCUCUGAGUCACACCCUGGAAGAACAGUUGGUCAUAUUUGAAAAGCAGUGUCAUUUUAGUAGAUGACAUACACUAGAAUGGAGGCCUCCCACAGGUGGUAGAUACCCUCCCUUCAACCCAGGACCCAUUUCCUUGUACACAUCCACCCCUGGAGAUUCAUCUGACCAACAAUUAAGAAGUUACUUUUCUGCAUGAUGCUGGGUGUUGGAGAUACAAAGAUGAGUUAUUUACUCAGACCUCAGGGGGUUCACAGUCUCCUCCAGAUAUUGUUUGAUUCUCUGUUUCUUGUCUAGACAUGCAGACUUUGUUCUCCUGUCUUCCAUAACUGCAUAACCUGCUCUUUCUUCUCCAAAAGGUCCAGACUUUCUUUCUGUAUGAAGAACCUCAUGCUUACUUCCUGGGGUCCGUGUGCUCUCUUUUCACCUCAUGUCUUCCUCUGAGUUCUACCUCUCCACUUCCCGCCUUUUCUUCCAACUUUUUUUUUCAAUUUAGAAUCCUAUCCACCUGAUUUAAAAAUUGUGGUUCUUAUAUGUCCAUGUAGCUCAGUAAUGCUGGGAGGAAAUGUGGUUCUUUUUUUAUUAUUAUGUCUGACAUUAUUUUCUUCCAUUCUAUCUGGAAGGUCUAAAGAUUUCUUUCUCUUCUUUUCUCCUAGAAGCCCUCUAUCUCAGCACAUUCAAAACCUACCAUUUCUUCAAGGUCUGGUUUGAAAAAAAAAGAAAAAUAAAAGAAUGCAAAGCAAUAAUUAAUAGUUUUUUUAUAUUGAUAAUGUGUUGAAAUUUUGAUUUAGGUACACUGGGGUAAAUAAAAUACAUUAUUAAAAUUAAUUUCACCUGGUUCACCUUACUUUUUAAUGUGGCUACUUUUUUAAAAGUAAUGUAGACUUAUCUAUAGGGUUUGCCGUGUUUUUGUUAGACAACAGUGAUCUGGAAUAAUAUCAGCAAUUUCUUAAAGUGAAACUUUACUUGAAUGCCUAAGCAAUCUUUGGAGUAUGACUGAACUUUUAGUCUGUUUCCAGGACAAUAUCCAUGGCAAAAUUUAUUAUCUGUACUUAUAUGUAGCUGCCUUAUAAGUAGGGUGACCAUACUUUUGGAUUUGCCUGAGAAAGUUGCAGUUUAUGCCUAUUGUCCAGGUAUAAAUUGUUAGUAGUGACCCCUUUCAUCAUCAAAAGAGUCCUGGUUCAAAUGAUAAAUUGCAUUAUGACUCUAUUUAUGAAAGAUGCACCUGGAGCUCUUAGUUUACUGUGCAGAAAUUUCUCCCAGAAGAACCCGUACUCAUGUUUCCUUGACUAGAGUGUCUAUUCUAUCCAAACAGACCCUCUUUUCUGUGGUCCUCACUCCUACCUCCCUCCUCCAACAGUACUCUUUUUGUCAAGAAGAGACAAUUGCAGGGGCGCCUGGGUGGCGCAGUCAGUUAAGCGUCCGACUUCAGCCAGGUCAUGAUCUCGCGGUCCGUGAGUUCGAGCCCCGCGUCGGGCUCUGUGCUGACUGCUCAGAGCCUGGAGCCUGUUUCCGAUUCUGUGUCUCCCUCUCUCUCUGCCCCUCCCCCGUUCAUGCUCUGUCUCUCUCUGUCCCAAAAAUAAAUAAACGUUGAAAAAAAAAAAAAAAAAAGAAGAGACAAUUGCAACUUAGAGUUUCAAUGAAAAACAGUCCUCUAUUGCUGAUUACCAUGGAUAGCAGCACUGUGAACUAUUUCCCUGGCCAAUCAAACAACAAAAUAGCUUGAGUCCACAGGCAUUAUCCUUUAAUUACCUCAUGUUGUGUUUUGUGUAGAUUGCAUUAGCCAACUACAAAAAUGAUCAGAUACAUUACCUGCCAUUGGCCAUUCCACUUCCCAGUUCAGCCAUUUGAAGGAAGCCUGGGACCCAGGAGGCCGGUGUUACAAACAGUAUUUAUCCCUUGCCCAAUCUCAGCUUCCUCAUUUGUCUGGUGGCUUGGAAGAGAACUUACACCUCACAGAAACUGUGAUAAAAAUGAUAGAAAGACUCCUGUCACCUCUGUUUUCUCCUUGGCUCUUGAUACAAAAUAGCCUUAACCUCACUACAGUCCUCUGUAUCUAAUGGGGUGACUUCCAUAUUCCACCAAAUGAGAAAGUCUUUCUUUAAUAUUCUCUUAGUCAAUACACCCCUCAUAAAUUCCACCUGCUUUCCCAAGUGGAUACAUCCUUCAAGGUUCUGCAACAGCUACAAGUAAACUUGAUAACUCAGAGAGCUGCCUGAAGAAUCUGUCCCUUUUGGUCAUCUGUGCCUCCUAAAUGGUUGCAAAUAUUUUAUUUAAACCUGUAAUGGGAAAGGGAGAAAUUCCACUCAAAUGUAUAACCUUCUACUACCUACCAUCAUAGCCAUGACAAAUGUACAUCUGAUAGUUUAGAUUCUGCCUAUAAGGAGCUGCUCAUUGCCUCUGCUUUUGAUAAACAUUAGUUAUUACAGGAGAAGCUGUGUUUCCCAGUCAUUUCCCAGGGUGCUUUUUUUCCCCAUUUCCUCUAUCUUUUCCUCCUUGAGUGUACCUUCUGGCACCAGACAUACAUGCUGGCUGCAUCAUUAAGUGCUGAGACUUUACAUCUUAAUUCUGUGUGAGAGGUUUUCUCUAGGGGCAAUGGUGCAUCUGUAGAAAAAGAAUUUCGGUGUAGAAUAGAGGUGAUAUGCUGGAGGAUACUGAUGACAUAUUUAAGGAAACAGCUGUCCAGAAACUAUUUUUUGUGUGUAUAGGUGGGAGGGACAAGAGGAGAAGUUGGCUUAGUUUCAUUGUCCACAGGCUAAGAUGGAAUAUGUUGGUUUGGCUUUGGGUUUUACUAAGGAAAAUCCUUGAAGUACUUAAGCAAGAAAGAACAAAGAUUUAGGUUGUGAGAUAAUUUGCUCAACUUGUUUCUUCUGGGUUUUUUUUUUUUUUGGGGGGGGGUUGUUUGUUUGUUUUGUUUGAGUAGGCUCUAUGCCCAACAUGGGGUUUGAACUCAUGACCCUGAGAUCAAGAGUCAUAUGCUUUACCAGGUGAGCCAGACCAGUGCCCCUCAACUUGUAUUCUUUUAUAUCUGUAAACUCAUAAGCUAUCAAGAAAUAUUAUCAACAAUUCCCACUUUCUUUUGUAUGCUUCUUAAUAUUAUUUAAUCCUCUCUUAGACAGAAUGGGGACAAAGCCAAGAUGAAAUCAUGGCUUAAUUUUUUAAUGUAAUUCCUUAUGAAACAAAAAGAUGUCUGUGUUCAGUAGCUGGAUAGAUGUAUGGCAAAUAGGGGAAAGGCAAGCUGUGUAACAUCAGGACUAGUUUCUAUAGCAACAAAAAUGUCAGCCAUCCUUUUGGCUGAUCCUAUUAAUCUGGAGUAGAAGCAAUGAUACUGACACACUCGAAAUGUAUUUAAACCAGAAGGUGAAAAUACAACCCAGCUGUAGAUUUAAAACGGAAGUAGAGCUAGGCACCAACAUAAUGUGACUGAAAUAUAUGCCAUGAGGGAAAAGUGAGGUUCUCUCAAAUACAGCCUCUGCAUUUUUGUUUUAAGUGAUUAGGUUUCCACCCUACGUUCCAAAUAUUCAUGGACCCAACUAUAAAAAAAAAAAAAAGAAAGGAAGAGGAGAGAUCCCAUCACCUUCUGUUUCUAGAGCAAGGCUGUCUUUUCAAUUGGGUUGGCUCAGAGUAAACACUUGAAAUUAAUUGUUUUGAAGAUGGUAAAAUUUGUAACUUUGUGAGCUGCUGAUUCUUGUGCACUUCUCAGAAAGGAAGAACUAGGUUUCUGAGAGAAGAAAUCCGGUGUUUGGACCAAUGUGUGUGGUUGUGGUUUCUGUUCUUUUAACCAUGCCCAGGGCUAGGGUGAACUUUGUGAACAGUAAACAGAGGUGAUUGCCCUGGCCCUGUGUACUAUGCAAGGCUGCUCUGAGGACCAAAUGAGUUAAUAGAUGGAGAAGUACUCUGAAAGAAGCUUAAAGUGCUAUAGUGGAGUAUAGAAUGAUUAUUAUUAGUAAGGAACAGCCAAAGAAACUCUUUCCUAAAGAGCACCAGUUGUAGAGAGAGCUUAGGAGGCAAGUUAUAAAUUCUGACUAUCUGGGUCAGUGGUUUGAUUUUUUUUUUCCUAGAGAGACUAUAAAGCUAUUAUUCUGUACUAUUUCCCUUUGGUGCCUCUUUUUACUUUCGACUUAUUUAAAUGGCUAAAUAUUUUCCCACUUUGCAAAACAGAAUGACAGUCCCCAGUAUAUUUUGCUGCUGGAGCACAAAAUAAAUGGGGAUGCAGAUCCGUGUCAUUAUGAUAAAACACCAUCUUUUCAUCUUUAUCUUGGAAUUUCAGACUCCUCAGGAAAGAUGACCGCCUCUCAUUUUGAAAAUGAUUUUGCUAGCAAAGGAAGAUAUCUCUUAACUUGUUCUUAGGUCUUCUGGUUUCCAAAAGCGUAAAGGAAAAUUAGCUCUGUUUACUGUUCUUGCCUUAUUAAAGCCAUUUUCCUUCCCCAACCACUCACCAAAUCUCUAAAAAUGAUUGCAGAACAACAGAACAGAAUGGAGACCAAAACCAGCAAGGAAAAUAAAAAAAAAAAGUACAUAACAUUUGAUUAACCAAGACAUUAUAUUCCUGUAAAGGAAUAUAAUCUGUUUUUAGAAAUUAGUGGCAAAGGGUCUGGGUAUUUCUGCCUCAGUUUGAACACACAUUUUUACACUUCAGAAAUAAUUAACACUCUCAAAGCAAAAGAGAUACUUUCCACUGUGCCUUGAGAUAAAAUGUUUUUGCACAAACUACAGCUAGGGAUAUGUAGCUCUCACCUUCAAGCCCUGCAUCACGACUGAUGACUUGGGAUGUUCCCCAAAUUUCAGAGUUUGAAUAUAUCCAUCUAUCACCAGUCAAGGAUGUGUCUAGCACUAUGUUAGGCUCAUGGAGAUAAAAGGCAGUGAGGAUAAGGAAAGAAACUAGAUUUUUUUAAGAUAAAAAUUUACGAAAUUUGAGGCAAUGAGUGACCAUCUGUGUAUUCAUUAAAUUAAAAUAAAAUGAACUUCAUAGCCUUUAUAACAGGGGAGGCUAGUUUUUAAAUUUGUUUGUUCUUCAGCACUUAGCUCUUUGGUAAAGUUUUGCCCCAUGAUGCACCCAAAGUCUAUUUUCUAAGAGAAUAUAAUGCAGUGAUGAGAAGGAUUGGUUUCAUAGUCAGAUUUGGAUUCAAGUUUAAACUCCAUCACUUAUUAGCUAGGUGACUUUGGGCAACGUCAGUGCAUUUCCAUGUCCUCUUUUGUAAAACGAAGAGCAAUAAAUCCCAACACACAGAGUCUCGCAAAGUCUAAAUAAGUGAUGGAUGUAAGAUGCUUAGGCAAACAGGUAGUACAUCUUAGAGACCCAAGAAGUGUUAGCAAUUGAUUAUUAUCAUUACUGUAAAUAUUAUAUAGUAUUUCAAGCCAGCCUUUUUAUUUGGCCUCUAAAACAAGGAAACAUAUUUUAUUGCCAAGCUACAGGUAAAAUAAACAUGCUCACAUGUAUGAUGCUGACCACAUCUUGGGGAGGCUUUCACAAUGGGGGAAUGUUUAAGGACAUGGGUGUCAGAAAUGUGGUGAGACACAAGGUCAGGGUGAGCCUUAGCAGUGGAGGAAGGACUGUGCAUGCCUAUUGCAUAUAUCCAUUUGUUUUAAAACUCAUUUUUAUAUUUAGCUCAAUCAUUUUGGUAUCUGUUUCCAUGCCUCACUGUGUACUGAUUGGAGUUAUAACCCUGUCAUACGCUGUGUUAUUGUUUACUCUCUUUAUCUAAUAAUUAGCCUGUGAUCAAUAGAGAGCAGAGGUUACAUAGUUGUUCUCUAACCUAAUCUAAAUAUGAAGUACUGUUCCAGGAGUUUAGGAGGUGGGUAUUUGUUGAAUGAAUAACAGGACCAAAUAAUGAAAAAAAAAUGAAUAAAAAUCCUUAUUAAAAAGGGUUCUGAGGAAGCAUUUAAGCCCCCAUUUGACCAUGUGAUAGUGACUAAAUAUCACUUCUUAUGUUUUGAUGUGGUCACUUUGCAGCUUGGCAGAUGAAUAGAGCAUUGAGACCUUUUGGACUGUGGGUUCUAGUGUUAGGUGGAGAGCACAGACUUAGACCUCUGAGAGGGUGUGAGCGGAGGACCCUCAAAUUACAGUGUUAGUAGGCAUGAACAGCAGGCCUCUUUGCAGCACUAGCUCUCGUUCCAAACCACAUGCUCAAAUCAAUAGUUCGGAGUGGGCUGCCAGAAAAGCAGCCAGAAGAUCAAGUAUUGCCUGAGGAACCCUUCACCCUUGGCUGCCAAAAAGUGUGCCCUUCUCCCUUGACUUGGCAGCCUGAGCUGAAAGCCUGAGGCGGCUCCUCUUGAAAGGCCAGCACAGAAAAUCCCUUUCAGAGCUGCAGGGUAAGAGGGCUGGAGAGUCAAGGACAAUCAUGAUGUCUGACCCUUCAUGGGCAGCUGGUCAUAGCCUGGAACGGACAUCUAAAGUAAUCAGAUGAGCAUUUCUGGAAUCACCUGUUUUCAGUCCAAAAGCAUCUCCCUUCCAUAACUGGUCCAGGACUCUGCGCAUCUGCAAUCCUUUGGCUAUUUUCUUCCUCCUUUCGGAUGACCCAUCCCAAUGCCCACUCUCCUCCCAUUCGUGCUUUCUACUCUAUUUUAUCUGCUCACAUUAAAUAGGUGCAGAUGCCAAUUAUAAUAAUAACAAUAAUAAAGCUAGUGUUUAUUUAAUAUAUAUCAUGAAGCUAAUACAAAUAAGUGCUUUGUUCCUUUUUAUUCAUUUUAUCUUCCCCACAAGGUAAGAAAACAGAGGCACAAGGUAAAACAUGUCAUCAAAAGAAAGAAAUCAAAGUAUACAAGUACAGAAUAUGAUGAAUAAUGAAUUAGCCUAUGAGGGACAGGUCAGGAAAGGCUUAAUAAAAUUUGUGAGUGAAUUUAAUCUUGAGAGAUAAGGAAGAGAAUGGAAAGGGGACAUACCAAGGGUCACUGGUAGAAUGGAUGUGUAAGGCACAAUUUCUUUUACUGAUCAUGUUUAGCACAGUACCAGGUACAUAAUAAGCACUCAAUAAACCUACAUGGAAAUGAAUCAAAUAACAGUAGGAGAGCAGGAGGCCAGAGGUAAGAGGGUUAAGCCCUGUAUCAAUUGUUUCAGGAGGAGUGGGUGAGUGAUGAAGCUUUCUGUAAAAGCAAGAGCAAAUUUUAUGACUGCAACUCACAGAUUUCUCAUCAUAAUGAAUUCUCCAUUAAGUGUCCUCCUAAUCCACAUCGGCUGAUGGAUGAACCCCUGAAACAGAAAGUUCCCACCAAGAUCUAUGGAAGUAGCCACAUAUCAGAGGAGAUGAAUGCCGUUAGUCAUCAGGAAUUUGCAGGAGUCAAAAGGAAGAUAGGAACGUUUGCCUGGACUCUGUUUGAAAGCCAGAUUAAAAAAAUGAUGACCCCAGCUGUGAGUUGUCAAAUGUUCUAUUCAUAUUAACCACUGCUGCAGUCACUGAUACCUUAGCUGGCUUUGAAGGAAAAACAGACAACUUAAUGAAGCCAUUGGAGUGUACCUCAGACAGCACUGCACUGGAGUGGAGUCCUUGAAUGACACAGGUAGAUGGGAUCCUUGAGAUCAUCUACUUAAAUGAAGUCUUGAGGCAGAACAUAAAUAAAUAGAACAUAUAAAAGCCAUAAAUGGGUUCUUUUUGUAGUUUAAAUCUCCAUCCUUUGGCAGAAAAGCACUUUUUAUUGCUUGUGCUCUCCCAGAGCACCUAUAUGCAUGGAGAGCACUGGUUUGAGUCCAAUACUCUCAUUUUACCAAUGAGGAAAAUGUAAACACAGAGCAGGGAAAUGGAUCCCUAAGUUUCACCCAGGUGGCCAAUGGCAAGUUCUAAGCCCAGACAGGGAUCCAGAAAUCUCAACUCUGCUUGUUCAUCCACCAAUAAUAUUCUUUGCUUCAAGAAAUAUUUAUCGAAAGGGGCCACCCGUGUGGCUCAGUCAGUUAAGUGUCUGACUUUGGCUUAGGUCUUGAUCUUGCAAUUCAUGAAUUCUAGUCCUACAUUGGGCUCUCUGCUGUCAGUGUGGAGCCUCCUUCGAAUCUUCUGUCUGUCCCCCUCUCUCUAACCCUCCCCUGCUCAUGCUUUCUCUAUCAAAAAUAAAUACACAUUAAAAAUUUUUAAAUAAAAAAAAAGAAAUAUUUAUUGAGCAGUUACUAUAUAAAGGACACUGCCAGCCUGGAGGAUACAUUUAAAUAUCAAGUUCCUAUCCUUAAGAAUUUGGGCAACAAUUGAAAAGAUAAUUCUAUUCCAGCGUUAAAAGUGCAAAACUAGAAGUCUGUACACAUUAUGGCUUACUCAAAUAUCACAGAUGUCAGGGACCAAUCAAGUAACAUGAGUGAAACAUGGUGAGAAUAAGCCACACAGGUAAUUGAAGGACCUGGGACAUGAAUGCUGACUGCAUUCAAAUUUUUUUCAGUUGGAAACCUCAGCUUGAUAAAGAAUAUUUACAAAAUUUUACAGCUGAACUCAUACUUAGUGGUGAGAAUCUCAAAGCUUUCCUACUAAGAUCAGGAAGAAACCCAAGGAUAUCCCCUUUCACCACUGUGUUUCAAUACCAUUGGAAGUCCUAGAAAAUGCAUUUAUACAGGAAAGGGAAAUAAGAGGUAUACAUAUUGGGAAAGAGAAAUAAAACUAUCUUUGUGGAUAACAUGAUCAUCUAUGUAGAAAAUCUGAAUGAGUCAACAACAACAAAAAGCUCCUGGAACUAAUAAGCGAGCAAAGUUAUAGGAUACAAGGUUAACAUACACAAGUCAAUUGUUCACCUAUAUCCCAGCAAUGAACAAGUGGAAUUUGAAAUUAAAAACAUAAUACUGUUUGCAUUAGCACCACCAAAAAUAAAAUACUUAGCUAUACAUCAGAUAAAAUAUGCACAAGACCUAUAUAAAGAAAACUAAAAUGCUGAUGAAGAAAUUAAAGAACUAAAUAAAUGGAAAGAUAUCCCAUGUUCAUGGUUAAUAGGAAGAUUCAAUAUUGUCAAGCUGACAAUUCUUCCCUACUUGAUCUGUAGAUUUGGUGGAAUCCCACCAUGUUAUAUUGUGGAUAUUGGCAAACAUUCUAAAAUUCAUAUGGAGAGGCAAAAGACCCAGAAGAGACAACACAAUAUUGAAGGAGAAGAAUGAAGUUGGAGGACUGAAAUUACCUCACUUUAUGACCUACUAUAAAACUACAACAAUCAAGACAGUGUGAUAUUGGUGGAAGAAUAGACAGAUUGAUCACUGAGCCUAGAACCUAGAAGUAGACUCACAUAAAUAUAAUCAACUGAUUUUUGAGGUAUAUGGAUAAUCUCUGUAACUUCCGCUCAAUUUUGCUAUGAACCUAAAACUGCUCUAAAAAUAUAAAAUCUAUUUUUAAUGGAAAACACUGCACAGACAAAAGACAUUUGUCAUUGUUGGGCCACUAGCUUGCUUCCAUGAAUAUUUCCCUUUACAUUUUACAAAGAUCUUUCAUAUACUAUAGCCUUAACCUAGUACAUACAUACAUACGUAUAAAGGAAACAAAAAUUUUUACAAAACUGUACUUACUGUAUGUGAACAAUCCUCCAUCCCAUUCCAUUUUAUUUUAUUCUAUUUCAAUUACACUUGUUUAAAUAAUAGUAGUUGUAAUGCACUCAACUAUUUUCUAACUACCCGAAUGUCUCUUAAACCAUAGUUUGCAAACUACUACAACAGCACUGGUGCCUCCAACAACCCUGUGAGGCAAGUAGUGGUUGUUCCUUCCAUUUUACUAAUAAGAAAAUGGACUCUCAGGGAAACUGUUAUUUGCACACCCUCAUACAGUGAGUGAGUGGCAGACCCACACCGGAACCAAAAUUUCCUGGCACCCCAGCCAUGUGAUUCUUUAAGGAAGCCACUUUGCCUUCUCAAGCUAGAAGACACUAAUAAGACCAGGUUCCAACUCAGACUCAAAUCUCAAUUUUGACAUUGCCCUUGACAACAAGAAGUUCCUAGUUUCCCAGUAUUUAUUACUUCUUCCCAUUUAUCUACUAGAAUUGCCUCUUCUUGGGCAAUCAGCAUGGAAUGGCCUUUCAAGAUGGGAAAGGAUUUAAAUAAGGACUUGAUAGUUCAUACCUGCUCUUUGCUGUGCCCUGUGUGCUGUUUGAGAAAUCCCAGCAAGGCAGUUUCCUGAUGUUUCCAUGCCACUGCCUGACCUUGAGAAUCUUGCAAGUGAAUAUAUAUAUUUUCUAGAAAUUUCAAGCAGUUGCUGUCAUAGUGCUGGAAAAGGGAGACUUCUCAAGCCUCAUAUGUAAACUUGGCUUCUGCUAUUUUCCUGCAAGUUUAAUAAGGCCAGGGCCAUAAUUGUAAAUAUUUAAAAUCUUGAUGUGUGGCCAGAUGGAUUCAUUAUAGACUAUAUCUGUAUUUAGACUCAUAAUUUCCAGUUUGGCACCGGAAAUGUCACCUAGGAAGACAUACAGGGCUCGGGAUCCGAUCUGCAUCUAAAUGCCAAAGGUAAAACACUCAUUUGUGUCCUCGCCUCUGAUUUUACUAACAGUUCUUCUUAUUUAGCCUCGCCCAGACUCAGACGGGAGCCCAAUGGAGAAAUAAUAGAUAUAAAUUGUGCUUCGGUCAUUGGCUGUUUAUCUUAAGAAGAGAAACUGGUUUCCAGGCUGACAGAUAAUUGGACGUCCAAAAAGUUCACUAACAGAGGCGGAGGAUGAGACAGUACUGAGUGAAGACAAACCAGGAAUGUUUAUUUUCUUUCAUUACACAAUGGGAAGAGGCUGCAGAUCCUUUCAUUUUCCUCAAGUUGUGGGUUUUUUGAUUUACUGAGUAUGACAUCCACUGCUUAAACAGUCUGUGAAUUGUCUAUGAAUUCUUAAAGCUUUGGUGCAAUAAAUUUGCAUAUUUGACUCUAGGGACAGAAAGGAGAGUUGCCGUGGUGGCCCAGGGAAGGGAUCGGGCCCAUGAGGAGAAAGUGGAGUCCCCCCUUCUCUCAGCUAUUCAUCCGUUGGUUGAUUCAGUGGGCACUGCUCAUCUAGCCAGCUCCCACACAACAUUCUCCCUUCCUCACAAGCAUCAGCUCUGUUAGAAAGGCUCCUAUGAACAAAGUGGGGUUAGAUGUCCACUCCACCAUGUUCCCGUGGGUUAGUGCAGUGAGAGCACUUGUCCCAUCAUAGGAGGAUGGCUAGAUAUACCCAGAUGCCUGUCCCUCUGUUGUGAACCCCUUGAAAGCAAGGACUAUGUCUUCAUUUGCCUUAGUGUUCCAACACCACGCAGUGCUUACCACAGAAAAUGUUGUUGGAGAUAUUUAAGAAGAUGAUGAUGAAUGAGUCCUUGUUCUGGAGAAGUAUGACACAUAUCCUAAUUAUCAUCUAGCUUUUUUAAAGGUUAUUUAUUAGAGAGAGAGAGAGAGAGAGCACACAAGUCAGGGAGGGGGAGAGAGAGAGGGAGAAUUCCAAGCAGGUUCAGCAUGCUGUUAGCACAGAGUCCAACGUGGGGCUUGAACUCACCAACUGUGAGAUCAUGACCUGAGUUGAAAUCAAGGCGGGCGCUUAACCGAUGGAGCCAUCCAGGUCCCCCUCAUCUAGCUUUUAAUCCAAAGAAUGUCCAAGUGAUUUGGCCCCUAUAAAUUUCUCAUCAUGUUUUCAUGCCUUCAGUUAAGAGUAAAGAAAGGCUUCCUUGCCAUUAUUUCAUUUGAACAUAAUGCUUUUCUCUUGGCACUCUUUUGAUGUCAUCUCAAGUGAUUUCCUGUUGGAUCUGUAUGUUUUAGAAGCAUAUAAACAUGUCUAUGUGUAGAAUAUAUAAUGCUAAAUAUAUACAUUAUAUGUAUAUGCAUAUAUGUAUGUGUGUGUAUACACACAAACGCCACAUAUGUAAUAUGUGAUAGGAUCCUUUAAAAGGAUAAGUUGAAGACUGAAUUUUCUAUGUGUAGUGGGAGUAUAGACAGCACAGCAGAGCUGGAGUUGGAAUAAUCCACCUCAGCUCACUCAGUAUGUAACCAUGGGCAGAGCCCGUGUCCCAUCUGAGCCUCUGUUUCUUCGUCUCUAAAACAGAGCCUGUGAGAGCUGCCACACCUCCUGCUAAGGAGUUGGUGUGAGUCUCAGAUGAGAGGGUGGAUGGGAAAGCCCUUUGCUAGUUAAAUCAAUGGAAAAGAUUAAAAAUGCCAAAUGAGUCAUGUUUAUGACAAGAUUGGGUUUGACAAUGCUAUUUACUGUUUGGGAAUGUGAAUGAGAAGAAAAACGUACUUGCAAAGGUUCUUGGCACAAGGCAGUGGUUCUGAGAGCCAUGCUGGCACUGCCUUUGCUUUUCCCUUUGAGUGCUGAACAUAUUCCCACUUGCUUGCCAGCUGCAGAGCUCACUUGUAAAAUUCCUUGUUGCUGUUCCCUUUCUUUCCCUGUCUUCCUCCUCCCCUUUGUAGGUAUGCAUGCACACUUCUUCACUUGAGGGAAGCAUUUGCUUAUGGUUUUUUUUGUGGUCACUUCUAAGCAGCCUGUGGCCCUUUCUGUAUCUCUGAGAGCCUCCCUUCUGCCAUUCUGUGCCCCUAGAGCCUUGCAAGGAAACCCAGGGUGUGUGGAUUUCCAGGGACUAAGGCAGCUGUUCUCAGCAAAAAGACCAUGGACACUUCCCUUUGUAAUGUAGUAGUCUUUGGUUUAUGCAGGGACUUUGUCAUUUUAAAUGGGCAUCUUAACCAUAAGCUGCCUCAUAACAUAAGACUUUGUCUCAUUCUCCCUAGAAGUAAAAAUCAGAGCAGGUUAACUUUGCCUGGAAAGCAAAGUUAAUUCUAACUUUAACCAGGAGAGCUGUAUACCUCCGAGUCAAGAUGGGGACCAAUGACAUUCUAUUAUGUUAACAUAAAACUCUUUAAGAUGUUAUUUUGCUUAACGCCCUUCAGCAACUCUCCACUGACCAUUACAUAAAGGUUAAGCUCCUUACUAUGGCUAUACAGUCCUAGGUGAUUUAUCCCUGUUCUAUGUCCAGCCUUGUCAGUGUUCACCCACGUGGUUUGGGUUACCUAGGGCAUCCAUUCUUCCAUACAUCCACUGGUUUAAUUCCUUCUUUUCAACAUAUACACACUGAGUACCUGUUAUGAUCUUGACACUGUGCAGGGCACUAGGGAUAGGCUGGGGAGCAGAUGGUGCUCGUGCCAGUAAAAGCUUCGUAGUAGGCUGAUAAUGGUCUCCAAGGAUAUCCAGAUCCUAAUCCCUAGAACGUAUGAAUAUUGCCCUAGAUAGCAAAAUAACUCUGUAGAUGUGAUUACAUUAAGGAUGUUGCACUAGAAAGAUUAUCCUAGAUUAUCAGUGGGUCCUAAAUGUAGUCACAAGUGGGACACAUAGGGAGAUUUGAUGGUGGAAGAGGACAAGGAAACAUGACCAUGGAAGCAGAGAGUGUGGGGAUGCAGCCAUAUGCCAAGGAAUACUGGCAGCCACUGGAAGCUGGGAGAGGCAAGAAAUGGACUCUUCCCAAGAGCCUCAGAAGGAGCUUUUCUUACUGACACCUUUAAUUUUACCCCUGUAAGUCUCAUUGCAGAUAUCUGACCUACGUAGCUAUAAAAGAAUAAAUUUCUGCUGCUAUAAGUCACUAAGAUUGUGGUAAUGUGUUAAAAGUUUUUGUCAUGUAGUUUCCUAUUACCUAUUACCUAAAAGUCUAGCUAUCGGCAGGCAAUUACCAUUCACUAUGGGGAAGUGCAGGGAGUUUUUUGAGACCCAGAGUAGGAGAAUUUAUCCUGGAAUUGGUAUAUCAGGGAAGGCUUCUUGGAGGAUGUAACAUCUCAGCUGCAGCCUAAAAGCUGAGCAGGAGUUGUUAACAAGAGGAAGGAGGCGAGCUCAGGGCAGGUGGCUACAGGCAGGGCUAACCACUUAUACAAAGUGUACCUUGCCAUAUCACACCUGCAUACCUUGCACAUGCCAGUUUCUUGGUCCUUUUUCUCCCCACCCUCCCAACCUACCAUACACACACACACACACACACACACACACACACACACACACACAUUUCACAUAUGCACACUUCCUUGUUUUCCACAGCAAACUUCUGUUCAUUAUUCAAGAUUGCUCCAAAGCCCCUCUGUAGGAAAGCUCUCCCCCCAUGCCUCCUUGGCAGAGUUAGGGUACAGGACCUCUUGUCUUAAGGCGGUCCCAUUCUUGUUUAUUGAAGUUCUGAAAUCAUAGAAAUGAAAUCCCUGAGCAUAAUUUAGUAAUGGCCCCUGCUACUACCUUUUUCUCCCUCUCCCCCUUGGGAAUCUAAAAGGCACAGAUGUGGGGAGGGAAACCUUUAGCAAAGAGAACUUUCUGCUAGUGGCAACUGGCUAGGAAACCCAUCAAGAAAGGUUUCAUGGUGUCCCGGCAAAUCCCCUCAGGUUGAUAAAUUAAGGUUCUUGGUACAGAUGUCCUCCAACAAGAAACUUAGAAAAUCCCAACAAACCUUUCUGACUAGCUAGUUCUUCCUCGUCAAGAGGUAUUUUUGUCUUGGGUGCUGCUAGAAUGCUUUGAGAUCAUUUAAAGAAGAGAGGAACAGUGGGAAAUACAGAUGUUCUGGUUGAAUUUGACACCUAAGAGUCAGGAAGCAGGGCUAAUUAUCUCUUUCGCCUUCCUUCCUUCCACCUAAAAUGGAAGCAAAACUGUAUGAUCAAAAAAUAUUUCCUUUUUUUUCCAUUCUUCAACUGGUUGCUAUGGUGUCAGGUAGGGGGGACCCAUCUGCAACUCUGAAUGUUUUGUAUCAGGAGGUGACUGUCAGUCCUCAAUUAAUUAUUCAUGUUUUCAUUAAGAGCAAUAAUGAGAAACAGUAGAAAUGAAAGGUCCCUAACAUUACUAGGAACCCUAAAAUAUUCAUUUAUUCUUUGAUUAGCAAACCUUCUUAAGACAGAUGGAACACUAACAUUGAAAUCAGACAGACUGAAUCCUAGAAGCCACUGAAUAGCUAUGUUGUAAGGCAACAUUUACUUUAUCUCUUUGAGCAUCAAGUUUUUCAUCUGUGAAAUGGGGAUAUGAUACCCACCUCCUGGGAAUGCCUAAAGAUUACAGUGACGAUAAAUCACUUAAAAUGGUGCCUAAUACAAUAUUUGGUCAGAGUAGCUGUUCAGUAAAUAGUAUCUGUUCAUGAUAGGAAAUCCAGAAUGGACAGGUAUUCUGGUCAGGUUUGAUGCAAUGCACAGCUAAUCAUUCUCUUAGUUUUGAAUGAUAUUUUUCUGCUCUUGGGUAGAGAACCUUUGCUUAUUUGGAGAUAGAAUCAGCAAUCUCCAAAUGGAAAGGCAUCUGUAUGUAAAAUGUAUUCAACAUAGUUUUAAAAUUUGAGAGCAUUGGGGCGCCUGGGUGGCUCAGUCGGUUAAGUGUCCGACUUCAGCUCAGGUCACGAUCUCGCGGUCUGCUGGUUCGAGCCCCGCGUCGGGCUCUGGGCUGAUGGCUCAGAGCCUGGAGCCUGCUUCCGAUUCUGUGCCUCCCUCUCUCUCUGCCCCUCCCCCGUUCAUGCUCUGUCUCUCUCUGUCUCAAAAAUAAAUAAACGUUAAAAAAAAUUUUUUUUAAUUUUUAAAUUUUUAAAAUUUGAGAGCAUUAAAUUGCAUUUAUUAAAUAUCCCUUUGCUCAUAAGUUUAUAUUUUCAGGGUGUUUUUGUAAUUUUACUGUUUCUUUUUCUUUUUUUUUUUUUUUAGCCAAGAUGUCUGUGCUACGGGUCAUUUCUUCAGUCCUUGGGAACACUAAACCUAUGCUUUAUUGCAUUUGUUGGGGAACAGAGAUAUUACAUCUUCUUCUAAAGCUCACAGAAAUAUUUGAGUAGCAAUCCGAUUCACAAGUAACUGAGUUCAGUUAAGAAUUAUGUGACAUGAAACCUGUUCAUGUUACAUGAUGUGGCAUAAGUGAUUCUAUGACUUCUUUGUCCCUAAAUAAUUGGAAUAGAGUCAAAUGAGAUAAUACAUGCGAAAGCAUUGUGGAAAUUAAAGUUUUCAUUGUAAUGGAUCAUUAUUAUUCUAAUUACUACUAAUAUGAAGAACCUAAUAUAGCAUGGAUCAAUUAUCAAGAUAAGAGGAUUUCUGAAGUUGUGAACACUUGGUACCCAUUUGGUAUUUAGCUUUACACAGUUUUGCUUUGUUCUCUAAUUGUUUCAUGCAUUUUAAUCUUACCUCUCUACCACAAGUAAAUUGUAAGCAUCUAUGAGCAUUUAGUCAUUUAGUAGAAUUCAUUUUUUCAUCUGUGAAAAUUCCGAAUGCUCACCAUGUGCCAAGCACAAAGCUAAGUCCUGUUGCCAAAGAGGUGACUAAGAUGCUUUUCCUACCCUCAGUGAGCUUUAUCUCUGGUUAGGGAGAGAUGGCUAGAAUACAGGUUGCUAAGUACUUGAACAUAGGUAAGCUCAGAGGGCUUUCAGGGCCAGAAGGGUGGUCCAGGCCUAGAAGGAUGAGGUCACUGUUAACCAGGUGAAAAAAAAUGAGAAUCAGUUCUAAGUAGAGAAAGCAGCAUGUGGAAAGGCUCAAGUGUGGGGAGGGGGCACAUCAUGCAUGCAUGGAACUAUAAUAAUUCAACAUGGCAGACAGAAGAAGUAGAAGCAGGAACACUAUUUGGGAUAAAGCUAAAGCAAGUUUCCCUUGCUUGCAUAACAAGCUACCUAAAAACUAUGUGACAUUAAAAAAAAUUUACUUGUUCAUGAUUCUUCAGUUGGGUCAGCAGUCUGAGGGGAACAUUUGUCUCUGCUGCACUUGAUACUGGCCUUAGCUUCAUAGUCACAUCGCAUCACAUCUGCCAUAUACUAUUGGUCCACCAAGUUACAAGGCCUUCCCAGAUUCAAGGUAAAAGGAAAUAAAGUCCCACUGGAGCAGAAUGAGCCUACUGGGAUGGGAGGAAUUGGUAGCAGCCUACUAUAGAGAGCCACUACAGAUCCGUCAGGAUGUUGCUGCGGAGGGCUUGGCUUUAUCCAAAAACCCAUAGCGCAACCACUCAGGAAGCUUUUGACCAAGAGAAAGAAGUCAUGUAUUUUAGAAAGCUGGCUUCUAGAAGCAACUUAAAACAUGGAAUGGAGAAGACGGGGCCAGUACCAGAGAGGCCAAUGAAGAGCUGCUGUCAUGGUGUGGGAAGAAGUAACAGUGGCCUAGACUAGGAUAAUGGCAGUGGGAAUGGUAGGAGAGAGUAGGGAUAGAUUCAUUUAUUUAUCCAUCCAUUCAACAAGCAUUUAUUGAGUGACUACUAUAUGCAGGUGUGUUGAGAAUUCAGCAGUAAACAAAACAAAUGUUCCUGAAUUCAUGCCCUCCUGGAGCUGAUGGUAUAGUGACAGAAACAUAAAAUACAUAAGACAAGUAUAGAAAGCAUCUGUUCUAAAGAAUAAAUAUAAAGGAGAGAUGAGAGGGAGGACAUAUGAGGGAAUGUGUGCUAGUUUUUGGUUAGGUACUCGGAAAAAGGUUUGCGAAUCAAGAGGUAAGGGGACAUACCAUGUUGUACCUGGGGGAAGAAUAUUUUAGGAGGAUGGAAAUGCAAGGACAGUGGCCUCAUAUUAGUGUCCUAGGGUUACCAUAACAAAGUGCCACAAACUGGGUAGCUUCAAUCAUAGAAAUGUAUUAUCUCUGCGUUCUGAAGGCAAAAAGUCCAAAAUCCAGGUGUUUGCAGGAUUAGUUCCUUCUGAGAGCCGUGAAGGAAGGAUCUAUUCCAAGACCUUCUCCUAGCUUCUACUGGUUUGCUGGCAUUCUUUGGCUUAUAGAUAUCUCACUUCCAACCCUGCCUUCACUUUCACAUGGCAUUCUCCCUGUGUGCAUGGCACUGUGUCCAAAUGACCCCUUUUUAUAAAGAGACCGGUCUUAUUGGAUUAGCAUCCACUCUUAAUGACCUUAAUUUAAAUUGAUUACUUAUAGAAACACCUUAUCUCCAAAUAAGAUCACAUUCUUAUGUGGUACUGGGUGUUAGGAUUCCAGCAUCAGUUCUGAGGGGUUGGGAGGACACAAUUCAACCCAUAACAGAUCCAAAAUCAGGAAUCGGUCAGGCAGAAUAACUGAAAGGAGGUCAUGUGACUAAGGAAGAAUAAAUAUUGGGAGAUGAGAUCAAAGAGAUAACGGGGCCCAGAUUGGGUAGGGCCUUUAGGUUAUGGGAAGAAUAUUGGAUUUCCUCUUUGUGAAAUGGGAAGCUAUCAGAGUAUUGGGGCAAAGGAACAACAUCAUCUGCCUUACAUCUUUCUCAGAUCAUAAUAACUGAUGUGUCGGGUAGGCUGAAAGGGGCAAGGGAAAACAAAGGGACCCAGUUAGAAGGUGACUCAGGAGGAAGGAAUAAUGGGAGUUGGGGCGGUGUCACCAUCACAAAGUUGGUGAGAAAUGAUCAUAUUCUGGAUAUAAGAGUUAGCUGAUGAAUCUGAUGAGGGACUAGGCAACCAGGAUGAUUGUAGGUUUUGAAGCCUGUGCAGUGAAUGGAUAGAUGGAGUUGUCACAGACCUCAGGUUUAGGGGAAUAUAUCAAGAGCUCAGAUGUGGACAUAUCAGACUUGGGAUGCCUAUUGGAUAUCAAAGGGGAGAUGUCAAGCACACAGUUGGAUAUGCAAAUCUGUAGUUCCAGAAGCAGUUUAGACUGCAGAUAUAAAUUUAGAAGUCAUCAGUACGUGAAUGAUACUUAAAGACAUGUAACACAGGGAUGUCAUUAGUGGUAAGUUACCUUCUCUGAGUUUUUUUAUGCAAACUAAGAAUCAUAACCCUUCCCUCACAGCAUUACAGUGAGGAUCAACCAGAAUCUAAAUGCAAGGGAUUCAUAGAAAGGGCUUUCAAUAAAUGCCUGUGACAUGAGUUGAAUUUUAAGUUAAUGCAAUCUGGAUGAUGUCCUGAAUUUUUGUCUCUUGCUGCCCCUUCUAAUGGCUGGAUUUGGUUCCCAAUCCCCUUGAGAUAGGUAUAUAUUGCUCAAGAGAAGCUCGUGCUCCCUGUAGAUGGACAUAGCAGCCUCAUAAUCCUUGUCCAUCCAGGGUUCAGCAGUGGUUCAACGAAAGUGUGCACUGGUGUGCAGAGGGUUAAUCCUACGCCAAUGGGGAUGUGCAAACCAGGAGCCAUUCUAAAUCUCAAUACCACAUGCUGCCUUAGGGAUCAUCAUGUACUAAAGCCCAAGAUAAAAAGGCCUGACAAAGAUUAUUGACGGUUUACCUUUUAAUGAGCAGCUGGGAUUGAUUCUCUUCCCCUCUGGGAUAGCUUUCUCUGUCCUUCUUCCACCAGAGAGGCCACGGGGAACAACAACAACAAAAAAUACAAAUCUCCAAUUUGAAUAAUUGCAAGGAACUGCUUUCUAGCAAAUAAAGUUUUCAUGGGUGAGAAACGGCUCACAGCUUUAAAAAUAUAUAUUUAGAAUUGUUAUGAUUAUCAUGAUUAUUAUCAAGCUCUCCUGGUACACUGGAUAUUUUCAAAGAGGCUGGUUGCCUCUAAUUGGAUAUUCCUUGCAAUUUCCCUCUGGGUAGGUCAACAGUGUUAACUCUUAAUCAUCCAAGGCAAUUAAAUGCAUGUGGAUCUAACCUAUGCACCAAAGGCUGCUGAAUUGUUAAUACAGUUAUAAUGGUAGAGCCAGACAUAAGGGUGCUGGCAACCAGUGUGUGAGCUCUUGCAUAUCUGUCUUGGAAAACGGAAACCAGAGACAUCUGCACGUGGUGCUGGGCAACAGAUCUUGGGAUACUGACCCGCAGCACAUCCCAGUGUGUUUCUCUCUGGAUCUAAUUCCUCCUCUUGCUGAGAGCCAGAGCUCCAUUUGGGCCACUGAGUUCUUCGCUGAGUUUAGAAUGAAGCCUUCAGGUCACGCUUGGGGUGGAUAUGAUGGUUACUAGACACAGCCAAGAGGAGGAAGAAUCAAAGGGGGGCGGGGUGGGGGAAGGCACUUCAAAUUAAGCUUUUCAACAAUUUGAAUAUGUUGCCAUAAGAAAAAAAUGAUGAACUUGUAUGCCAGCUAUACUACCCACCCAACCUUGAAUCUUUCUCCGUCUCUAAUCUCCAUCUUUGCACCCCCACGCCUGAUCCAUUGCAGAAAUGAGAUGGAGAUAUCUGUACUGCCUGUUUCUUGAUAAUUAUUUUCUAUGACCUCAAACAGGGUAGGAUAGUGGUUUCAGACUUUUUAUUGGGACCCCCAUAAGAAAUGUACUUUACAUGUCAACUCCAUAUAUAAAUACACAUACCUGAAGCAAAGUUUUGUAGAAUAAUAAUUAGCCCUUUUUAUAUGCAGUAAUAGAAUCUGUCCUAUACUAUUGUUGAAGAGAGUUGGCCAUGAUAACUUCAUUUCAUAGCCUACUGAUGAGUUGCAAUGCAUACAUAGUUUGAAAAACACUGAGCUAGAGGUAGAAACAAGGAGGUCUCUGGCGUUUGGGUCUCAAGAUCAGUGAAGAUGUGAAUAGAGUAGCCUGCCUCAAGAGAAAAUAGAGCUAAGCCAAGUGAGAGACUCAUAUUUUUCUUCAGCCUUUUCCAAGAUAGAGUCCUAGUCCAGAGACAAAGUCAAAAAAAAGCUGACACUGAAGGGGUAGUGGGAUUUCACUGUGGGCUGGUAAUGGUGCUUUGGCUCUACCUCUGUGGUCCUGACCUUCCCAGAUUGCCUAACAACAGUUUGGGGGAAUUUUUAGAUUGUAGGUUUUGUUUUGUUUUGUUUUGUUUUGUUUUGUUUUUAACACAUUUUAGAGAAUUAAAUUAUACUAACAGUGGUUUAUUUCCUACAUCUGGGGGCUCCCGGGUGACUCAGUUGGUUAAGGAGGAAAAGAACGUAAGAGAAGGAGGUCAGAAUCUUUAUUUCAUUGGCUCCCUCCUUCCUAGGCUACAGGUUGCUACCUGCUGUGUUCCUCUGCCUAAGGCCACAGCCCCCACAGGGGAGUCCACUCCUGUAGUUAGAGCCACUGCCGCAGUCCUCUCCAGGUUAUGGCGGCUGCCACCUUCCUCUGUCCUUGAGGUUUAUGGGUGUAGUUCACUGCAACUUACAAAGAAUAAUGUAGCACCCUUGUAAAUGAUGUCUUCUCUAAUCUCUCCUCAGUCACCCAUCUGUGCCAUCAAUUUCACGUUGAGUCUAGUGGCUUAGACAUUCCUUCAGGAAGGAUGUACUACCCAGCUGUGUAGAAUGAGGUCAGCAGGCAACCUCCAGCUAUCAGCUCCUCUAGCGCCUGCCUCAGCUGCAGAGACCACCUUGUCCAGGCCAUGCUCUUCCUGGAAACUCUCAUCUGGUAACAGUGAAGCAAGCAAGCAGGCAUAGAGAGGCCAGGCGAUGUAGACCCAAUGUGGGAUUAUCUUGACAGACAAUAUUCACUCUAGAGCUCCCCAUCAGUUAAACUUCCUCCCCUGCUCAAUCCUGUUCUUUGCUCUUCCUUUUGGUCUCUCUUAAAAAUCUUAUACCCUGUCUUUGUAUACUCCUCCAGAAAACCCCACCUGUAAAAGGAAACUGACACCAAGGUUAUAGAAGGGCCUGUAGUGGAAGUAGGGAUAUCUCCCUAUUCUUUCUACCAAAAAGACGAGAGCAAAAUAAGUAGCAGCCUCAACUACAUUUCCCAUCUGAUCUCCCACUCUUGGGCCUAAGGCAGAGGAAGGUGUGCACAGAGUUGGAGAUUCCACCUUAGGAAUGUACAUUUCAGUGAAUGUUGAAAUGUUAAGGUUUUUUUCCCUGUUUUUACCCCAUGGCUUGAUUUCUACUAAAGCCCAGUGUCCCUGGUUUGUUCAAGAAUGAAUUCAAAGAGCCAGCUCAAAUCAUUAUCUGAGCCAGAAAGGUGUGUGCCAUAGUAGUCUCAACUUGUGACAGGUGAUAAAUACUUUUGGAACAUUCCCAGACCUCCAUUCUGAAGAAGAAGGGAACCCUUUCCUGGGUAUGUCAGACACGGGGCUCACCCCUGAGUGAUACAGCUCCUUCGUCCUAUUUAGCACAGAGGCUUAGCAUAGUUAAAGAGGUAACACAGCUAUGAAAGACUUUAUCUGCUUUCCUUCUCUAAAAGGUCAUUCCAGGGGUAACUAAGUGGCUCAUGAAGUUUAGCAUCCAACUUCAGCUCAGGUCAUGAUCUCACAGUUCAUGAAUCCAAGCCCCACAUUGGGCUCUGUGCUGGCUGUGCAGAGCCUGCUUGGGAUUCUCUCUCUCUCCCCCCCCCUUUCUCUGCCUUUCUCCCACUUGCUCUCUCUCUUUCUUUCUCUCACUCAAAAUAAAUAAAUAAACUUUAAAAAAAUAAGAGUUCAUUCCAAAUGCAAAUAUAUUUUCCCUUUUUUUAUGACACUAAACUGUAUUCUGCAGGAUUUGUGAAUUUCCCCUUUGUCAACAGGAAAAGUAUGAGAAAAAGGGGAGACUCAAGGAUCCCAACCCGUCUUUCUGCCCCUCCUCAGUUUAAUCAGCAUCUCUACCUUCACUUUCUAUACAUAGCUGUGGCUAACCCAGUCCAUGAUCUUAUAGAUGAGAAAUCAAAGACCAGAAAAAUAACUUGCCCAAGUUGUCCAACAAUUUAUAUCAGAGCCAGGAAUAAAAGCAGGUCUUCCUACUCUCUCCAUUCCUUAUAACCCACUGUGAUAUUUUCUUACAGGUUUACCCAUUAAAAUACAGCAGCAUAUGCAGACACAAACGAGUAGAAAGUGUAGAGGAAUUCCCUGUCUUCAUGAUAGAGAGAUUGGGGGUUGCAUUUUGAUAUGUGUGGGGUCUCCUGAUCCUAUUUAAAAUCAUAUUCUAGAAUCACCACUUUAUCUGUAGGAAUAUGAUUUAUGCCCCUUUGCACUUCUAGCAUCAAUUUCAGACCUGGCAUAGAAUAGCUUCUCAGUAAAUGCAUGUCUGUGGGUGAAUAAAUGAAUGAACAGAUGAAUUUGUGAAAAUCCUUAAAACCAGCUCAGAGCUAAGACAUUGUCCUAUUUUAAGGGUGGUUCUUUUCUCAGCCAAGAAAAGAGCCAAAUUAUACUGCUGGCAGGCCACUGGAUCUGAUGAAAAGGGGUUGGGGUGGGGAUGAAAAUUCAAUGUAGGUUGCCAUUAAUACAAGUAAUCAUGCGAUGUGAUGUAUUUCUUCCUGAGACUGUAGCUUAAAUCCCAAUUACCUUCUGGUGACAAAUGAACUCACUGAGUAAUUCAUUUUGACUGUUGGAGCUCCCACCUUCUGUGUUACCAUUGCAUGGAGAAGGUGUAUGACAAAUUCCAGAUUUAAUUUUAGUGCUUGGGAGCCCAAGUGGCACAAUUACCAGAUCAAGAGUGAUGGCAGAAUAUUAACGGGAAGAGUUCAUGUGAAGCUGAGUUAUAUGUAAGAAUGCUGAAACUCGGACCCUUGCAAGCAAUGUGGAGCUCCAACUGGUCCAGGUACUGGACCUUAGGAUAUUCUCUUCUCUGACUUUAUCCUGAUUUCUCCCAUUCAAAGGGCUUCUCUGACUCCUGCUGAUUGUAUCUCCAGCAUAGGUCUUGACUUCCUCCCUUUGUCCCAUUCCUCACCACCUUUCAUUUGAUUGUUCAAGGCAGUAUGGGUAAUGAUUAAGAGCACAGAUGUUAUGGUCCAUUGAUAAGAGUUCAAACCAUGCCUCUGCCUUGCCCUCCUUAUGUAACUUUGGCCAAGCUACUUAGAUACUAAUAUAGAUUUGUUCCUGCAUAUUAAGCAUGAUAAUACAAAUAAAAUAUGUGGCAAUUAGGAAAUACACAAUUGAUUGCAGUUUUUCUACUAGUAUUAGUAUCCCAAUCUGGCUUCUAUUUACUGUUCUGUCACUCUCCUAUCUGGGACCAGCACCAUUAGCUGUAAAGGUCCAGCUAGUAAAAAUUUCAGGCUUUGCCGGCUAUACGGUGUCUGAUGUAAUUACUUAAUUCUGCCACUGCAGAAAAAGUAGCCAUAGACAAUAAGUAAAUAAACGAACGUGGCUAUGUUCCAAUAAAGCUUUAUUUAUGAACUCUGAGAUUUGAAUUUCAUAUAAUUUUCACAUGUCAUGAAAUACUAUUCUUCUGAUUUAUUUUCAACCAUCUAAAAAUGUAAAAACCAUUCUUAGCUCGCAGACUAAACAGAUGGCAGGCUAGAUUUGGUGGGGCGGGGGGGCUGUAGCUUGCCGACCCAGGUUCCAUUAUAUUGUCUUCUCCAUGGUCAGCUUCAUAUUCCCGAAAGACACCUCAGAGUUUAUUUUCUCUUUUCAAAACCUUCAGUGGGUCUACAUUGCCUAAAAUCAAAACUGCUUCAUCUGGCCCUGAAAGCACUUUGAGGUCAUUGGUGGUGGCCCUGGUAGCUUGCCGUCACAUCCCAACCCUCUCAGUUUGCCAUUCCCAGAGUCUCCCCAGGUGUUUAUGUCACAUUCCUAAGAGUUAUACUCUUUCCAAAAGGCUCUGGGAAGAAGCUGUUGUGAUAGCAGCCCAUCUCUCUAGAAUAAAGGAGCCUACUCACAGCCGUAGGGUCUGAGGAUACUGAGGAAAUCCUUCCCUACCUGCUUUAAUAACUGCUUCCCCCAGCUUGUUCCACUAUACCAACUUUCCAUUUAUUAAAUCUCUCCUCAUCCUCAUGAAGACCCUCUGAUGAAAAUAUAUCCCCAUUUUGCAGUCAAGGAAAGUUAGUCACAGGGCGGUUAUGUAUCUGGCCCAAAGUCACACAGCUAGUAUGUAGUAGAUCCAGGACUUGAAUCUGGACAUUGAAAGCAGAGGAGUUCAUCCUCUUAAUCAUUACAUUACAUUGAAUAUUUUCUUGCGUGACAGCUGGUGACCUUCCGAGAAGAGCUUCUUCAAAUGACAGAAAUAAACAUUCCAUUAUGUGCAUGAAUGUGUAUAGGCAUAUGUAAUACCUUCCCUUGAAGUUAAAUUUCCCCUUUUUGUCAAAUGCAAUGAUAACAGGAGGAACAUAAGAUACCUUAUUUACAAUUGCAAAACCAUGCUGUUCCUUAAUCCUCACAGACAGUCUUGAAAGUGAGCCCAGACAUGGAAGAAAUGCUGCCUUAAAUGUAUACUAAUCCACAGUGAAGGACUGAUCGUAUUAAAACAGUUCCCAUCUCCCUGUAUUAGCAUCAUCAGAGGACACGUUUUAGGCAGAAAGGGAAAAGCUGCUAAAAUGAAUUAGUUGCCUCAUUUUUCCAGCAGAGAGAGGUGAGACCACAUGAAUGUAAUGUGCCACGAUGUGAAAUGCCCAACUUCCUUUAACAAGACUAAUUCGAGCUGGGUCGGCAUGUUGGUGGGGGAGGUGCAAGGUGCUUACACCUCUCCCCUGGACCUUGAGACCUCUGAGAAGACCUCUUUAGUGGAGCAGGCAGAAGAAGCAAAAUGCCUGAGGCUGGCUGUCUUUGGCUCUCUGACCGCUGACCAAGCAGGUGGCUGGGUCUAGUGGAUAACUCCCCACAGACCACACGUCCUGCACCUUCACUCUCCACACAGGUUUGCCUUUAACUUGCUGUGUGAUUUUGAGCCAGUCACCUCAGCUCUCCACUUGAUUGUCCUCAGCAAUGACAUGAACAUCACCAUCAGUACUUUGUUGGCUUUCCACUUGUCUGCAGACCCACAGUGGUUAAGACCUUGGAACUGUGAAGGCAAGCUGUUUGGACUUCAAUAUUAGAUCACUUGCUCAGCUCUAAGUGACUUGGGGCCAACUACUUAGCCUCCUUGUGCCUUUGUUCUCACCUGCCUAAUGGGAAUGCUUACCUCACAUGAUGUUAUAGUGACCUAAGCCACAUGAUGCUCUUACUACACUUCCUGGCACAUGCUAAGCACACAGUAAAUAUUGAUGGUAAUUACCAUAGUCUCCUGUGAGCCUAUAACUGAGCCUAUAAUAAAUAAUAUGUGUGUGACUCUUUAUAAUUUUCCAUACAAACCAAUCCCAUUUAAUCUUCAUGAAAUCCACAUGCAAUGUUAUACGUAUGGUUAUUUCCAGUCCAGAUAACGAAUCUGAGAGUCAGAAGGGUUACAUAACACAUCCCAGGCUAUAGAAACUGUUAUUGUAUGGUUUUGACUUGCACAAAACACUAUUUCCUGUGUUCGUUCUAUAGUUUAUAGACUGUAACCUUUCAUGUACAUGUAAAGAAUGAUUAGUCUCACAGAAGAAUCAAGGAUCUCCAGAUUGCAACCUCUUUUGGUAUCUGUAGGUUUUCUCAUAUUUGCUUUUACAUUAAGUUAAAAAUGUUUUGAGGUUUGCAACUAAAUAAAGGUGAAGGUAGUAUUGUCUGAAGAUAUAUACAUCUGUUUGAGCCCAACUACAUUAAAGGUGAAAAGAGGAAAAACCUUAUGAAUCUCCUGGUUUGCAAAGUGGGAUUAUACAGCAAGACAAUAGGCUUGUAAACCAGGCUGUUGGUUUCAGAGAGAAAUCCCCAAAUGCCUUCUUGUCUGCUUUUACUUUAUCUAGGGCUGAGAGGACCCAGUUCUUAACAUAUGAUAGGAAAGACACAGAAGUAGCUGAUCAUUGGUAGGAGGCUUUAACUCAGGAGGUUUAAAGGAAAAGCCAUUCUCUAACCUGGGGAGUUUGUUUGGAAGGAACAAAGAGAGAAAUGGAGUGGGCAGAUAUACUCUGAUGUUCCUCCCCGCAAGCCAAAAGCACAAUCUGCACUGGAUAAAUGUGGGUAAUAUUAAGUGAAUGGCUUCUGUUCUUAUUAAUUACUUUGGACUCUUAGAAACCUCUUAAGCUACCCUACGCUCUACACCGGGGCACAGUGUGGUUAGGCAGAGAGAUGCAGAAGGUGAGGUAGAAUGCUGGUUGCUGGGCUUAGCAGACAUGGAACCCCACCUUAAGCUGGGUAGGGAUGACUGAUCAGUGGGCCAGAUGCAGAAAAUGACAGAGACAUGGGGGUCUGUAGCCUGUGGGAACUGAGGGCAAGGCAACCAGGCUUAGACCAAGCUGCAGGAGGGAAUGAGCUAUGAUUCACAUGGCCCACCAGAGCAGAAAGGCAAGCAGAACCAAGCAAUCAAGUGUCACAGCCUCAGAGACCAAAACAGGCAGAUGUUGUUAUGCCCAACGGUUCCACUUCUGCUUUGCUUUCUCAAGGGCUUCUUGUCCAUGGCCUCCCCUGUCCACCAUGCAUCUCCAGACACUAUAAUAAUGGAGGAACACAAGACGGAAGACACCAUUCAUGAAAUGAAGCGUUAUUAUUAUUUUUUAAAUAAGAUUCACUGGGAACCAUGUAAAAGGGCUUAAAUUAUUGGAUUGUAAUGAAUUCAAACUGAGUUGGACAUUUAGCUUCACUUAGAUUUUAUUUUUCCUGCCACCUGUCAUGAGAGUUUGAGAACCCAUAUUGGGCUUAUUAAAAAAUAAAUAAGUUACAUUUAAUCUGCACAUGUGAAUUUUAAAGUGAGUUCAUUUCGCCACAAACAUAGAUAUAUAUUAAGAUACCUUAUUUUAAACAGCUCUUUAUAGAUUUAAAACACUGUAUAUAUUGACAUGUGAUUCUCAUACUAUUUGUGUGACUUUGGCAGGUCAUGGAUUGUUUUCCCCCUUAUACUCAUUAAGAAACUGAGAAUUAGAGAAAACAGACUAACUUCCCAGGAUUAAAGCUAUGUGUGGUAAGAAAGGAUAGGACUUAAAUUAGUAUUCUGAAUCUGAAGCCAGCAUUUUCCCCACUAUAUCAUUUGCUAAACUACCUGUGCAUGGUACAUAUAGCCAAACAUUAUGUUUCCUGAGUGGUUAUAUUGUGAAGAGUAUACAUAAAAGAAAAAGUCAUUCAGAAUAUGUGUAAGGGAAAAGCCAUCCAGGGUGUUUGUUUAGGUGUCUGAAAUAACAGAAUCCUAAAAAUGAGUAAAAUGAUUUAAGCAUAUUGAAUGUUUACUUUUAUUUUAAGCACUAUGUUAGGUAUGUGGAUUACAGAAAUCAACAAGAAUUAUCCCUUUACUUAAUGAUCUUACAGUCUAUUCUAUAAAGUAGUUCCCAGUGUUACCAAAGUUCAGUGAACAAUAGUGAUGUCUAGCUUUGAGUGAAUGUAUUUGAAGAGAAAAUAGCAGAUUGUUUAAAUUUAUGGGUUUUAAAGUCAGAACACUGGAUUUGAAUCCCACUCACAUGAUCAACUAACUUUAGUUGAACAUUGAGGGAGAUUAAUUCAUAUCUUUACACUUACUUUUUUCUAUUAGUAAAAUAUGGGUGUAACAUUAAUAUUUCUUCAGCAUCUUUGAAGGAUUUAUAUAUUUUUAAAGUUUAUUUAUUUAUUUGAGAGAGAAAUAGCACAAGCGGGGAAGAGGCAGAGAGAGAGAGGGAGAGAGAAUCCCAAGCAGGCUUCCCGCUAGAAACACAGAGCCCAAGGUGGGGUUUGGACUCAUGAAACCCUGGGAUCCUGACCUGAGCCAAAACCGAGAGCCCCAUGCUUGGCUGACUGAGCCACCUAGGUGCCCUCGAAGUAUUUAACUACAUAAUCUAGGUAAAACUCUUAGAAUAAUACCCGAUAUAUUUUAAUAAGUAAUGUUUAGCCUAAUUAUUAAUAAAUACUAUUGUGUUCUGUUUUGGAUAUAUUUUUGUCCAAAUAUCUAUUAAUAGAAAAGUAAAGAUAUAAAAAAAUAAAUAAAAAAAUAAAAAUGAGGAAAAUAUAGCAGAAAUGUAUAAUUGUGCUUCUUCGGUAUUUAAUAUCCUCCUGUGACCUAUCCUUUUCCUGUGUAUUUAUCUUUAUUCCACUUUGUCUAGAAACCCCUCUCCUUGAAGUUGUUACCCCUACAUUCUGGGAAAGUCCUUAAUCCAGCACUUUCCAAAACACGUGUUAGGGAACACAAGCUCCCUGGGAUAUAAAUAGGUGUAACAAGGGAAAAGAGUUCUAAUGGCCAAAUAAAUUUGGAAAACACUGGGUUAAUCAAAUUAAAUAGACCUCUUUACAAACAACUUUUUUAGAACCUUUGAUGUUGUAAAUACUGUCUAUGACUACUUGAGAAGUAUAAAAUAUGGUACAUUUCCCACCUUAUUCGACCGUUUGACUGUUUUUGUCAUUGGUCUUCUAUAUUACUGUGUUCUUUAAAGCACAUGUUAACACUGCCACCUUAAUCAAUAACUCUGAUGGAUGGGAGAGAGUCAAGCUAUGACAUGGGUCAUUCCACUGACCAUUAGGGUUGAUUCAGCUGACUGGAUGGAUGGAUGGUUACAUCCCGGUGCUACAUGCUUCAGCACACAGUGCAAUCUUCCCAUGAGGACCAUUAUUAGGUCAAGUGACUAUGGUCCACUAAGAUCUUGAUUUCUGUUUGAGCACUACUUGCCAUAAUCCAAUAUCUGUGGCCAUGAGUUAUGAUGGGAAGAAACCAGGUCUGGGUGAGAACCAUGUCAUGGAAAUAAACCUCAUCUAUUAAAGCAACAAAUAUUUGGGGCGCCUGGGUGGCGCAGUCGGUUAAGCGUCCGACUUCAGCCAGGUCACGAUCUCGCGGUCCGUGAGUUCGAGCCCCGCGUCGGGCUCUGGGCUGAUGGCUCAGAGCCUGGAGCAUGUUUCCGAUUCUGUGUCUCCCUGUCUCUCUGCCCCUCCCCCGUUCGUGCUCUGUCUCUCUCUGUCCCAAAAAAUAGAUAAACGUUGAAAAAAAAAUUUAAAAAAAAAAAAAAGCAACAAAUAUUUUUGAACACCUACUAUGAGGCAGACAUUGUGCUGUGUGCUGAGGAUGCAGUGACAAAUAAAGCAUAUUCAUUCUGUAAGGGCAUCCAAUCUGGGAGGGGAGGGAAGAUUAGGAAACGACACGGCGUAGACACUAAAGUAGUAACCCGAUGUGAUAUUAUAUAAGAAGUGUAGGCUUCAGUACAAUGAGGCACAGGGCAAGGUGUGCCCUGGUCUGUUCAAAAGGAUCAGGGAACACUUUGAAGAAGUAGUGAUGCCAAGGCUGGGGCUUCGUAGAAUGGGUAGUGUUUUUGCCUAGUGAAAAUAUACCAUAUCCCAAGAAAAGAGAAGAGCACGUGAGAGGAACUAGAAUUCAACACGUACAAGAGGGCCCAUCUUACAUACGGAAUAUAGUAGCAGGCUUCUUCUAGGCAGAGGAAUGGUUCAAGGUAGAUCCAUCACAUGGGUAAAGUCAUGCGUAUCAGGACCCCAGCCUAGAACCACAAUUUAAGCCAUGCUCUAGUCUUGUCAGGGUAUCUAAAACUAAUCCUAACACCAAAACCAAUGCUGAGCCUCAUCAACUAAGCAAAUGCUCCACGGAUUCAGAAAUGGACUACUGGCUAUGGGAUGACUGAGGGCUGGACAACUCAUUUCAGAGGCCUCCUCCUCCUGGGGACUGAGCCCUCUUGCUAAAUGCCUAAUGGUUUACAACUAUUAUGUCAUUUAGUCCUUAUCAACACUUGAAGUAGUUUCCCUAUCGUUUUAUAUAAAAGGAAGCUGAGGCUUUGAGGCAUAGCAGAACUUGGUCAAGUAUACAUAGACAGUUAGUAGGCAAGCCAGGGCAGACCCUGUUCUGUCCAACUCCAAAGUCUGAUACAGUUCAGUGACCAUGCUACAGUGGUUCUUGUUCUAACUUCCUGCCUCUCUGCAGCCUUGGUCAGUGUUGGCCAAAGGACUGCUGGGACUGAGACUCCCUUAGAGUUCCUUGAUGCCAGCCACGCAGAACUGGGACAAAUCGUGGCCCACUGUGUCUACUGGCAAUGGCACUCAAGGCUCACUUGCCUCAUUGUCAUGGCCUUCUAUUCACUUCCAUGCUCAUCCUUUGUGAAUGUCAUCAGGUUCCUAUGAUAGCUUUCUCUAAAGAACUCGAUACAUCAUGAAAAAAUUAUCUCAGUCCCCAGCCAUUCAUAUGAAGCAGGAAUCAUUUCUAGUCCUUUAUUUCCAGGUAUCCAAGAUAAAGUAUAGCAAGGUCACUUCACAAACCCGGGGACUCCAGGAUCCCCAUCUAGGAAGAAUAUCCUGUUCAUUUAAUUUCUUUUCCUUCUUGAGGCUCUGCAUCUUCUUCUAUACCUUAGGGCCCUAGCCUAGCCAUUUAUAUGGAUCACUAAGAUUGCUUAAUUAUCCAUCGGUGAAUUCCUACCAAAUACCACUCAAUUCAGAUUGUGGCCCUAAGGGCUGACUGUAGGUAAGACUCUUUCCUACUCAGAGCCUCAAGUUCCUCAUUUAUUAAGUGAGGGUAUUAGCUUUGUGAUCUUGAAAAUCCUAUUUGGCAAUGUAAUUCAUAUCCAUUUUAUAGAUGAUGGAAUUAAAAAUCAUGAGGUUAAUGAUUCAAAUAGUAAAUUUCAGAACUGGAAUACUUAGCCAGCUGGCAAUGAUUUAUUUUCAAAGACAUUAGCUGUUUAAAAUAUUUAUUGAGCAUCUAUUAUGUACAAGGCACUGUGUUGGGCACCAGGGAUACAUAAGUAAAAAGGAAUCCUCCUGCUCUCUAGACAAGUAUUUAUUUAUUGGAGGAGAGAGAUAUAUUAAAAAAUUCCAACAUGGUGUGAGAUGAGUUACAGGAAAAGUAUGAAUGAGGUUUCAAGAGAGAAGAAAGAGUUGUUACUGUUAUGCCCAGAAUUCGUGAUCCCCAAAGACCACUAGGGAGCCGAGUCCGAUGCAAAAGCAUAGAGCCUUUAUUCGAGCUAGCUCGAGCUCAAUCCCCUACCUGCACCGACGCAGCAGUGAGAUACCAGGGAAAGAGAGCGAGUUUCAAAAGGACAAAGGUUUUAUUGGGGCCUGGGGGCAGUUGGUGAGGUAAUGGCUAUGGCCUCAGCCGAUUGGCUGGGGAAGGGUCCUGGGGAAGGGUCCGAGUCCUGUUAGGCAGGUGAGGGGGGGUUUACUCAAGGGGAGGAGGUGUGGUCAAGGUGAAGGACACGGAACAGGAUGGAGUCGGCCGGCGUAGGCCCACCCUUUCAGUUACCUAAAUCAGGUACCUAAGAAAGCUUACAGCAAAGGUGGCACCUCAUCUGGGAAGGGAGAGUUGACCUGUGAGUUAAUGAAAUUGACCUAUGACCAGGUGCUCUUUGGUAACAUGUAGAAAAAGGCGACCUUGUUUUUGCUGUUUUGGAAUCUAAAAACUUCAGCAAAUAGUCAUAGUAUCUAUUCAAUGGAAGAAGAACAUAAAGAGUUCAGACAAAGUAGAAAGAGAACAUCUUCAGAGAUAGGGUAAUAUAUACCUGGAAUGCUUGCCUGCCAUCUAGCAACAAAUAUUGCUGGCAUAAAAAUAAAUACAUGUCUCUGACAAGAACAAGGGGAAAUAAAAGGAAAUGUCAUUGAUAAUAACAGGAACCUGCACAUUGUCCAAGCUAUCCACAAAGCCUGAUGAGAUUAGAAUGAUUUUAAGAGACAAACUCAAAUUGAUAAGGGAACACCAAGAUGAGAAUAGAGAGGGAGUUGACAGUAGGGACAGAGAUAAAUAACCUGUUUUUCAAGUACGUGUCCAAUAAGUCCUCGAAGGAAGGGUUGGCAGGGCCUCAGAGACUUGCCCAGUGUAAUUUAUUGACAGGGAAAAGUAGACAUUCCUUUAAAAAAUUAAUUAUUUGUCUUGGUGACUAGUAACAGGAGAGGUUGCGGAAUGAAUUCUGGGAGUGAACAUAAAUACCUUCUAGAGGGGAGAGAGUAGCAGUUGGAAGAAAUAAAGGUGAAUCCUGACAAGAAGAAGUUGAUUAAGAAGUAAGCGCGCUCAGAGAUUGAGAGAGUGGUCAACCCUGGAGUGAUUGAUUGGCGGGUCUCACAAAGGCACGUUCUCAGUUGGAUGUCUGAGCAUCCCUGGACAUUCAGUGGUGGGUUGGAGAUGUAUCAAUAUGGGUUAGGAGCCUAGGUCUCAGGCACUCAGUGAGCUGCUUCCCUUUUGAUGUACAAGAGGCUGAGAAUGAGAGUCUGUUGAAAACGAAGUACAUGCUCGGCAAUGUGGUAGAUGCUUUACAUACAUUGUCUCAUUAUUUUCUCAUCAUCCCCUGUAAGGUAGGUAUGAUUAUAAGAAAUCUGAGGGUCAGAUAGGUUAAAUAACCUGUCCACGUUCACAUGCUAAGUAGCAGAUCCAGAAUUUGAAAUACAGUCUGUCUGAUUGUAAAAUCAAUAUACAUUUCUCAGGGUGCCUGGGUGGCUCAGUUGGUUGAGCAUCCAACUCUUGAUUUUAGCCCUGGUCAUAACCUUAUGGUCGUGAGAUUGAGCCCUGCUUUGAGCUCUGUGCCGAGCAUGGAGCCUGCUCAAGAUUCUCUCUCCCUUUCUCUGUCCCUCCCUCUAAGUGCCUGAACUCUCUCUCUCAAAAAUAAAAUAAACUAAAAUAAAUAUACUCUUUUCACUCAGUGAAAUACUCCUAUACUUUUUGUUUCCAUAGUGAAUAUGUCAAGGCUAGUAGGUGGUAGGAGCUCACAUAACGGUAACUAGUAAAAAACAGAAGUAGGAAUAUCAAGAGGAGGGUGGGGGGUGUCUGUGUAAAUGGAUCAUAACACCUGUGUGACUGAAAGGGAAGUUGUGAGAAACAAGAUAAUAUAUGGUAAAUUCUGUCAUAGGGUCAGCAGCCUAAUAGCUGUUCAAACACUAAGAGGUCCUUCUUUGGUACUGGACACCUUGUAUCAUACUUUUCUGUAUGUGUUCUAUAUGUUUGAACAUCUCUAACAGGGUACCUGAGGGUACAGAUUUGCCUCCUUCUUGUCUGUAUUUCUCAUUGGACUUUGCACGUAAAGGACUGUGGUCAAGAUUUAUUGAAUGUGGACAAGUACAAAUGAAUGCAUAUUAGAAAUACAUAGUGUAAAAAUUCCAUCUUUGUCUUUGCAAUUACUAAUGCCAUUAAUAUUAUUAUUUUCCUUAUUCCGAUUAACAUAUCUACCAUGCUUUAAAUACAUACACACGUGUGUGUGUGUGUGUGUGUGUGUGUGUGUGUGUGUAAAAUAUCGCUUACCAGGUGCUUUAUAUAGAUAUAUAACCAGUUUACUGAGGAAUCCAAACUCAGUGAUGUAUAAACAUGAUUUUCCCCCAUUUACUGCUUACAACAUAUUAUAAAAUCUCCUUUCUCAUUCCUUAAUGAUUUCAUGGGCAGAAUCCAUAACCUUCCAAUCAUUUUCUGGAGUUAAUGUUCAUCCUGAACAUUGUGACUUGGGAAACUUGGUAGGAGAAAGGUGCGUGGGGCUAGUUCUGGGAUACUUCUCCCUCCCUUCCCCGUGCUCAUUUCCUCUGAUGUCGGGGGCUGGAGGGGCAAACAUUACUUUCUUACCAACCCAUGGUAACUAUCCUUCCCUACUAGUUGGUUGUUGCUGCUUCCAUGAGGACCCUCACUGUCCUUCAUUGUCCUCUGUAAGGUAUGGAUGCAAAAGCUGGGUAUAUGUAGGGUUCUUGAGAGGCUGCAGUCCAGUAGACCCAGAACCAUUUGACCUCUGCCACCUCAUGUGUCAUAGACCACACCAAAGCCUCUUGUUGCUGGGACCCUGAUGAAUAAUCAAGACCACUCAAGACUAGCCAACUUCUGUCACCUUUGACCCCCAGAACAUCAUUCAUCCUUUCCAGGGCAAACCUUGGGAGUCAGGGCUGAUGUGGGGUCACUCCCAUUUUCUCCUCACCGUUUCUCCCUGGUUCUCUUGUCACAUGGGCACAGGAAGCAGCUCGGCCAGUCUACUGUAUGAGUAGCUAUCUAAACAGGAAAUGUCUGGGUUUCCCUCUUGUAGGCAACAGUCUCCGUGAGGGAUCUCCUCAGCACAUUAUCUCCCUUGCCUUGAGGGCAGGCAGGUGGUGGCUCAGGAGGUGAAGAAAAAGCCCUCUGCACCAGGAUGUCUGCCCUUCCAAGGCCUCCGGUGACUUCUUCCUCAGCACUGCUCCCCUCCCCCGAAUUUGUUUUGCUUUGUUUGUUGUAAACGAAGGAGGGGAGAAAGGUAGAAGUGGUUUCAGGGGAGGGGGGACAGCAAAGUCAGUUUUGCUGUUUUGUAAUAAGUCCUAAGGGAGAUGACUGGCCUUGGUUGUUGAUGGCAGCUCCUAGAUGUAGAUUCUUUUGUCACAGCUUUGAGUUCUAGCUGCCGAUUCUGAGGCAAAAUGAAGAGUCUCAGUCUAUCAAUCUACACCUGGUUACACACUUUUAACAUACGUGUGUGUACCCUGUGAGGUAAAAUUCAUCAUCUUCCUUUCAGUUAGGAAAACCAGGCUCAGAGAAGAUAAAGCAAGUUGUCCCAAAUUACACACAGUAAAUGGCAGAGUUGGCUUCAAAGUGGGUCAGCCUGAUUCCAGAAUCCACCCAGAGUACCGGAGCGAUGCUCUCUUAAGCAGAGGCAGGAAAUAGUGGGAAGAGGUUUGGGUGGGGAGACAUAGAUCCUUUCAUUCCCCUUUUGGGUGCAUAACUGGAGAAAAAAGUGAGAGGGAAUCAUGGAAGGAGUCAGAGAGACUAGCUCUCCAGGUAGACUGCUCCCAUCUGGCAAGGAGUCCGCUAGACAAUGGCAAUGACACAGUGGCCCCUGGGACCUAACCAUUAGAGCAGGGCCUGAAAACAAAGGGCCCCAUUUCCUCUGGUGCUACUGUUUCAAAGACUUUCAGACAUAGCAGGGCAACGUGACUACAUCUGGUGACAGUCAUCAGCUGAAUGGGAAAGGCCCAAGUGACCAACACUGGGGACUGAUGUGUUUUUAAGGGGCAAAUGGCCCACAGCACAAGUCUAGUCCUGGGACCGAGCACAGAACGUCUCCUCCUAUAUUACAUUAGUUAGCAUAGUGGUUCUCAAAGUAGAGUUCCCAGCCAUCAAUCUCCACAUCACCUGGGUUUUGUGGAGUACAGAUGCAAAAUCUUGCCUCCUCCCUGUCCCUAGACCUAAAUGAGAAUCAGAAACUCCAGGGCUGAAGCCAAGCAAUCUGUUUCACCAAGCUCUACAGGUGAUUCUCUCUCAUUAGGUUUAACCCAGGUUUACUGCAAUAUAAUUGUCACACAGAAAACAGUUUGCCUUCUUAGAUGUAAAAUUUGAAUAGGUAUGAUAAAUAGGUCCAGUUCAAGCACCAAAAUAAAUAUGUAAAAUAUUGCCAUCACCCUCAAAAAUUCCCUCCUGCUCCUUUGUAGUCACUAUACUCUCCCCAACCUCCAAUCCCUGGCAACCGCUGAUCUGAUUUCUGUCCCUUAAGUUUUGCCUUUUGUAGAGCGUUGUGUAAAUGGAAUCAUACAGUAGGCAGUCUUUUAUGUUAGCUUCUUUGACUUCACAUAAUGCUUUUGAAAGUAUCGAUGUUGUUGCACAUAUUAGCAGCUCACUCCUUAUUGCUGAAUGGUGUUCCACUGUGUGAAUGUACCUAAAUUUUUUUUUAAUUCAUUCCCCAGGUAAUAGACCCCUUGUUGUUUCCAGUGUGGGGCUUCUAUGAAUAAAGCUACUACACAUAUUCAUGUACAAGUGUUUUUGUGGACAUUUAUUUUCAUUUCCCAUGGGUAUAUAGCUAAGAGUGGGGUUGCUAGAUCAUCAAGUAAGUAUAUGUUAGCUUCAUAAGAAACUGCUAAACUGUUUUCCAAAGUGAAUGUAACGUUCGCAUCCAACCAGUGAUACAGUAAAUAAUACCUUUACUUGAUCCCCAUUCUCUCCAUCCCUUGGUAUAAUCAGUUGUUUUGGUUUUUUGUUAACAAAACCAUUCUAAUAGUUGUCUAGUGGUAUCUAAUUACAGUUUUUUAUUUCCCUCAUGAUAAAUUAUGUGGAGCAUCUUUUCUUAUGAUGAUUUGUCAUUUACAUCCCUUCUUUGAUAAAGCAUUUAUUUAAACUUUUCCCCAUUUUAAAAAUUGUCUUCUUAUUGAGUUGUGAGAAGUCUUUGUAUGUUAUGCAUACAAGUCCUUUAAAAGAUACGUGUUUUGUAAAUAUUUUCUCCCAAUGCAGUUUAUCUUUUAUAGUUUUUUUUGUCUUUUAUAGUCUUAAUAGUUUUUUGAAGAACUGAAGUUUUUAAUUUUGAUGCAGUUCAAUUUAUAGAUUUUGUCUUUUACAGUUCAUACUUUCUGCGUCCUUCAUAAGCAUUUUUUCCCCAACCUAUGAUUGCACAGAUUUUCUACUGUUUUCUUCUAGAGAUUUUACAAUUCUAGAUUUUCUUUUUUUUAUUUUUUAAAAAAAAAUUUUUUUUCAACAUUUAUUUAUUUUUGGGACAGAGAGAGACAGAGCAUGAACGGGGGAGGGGCAGAGAGAGAGGGAGACACAGAAUCGGAAACAGGCUCCAGGCUCUGAGCCAUCAGCCCAGAGCCCGACGCGGGGCUCGAACUCACGGACCGCGAGAUCGUGACCUGGCUGAAGUCGGACGCUUAACCGACUGUGCCACCCAGGCGCCCUGACAAUUCUAGAUUUUCAAAUUAAUGUUUACAUAUGGUAUGAGGGGCUUUUUUAGUUUGCAUAGGAACAUCUAACGGUUCUGGCACCAUUUGUUUAGAAGACUUUUCUCCAUUAAACCACCAUUGCACCUACUUAGUAAAUCAGUUGACUGUAUAUGUGCACACCUAUUUUGGACCCUCUAUUCUGUAUCAUUGGUGUAUUUUCCUACCUUUAUAGCAAUAGACCCUGUCUUGAUUGCUGUUGUUGUACAGUAAGUCUUGAAAUCAGAUAGUCUAAGUCCUCCGAUUUUGUUCUUCUCUUUCAAAAUUAUUUUAGUCAUGAUAGGUCUUUACACUUCCAUAUAAAUUUUGUAAUUAACUUGUCAAUUUCUUUUAAAAGUACCUACUAGAAUUUUGAUUGAAAUCACAUUGAAUCUUUCGAUCAAUUUGGAGAUUAUUGAUUUGUUAAUAAUAGUGCGUUUUCCAGUUCACGGACAUAGUUUAUCUUUCCAUUUGUUUAGGUCUUUUCUAAUUUCUAUCGUUAAUUCUUUUUAUGAUAGCAGGAUCUGAAUUUGCAUUAUCUUGUUAGAGUUAUCCCGAGGUAUUUCUUUUUUUUUUUUUUUUCUUAAUGCUAUUGUGGAGGAUUAGCUAUUGAAAAAAAAAAAAAAAACAGUAAUGGUAUUUUAUCCAUAAUGCUCCUUCCAGGAUCCAACCAUGCCCAGCAGUGGUUAAGGUGGGAUCUUUGCUAUCAAACAAAACUAUGUCUAAAUCCAGGAUCACCAUUCUGAAAAAGCAUGUGUUAAAGAGCCCACAUUCUAGUGUCAGUCAACCUGGUUUUAAAGCCUCCCUCUACCACUUACUAACUUUAUAACCGUGCAUUCUCCAGAGUUCAGUUUCUUCACCGAUAAAAUGGGCAUAAUAAUAAUAUCUAUCUCCGAGGGUUGUUAAAAGAUUAGAUAAACAGUGUAAAUCAAUGUUAAGCAUAUAGACAUAACUCAAAACAUGCUAGGUUUUAUUAUUUCUUCCUAGCUGUGUGACCUUGGGCAAGCUAACUUCAAAAAACUCCAUAUCCACAUUUAUAAAUUAGAGAUAAUAAUAGUAUUAAUAGGGUUGUAUUGAGGAUUAAAUUAAAGUAAAACAUUGAAAUUACAGAACGCAGUGCCUGGCAUAUAGUAAGCCCUUAUUAAUACUAGCUACUAAUAGCACAUAUCUUGACAUGAAGCAAAUGAAUAUUAAAAAAUACUCUGGGCUAAUGGCUCAGAGCCUGGAGCCUGUUUCCGAUUCUGUGUCUCCCUCUCUCUCUGCCCCUCCCCCGUUCAUGCUCUGUCUCUCUCUGUCCCAAAAAUAAAUAAACGUAGAAAAAAAAAAUUUAAAAAAAAGGGGUGCCUGGGUGGCGCAGUCGGUUAAGCGUCCAACUUCAGCCAGGUCACGAUCUCGCGGUCCGGGAGUUCGAGCCCCGCGUCAGGCUCUGGGCUGAUGGCUCAGAGCCUGGAGCCUGUUUCCGAUUCUGUGUCUCCCUCUCUCUCUGCCCCUCCCCCGUUCAUGCUCUGUCUCUCUCUAUCCCAAAAAUAAAUAAACGUAGAAAAAAAAAAUUUAAAAAAAAGGGGUGCCUGGGUGGCGCAGUCGGUUAAGCGUCCAACUUCAGCCAGGUCACGAUCUCGCGGUCCGUGAGUUCGAGCCCCGCGUCGGGCUCUGGGCUGACGGCUCGGAGCCUGGAGCCUGNUGCUCCUUCCAGGAUCCAACCAUGCCCAGCAGUGGUUAAGGUGGGAUCUUUGCUAUCAAACAAAACUAUGUCUAAAUCCAGGAUCACCAUUCUGAAAAAGCAUGUGUUAAAGAGCCCACAUUCUAGUGUCAGUCAACCUGGUUUUAAAGCCUCCCUCUACCACUUACUAACUUUAUAACCGUGCAUUCUCCAGAGUUCAGUUUCUUCACCGAUAAAAUGGGCAUAAUAAUAAUAUCUAUCUCCGAGGGUUGUUAAAAGAUUAGAUAAACAGUGUAAAUCAAUGUUAAGCAUAUAGACAUAACUCAAAACAUGCUAGGUUUUAUUAUUUCUUCCUAGCUGUGUGACCUUGGGCAAGCUAACUUCAAAAAACUCCAUAUCCACAUUUAUAAAUUAGAGAUAAUAAUAGUAUUAAUAGGGUUGUAUUGAGGAUUAAAUUAAAGUAAAACAUUGAAAUUACAGAACGCAGUGCCUGGCAUAUAGUAAGCCCUUAUUAAUACUAGCUACUAAUAGCACAUAUCUUGACAUGAAGCAAAUGAAUAUUAAAAAAUACUCUGGGCUAAUGGCUCAGAGCCUGGAGCCUGUUUCCGAUUCUGUGUCUCCCUCUCUCUCUGCCCCUCCCCCGUUCAUGCUCUGUCUCUCUCUAUCCCAAAAAUAAAUAAACGUAGAAAAAAAAAAUUUAAAAAAUAAAACAGCUUCUGAACAAUGAAGACUAACCUUGGAGAAAAGCUUGUAGGGAAAGUUCAAAAGUUAUAGAAGUAGCUGCUAGAAUAUUUAGAUGAUGCACAGACUGACUUAUUGAAAACUGGUCCUUUUCAACCAUUCAUGCUAAAUGGUUUUCUGUGGCCAUCCAAAGAACUACUCCUCCCCCUACGUUGCUUCUAAACUCAUUGCAGAUAGUGGUGUUCAAGCUUCAAACUAAAAUCAAUCUAUUUAUUGUAGUGACUUCUAGUUACAUACACCCAAUUACCACUGUCAUUAAGAAAGCAGUAGCUGCCGAUACUGAGUAGAAAUGUGACAUUAAGCAUUCAAUGCUUGUUGUCCAAAGUAUGUCCUCCUUACCUAGGAAAAUUAAAAAACACUCACGAUAAUACCUUUUGUCUUUAACUCUUUGCCUACUUCCUAAACAAAACAACUUUACGAACUAACUAAUUUUGCACAAGAUAGGGAUGUGUGGUUUUAAAAGAUAUUAAGUACUGAUUGAGCAUUUUAGUUAUAGCAUAAUAUUGGCAUAGAUGGUAACAUAAUCUCUAGAGAAAUUAGCCAGUUCGAUGCUCUAGGCAUGUAUUAAGUAUGUUUGCAUGGAUCUAAGCACCCUGGUUAAUAUGGGAAAUCAUAAAUCAAUGAUUUACGGAAAUAGUGGCUCGAGAUUUAAGCCAUCAGUUUGAAUGCCUAGCUCUGCUAUGAGAUUUAUAAACUUGUGUGUCUCUAGCCAAGUCCUCUGCCCUGUCUUUUCAUGUUCUUCACCUGUAAAAUAUUGGGCUGGUGUAAUGAGGUUGAUUAGAACUUAAUGAUUCAGGUUUUAUUCUCUGGUUUUAAGAUGCAUUAUCUGCCUCCAAACUUGUUGCAUUGUAGUUGGAAACAAGGGAGUCCUCCUGAAAAGGCAAAUAAUUGUCCUAAAUACUCUUUGACUAAGAAUGAAAUUAAUAACCUCCAAGGUAGUAAAAGUCAACAUUAUUGGAGAUAUGAAUUAAACGAGCAUUGUAGAAUAUUUUCUCAGCUGUAAAAUAGGUUUAAUUAUAAUUGCUUUGCAGUGUGUAGAAUUAGUGAGUUAAUGUUUUUUUGGACUCCCAGAAUAUUAGAAGUACAAUAAAAGUUACUUGCUUUCCCCACUGAACCUAUUGUCUAUUUAAAUCUCCCAAGAUAUUUUAUCUUGAUAUAAUAAGGAAAACUGUGCCCUGAAGACAUUUGAAUCAUAAGUCUGCCCCAGGACGGGACAGAUCAGUUUUACUAUCUUCAAGGGACCAAAUUAUCUGAUAUUUUUUUUUUAAUUUUUUUAAUGUUUAUUUAUUUUUGAGACAGGGAGAGACAGCAUGAACGGGGGAGGGUCAGAGAGAGAGGGAGACACAGAAUCUGAAACAGGCUCCAGGCUCUGAGCUGUCAGCACAGAGCCCGACGCGGGGCUCGAACUCACAUACCGCGAGAUCGUGACCUGGCUGAAGUCAGACGCUUAACCGACUGCGCCACCCAGGCGCCCCAUUAUCUGAUAUUUUUAAUACAUUUACAUUUUGCCCAGUUUUACCAGCACUGAAUCAUUUGUGCAUUUUCUUCCUCAGUUCUUUUAAGCAGAUCUAAGGACCCAGCUUUAUAACUGUACCAUAUUGGGGUCUGGUAAAACAACAACAACAACUUUGGAAUCAUAUUGCCCUGUGUUUGUAUCUCUUCUCUGCGACUUACACAACUGUAUGAUUUAGGUAAACUGCUAAUUUUCUGGGAGCUUCAGUUUCUUCGUCUGUAAAAUGGGAAUAUCCUCACUUCAUAGAGUUUUGGUUUUUGUUUUCGAGAUUUGAAAGAGACCAAAUAGGUAAAACCUUCAGCAGAAUGCCAAGCCUAUAACCAACUAAUAUGUAUUGUUAGGUACACUUUCACACCAUAGCAAAGUGGCAGUGGGCAUUCAUCAGAUCUCAUUCCAUUGACUCUAAUAUUGAACUCUACAAAUAGCUUAAAUUGAAGUAGCCUAAAUGAAGCACCUUAUUUUUAAAAAAAAUUUAAUGUUUUAUUUAUUUUUGAGAAAGAGAGAGAGAGAUGGAGAGAGAGAGCGGGGGAGGGGCAGAGAGCGAGAGAGAGAGAGAGGGAGGCACAGAAUCCAAAGCAGGCUCCAGGCUUUGAGCUGUCAGUACAGAGCCCAGUGCGGGGCUUGAACUCACAAACCACAAGAUCAUGACCUGAGCUGAAGUCAGAUGCUUCACCGACUGAGCCACCCAGGCGUCCCAAUGGAGCACCUUAUUUUAUCUCCAACCCUAUAGAAUAUGGUUAUUCUAUAGCUGUCUUACAGAAAAUUAUUCAGCAGUAACAUUAAGUCCGUAAUAUGAGAUAUGUUAUAAGGGAAGUUGGAAACAUAAUUAGGCACAGGCACCUGGGUGGCUCAGCUGGUUAAGUAUCCAACUCUUGAUUUUCACUCAGGUCAUAAUCUCAUGGUUUGUGGGGUCAGGCCCUGCCUGGGACUCUGCUGACAGCACAGAGGCUGCUGGGAUUCUCUCUCUGUCCCUCCCCUGCUCUUGGAUGCAUGCAUGCACUCUCUCUCUCCCAAAAUAAAUAAACAAACAAACAAACAAACAAACAAACAUUUUUUAAAAAGAACACAUAAUUAGGCAGGGAAAAAUGUAUAUAUACUGUGAUACCAAAUAUAUGAAAUAUGUAUAGAACAAAAGGUUGGAAAGAAACAAGGCAGAAGCUUUAAAGUGGGUGGUUGUGAGAAUAUGAUGAUAUUUUUCUGUUUUCUUCUUUUCAAAAUAUGGACAACUUUUAUACCUUUAAAAUAUGGGUAAUUUUUUUUCUUUUUGUAUUUUCCACUUCUCAAAAUUUCCUAUUUUUUUAGACAGUGGACAUAUGUUAAACAAAUUACGAAAUAGAAAGCCACAUCUACUUGAAUGCAUAGGAAAGAAGAAAUCUAUGUAUAUCAAUUGUUAAAGAAAUUUUGUACAUAGUAAAAAAUUGCUAAGAUUAUACCCCUCUCUGACAGGACUAUGGUACUUAAUAAUCAUUUUUAGUUUGGUGAGUAUCAAAUUUUCUCAUAAUCUAUUUCAAUUAUCUUUCUUGCCUUUCCACCUUGGCCUUCUCCUUGGUAUAACUUUAAUUUAAAUACCUCUGCCGUGUGUGCACCAGAUCACUCUGUUAACAGUGUAUGAGGAAUACAACUAGCCUAUUAUUGACAUAAUGUGUAUGUAUUUUUUAAUUUGAAACGUGGAAACGCCAGGUGUUCAGAAUCCCUACAACUCCAAUUUUGGUUCUUGCAAUAGAUACUCAGUUUGAAGCCAUGGCCUCCCACUAUGACCUCCAGGGGACUAUCUAGCAGUGUGCACUCCUCAGGUCUAAAGAUGGCUUAAUUAGGCAUGAUUAUUUUCUUCCUUAAAGUAUCAUUCUUCUAUUUUAGCAUUAGUCAUUGGUAAGCACGGUGGAGAGAUCAGAACCGUAAGAAAAUUAGGAAAUGGCUUUGAGGGUCUCAGACCCCUCUUCUUGGGGCAAAGUGGCACACAGUCUCCACAGUUAAACAAAGUUAAACUUCUCAAUAAAAUUUUGGCAUUCAGACAGAAAAAAUUUUCUCUCUUCCCCAAACACAGAGCAUAUAGUGUCUACUCAAUAAAUAUUGGUGAGUUUAAAUUUUAUCAACAGGCUUUUAAAAUGUUAACACUGUUAAGAAUUUUUAUAAAGGAGAUGGAAUGAUUUGGAAAAACAGAAAUCAUAUUUUAUUAUCAUUCUUGGGGCACCUGGGUGGCUCAGUCGGUUAAGCAUCCAAGUGCAGCUCAGGUCAUGAUCUUGUUGUUUGUGGGUUCGAGCCCUGCGUCGGGAUCUCUGUUGACAGCUCAGAGCCUGGAGCCUGCUUUGGAUUCUGUGUGUCUCUCUCUCUCUGCCCCUCCCCUGGUCAUGCUUUCCCUCUCUUUCUCUCUCACUCUCUCUCUCUUUCUCUAUCUCUCUCAAAAAUAAAUAAACAUUAAAAAAAUUAAAAUGUUGAUCUUUCUUUUGCUAGCAAACAACAACAAAAACAGACAAGGUCUCUAUGAUGGAUUUUCAUGGCACUUAAAAUAACCCUUAACUUUGGCCUAAAAACCUUAUGUGAAUUGGUCCCUCCCAACCCACCUCUCUGUGUUUACCUCAUAACACUGCUACCCUCUUUUGUUUUGCUCCCAACACAUAUUUUGUGAUAAAUAUACUGGUUCUUACCUCUGAGUUUUUGCAGUUGAUGAUCCCUGUGCAUGGAAUGCUUUUCUGUUCUUUUUAUCUCCCUGGCAAAUUCUUGUUUAGGUCUUAUUGUCUCCUCAGAGAGGACUUUCCUGAUGGACAUAUGCGAAGUUAUUCUCCUUAGUCACUGAUCUCAUCACUGUUUUAUUCUUUCAUAGAAUUGUUCUCUAUCUGAAAUAUCUUUUUUUUUAUAUUUGUUCCCAUAUUUAUUCUCAUCAAAAGAAAAACUCACUGUAGGCAGGGGCUUUCUUGUCUUCUACUACUGAUUCUCUCCUCCUGUAGAAUAUCUGUGGAAGGAAGGCAAAGAAGGAAGGAGGGAGGGAAGGAGUUUAAAUCAACUCAUCCUUACAACUAUCCUAUGUGGUACAAUCCAUAAUCUCAAUUUUACAGAUGAAUAAACUGAGGUAAGGGAAAGUUAUUUCUUUAUAUAGUCAUCACAACUAGUGAAUGGAAUAACUGGGAUUCUAAAUAGAAUCUUCUCGGAUUCAAGAACGGCUCUUUAUCCUAAAAGAACAUUCCGGAACGUCUACUCCAACCGUGUUAGAAUAACUAUUACCAGAUUUACCCUUGCAUUGUAAACAACUAGAAAACUAGACAAAGUACAUAAAAUAGUUGAUUUUAGGAGAGGGAUAACAGGAAGCUCAGAAAUGUGAUCCCUAAUAUCAAGGAAACAGCCAAGGUGAAAACUGCUUGUUCUUGCUUUCUGCCUAGAGGUACUUUCUGAAUUGCAGCAGGCGGAAGGAGAAAUCAAGCAUAGCAGGGCAAAAUGGAGAUGAGGAGGUUAUGAUCAGAAUUCAGUGAAACUGAAGGUGUCUUAAAGUAACAGGACAGAGAGCCAGAGAAGAGGUGGGCAUGUAGAAGAGCUCCAAAAAUAUGCAUAUGGGUCCCCUUUAGGCUGUUUACUGAAUACAGACCUAUGAAUGUGGAGGGUACACCCCUACUCAGCUAAGCAAAGAAUAACUAGCAAGUUGUAAACCAAACUAUUCCCAGAGCUGACCAGGGAAUUUGAGUUCUGAGCAUCAAGAGUAGAGAGAUACCAACACCCAGGAAAUUCCUUAGACACCCAAGAAGGAUCACGCCUUAGUGGUUGAGCUAAACACGUUCUAGAGUAAUGGCUACUCUAGACCUGCCACGACAGAGCUUAAAAACAAGCCUUGAAAUGAUCAGGCUGAUCCACAAGUAAUUGCCAAAAUGAACUUUGACACUCUUUAAAGGAAGACAACAAAAUCAAGAAAGUCAAAAACCAGAAACGUUUAUAAUAGCCAACAUCUAAGAAACAAAACAACAACAACAAACAAACAAAACUUAUAAGACAUGUGAAAAAGCAAGAAAAUGUGACCUACAAUUAGAAAAUAUAAAGUUAGGGGGCACCAGGUGGCUUAGUCGGUAAAGCGUCCAACUUAAGCUCAGGUCAUGGUUUGUGAGUUCGAGCCCCACGUCAGGCUCUAUGCUGACAGCUCAAAGCCUGGAGCCUGCUUUGGAUCUGUGUCUCCCUCUCUCUCUGCCCCUCCCCUGCUUGCUCUCUCUCUCUCUCUCUCUCUCUCUCAAAAAUAAACAAAAAUUAAAAUAAAUAAAUUUUUUUAAAAAAGAAAGAAAAAAUAAAGUUAGUAAAUAAACACAUAAGAAAUGGCAGGCAUGAUGGAAUUAAUAAACAAGGACUUAAAAAUAGCUAUUAUAAUAGCUUGUCUUUUAAAGAAAACAUUGAACAUGAGAAAGAAGAAUGAAAAAAUAUAUAAAUAUAUUUAAGACUUGAUCUAAUAUAUGUAAUUAUAUGUAUACAUAUGUAUAUAUAACUAUAUGCAUAUAAUAUUAUAUGUAUAUAUGUAUACACAUCAAAUAGAACUUCAUUUUUUAUAAUUUUUUCAAUGUUUAAUUGUUUUUGAAAGAGAGAGAGAGAGAGACAGAGUGUGAGCAGGGAGGGGCACAGAGAGAGGGAGACACAGAAUCCAAAACAGGCUCCAGGCUCUGAGCUGUCAGCACAGAGCCUGAUGCAGGGCUCAAACUAACGAACCAUGAGAUCAUGACCUGAGCUGCACUUGGAUGCUUAACCGACUGAGCUACCCAGGCCCCCCUCAAAUAGAACUUAUAGAGUUGAAAAAUUAUGAUAUCUGAAAUUUAAAAUUCACUGAAAAGGCAUAACAUUAAACACUAUUAAAGAAGAGAUAAGGGAAUUUUAAGACAUAGCAGUAGAAAUUACCCAAAAGGAAACACAAGAGAAAAAAUACCUAAAUAAAUUUCAGUAACAGAAACAGUGGGGCAAUAUUCAGUGACUUAUAUACAUACAAUUAGAAUCUCAGAAGGGGAGAGAGAGAGAGAGCAGAAAAAUUAUUUGAGGAAAUAAUGGAUGGAUUUUUUUCAGGUUGGCUGUAAACUCACAGAGAAAAGAAACUAAAUGAAAAUUAAGCAAGAUAAACAAAAAUAAAACUGGACCAGGACACAUCACAGUCAGAUAUCUCAAAAACAGUGAUAAAAUGAAUAUCUUAAAAGAAGCCUGAGGAAAGGCACACAUUAAAUAUAGAGGGGUGGAAGAAAAAGAAAUUCACUGAACUACAUUAAAUGUAACUAAUAUAAGUGUAAGUAAAAAGGUAGAGAUUAUCACACUGGGUUAAAACUAAAGCCUAAGUACAUACUGUCUACAAGAAACUCACUUUCUUUUUAAAAAAAUUUUUUUAAUGUUUAUUUAUUUCUGAGACAGAGAGAGACAGAGCAUGAACGGGGGAUGGUCAGAGAGAGGGAGACACAGAAUCGGAAACAGGCUCCAGGCUCUGAGCUGUCAGCCCAGAGCCCGACGCAGGGCUCGAACUCAGUCUGCGAGAUCAUGACCUGGGCUGAAGUCGGACGCUCAACCAACUGAGCCACCCAGGCGCCCCUAUUUAUUUUUUUUUUAACAUUUGUUUAUUUUUGAGAGAGAGAGAGACAGACAGAAUGCAAGCAGGGGAGGGGCAGAGAGACGGAGACACAGGAUCCAAAGCAAGCUCCAGGCUCCAAGCUGUCAGCACAGAACCUGACACGGGACUCGAACUCACGGACCGGACCGCGAGAUCAUGACCUGAGCUGAAGUCGGAGGCUUAACCAACUGAACCACCCAGGCGCCCUGAAACUCACUUUCAAUAUAUAGACACAAAUGAGGUCUAAGUAAAUAAUGAGAAUAUUCAGAUCAUAACAAAACUGGAGAAGCUAUAUUAAUGCCAGAAAGAGUAGGUUUCAGGACAAGAAACAUUGCCAGGGAUAACGAUGAACAUUGCGUGAUGAUAAAAGGGUCAAGAAUAUAUAACCAACCUACACAUUUACACCCAUAACAACAGAGCUUCAAAAUACAUGAAGCAAAAACUGAAAUUAAUAAAACCACUGAAAUUAAUAAAAAAAUUAAUAAAAAUUAGUUAGAGAUUACAACCCUCCUCUCUCAAUAAUUUAUACUGACAUUUUAUAAAACUCAAAUCCAACAGCAGCAGAUUACACAUUCUUUCCAAGUUCUCGUCAAACAUUAAUCAAAAUAGGCAAGAAGUUAGAUGUAUCAGCAAAUUGUUUGCAAUAAAAAAGUUAGCAACAUUUAUAGAAGAAAUGCAAAGUUGAUUAACCCAUUAUGUAUUAAAGGUUGCAGGAUUCAAAUUCAGUAUUCAAAAACUUAACUGUAUUUCUGUAUAAACAGUGAAAUAAAAAAUACUUUUCUUAACUACAAAACCGCCAGGACUGUGCAACAAAAACUACAAAGCAUUGCUGAAAGAAAUUUUAAAACACUCAAACAAAUGAGGAGCUUUACCAUGUUGCAGGAUUAGAAAACUCAAAAUUUAUUGAAGUAUAAUUGACAAAAAAAAAGUCUUAUUAGUUUCAUUUGUACAUCAGAGUGAUUUAGCAUUUUUAUACAUUAUGAAAUGGGGCGCCUGGCUGGCUCAGUCAGAAAAGCAUGCAACUCUUGAUCUCGGGGUUGUGAGUUUGAGUCCCACGUUGGGUGAAGAGAUUAUUUAAAAAGAAAAUCUUUAAAAAAAAAGAAAUGAAAUGAACUCCACCAUAAGUCGUCCAUAUUCCCUAUGCUAUAUACCUCCAUGUCUUAUUUAUUUUAUAACUUGAACUUUGUACCUUUUAAUCUCCUUUACCUGUUUCGCUUGCUACCCUCCCCCUCCCCUUCUGGUAACCACCAGUUUGUUUCCUUCAUCUAUUAGUCUGUUUCUGUUUUGUUUGUUUGUUUUUGCUUUGUUUUGUUUUAGAUUACAAAUGUAAGUGAAAUCUCAUGGUAUCUGUCUUUCUCUGACGUUUCACUUAGCAUAAUACCCUUUUGGUCCAUCUAUGUUGUUGCAAAUGGCAAGAUUAUAUUCUUUUUAUGGCUGAGUAAUACUCCUGUGCGUGUGUGUGUGUGUGUGUGUGUGUGUGUGUGUGUAUCACUUCUUUAUUCAUGAAUGUGUCAAUGAGCACUUAGAUUUCUCCCAUUUCUUAGCUAUUGUAAAUAAUGCUAUAAUAAACAUAGAAGUGCAUGUAUCUCUUUGAAUUAGUGUUUUCCUUCAGAUGGAUACACAGAAGUGGAAUUGCUGGAUUGUGUGGUGUUUCUAUUUUACAUUUUUUGAGGAACGUGUAUGCUGUUUUCCACAGUGGCUGCACCAGUUUGCAUUCCCACCAACAAUAUAUGAGAGUUCCUGUUUCUCCAUGUUCUUACCAACACUUGCUAUUUCUUGUCUUUUUCAUACUAGCCAUUCCAAGUGAUGUGAGGUGAUAUCUCAUUGUGGUGUUGAUUUGCAGUCCCUUGAUACUUAGUGAUGCUGAACAUCUUCUCAUGUGCCUAUUGUCCAUGUGCAUAUCAUCUUCGGGAAAAUGUCUCCUCAGAUCCCCUGCCCAUUUUUGUUUAUUUUUUUUUUAAGUUUUUUUUUUUUUUCAACGUUUAUUUAUUUUUGGAACAGAGAGAGACAGAGCAUGAAGGGGGGAGGGGCAGAGAGAGAGGGAGACACAGAAUUGGAAACAGGCUCCAGGCUCUGAGCCAUCAGCCCAGAGCCUGACGCGGGGCUCGAACUCACGGACUGCGAGAUUGUGACCUGGCUGAAGUCGGACGCUUAACCGACUGCGCCACCCAGGCGCCCCAUCCCCUGCCCAUUUUUAAAUCAGGCUGGGUUUUUUUUUUAAUAUAUAUUUCGUUGUGUAUGUUUUUAAAUAUAUUUUUGGAUAUAUUUAUUAACCGAUCCCUUAUUGGUUGUAUGAUUUGCAAAUAUCUUCUCUCAUUCAGUAGUUUGCCUUUUUGUUGUGUCGAUGGUUUCCUUCACUGUGAAAAAGUUUUUUAAUUUGAUGUAAUCCUAUUUGUUUAUUUUAGUUUUUGUUGCCUUUGCCUGAGGACACUGGUCAAAAAAAUAUAUAUUGCUAAGACUGAUGUCAAGAAUUUACUCCUUAUGUUUCUUCUGGGAGUUUUACGGCUUUGGAUCUUAUGUUCAAGUUUUAAUCCAUUUUGAAUUUAUUCUUAAUUUUUUAAUGUUUUUAUUUUAUUUUUUAGAGAGAGAGACACACAGUGAGAGCAGGGGAGGGACAGAGAGAGAGAUGGAGACAGAAUCUGAAGCAGGCUCCGGGCUCUGAGCUGUCGCGCAGAGCCCGACAUGGGGCUUGAAUUCACAGACUGCAAGAUCAUGACCUGAGCCGAAGUCAGACACCCAACCGACUGAGCCACCCAGGCACUCCUUGAAUUUAUUUUGAUAUAUGGCACAAGAUAGUGGUCCAGUUUCAUUCUUUUUCAUGUAGGUGUUCAGUUUUUCCAGCACCAUUUAUUGAAGAGACUGUCUUUUUCCCCCUUUUAUAUUCUUGGCCUACUUUGUCAUAGAUUAAUUUACCAUAUAUGUGUGGAUUUAUUUCCAGGACCUAUUGCAUUGACCUGUGUUUCUGUUUUUGUGCCAGUACCAUACUGAUUUCAUUACUAUAGCUUUAGAGUAUAGUUUAAAGUCAAGAUGCAUAAUACCUCUAGCUUUGUUCUUUCUUAAGACUGCAUUAGUUGGGGCGCCUGGGUGGCGCAGUCGGUUAAGCGUCCGACUUCAGCCAGGUCACAAUCUCGCGGUCCGUGAGUUCGAGCCCCGCGUCAGGCUCUGGGCUGAUGGCUCGGAGCCUGGAGCCUGUUUCCGAUUCUGUGUCUCCCUCUCUCUCUGCCCCUCCCCCAUUCAUGCUCUGUCUCUCUCUGUCCCAAAAUAAAUAAAAAACGUUGAAAAAAAAAAUUUUAAAGACUGCGUUAGUUAUUUGAAGUCUUUUGUGGUUUUGUAUAAAUUACAAUUUUUUUUCUAGUUCUGUGAAAAAUGCCGUUGACAUUUUGAUGGGGCUUGUAUUGAAUCUGUAGAUUGCCUUGAGUGGUAUAGACAUUUUAGCAGUAUUAAUCCUCCCGAUCCAUAAGCACAGGAUAUUUUUCCAUUUCUUCAUGUUGUCUUCAAUUUCAUUCAUCAUUGUCUUUCAGUUUUCAGAUCAUAGGUCUUUCAUUUCCUUGGCUAAAUUUAUUCCUAGGUUACAUUUUAUUUUUUGAUGCAAUUAUAAAUAGAAUUGUUUUCUUAAUUUUUUUUUCCGAUAGCUCAUUAUUAGGGUAUAAAAAUGCAACCAAUUUCUGUCUACUAAUUUUGUAGCCUGUGGCUUUACUGAAUUCAUUUAUUAGUUCUAAUAGUGUUUUCGUGGAGACUUUAGGGUUUUCUAUAUAUAGUAUCAUGUCAUCUGCAUAUAGUGACAGUUUUACUCCUUUCUUUCCAAUUUCGAUGCCUGUCAUUUGUUGUUCUUCCUAAUUUCUGUGACUGAAAUCUCAGUAUUUUUAAUGUGUCCAUUCUCUCCCAGUGACCCACUGAUCAAUGCAGUCCCAAGCAAAAUCACAGCAAGCUUUUUUUUAGCACUAAAAUUGACAAGCCUAUUCUAAAAUUUAUAUGAAAAUAUUUUAAAAAACGCCACUAGAAUAGCCAAAACAACAUUGAGAAAGACAGAGUUGGAAGACUUCUAAUACUUUAUUUCAGAACACUGUAAAACUACAGUAGUCAACAUAGAAUAGAAUAGAUACAAGUAUAUUAUUCAAUGGAACAACAGAAAUUCCAGAAAUAGACCCACACAUAUAGAGUAGUGCCCCCCAUCCCCAAUUUCACUUUUCAUUGUUGAAUUACCCACAAUAAACUAUUGUCUGAAACUAGGUGAUCCUCCUCCUGACAUAUUGUUAGAAGGUCAGUAGUAGCCUAAUGGUAUAUCACAGUGUCUACGUCAUUUACCUCACUUUACCUCAUCACACAGGCAUUGUCUUACAUCAUCACCAGAAGAAGACAGGUGAGUGCAGUAUGAUAAGAUAUCUUGAGAGAGGAAGACCACAUUCCCAUAACUUUUUUUACAGUAUGUUUUUAUAAGCGUUCUUUUAAAUUAUUCAUUAGUGUUGUUAAUCUUUUACUGUGUCUAAUUUAUAAACUCUACCUUAGAUAUGUAUGCACGGGGAAAGAGUAUAUAUAGGGUUCAGUACGUCUGUGGUUUCAGGCAUCCACUAGGGGUCUUGGAACAAACCCACCAUAGAUAAUGGGGAAUGACUGCAUGUUUAACCAAAUUUCACCAAAGUUGCUAAAGCAACUCCAUGGAGAAAAAGACUCCUUUUUACCAAAUAGUGACCGAAUAACCGAAUAUUCAUAUGACAAGAAAAGUACUUGAUCCUUGUCUUACACCAUAAACCAAAAUGACUUGAAGUGGAUAAUAGACCCACACAGAAGAGCUGAAACUAUGAAACUUCUAAAGGAAAACAGAUAAGCAAAUACGAUAACCUUCAGGUAGGUAGUGUUCUUUAGGACGCAAAGCAUGAGACAUAAGGAGAAAUAGAUAAAUUUUGCUUCACCAAAAUUAAGAUGUUUGCUCCUGAAAGAUGCUGUUAAGGAAAAGAAAAACCAGAGAAUGAAAGAAAAUAUGCAUAAAGUAAAUAUCAGAUAAAUGACUUGUACUCAGAAGUGUGUAUGUAUGCAUAUAUAUAUAUAUAUAUAUAUAUAUAUAUAUAUAUGUAUACAACUCAAUAACAAGAAGAUAAACAAUCUUACUUUAAAUGGGCCAAAUAUUUGAACAUUUGCUUCACAAAGAAGAUAUAUGAUUAGCCAAUUGGUACAUGUAAAGAUGCUGUUUCAGGUUCCUAGGGCACUUGUAAGUACUGUGAACUGGGUGACUAAAUAGAACAGAAAUUGAUUCUCUCAUGGGUCUCCACACUACAAGUCUGAAAUCAAGGCAUCAGUAGGGCUCUGCUCCUUCUGAAGGCACUGGGGAAGUAGCUGUUCCAUAGCAUUCUUUUAGCUUCAAGUGGUUGUUGGCAACACUUGGCAUUCCUAGACUUGUAGAUACAUCACUCCAUUCUCUGCCUCCAUCUUCACAUGACAUUCUUCUCUGUGUGUGCCAGAGAAGUGUGGCACAGAGUGUAUAUCUACAUGAACUUUUUGGACUGACCAUUGGAUUUACAGCCCACUAAAAUCCAGUUUGACUUUAUCUUAACUUGAUUACAUCUGCAAAGACCUCACUACCAAAUAAGUUCACAUUUAUAAAUACUGGGUGUUAGGUUAGGUCUUUAACGUAUCUUUUUUGGGGGGAAAAUCCAACACGUAACAGAUGCCCACCAUCAUCAGGGAAUUACAAAUUAAAACCACAGUUAGAAUGCCUACUAGAAUGGCUAAUAGUUUUUGAGAAUACUAAGCAUUGGCAUUGUAGAACAAAUAGAAUUCUCAUGCUUUGCUAGCGGGUGGUAGAAUGGUGCAGCCAUUUUGGAAAAUAGCCGAUUUCUUAUAAAGGUAAGUAUGUUAUCACCAUAGGCCCAGAAAUUUCACUCCUAGAUAUCUACCUAAAAGAAAUUAAAACAUACAUCCAGACCCAGACCUGCACGUGAAUAUUCAUAGCAGCUUUAUGCACAAUAACCAAACCUGGAAACAAUUCAAAUAUUCAUUAACAAGUGAAUGGAUAAACAAAUUGUUGUAGGUCUAUACAAGGGAACAACGGCAAUAAAAGGGAAUAAGUUUUGGGUGUAUGUAAGGACUUGGAUGCACCUCCAAAUUAGUAUGGUAAGCGCAAGAAGUCGGAGACUAAACAUUACAUAAUGACUCAAUUUAUGUGACUGUCUAGAAUAAUCUAUAAUGACAAAAAUCAGAUGAUGCUUUUCUUGAGUGGGGAGUGAAGAGGGGAAAUUUUCUGAAAAACAUCUGAAAACAACUUUUGGGAGUUGAUGAAAAUGUUCUAUGUCUUGAUUGUGGUGGUGGCUACAUAAGUGUAUACAUUUGCUAAAACAUAAUGAGUAUACUUAAAAUAGGUUCAUUUUAUUUCAUGUAAAUUAUGUGUCAAUAAACUGAUUUUUUAAAUAUAGCCAUCUGUUACUGGAAUGGAGCUCCUCUGGGAUAACUCCUCUUCUCUAACUCAUAUUUAAGCCAGGCACUUAUGAGAAGUAAAUAGAAUAACACCCACUAACAUCCUGUGCCCGCCCUAUCAUAAAUAGUCAAUCAGAACACGUUCCUGUUUCUGGAAAUUUUAGGACCUAUGACAUAGUGUUAAUGUUUAUAUUUAUAUUUAUUCAGUGGUUGCUAGUUAUUCUAUUUCACAGAUGUGGACAAUUAUACCAUUUUCUGAAUUUUGCUGGUCUUGUAGCUUUCAUAAAUUACAAACUCUUAAUAUAAACUUGAUUGUAGUAUAGUGGAAAGAACUGGUAGGCUUUAGUGCUAAUCAGCUUGUGGUUUAAAUUCUGGCCAGGCCAUUUACCAGCUGGACAGCCUUCAUUCCUUUAUUUAAAAAUGUGUAUUAAGCAAUUGUGAUGUACCACAGGGGAUGUGCAUUAAGGAGAUGUGCUCCUAGCCUCGUGGAGCUUAAAGUCCCCUCCUUCAACUUGUUUUCCUUCUCCAGGUUGCUGGAUUUUACUAUCUGUAAAUUGGGUUGUACUGCCAUUUUUACAAGGUGGUCAUGAGGAUGAAGUGAGCGGACUGAAUAAUCUACUCAAGUUUCCUCUUGCCCUGACUGUGUGUCUUUCCAACUUCUUACUGUGUUCUCCUUCUUUCCUGUCUAUCCUAUCAUGUCCUAUCCUCUCCCAUCAUGAAUUUUUUUCAUUAUUGAAGUACAAUUGACAUGCAAUGCUGUAUUCGUUUUACACGUACAAUAUAUUGAUUCAGCAAUUCUAUACGUUAUUCAGUGCCCCCCACGAUAAGUGUAGUCACCAUCUGUCACCGUACACAUGAUUACAAUAUUAUUGACUAUAUUCCCUAUGCUGGGUUUUUCAUCUCUGUGACUUAUUUAUUUUAUAACUGGAAGUUUGUACCUCUUAAUCCGCUUCACCUAUUUUACCCACCCCCCCUCCACCUCCCCUCUGGCAACCACCAGUUUGCUCUCUGUAUUUAAGAAUCUGUUUGUUUUUGCUUUUUGAUCUUUUGUUUUCUUAGGUUCCCCAUAUAAAUGACAUCGUAUGGUGUUUGUCUUUCUCUGUCUGACUUAUCUGCUUAGUGUAAUACCCUCUAGGUCCAUUCCUGUCACAAAUGGCAAAAAUCUCAGAUUGGCUAAUAUCAAAAACACAAGAAAUAACAAGCAUCAGGGAAGAUUUGGAGAAAAGAUUUGGCAAAGAUUUGCAGAAAAGGUUUGGAGAAACAGUGCUCAUGCACUGUUGGGGGUAAUGCAAAUUGGUGCAACCACUGUGGAAAACAGUAUGGAGGUUCCUCAAAAAAUUGAAAAUAGGAAUGCCAUACGAUCCAGUAAUUCCCUCAUGAAUCUUAUUCAUGUCUCCUUCUAUACUAUAUAACACAUCAAAUUCCAAUGCUUGUUUCUUUUUUUUAAAGAAACGCUAUUUAUUUAUUUAUUUAUCUAUCUAUCUAUCUAUCUAUCUAUUUAUGAAAGUGCGUGAGUGGGGGAGAGAGGCAGGGGGGAGAGAGAGAGAGAGAGAGAGAGAAUCUCUUUUAGUUUUAAAUUUUUUUUUUUUACAUUUAUUUAUUUUUGAGAAAUAGAGUGAGACAAAGCAUGAGCGGGGGAGGGGCAGAGAGAAGGAGAUACAGAAUCUGAAGCAGGCUCCAGCCUCUGAGCAAGUGGUCAGCUCAGAGCCUGAUGCGAGGCUCAAACCCACCAACUGUGAGAUCAUGACCUGAGCCAAAGUCGGAUGCUCAACCAACUGAGCCACCCAGGCACCCCAAGAGAGAGAGAAUAUCUUAAGCGGGUUCCACACUGAGCGUCUAGCCCAAAGCGAGGUUCUAUCCCAUGACUUUGGGAUCAUGACCUGAGCUGAAAUCAAGAGUCAGACAUUCAAUCAACUGUGCCACCCAAGCACCCCCCAAUACUUGUUUCUUUUCUCAGCUAAAAUUAUUUACAUUUCUGAAUGGAUUCAUUCAGCUGUUUUCCUAUUUAAAUUAUUUUAUUGUUAAACUUAUAUUGGAUGAUAUUUAAAAAAAAAAAAAAAGUUCCUGGAGUGAUUUUUGGGUAACCGAAGUUAAGUAGAGUAUUAUAUUCCUUAACAAUACCUGUUUAUAUUUGUAUGGCAUUUUACCUUUACAAAGCUUUUUUGUAUCUAUCAUUUCAUUUAAUAAUCUCAAUGAUCCUGUGAGGUCAGUGGAGGGAUUAUCAUGUCUACUGUCUGGAUUAGUGUACCAAUGCCUAUCUAUAUUAAAAGAGUAUUUAGAGCAGAGACGUAAUUUGAACCUGCUUAUGCUUUUUAUUUGUGUAUGUAUUUAACCACAUUUAUUGGCUAGUGAUUGUAUCCUGGCUAUAGUGUGAUGCUACCCUUAAGAAGUUGAAUGUCUGUGAGGGUGUGCAGCCUGCAAAUGGAGAGCAGUGACAGAGUAUGGAUGCACAUACCAGAUGUAGGUUUUCAGUAAGGAGCCAAGGAUCAGCCUUGUAGGGACAUGUGGAAAGGGGAUUACGAUGUGCCACUUAAACAGAGUAUUGAGGCUCAUCAUGAUUUCCCCAUGUAAAUGAGGAAGGAAAAGGCCUUCCUAAAAUACGCCCAAACAAGAACCCUUAGGAGUCGAUAUUUAAUCUCUACUCUCAUUCAUGCAAAAUAAUUCUUCACUAUGACAAAAGAAAGAAAGAAAGAAAGAAAGAAAGAAAGAAAGAAAGAAAGAAAAAAAGAAAGAAAGAAAGAAAGGAAGGAGAAAUGAAAAGAAUCACAGAGAAGAGUCACAAUCCAGGCCCUCACCAACUAUGCCCCCUUUUCUGGAUAAAAGGAGGAAACAAGACUGGUUUCCUGCAACUAUUUCUUGGGCCACUUUCCCUCAGCCCCUGGCCCUGCUCAGGCUGGACAAAGCCUGUACAGGGAGGUAGGGAGAAUGGUGUUUGUGUUCAUCAGUGUACAUUUCUUGAAACUGGCCACCAGUGAACAAUCAAAUCACCUUGGAAUAUUCUUAAGCUUCCUACAUGUUUGAUUAGUUUUUCCCAGUAGGAAAUGAAAUAAAAGAAGCAGUUAUUAAGAGAGCUUGCUCUCUGCAUGGCCUAAGACUGGCUCCUGGAGUAACAGUGCUCUUCAGAGCAGACAGGAAAGUCAGAGUCAUUGCAGGUGUUUAAUGGAAAGGCUGGAACUGGAUGUGUGUGGUCUUCAUAGUGGAUGGGAGCAGAGGAGGGCGGGAGAAUCUGAGGUCUCUUUUUGGCUGAUCCACAGACUGACUGAUACUCUUGGCUCAAUUUUCCUCUUUGUAAAAGAUUAUCCAUGUGUAAGAUUCUUCCAUGUCUUCAUUCUCUUAGUAGCCCACAGAGCAUGGCCCUCUGCUAGGUGUCCAGCAUGUAAGAGUAAGUUAUAAGUAAGAUUCAGCUCUCUAGAGGAGUUCCUGCUGAAAAUGGGGUGAGCCAACAUAAAGGCUGAGGGUGGGUGAAGGGCACUGUGGGCCUAGAUGAUGGGCCAAAUCAUCAUGGAAGAGGCAGGGAACUGCAUGGGAAUGUGAAAAGGAGAAGCCUGGCUGAUGGUGUGGCCAAAGAGCAAUUUUGGGGGAGAAGAGAAAUAUCUAAGGAAGACCUUUCAUGUUUGGGCAUGAUAUGUGAUAUAAGACCUCUCUUCCAAGACCCCUAUUAAAUAUUAAGUAAAAUUUAUACUGCUCAUUAAUAUUUGGUGAAGUGGAUCAUCUUUGGAAAGAAAGAAAAGAAGUACUGAGACCUGCUUCAUGGUUUAUGUGGGACACAAGAGACAAGACACAGGAAGAAAGUAAGCUGAUAUUUAAAUAUAUAAAUAAAUAAAUACAUAUAUAUUUACAUAUGUGCUUAUAUAUACACACAUAUCUCUGUAACUAAUCAUAUAGAUCACAUAUACAUGUGUAUGCACACUAUCUAUGUAUAUGUGAAUAUAUGGUAUAUAUGUACCUCUUCCUAAAAAAACUUCUCAGAGAACAAAAAGCAAUGUUAUCUGGAUAACAUGUUCUUAGUGAAUGAACGUGAGCUAACACUUAAAUACUUACUAUGUACCACGUCCUUUUCUAGGUACCUUAAAUGUAAUAUGUCUUCUUCAAUCCUUACAAUAACUUCAUCAGGUAGGUACUACAAUUAUCAUCCUUUUGCAGAGGAAGGAGGAAUCUGAGAAACAGAGAAGUUCAGUUAUUUGCCCAAGGACACAUAGCAAGUAAGAAAUAAAGCUGAGCUUUGGAUCCAGGCAGCCUGGAUCUAGGACCUCAACUCUUAACUUCAGUGCCCUUAAAUUACAUAAGAUGUGAUUCACUUGUAAUAGUUUUUGAAUCCUUUGGGGAGCCUUGAGUACUGAUGGAAGAAUCAAGGCAGCUUUGAUUCUCAAGUAGUCAAGUGUGGGGAACAGAAACUCCCUCUCUUCUUGGUGGCUUUAAGUGCAUUGCUCCCUGAAUUCGAUUGUAGAUCCUUAGACAAGAUUUGCUAAUUUGGUUCUUUUAUUCAAUAACUAUUUACUGAGUAGCCACUAUGUGCCACAAAUCCUUUGAUGUUGUAGAAAAAGAAUAGUAAAAAAAAUUAUAAUAAGCAAAAUCCCGGGGUGCCUGGGUGGCUCAGUCAGUUGAGCAUCCGACUUCGUCUCAGGUCAUGAUCUCACAGUGCGUGGGUUUGAGCCCUGCGUCAGGCUCUGUGCUGACAGCUCAGAGCCUGGAGCCUGCUUUGGAUUCUGUGUCUCCCUCUCUCUCUGCCCUCCCCUCCCCCGCUCAAAAAUAAAUAAACAUUAAAAAAUUUUUUUUUAAAUAAGCAAAAUCCCUGUUGUUAUAGAGUUUACAUAAAGACAACAGAAGAGCAUUUUGAUGGUUUAGAGAAUCAUGAUAACUGCCAUAGAGACAAGGGGUGCAUGAGAGUGCAGAGGAGGGAGGGGAGCUGCUAUAAAAUAUAGGUGGUCCAGGGAAGACUUGUUGAAUGGUGACUUUUGAGCAGAGACCUGAGGGAAAUGAAGGAUCAAGCCUGCAGUAUCUGGAAGAAGAACACUGCAGGCAGAGGAAAUGGCAAGUGGAAAAGCCUUGAGGUUCAGUUGAAUUUAACACGUGUGAGGAGGAGGUGGAGACCAGUACGUCCGGAGUAGGCUGAGCUAGAAUCAGAGGGGUAAAAUGGCAGGUGAGAAGUUGAACGAAGACUUUGGUUUUUCACUCUGGGAUAAGUAACCACAGGAGUGCAGAGGCAUGAAGCCAUGGUUUUGUUUUUGUUUUUGUUUUUUGUUUUGUUUUGUUGUCUGCCUUGUCUCUUAAAAAGCUAAUGAUAAAGGGCAAGAGUGGACACAAAUUAUUGUUGCAAAAAUUCAGGCAAGAGAUGAUGGGAGUAGUGUGGGAGGUGGUCAAAAGUUGUUGGGUUACAUUUUGAAGGUAGAGUUAAUCACAUUUGGAAGUUUUCACCCCAUAGGUGAUAUGUAUAGAUGAUAAAACUGGCUAAGAUCACUUCUGGGGGAAGUCUUGGUAGAGAAGGAAAAGUAUUCAUGGAUGGAAGCCUGGGCAUCUCUGACCUUGAGAGAUUGAAGAGACAGGAGGGAUCAACAAAUGAGAACAAGAAGGAGUAGCCAGGGAAGAAAGGAACACUAAGGAGAGGAGCAUGCUGGAAAUCAUGUAAAGAGUGUGCUUCAUGGAGGAGGGUGACCAACUGUGCUGCAUGAUGCUAACAGUCGAUAAAGACCGAGAACAGAGUGGUGGGUUAACAAAAUGGAGGUCACUGGUGACCUUGACGAAAGCUGUUCCUGACUGGAGUAGGUUUAAGAGAAAAAUGAGUUACCCCUGGACAUGUUUUCACAUGAGACUUUGAUCUGAGUGAAAACGGAAUCUGCUUUCACACUCCUCAGAGGCCUGAGUCUUGUCCUGACAAAACCAAGGCUCAGAGGCCCAGGGCUUUAGACAUAGCAAAUAAGAAAGUGAAACCUUUGAACUUGGAAAUAGUAUUAAAGUUGUCAUUGAGGGCUUGAAAUGUUGCAGUCACACAUCUUGCUCCAGGAAACAAAAUGGACCAGUUGUUGGAUUUAUUCUGGUCCUCUGCCUAAGACAACAGCUAAAGAAUCUCCUUUAUAUAUUUAUCCAGGGUCUUUGUCCUCACAUCCUCCCUUGACAAUAAAAUGUAGUGUCCUCCAGAGUCUGGACUCCCUGGGAAAAAAAAAAUAAUUGUAUCUCUCUGUCUCUUUCUCUCUCUCUCUCUCUCUCUCUCUCUCUCUCUGAUGAAAAUUUCUUCAUCAUAAUUCAUAGUUGGUGGAGCAUGCUCUAAACGCCGGGUGUGGGUAGUGUGAGUGUUGAGUCUGGACAUAGGGAAAUGAAUUCAAUACUCUCUCACUAGUUUGUUGUGCAGAAAUAAUUAUACCAUUAUAUCCUUGUGUGCCUCAGCAUCUCCAUUUAGUUUGGCAGGAUAACUUCCAAAUUCCCUUGAGUCUUACGUUCUCUGAUCCAUUCUAAAAUUCAUUUAUGUUUUCCAAGUUGCUAAUUUAUCUCAGCCUUCCCUUAUUUAUAUUAAUCACACUUCCCCUUUGCAAGAGGAAUAGGGACAUUUUCCAUCCAGUCAUCUUUAUGAAUCUUGUAUCCGUUUGGAUACCUAUAAAUUGUGGAGAACAGCAUUCAAUCUUGAUUUCUCAGAAACUCAAGACUGGGCAGCUGAGACCUGGGGUGCUGCCCCUCUGGUUGUUUGCUUUGACUCUUAGUGCUGGUGUCAGUGAAUUCCCAGCUACCUUUGGCUGGCUUUGUGUACUUGGUCAAUGUAAUUAACCUCUCUGUGCUUUGGCUUUUCAACUGAAAGAGGAAUAUCACUAUCACAUGUGUUGAGAAAACCUAUGUGAUAGUCCUUGGGAUUUACCUGAGAGUAGUAACCAUUAGUUAACUCUUUACUUACCUGAUAGAUAACUGCCAAUUGUAGCUAUAUGGCCAUAUCUACUCUAGUCAGAGUUUGCUAUGCAAAAAUAGCAAGAGAGGUUCUCUCAACUCGGGACUUGAUGGAAACAACAAAGAAGUUAAAUGAAAAUCAAACACAUGAUCAAGAAUGAAAGUCCUCCUUAAAUGUUAUUUAUAUAUGUCUUUGGAAAUAAACCACUAUACCCAGUUGUCCAUGAUAGCAAUGGUGCUGUCAUUUUAAGGCCUAUCAUCAAUGAAAAUAACUCCAAAUUAACAGUAAAUACUAGAAUGGAUUCCCUGAAUGCACAGGAACUGACUUUACUAAGGCAAAAAUAGUUCUUGCUGUCAUUGUCACCAUGUUCAGUGAAUAUUAUGAGAAUCAAUUCACGAUUGAAUCAGCUGAGGUGGUUUUUCCUAAUGGAAAAUCACAUACCUUUCCAGAACUGACUUAAUGAAAGGAGGUGGUGAUAUCUGAUCCAAUUAACAAAUAAGUUGGAACCAGAGCAAUUCCAGAAAAUUUUGCGAAACUUCCGACUAGGAUGGAUUUAAAGUCAGAAGUCAUAGGUUAUGGGAAUUGGAUUGAGAUUGAAAUCUCUCCAACCAGAGCUGACAUUAUCCAUGCAUGUGAUAUUGUAAAAGAUGGAGCUAUUAUGGAUAUAGCAACAUUCAGGUGGCUCUCCCAGAAACAUACACUGUAACUAAUCAGUUUCCUCUUAACAAGCUCAGAGGACUUCUAAGACAUGACAGGGUAGCUGCUGGAUUCACUGAAGACUCGGCUUUUGUCUGUGCCCCCAAGGAGGUAUUGCUGAUAAACUUGGUUUCGACAUCUCUGCAACAAAGGCAGUUCAUAUAAGUGAUUCUACAGCCAUUUAAUUUCAGAUGGUACACAUUGCCCUUCUUCCUGGCCUCCUAAAGACCAUAGCCACAAAUUAUAUGAUGCCCCUUCCUCUAAAACAAAUCUCUGACACUGUAGUAAAAAAUGCUAGCAGAGACGUAGGUGAAAGGAACUACAGGCAUCUCUGUGCUAUUUAUUGCAGUAAGAAUCCUUGGUUUGAAAUAAUCCGUGGGUUUCUGGACAGAAUUAUACAGCUGCUUCAUGUGCCUCCUGGUGAAAAGAAGGGAGAUGGUGUGAUCACAGCAUCAGAAGGCCCUUCCUUCUGGGGCAUGCAUCGAGAUGCUUGCCAGCGAUCAAAGCAUCAGGAAGCUUAGGGUCAGUCCUUCAUCCUGAUGUCAUCACCAAAUUUGAGCUAACCUUGUCCUGCUCCUCCCUGGAAAUCAGUAUCAGGCCCUUUUUGUGAAGAGGGGUCUCUGUUGGGUGAUUCUCUCCAUGAGGCUUCCCUUCUCCUCCCCUGAUGUCCUUUAUUUGUCCCCACAGGGGACAUCCAUUUGUGCUUUAAUGUUUAAUUAAGUGGAAAGCAGUGAAAAGAAAAAGAAUGAAAGCCCUCCUAAAAGUGUCUACAAGUCUGCAUACUGUACAGUGGGUUUUGAAAUCAGCUUCCAGUUUGCCCUCACUUUGGCCCUAUGAUCAGGGGAGCCAUUUCCCUUUUGGUGGGUCUACAACUCUCCUCCAGAUUCUGCUGGCUGCCUUUCCCUUUGUCUCAUGCUGUUUCUUUCCAGUGUGUGCACUGACACUGGUUUCUUCCUUUGGGCUCUUAGUACAAGGGUCAGUGAAGCCCCAGCCUUUGUAGAGGCAAACAUUUAAAACCUACUUUAAAAACUUUUUUUAAUGUUUAUUAUUUUUUUUGAGAGAGAGAGAGAGACAGAGUGUGAGCAGGAGAGGGGCAGUGGGAGAGGUAGACCCAAAAUCUGAUGCAGGCUUCAGGCUCCAAGCUGUCAGCACGGAGCCUGAUAUAGGGCUUGAACGCAUCAACCAUGAGAUCAUGACCUGAGCUGAAGUUGGACGCUUGACCAACUGAGCCACCCAGGGGACCCUAAAACCUCUGUUAAGGACUGAGAUUACCACUGCAUGGCUACAGAGGCUAUAGCAAUGUGUCUGCAAACUUCCUGGCUGCAUUCAAAGUGCUUCUUACGACACCCUCCAUUCUCUAGUCUCUGUCACACGCCUCUAAAGGGAAGAGGCAUUUUAAACUCCUUUGAGGAAAAGAAUUCAAUCAUUCGCUUCUAUUUGGGGUUUCGGACACUGAAUGCAAAUAAGGAUUAUGUGAUACAACCUGGAUAAUAUCAUUAUCCAUUGUUAUCCAUUGUUAUCCAUUGUUUCCUUUGCUCCUUUGACUACCAGGGGGCGAGACUAGUGGAGUGGGUGAUGGUACCCACUUACACCCUUCUAUCGUCUCCUCUUCUAUAGGGUGAGCCCUUUAAGGAAGGGGUGCUGCCUUGCACUUCUCCAUGUCUGAUCUCUAGUGCAAGGCCUGGCCCCAACAAGGAACAGAGUCGAUAGCUGUUGGAAUGAAUUGCUGCAGUGAACCCACCAUCCUUGCUUUGGGGUAUAGUACUAGGCGUCAUAGCAUCAUGGAGUCAAAGAUAAAGGACUUCUCUUCUGGUGGUCCAGGAACAGAGAUGGGACAGGGUGCCAUGAACUCAGCUCUGGGAAAUCCCAGAGAAGGUCAUAGUUUUCCAAAGAUUUACAGGCUGAGGAGGAAUUCCCCACUCUGAAAACAGUGCUUCCAAAAUCCUGGUGCACAGAUUGAUGCUGGCCACCAGUGAAAUGAAAAUGGACAAAAUAGUCUUUUUUUUUUUAAGUUUAUUUUUCAUUUUGAGAGAGAGUGAGUGAGUGAGCAGGGGAGGGGUGAGAGAAAAGGAGAGAGAGAGAGAGAGAGAGAGAAUCCCAAGCACACUCCACGCUGCCAGCUUGGUGCCCAACGUGGGUCUUGAACCCACAAACCGUGAGCUUAUGACCUGAGCCAAAAUCAAGAGUUGGAUGCUUCACUAACUGAGCCACCCAGGUGCCCGGUGUAGUCAUUUUUUUUAAAAAAACAAAGCUGAAUUCGUUUUUUAAUCUGAGCUUAUGGCCUUCCUGAAAUGUUUUCUCAUUUAGUGUAGUCCUGCUACACUAAAAUAACCUUUUCGAAAUUGUAGUGAUGGUAAAUGGCAAAUGUUUUAACUUAAUAUAUUCUAUUAGGGGAAAAUUACCCUUACCUUACGUUACUGCCCAGUUUAAUUUCAUUUUGUUUUGGCUUGACAUUUUUCUGCCCCAUGUAUUCUCUCUAAGGAGCACUGUUAGGCCUGUGGUUUCUAACAAGACACGGACCAUUUUGAGAAACUGAACUAAAGUUUUUGACCCUUUUCUCCACAGAAACCUGUUUAUGUGCACACACACACAAACUUUUGCAGGUAAUUUUGGAAGGUUCACAGGCCUUUUUAAGACCAACUGUGAGCUUCUGAAGAAUCCAGAAAAUCCAGUUAGGAAUUCCUGGACAAGAAGGAGUGACAGUCCACUAUUGUGAGCAAAAUUACCUUUCCCCAUUCGUUUGCUUUUUAAUGAAAUAUUUAAUGUAAAUAAAAAAGUUUUCCCUCAUUGCCCUCUAGGGCCAUUAAAAGUCCAAGGAAGCUUUGAGAUCAGGGAGUUAACAAAUAUUUUGCAAAAGCAAAUGGCGUGCUAAGGGAGCUGCUACCCAGCGUUUGAACCAGCAUUCUGUGGUCUCGGGGGGUAUGGGAACCCCCUCCUCCCUUUGGCAUUUUUUGCUGAGCAUACCUUGCAACCUGUCACCACUGACAGGGCUCUGUGCAUCUCCCAGGAUGUCUGGAGGAGUCUUUUUGAAGGCAUUUCAGCCAUCUGUUAGGGUUUCCUGCUCUCAAGGGUGCUUUGAUGCCAUGAGGAGAUGUGACAUGACAUUUGGAAUCUGGGCCCAUGCAUCACAAUGCCAAGGGCAGGGACAGCCGCAGGGUGACUGACUCUGGCCCAUUGUGCAGGGAUGAGCAUGUCAAUCAAAUACAUCUGGCUGGGUAGUCAUAUUGGCAGCUGGGCUGCUCAAAUUUAAAGGGGAGAGGGAAAUGAAAGGUCGCAGAAAACUUCAGAAGAGAAGGACAACCCCCUUCCUCUGAGAAAGCUCAUCUUCCUCUGAGAAAGCCUUGGGGUGCACGUGGAGACCACAGCUGGAGCAGUGAAGUCAACAUUGAUCACAGGAUCUCAGAACCAUAAAGAUGGCCAAAUCCAGAAUUUCCCAAACUUCAGUUAUUCCAGCCCAUAGCCAUGAUUUUUUGCUCUCUGUAUGUCACCAAUAAUUCAUAUUUGCUUUAAAUAGGCUCACAUUUUUAUUUAAAAACAUGUAUUUUUAAAGAAAAUUUAUAGAACUAACUAAAAUCUGGCAUUACUUGCUAUAAAUAUACUGUAGUCAAAAAUAAAUGAAAUGAAAACAGAGCACUCUUUGGAAAUUCUAGCUCAACGCUUUGGUCUGCUAGCUCAUUAUUAAAAGGGGAAGUCAGCAAAGAUUUUGGGCUUGUUAUAGGAACUUACUCAGACUUUAUCCUUGAUGUAGCUGGCCAGAUUGAAAGCAAAUUCAAAAGUGAAUCGUCAUCACUUUAUGUGCUCAAAAUUUGUUAAUACCACAUCUAAGGAUUUACUAAAAUUUAUGUGCUAACUAAAUUGAUUUUACGUGCUACUGGAGGGCUGGAUUUCACUCUGCAGGACACGUAGAUCUGAUCCAAGCUUUUUACAGAGGUGAGAACAUCCGGAGGAUGGAAAGGACUUGUCCAAGGUAACCAUGGUUCUAUAUCUGUCCUGGUACCUAUAUACUGUUUAGCCAGGUGAUUUUGCAGGUUCUGCCGGAGGCAGGUUGUACCUGCCUACACCUUGGCUUUGGACUCAGCCUUGUGACCUGUUUUGGCCAAUGGGAUGUAAGCAGAUGCGAUGCAGGCCGUGGUUUCAAAUUGGAUCAUAGAGCUGGGCUUGCUUUCUUGCACUUGACCAUGAAGAGGACACACCACAGUCAGCCUGUCAGUCUGAGAAUGAUAGACUUGUGCAGGCCUGGAUUCUGUCCGUGCAAAGAUUCAGUAUUUGACUCCCAGUCGCUCGUUCCCCUUUUUGGUGCAGUACGUGGGGCGUGUAUGUGUGUGUGUAUACGCACACAUGUUUGUGGAUGUGAAUAUGUAUGUAUGAGACAGACAGACAGAGACAGAGAGAGGAGGGGGUGAAGAGAAAGGGAAUGGAAACCUGGGCUGGGAAGAUCAGUGUCCAUAUCUCCUCCAUCUUCCAUCUUCUCAGAGCCUAACACAAGCUCUCAAAAAUGUAGAUGGUUAAUAGAUGCUUUAUCUUUUACUCAGGAACUUGUGAAAUUCAGGAAGUAUUUACCAAGAACUCUGUUACAUACAUGGGACUGUGCUACAUAUACCUGGGGAUACAAAAGAAGUCAUUUUUGUGUCGUAGGGGAUUACGACGUGUUUCAGUGGCAAAGGCACACCUGCAUGGUGUGAAUAAACACCACUUCAGAGCUGUAUUGUUCCUGUACAAAAGUGGCAAAGCACAAUGUUCCUCAAAUAUGGCAGCAUCCUCUUCUGCCAGGCCUUGACCGUGCUGCUCCCUCAGCCUACAGUGCAAUUCUGGAACACCCCUGGAGAGGUUAGGUUCUCCACAAAGCUGUACUUCCUGUCUUCUUCCUUCCUCUCUUCUUUUCCAUACAGGCAUUUCUACUUCCUUUUGUUGUGGUGGUUCUUUCUGCCUUUGACCCAGAAUAUUCAUAGGACUUGCAUACCUUUCAAUGAGUUGCUCUCCUGUCUAGUUGUUCUGCAACCUGGUACCGUCCUUCCCAUUCCGCCCCCUUCUAGGAGUCCCGUGGAGUUGCCCGCAGUUCACAUGUGGAGUCCAUUUUACUCCAUCUCCUCCCCCACCGCCGUGGCCAAUGCCCUUGUCAUGCCUCACCUGCCUGGUUUCUUGGUAUCGCCUUUGCCCAGGCUGUUCCCCAUAGGGUAGUUGGAAUAACUUUGUAAACUGCUAAUCUGAUCAUUUGAUUCCCCUGCUAAAAAGUUCCCCAAUGGCAUCUCUUUGCAAUUAGAAGAAACAAAACAAACAAAACAAAACAAAACAAAUACCUACAGACUCAUUACUGUGUCCUAUAACACUCUGCCUGAUGUGGAUGCUGUAUAGAUCCACUUUGCAAAUCAAACUGAGGAGAUAUCACACAGGGCAAGUGGCACACCUUCUGAUUCCCAUGCCAUCCAUCAUUCUUCAUGCCAAGGAAGCAAACCACAGUCUUAGUUACCAGUUACUGAGUAUGUACUCUAAGAUGCACAUAAUUAAGCUCUUUAUACAUAUUAACUUCUUUAUUCCUCAUAAUUCUGUGAAGUAGGGACUAUGUUUAUCCCAGUUUUACAGAUGAGGAAACUUAGGCACAGAGUGUUCAAGUAAUUUCCUUACUACAUAGCUUGAAAAUGACAGAGCUAAGAUCAGAACCCAGACAUUAUAGCUCCCUUACUGCUGUUGGGCCAUGCAAUAACUGUAAGACUGACAAAUAUGGAAGGAAUAUCCUCAAACUGCUACCUGAUUUCCCAUCCCCAUCAUUUUUCUGGCUAGCUCUCCAGCUAUCCAUAUCUUUCUAUAGCUCAGGAUGGUAUUGGUUCUCCAUCCUCAAGAGACGGCUCAGUAUAACAGCAACAUCAACAAAAAUUAGGAAUCAACCGUUGAAAAUUGAUAAUGUCUCCAAGGGCUGAGAUGGUCUUCCUCCAAAGAGGCAAUUAUGGGAACCUAGUAAGAAUGGAAGGCUUUUUGCAGAAAAUAGAGUAUGAGCAAUCCUCACAGAAAUGUCAAAAGGAUAUUGUGUUUUGCAAAUGUUUAUUGCAAACAGACAAAAGUAGGUUCAAUUACUCGUCACAGCCUACACAUUUCUCUCUUUGUUGGCCGGAAAACACUCAGGUGUUUUGUUUGGUUUGUUUAAUAUUCUCCAGGAUGGCAUGGCGGUAUUUUUAGCUUUGAAAUUUUGAUUGUGAAUUUCUGUGGCCUAUUAAAAAAAAUGCCCAUGCAGCCUUGCAACAUGAAAAAGAAUGACAAAAGCUGGUGAACAUGAUUAAUCCACUGGACUUCAUAUAUCAUCUGUCCUUUGCCCCCUCCUUCCUCCAUUCCCUGAGCUCUCUAAACAUUUCAUCUGUGAUUCUGGGCACUUUGAAACCGGAAUCUGUAUUCAGCACAUGUCCCUACAUGAUUAAAUAAAAAUAAUAAUCAUCUUUCUCUGCUGUUGCCUCAGCAGGAAAUAGUUUUUAACUCCACCUCCAUUGCCAGUACCCCCAGUCUGGCUUGUUGGAGUGAGAAAAAACAUCACAGGCUUUGAAGAAAACUGGAUGUUAAAUCUUAGUAAUAGGGGUGCCUGGGUGGCUCAGUCAGUUAAGCAUCCAACUUCGGCUCAGGUCAUGAUCUCAUGGUUCAUGGGUUCGGGCCCUGCGUUGGGCUCUGCGCUGACAGCUCAGAGCCUGGAGCCUGCUUCAGAUUCUGUGUCUCCUUCUCUCUUGCCCCUCCCCCACUCCCAUUCUGUCUCUCUCUCUGUCUCUCAAAAAUAAACAUUACAAAAUUUAAAUCUUGAUAAUGGUGUGACUUUGUGCAAGUUUCUUGUCCUUGUUAAGUCACAGUCUCUUUUGAUAUCCACUGGGAAUGAUGAUGGCUGCACCACAGGCCAGGUGGUGGUGAUAGUUAAGUGAAAUAUAUUUUAUUUUAUUUAUUUUAUUUUAUUUUAUUUUUUUAAAUAUGAAAUUGAUUGACAAGUUGGUUUCCAUACAACACCCAGUGCUCAUCCCAACAGGUGCCCUCCUCAAUGCCCAUCACCCACCCUUCCCUCCCUCCUACCCCCCAUCAACCCUCAGUUUAUUCUCAGUUUUUAAGAGUCUCAGGGGUGCCUGGGUGGCUCAGUCAGUUAAGUGUCUGACUUCGGCUCAGGUCGUGAUCUCGUGGUUUGUGAGUUCGAGCCCCGUGUUGGGCUCUGUGCUGGCAGCUAUAAGCCUGAAGCCUGCUUUGGAUUCUGUGUCUCCCUCUCUGCCCCUCCCCUGCUCAUGCUCUGUCUCUCUCUGUCUCAAAAAUAAAUAAAACAUUAAAUUUUUUUUUUAAAAAUUAAGUGAGAUAUAUUUUAAAUGUCUAGUGCCAAGUAAUAUUUAGCCAUAUUGGUUUGAAUCCUUAUUGUGUGCUGGCACUCUGCCUUUAUUAUUCAUUUAAUUUAACUUCAUAAAGUAGGAAUUAUUAUUCCUAUUAUACAGAUAAAGAAACUGAGGCUCAAAGCGGUAAAAUAACUUGCCUCUUACAGGUUGAACUGCGCCGCCCUCCUCAAUAAAAGACAUAUUGAAUCCUAACCCCUGGUAGCUUAGGAUAUGGUUUCAUUUGGAAAUAGAGUCUUUAUAGAAGUAAUCAAGUUUGAAUGGUAAUUAGGGUAGACCUUCAUCCAAUGUGACUGGUGUUCUUAUGAAAAGGGGAUAUUUUGACAUAGAGACAGACACUCCCGGAGGGAAGACAAUGUGAAGACACAGAAUGAGAAGAAAGCCAUGAGACUGGAGUGAUGCAUCUGCAGGUCAAGGGGCACCAAAGAUUGCUGGCAAAUACAAGACACUAGUAGAGGCAAGGAAGUAUUCACCUCUAAGCUGUCAGAAAGAGCACGGCCCUGUUAAUGCCUUGAGUUUAGACUUUUUAACCUCCAGAUCUCUGAGAUGAGAUUUCUGUUGUUUUUGGCCACCCAGGUUUUGGUAUUCUGUUAUAGCAGCCCUGUAAACUAACAGAUUCCUUAAAGUCACGCUGUGAGUAAGCACCAACACCAGGAUUCAGGUCCUGGUCUGACUUAAACCCGGGACUCACCCAUUCCACUACCAUUGCUUCUCAAACUGUGGUCCAUGGACAAGCAGCAUUGGCCCCACCUGGGAGCUUAUUAAAAAUGCAGAAUCUCAAGCCCCCAACCCCAACCUACUAAAUCAGAAUCUGAAUCUUGACAAGAUGCCAGGAAAUUCUUAGGUACUUGAAAGUUUGAGAAGCACUGUAGACAACCUUCCACAGAGACCAGCAAACAUGAAUUCCUUUCUCUUCCUUUCCCUAGGUCCCCCUUCGUGUGCAGGUGCAAGUGGGUCUUUCCCUUUCUAGUGUGUUCUCUUUCUGACCCAUUUCCCACUCUACUCCUUAAUCCCCCAAGGCUAAGUUUGUCCUUUACACAUGGCAGGGAAACUGGGUGCAGUGAAAAGACCACGGGCUUUGGGAGCCCUAUUGAACUUGUUUCAAAAUCCUGCUUUACCACUCAGAGGGCAAGUUGCUUAUCUUUUCUUUUCUUUUUAAUUAAUUAUUUAUUUUGAGAAAGAGAGAGAGAAAAAGAGAAUCCCAAGCAGUCUCUGUGCUGACAGAGCUGACAGCACAGAGCCUGAUGCCCGUCUCAUACUAACGAACUGCAAGAUCAUGACCUGAGUCAGAUGCUUAACCGACUGAGCCACCCAGGCACCCCCGUCUUCUCUGAGCUUCAACUUUUUCAUCUGUUCCUGGCGCCAUUACCCUGGUGGAAGCCAUUGUCAUUAUGUUCUGCCUGGACUACUGAAGUAGCCUUGUUGGUGGACUCCCCACCUCCCCAAGUCAAUCUCAAUCUGUUCUCCCCAUUGCAACCUUAAUGAUCUCUCCAAACAGCAAAUCUCCUUCUGUCAUUUCCCGUGAUUGCAAACCCCGUCCUGGUUGAAGUCUGAAUUCCUGAGCAUGGCUCCCUGUCCUUUGCAUCAUGUGCCCAUGUCUGCUUCUCCCCUCUCAUAUCUCCUGCCACUUACCAUGCUUACUUUAUUAUUUACCUUCUAUGUGUCCUAACCUUCCUCUACAUUCUCAAGCCAGACAUCACCUCUUCAGGGUCUUUGCCUACACCACACAUCCCUCCCCUGAACUCCUAUACUUUGCAUGCCUUCUCUGUGCUUUUCUUCAUCAUAUCAACCAAGCGUUUUAUUAACUGCAAUGUUGAUUUAUCUAUAUUCCUCAUUAGACCACAUGAGCAUGAAGGCAAAGACCACGAUGAUCUUUGUGAUGCUUGUAUUGCAGCUCCUAACCCGGUGUUGGGAUAUAAGUCAGCCCUCAAUAUGUAUUUGCUACACAGAUCAAAGAAAUUGGGAGAUGCCUCAGUUUUUAGGCCAGCAUUGUGCAUUCUGUUGAAGAAACAUUUAUUUCUGAAGCCCCACUGCUGUUUUACAGAUUAGGUGCCACUUGUAGAGUGAGUACAGGAACAGCCAGUGUGUUCUUUCUGAAGUUUCUUUGUUCUUUCCCGCAUGAUUAAGCCGCCUAGAUCCUACCUCGUUGAACAAAGCUAAAGUAUUUACUCCUAAUUGCUUUAAGUAAGGCCUGUGUGAUCUAAUCACUAAUCAGAUGCUUGCGUUUAAGAAAGAAAAAUGGCUAAUUAACGGAAGCCAGUACCUCCAAUAUUAAGGAUCAGAGCUCUCUAUGUGGCAGCAUGGUAAGGGAAGACACAUAGUGAGGCUUGGAGAGUCUUUGGGGCUUCCUUGGUUUUUUUAGGCUUCGUUUCCAGAGAAGUUGAAACAACACACCCACACCUAACAGGAAGGAGACAUUCUGAAUGAAUCCUAGGAAACUGUCCCCUCCUCCAUGCGGUCAAUAGUAAGAAAUGCUGUGAGUUUGAAGUUAAAAGUUACCUUUUGUAUUGUGAGAAAUACAAAAUGAGAAUGCAUGAGCCAGUUGUGAAAUUUGCACAAGAAUAACAACAGCGGUUAAGUUUAGGAAAAACAGAAAAUCUUAUUCACACAGGAUGGGCCAGUUUGGACCUUGAAUAUACCACAUGUUCAAUAAAUUUUUUUGUUGUUGUUAAAGGUUUCUUUAUUUUUGAGAGACAGAGAAAGAGGGAGACAGAGAGAGAGAGAGAUCACAAAUGGGGAGGGGCAGAGAUAGAGAAAGGCACCAAGGAUCCAAAGCCAGUUCUGUGCCGAUAGCAGCGACCUUGAUGGGAGCUCAAAAUCAGGAACUGUGAGAUCAUCACCUGAGCCGAAGUGAGACACUCAACCGACUGAGCCGCCCAGGUGCCCCAUGCUCAGUACAUUUUUACUGAGUGAAUUUCUUGUCACACACACACACACACCUUUAUUAAAAAGCAUAAAAGAGGGGCGCCUGGGUGGCUCAGUCAUUUAAGCAUCCGACUUCGACUCAGGUCAUGAUCUCGUAGUUCAUGAGUUCAAGCCCCACGUUCAAGCCUCCUUCAGAUUCUGUGUCUCCCUCUCUCUCUGCCUCUCCCCCACUCAUGCUCUGUCUCUCUCAAAAAUAAAUAAACAUUUUAAAAAAUGGGGGUCACUCUGCAGACCCUGCUCUUUGAAAGGAAGAAAGAAAGAAAAAGAAAGAAAGAAAGAAAAGAGAAAACCUGAAUAAAUUUUCAUGGAAAGGAAAACCCAUGCUAUAAAGAUGUCCCUUCUCCUCCGGUUAAUCUAAAGAUUCAAAGCUGUUGCAAUCAAAACCCCAACAGAGUUUUUCAAGGAGAUUGACAAGCUGAACCUAAAACGCACGUGGAAGAGUAGGGGGCCAAGAAUAGCCAAACAUUUUUGAAAAAGGAGGAGAUAAGAAAGAAAGAGUACUGACUUACUCUACAGAAAGAUUUACUCUAAAGCUCCAUGUAAUUUUGAGCAGUGGUUUCAUUUUUGUGUUUGUUUGCUUGUUUUGCAAGCUCGUCAUCCAGGGAACUGAUUUUUGGCAAACUUUGCUACAGUCACUCUACACUGAUGGAUCUGAAUGGAAAGUGAAGGCAUGCAGUGUGAAUUUGCUCAGCUCUGACCUGUGAGAGCUGCAGUUCAGGGCAGGGGAAAGAGCCAAGGUCAGAUGCACCAUGGCUAACCUCCAGUUCUGCCUUCCACGCUGUGAGUUUUAGGGUCGGUUGCUAAACUUCUCUGAGUCUCAACUUCUUUUAAUCUCUAAAAUUCAAUGAAUAAAAAUCCAGGUAGGAAAAAAAGAUCUUGGUUGGGCUCUGUUGUAGUGCUUUUAAAAUCUGUUUAUUUGCAUAGGAAAUGGCUUUCUGUAAAGUAGGUAUUGCCUACUCAAAUGUCUGCAGGGGCCAGGCAGUUCAUUCACACCCACAGGUAGCAGUUACACAGAAGAUAAUGGGUAGAGGGAUUAGGGCAACCUUGAGUGAGGGUAAAACAGAGCUGCAGCCAAAUCAGCCCACACAUCCCCAGGCUGUAAUUUCAGUUCAGGAGCCAAGAACCCAGCCCGGGAAUCAGAAGAGGGACAGAGAUGAACUCUCACUGUGGCUUUGCCUCAGACAGUGAUGUGUCUCCGGGCACAUUAUUUCACAUUCUGAGCCCCAUUUUUCCACCUUUAAAAUGGGCACGUCAGACUCCCUGAGGGUGACAGUAGUUCUAACGUUAUAAAAUGCGUGUCCGGGAUUCUAAUUUAUGGAUGCGCUUGCCAGUCUCACUUCUAGAAUUGGAAGACCAAGGUUCACACCCCAGCACUGACAAUUGAUAAAUGCCACCCGAGAGUGUCCCAGGGCUUCACUGCAGUUCAGUUUCUAUCACUAAAAAUAUGGAGGAAAAGUAAUCAUAAUCUUUAUGGAUCUGGGGUGACAAGUAUGAUAAUUAGCUAUCAAAAUGUUUAAUAAACUGGACAACAGUGCAAAGGGAUGUGGAUUAACAUAAUGGAAAAGAAGGUAGAUGAGUGGUCUACCAAGUCCCAGGUCCCUAAUACCAACAUUCUUUGCAAAUCCAGCCUUCCUGGUACAGAGGUCCUGCUAUACUCAUGUUACAGAUGCAAAAACUGAGAUUUCAAAUCAUAGACCCACACAGGGGUUGAAAUCUUUUCCUCCUGGUUCCAAGGCCCAUGACUUCUUUCUUUCCUUUUUUUUUUUUUUAACAUUUAUUUAUUAUUGAAAGACAGAGAGAGUCAGAGCGUGAGCAGGGGAAGAGCCGAGAGAUGGAGAGACACAGAAUCUGCAGCAGGCUUCAGGCUCUGAGCCAUCAGCACAGAGCCCAAUGCAGGGCUCGAACUCACGAACUGCGAGAUCAUGACCUGAGGUGGUUUUUUUUUUUUUCCAUGACUUAUUUCCCUACCUGCUACUUUAUCAGGUGGGCCAGCCAUAUCCACUUCUAGGAGCCAGAAGUUGUCGCCAGGUCGGGGACCGUGUCCAGGGGGAUCCGCUGAAGUUAAGAGCACUAGGCACAUUUCCAUCCACCAAGCUGGCCAGGCUUCACUUCCUGUAAAUGAGGUGGUUAGCCAUGUUUGUACAGAGCAAGACUGAGGGCUUUCUCUAUGCCUGCCAUUUAAACUGUCAGGUUGGGUGUGGGCAGCCUGAGACCCAUGGUUUCUGGACGUGGGCAGAAGGCCAGGGACCCAGGUAAACUCACUACUGACUCAGGUAGAGCAGACUGCUGACAGGGAUCACCUCUCAUUCUCUUUAUGCGACCAACAUGCUGUUCUGGCCCCGAGGAACACAGGUCAGCAACUUCAUGAAUUACCCUUUUGCUUGUAAUCUAGUUGCACUGGUGAAAUAUUAUGUUGCCUAGGGCAGGGCUAUCCCUGGCUCUUAGUUGUUUAAAUUGCGAAGUUUCCUUUUUGGAAGGAAGGAAGAUUUAUUGAAUGCUUACCAAGCAUCAGGCAUGGUGCCCCUCACUGUGCACCUAUGAUUUUAUUUCACAAACUGUAGACAUUAGAUUCUGUUGCUUCAGUUUAUCAGAUGUUAAAAGGGAAGCUCAGAGGGGAUAAGUAAACUUACUAGAGGCCACAGGUUUAGUAAAUACUAGAGCCAGGGGAUUAGAAUCUCUGGCUCUCGGACUCCAUAGCCUGACUCUUUCCACACCACCAGUCUGCCCACUGGUGUGACACUGAUGGCAAAUAUGCCUGUAAAAUCCAAGUAGAGUUUCAUUUAUUAAUGGUCUGCAAUGGAAGAAGACCGACAGCCUGGCCAAUAGAAAGCUCAUUUGUUUUGUAAACAGAGAAUAAUUCAUUCAUUUGCUAAUGCUCUCUCCCAGUGAAAGUCUGAGCCAAUUCCGCCUUUAAUCUGUGAUAUAGCUCGAGAGCACGGAUGUCCCCACAGCCCAUGCCUUUGAAUAUUCCAUUUGGGACACGCAGGGAUGGUGCUUCCUUUGUCUCAACAUCAAAGCCCAGGGCUUCAUGUCUUGACAGGUGUAUAUACAUGUUGAAAAAUAUAAAUAAGUGCUGAAUAUCAAACCCCUCAGAUUGCCCAGUUGUCCCAUUCUCCAAGAAAAUGAAAGAGAGCAUAACUUAAAAUGAAUAAAAAUAUACUCCCCAUUUGGAAGUCUGAAAUUGACAGUGUUUACCAGAAAUUGUAUGAGUGCAGAACGCAGGCUUCGAUUUGAUUGUGGGUUAGAAUCUGUGCUGCCUGGGCUCUGAGAUUCUUCCUUUGUGAGUGAUUGCUACUGCUGGGGGAAUUGGCAGUGUGACCAGGCCGAGGGAAGGGAUAAAAUGAUUAGGUCCAAGACUUCAUUGCGAAGCUUCUUCCUCUGAGAUUUAGAAACCAUCUUUCUUUCAGCCUCUUAAUGUUUCCUGAACACCGUGAAUUUCUCCAGGGGGCUUUAUGGCCAGAACUGAUCGCAUUCAAUUCUCCCGGGAGGAAAUAGGCAGGUUUGUCUUAUUUAUUUAUUUAUUUAUUUAUUUAUUUAUUUAUUUAUUUAGUAAAGAACAAGAAAAGGAGAGGAGAGUCCUCUUAUCUUGAUGGUAGUGGUAGAGGACGGGUACAAACUGUAGAGUAACUGGCCCUCCGCCUGAAUCGCUUCCCCAUCGGACCAAACUGCCCUUACCCUGCCCUUCUAGUUACUCUUCAUCAUUUUCCCCCGUGCUCCUUUUCCCCCUCUUUCUUUUUUUUUUUUUUCUCUCUUUUUUUCUCUGUCCGCUUCCUUCCUUACCCUAAUCUUUUCCAACAGACUUGAAGCCUCUGACGUGGUCAGCUUCUGUAAUUAAAAGCCACCAAGUCUUCCAGUGUCACAAGUGAAAGCAGAUAUGCCGGAAGGACUGAAGCCAGGGAGCAGUCAGGGCUGAGGGUGCCGGGCUGAGAAGGGGCAUCUGGUCUCCCCUUCCAGACACGACAGCGUCUCGGUGCCUGCUGCUCCUUGAGCUUGAAUUUGCUGCAGCCCCUCAAGGGUGUGACUCUUCUUCGUGGACCUGGCUCCUCCUCACCUUUGUGUGUCCUUUCACUUUUAGUUCCUGCUUCUAGCUGCAGUCAUGCUCCUCAUAGCUCAGAUCCCUGACAAGGAAUCUGACUGAUUGCAUUAGGGUUCUCCAGAGAAAGAGAAUAGGAUAUAGAUUUAGAGUAUAGAUAUAGAGAGAGACAGGGUAUCUAGAUAUAGAUCAGGCUUUUAUGGUUUCUAUAGAGAGAAAAAAUAUAUAUAUAUGUAAGGGCACCCAGGUGGCUCAGUCGGUUAAGCAUCCUAUUUAGGCUCAGGUCAUGAUCUCACAGUUUGUGAGUUUGAGCCCCAUGUCAGGCUCUCUGCUAUCAGCACAGAGCCUGCUUCACGUCCUCUGUUCCAUCCUCCCUCUGCCUCUCCACUGCUUGCACUCUCUUUCUCUGUCUCUCUCAAAAUAAAUAUAUAAACUUUAAAUUUAUACAUAUAUGGUUUUACAUAUAUAUACAUAUAUAUGUAUAAAUAUAUACAUUUAUAUGUGUAAAUAUAUAUAUCUAUAUAUACAUAUAUGAUUUAUUGCAAGUAAUUGGCUCACGUGAUUACAGAUGCUAAGUUUCAAGACCUACGAUCAACACACAAGAGGCAUAAGACUUCAGUUCAAGUCCGAAGGCAGGAAAGAUCUGAUGAUCCCAGCUCUAGGCAGUCAGAUGGAAGGAAUUCCCUCUUUCUCAGCCUUUUAGUUCCAUUCAGACCUUCAUCUGAUUGGAUGAAGCCCACCCACAUUAGGGAGGGCAAUCUCCUUUACUCAGUUUAUCAAUUUAAAUUUAAACUCACCCCAAAAUACCCAGAAUAAUGCUUGAACAAAUGACUGGGCCCGGUCAAGUUGAUACAUAAAAUGAACCAUCACACUGUGUCCCGUUGCCUCUCUGGUGCUCUCUCUCCUUUACUUCUUUCACUCCCUCCCACCUGGCCACCUCGCAGGUAGCUGGUCUGGUCAGCCUUUGGAUUAGUUGCCAUAGGACUGGGUAUUCAUCUAUAUCCAAUCACCUAAGACUGAGCUUAGGGGACAUAUCAGCCAGGCACCUUGGCUGACCCUUAAGCAACAGCUUCAGGGAAGCAGUCUCCUUUAGAGAAGGUUGGUAUGGAAUGCUCAAAUUGUCAAGAGAAGCCAUACCGUCCACAGACCAUGACACCAGUAAAUACGGGGAGUUUAUGUGGCUAGCUGCCAAGUUGGUGAUGAAAUCAGAUAUUUUACUGAGCCACAGGGUCAUGCCAGGUUCUGUGGAUACAAAGGUAAAAGGAUGUGACCUCUGCAUCCAAGGCUGUCACAGAGGGUAGAAGAUGCAAAUCAAGUAUCCCUGCAGCUUAGUAAACAUAGAUCACUUGGCUACAAGACGUCUUGGAGAUCUAGUCCAGCCUUCUCUAUUACCCAGGUCAAGAAAUAGAAGCCCAGAGAGGUUAACAGACUUGCCUAGGGUCACACAGCUAAUUACAGGUAGAAAUCUCAUUUCAAUUACCAUGUAUUAAAUAUGCAAUAGGUGAAAAAGAUUAGCCUAGACCUUUUCAUGUGUGUUACUUCAUGUAACCCUUAUUACAAUGAUGUAAGGUAGACUUUAUCCAGGGGAGAGACCUGAAUUUCAGAGAGGUACACUGACUCCCUCCGUGUCACAAAGAUAGGUAGGAGAUAAAUGAAAGAAGAUUUUUUGUUAUGUCAGUUUUGCAAAAAAAAAAAAAAAAAGACAGUGUUAGAAAUUGUAAAUAGGACUUUAAAAUGUCUUUAAGAAAAGCAUCCAAUGCUCACCAGCAUGAUACUUACCUGCUCUUUGCGAGAACAAAUAUUUCAUAGAAAAGAAGCAGGAGGAAGGACAUUUUUGAGAGACUCGAUAAGCAAGGAAGGUUAUAGAAACACAAAAAGGGAGGGGGGUGACCAUCUUUGAGAUGAUCAAUAAUAAAGACGUUUUAAUUAAGGACUUUUAAAUAUCUCAGGAAAAGAUCCAUUUCACAGGUGAAUAGGAUAAUUUAGCAACAAAGAAGAAAGGGAAAGAAUCGGGGUAGUGAGGCAAGGCCUGCUCAGUGUACUAAUGAGGCAUUCUGGCCUUAUUUUCCUUAACCUCAAGGACCUUGACUUGACCAAAGAGCUAUGUGAAAUACCAUGCAUAUUGAUUUUUUCCCCAGGCUGGGUUUGUAAUUUUUCCUGAAGUAAGAGCAUUCAGACCAGAAUGGGUACUGAGCUACUUGAUUCUACAGGAUAGGAAAGUUCCCCUGGUCAGUUGAGCAGAACACAGGCAGAAUAAUGUCUCUGACUGAAGCACUUGUGGUAGUUGUUUUGGAUUUCUAUGUGUCCCUCAUCUCCUUCUCCUUCCAUACCUGUCUUCCCCCUUCCCCUGUUCUACCAGCUCUCAUCCUCCUCUGUUUCUUGCCCAUUAUUUCCAUUGCCCUAUAGAUAGGGACAAUGACUCACAUUGCCAUCUGGGUCAAUGGGCCACUAAAAUUAGGAUAUAGUAUAUGGGAUAGAGAGGACUGUGGACAUUUGGAAAGUGCAUGCCUAAACCAUAAGGGCCAAUGGAUACUUAACUCCACCUAAUUGUUGCCAUACUUGACCAGGGACCCUGUGUUGCCAAGUCUUUUAAUGUUUUAAAAGCACCUGGAAAUCUGGAUUUAACUUUUGUGAAAUACCCUGAUUUUUAAAUCUUAACAAUUAAUUCAAUUCUUCAAAUUCUUACAGGCUGGUAAUGAUCCAUGAGUCACCAGCUUUUGACCUCUGGUAUAUAUAUCAUAUAGGAACCAUAGCUGAAAUCAUAGCUUCAUUGCUUCUAGCUGUGUGACUCUAAGCAUGCCUCUUAACCUCUCUGAAUCUUAAUAUUAUUGACUAUCAAAUAUAUAGAAGGUGGCAUAUUAAGCGCGAGGCUUACCGUCUCAUACCAAGUAGAUACACUAUGGAUAACAAUUCACUCUUUUCCAUUCUAUCCCCUGACCAUAGUGUCUCAAUCAUGUAUACAUCUGAUUCCAGAGAGGAAUAUUCAGCUUAUUACAAGACCAAUGACUUCUGGAACAUCAGCUUGCCUUUCUCCUGCAAACAAUCAAAUCACAAGAGCUUACAGCAUAUUCUUACCCUGCUUUGUUGAGAGCCAUUUCCCCAAAAUGCAUCUUAUGUGGGCAAUGAGUCUCUAUUCAUGCACAAUUUCACAUGAAAAGAUUUGCCCUUUUCAUUGUACGCAUGGCUUGAAUCGGCCAGCCUGCAUGAAAAUAUUUCCAUUCAUUAGCAUGCCAAAUGAUGUCACUGGCCUGGAACUUGGGUGGAUAUUGCAUGGACUGAUAGAAUCCUAUUGCUCUAAGGAUUCUCAGAGGAGGUUGUCUCUUCCAACCUUCCAUGUCCAAUGCAGCUUAAAACACCACCAGAAUGUGGUGAGGGCUCACUAUUUGGGGAAGCUAUCUUGGCCACUCUAGUUACUUCAGAUAUCUUCCUUGUAUCACAUUUAAAUCUGAAUUUCAGUAACUUCUGUCUGUUGGUUCAGAUCUACCAGGAAUCUGAGAGUCAGAUUGGUCAUAAGACAACGUGCUAUCUCAUUAAAUAAUCAUAAUGGCGGGAACUUAUGUGACAACGUCAGGUCUGUUCUUGACGUUUUACAGGUAUUUAGUUACUUAACAUUCACAAAAACCUUAUAAAACAGGUAACGAAGCAUUCUGUUUUCCAGAAUGAGUAAAUAAAUGUGAGGCACAGAGCAAUUAAAUGACAUACCCAAGGUCUCACGGCUCAUAAGGGAGAGAGGCAGGAAGGAAGACAGGGUCGUCUGGCCUCCAUGUGCUUAGGGACUACAUCCCCCUGCCCCUCCAUCAGAGGGUACCUGCACCAAGAUCAACUGCAGAACCAAGGGCUCUGAUGUUACCCAGAGCAGAUUUGCAUACUGGCCCUGCCACUCCCGCUCAAAGCAGACUUGGGCAAACUUGUCCACGUCUCUGACCUUUUAUGCCACCUUUCAGUGGUCUUGGGAAUCAAAUCUCUGCAAAUUGUCUAGAGCAGAGUCUGGCAAGUAAUGGACAUGCAAAGGGUUUUUGUUGAGUGAAUGACAUUUAUCAACACCCCAGACCAUGCAUCACCUGGUCUUUUAUCCUCACUAUCAUGGCAAACGUUCCAAGAGCCCUCUUCAUACUAACUGCUCACUCUUCUUUGGCCACUCUCCAUUUUCUUCUGUCCUUUUCAGCAUGAAGGAUAUUUCAGGGUGGUCUUCCCUCCCUCAGAAUACAGUGGUAUUCUCACUAGCUUAACUCUCUGCUCGCAUCACUGCUGCUAAGACUGUGCUAAUACACUUCUCUCUCAAGUAUCUAUUCUUCUCCAGGCUCUCCAUUGGAAACUGAGAAUAAAAAAUGAUCUAAGACAAGAUCUCUGCCCUAAGGACCCCUCAGGUAGAGUAGAAUUCAUGGUACAAAGAGUUAUGGAAAGAGUGAAAAGGGAGUAUGCAAGAAGGAAGACAACUCUACUCAGGGCAGGGUGAGACAUAAAACAUUUUUGAAUAAGGAUCGGAAAGGAAAGAAGGGAAGAAAAUGUAUGGAUUAGGGGGCAUCUGGUGGUUCAGUUGGUUAUGCAUACAACUCUUUUUUUUUAAUUUUUCUUUUAACGUUUAUUUAUUUUUGAGACAGAGAGAGACAGAGCAUGACCGGUGGAAGGUCAGAGAGAGAGGGAGACACAGAAUCUGAAACAGGCUCCAGUCUCUGAGCGGGCAGCACAGAGCCCGACGCAGGGCUCGAACUCACAGACCCUGAGAUCAUGACCUGAGCUGAAGUUGGACGCUUAACCGACUGAGCCACCCAGGCGCCCCUAUGCAUACAAGUCUUGAUUUUGGCUCAGGUCAUGAUCUCACCCCCGCAUCGAGCUCUGUGCUGACAGUAUGGAUCCUGCUUGGGAUUGUCUUUCUCUCUGCCUCUUUCUGCCCCUCCUCCAUUCGUUCUCUGUAAACAAACAAACAAACAAACAUUAAAAAAAGGAAAUGUAUGGUUUAGAACCUUGGGAUAACCUACAUGUCAUAAAACAGACCUUAAAAUGGUUGCAUAAACACAUGGUAGAAUAUCUAAAUGCUCUUAAAAUGAGUUGUAGGGAAAUCCAUAAAUAUGAAAAAAAAAAAAAACCCUAACAUGUAAACGGUAAGAUUGGUAAGUUUUACCACUUAAAAAUUUUAAAUUAAGGUAUUAUAAAAACGAAAACAGGGGCACUUGGGUGGCUCAGUUGGUUAAGCUUCCGACUUCAGCCCAGGUCAUGAUCUCACAAUUCUUGAGUUUGAGCCCCGCAUCAGACUCUGUUCUGACAGCUCAGAGCCUGGAACCUGCUUCAGAUUCUGUGUUUCCAUCUCUCUCUGCCCCUCCCCCACUCAAGCUCUGUCUCUCUCUCUCUCUCUCUCAAAAAUAAAUAAACAUUAAAAAAAAUAAGAAAAAACGAAAACAUAAAAAGCCACUGUGUAGCAAAAGUUGCUGAUUGUGAGAUCACCUGCAGAUCUGAAGACACUUUCAUCACAUAUAGCAAAGGACAAGUAUCUAGGGAAAUGCUAAACCAGUAAGUAAAACACAAAAAAUAUAUAGAAAAAUGAGGAAAGAAAAUGCACAGGAAAUUCACAUAUGAGUAAUUGUAAAUAGUCCCCAACCUUAAUAAUCAAUCUAGGGAAUUCAAAUUGAAAUAAUAAUGAGAAAAAUAAUUUCUCAUCCAUCAGACUAGGAAACAUUUAAAGGUAUGAAAAGUACAAGUGUUGGUGAAGGAAUAAGGGAAAAUUAUGAUUAUCCUGAAUUUCUAGAGAAAUAUAAAUUGAUAAUAUACUUGCAAAGAGCAAUUUGGCUGUCUUGAGUGUAUGCAUUCCCUAUGACCCAGUAAUUCUGAUGCGCGCACACACACACACACACACACACACAUUUAUACAAUAUGUACAUACACUUCCAGACUCACUCCAGAGAAUAUUGUGGACAUGUGCACAAACACACCUAUACCAGAAAAUUCAUUGCAAUUCUAUUUAAAAUGGAAGAAAAAUAUAAACCAUCUUCAUGCCCAUUAUUUGAAGAAUGGAUGGAAUACUUAAGAAGUUUUCAAAUACUUAAGAAGUACAAGGUAAUGAUGAGAUCUGAAACACAUAAUUUAAGUGAAAAAGUGUGCUAAAUUAUAUGUAGUACAUGUACAAUAUGAUGUCAUUCAUGGAAAUUUUUUAAAACACCCACAAACAUUAAACAAUACUGUAUAUUCAUACAUAUAAUGUUUUCAAAAACAUCAAAUGGAAAAGAUUCUUAAUCCAUGAAAGUGGUAGCUACUAGAAAGGGAAGAAGAAAUGAGACUCACACCAAAAACCAGAGGGGAUGUCAAUCUUACCUAAAAUGUUUGAUUUUCUUAUUUAAAAAAACAUUUAAGGCAGUUGUGACAAAAAUGUUAAUAAUUACCAAUUAUUUGUCAUAGGCCCAUGGAUAUUUAUAAUUCUUUGUCAUUUUUGCUACUUUUAUAAAUGUCUUCAAAAUUUAAAUAUGAUCUCAGGAGACGAAGAGCUACCUUGAAAGUCUUGAAUGAGUCAUUUUGAUGCUUGAGGGUCAGGAUUCAGGUCAGAGUUUCUCUGGUCAUUCCCUUCAAAUGGCCCUAGGAAAAUUCAAGCUCCAGCUCAUGGGAAAGAAAGGUAACAUGACAAUCCAAGUGAUUUUUGAUGAUAUGUUUACAACUCUCAGAGGAACCAACCAUAUAAAUUUACUUUUUGGCUAAAAAUCAAAUAUGAAAUACGAAGCAAAGAAAAUUCCAUAUUUGUGGGGCGCCUGGGUGGCUCAGUUGUUUAAGCAUCAGACUCUUGGUUUUGGCUCAGGUCAUGAUCUCAGGGUGGUGAGUUUGAGCCCCACAUCGGGCUCCCCUCUGACAAAGUGGAGGCUGCUUGGGAUUCUCUCUCUUUCUCUCUCUCUCUCUGCCCCUUCCCUGCUCACUCUCUCUCAAAAUACAUAAACUUAAAAAGUUUAGCAAAUUCCAUAUUUGUUUAUUCAAACUCAUUGUAAUUAAACUUUCAACACACAUUGGGGAGUACCUUCCCCUGUGGAAGGUACACAUGGAUAAUAAACCACUUUCUUGGGAGUAGAGCACCAAACUCACAUUUUACUGGGCAGAUACCCUUACUUCCAUAUCUCCCCCAGGUCACCUUUCUAAGUAUUGCGUGCAAAAAUGCUGAGAAGGAGGUAUUACUAUUCCCAAUCUACAAAUUAAUAUAUUGACAGUGAACUAGCCCAAGGUCAUCAUCAAUUAGUAAGUGCCAGACUUUAUUCUCAGACUCAGAUUUUCUGACAGGAGCUUCCAUGUUGCUAGAGCAGACAUUGGAUGUUUUCAGAGAAGUGAGAUGCAUAUUAACACUCUUUGGAGACGUACGGUGUUCUGUAGAAAGCAAAACUUUCCAACCUUUGCUUCUGUCCUUGAAACUGAGAAAUAAAAUUGGAAGUGGAACUAAUAGUCUUUGGAAGGCAGGCCUGCCUACCAUUUAGCGUUCAUUCCCACUGGGCAGGAACCAUGUCAUUGGCCAUGGUUUGCUCUGUGCUGAGGGCAUGGACGCUCAGAUGGAGAGUGCCCUCAGAGCAUGCCUUGCACCUGCCAGUGACAAAUUGUCAUCUGGGAGGUCUGUGAGCACCUAAUUGACUCUUCUUCGUUCAGAGAACACACUCCCCUCGUGCAGAGAGCCCAAGGAGCAAGGUGCUGAAGUGCACAGGACAUAAGAUCCAAGCUUCCAGAGUCACGGUUUCCUUUCAGCUUCCUUUGUGACUUUAGCCAGAAUGGCCUUUCUGAUCCUUAAAACUCCUGCAUUGAAAAUGGUGCCAGUUCUUAGAUGGCCAGUAUGUUGAUGGGACUAAAUGAACAGAGUAUGCUGGGUAACAAAGCAAUUGUUGAGCAUUUUCCGAUGGUUUGUCUUGACCCUCAAGUCCCCAUCCUCUGAGGUAAAAAGGAAAAUUCCUAAAACCUUCAUUUCACGGUAGAGACCUCAGAGAGGUUACAGGACACUCUAGUGAACGGCUCCCUGAUUUCUGAGAGGUAUUUUCAGCCUAACGAGUACACGUGAGCCUUGACAGACGAUCCACUAGUUAUUAUUCUCAGGCCUGACAGCAGCCUUCCAAAGUUGCCAAACGGCUGCCUCUUUUCUCCGAGUUAGGUGCGGCUCAGCCUAACACUUACAGGCCCUGCUCGCAUCCUCCAGAGGGGACACCUGCAUAUAUACAGGUGUAGCCACCAGAGGACCUCUGUGUGUGAAGACCUUUUUAACUCAGGAAAGUUUAGAAACAACCGAGCCAUUGUAGACGCUGAGUCCACAAAGUGGAAUGAAUUGUUUAUAUGUUACCAGUAAGUGAUAUGUGCAGGGGUAAGUGCACAUUCACGUCCUGGGGUAUACGGUGGUGCACAACACAAGCACGUAGCGAUGGCAUACUUGGGAUGUUACCUUUCCACCAAGUAUACUUGCCAAGAGUGUUGUUCCCCUUGCUUCCAUGCCACUUGGGGUUCUCUCCGCCCCAAUUACCAUCUUGGGCCACCCUGUCAUCCCAUCCCACUAUGCUUGUCUAAACCCCACUGUUCCUUCACAUCGCUCCUCAGGAAGGACUCCUCGGCCCUCCCAUAUCUAGAUUUGGUCACUCCCCCGCGUUCUUGCAGAUAGCCCCCACUUUCUUUUGUGACGUGUAGCUCAUCAUAUGAGUAAUUAUUGGCAUCGUCUGUGCUGGAGAUGGAGAAGUGCGCCUGGGGAGGGCUCAAGAGUUUCUCAAGGACACAGGCCUAUACACAGAAUGAGGUUCCUGCCCUCAGGGUGGUCCCCCCAGGCCUCCUCAGUCACUUCAUGUGUGGACUUCCCUUCUCGUGUCAGUAUCAUCAGGAGAAGGGUGUGGAGCUCAUUACGUGCUGUGUGGUCCCCUCCCACCAUAUCUCCUGACACCAGCUAGAGUUAGGGUGACUCAGCUCGGUUUUCACUAGUCCCUAUCUUGGCGAUCCUGCUUUUUUAUAGAAACCUAUCUUCCCUAGAUUCAUUGUUAAUGUUAUUUCUAAAAUACCAUGUUACCUAUUUUUAUAUUUUUAUCUUAUAUCCCACCACCCACUUGUUUCCACACCUGUACAAUAAGACGGUUGGAGAAUAUAAAUCUUCAAGGUUCUUCCCAGGCUAAUGGUCUGAGUCUGUGGAAUGUCCCCUUAGUGGGUUAAGCCAAAAGAAAUAUCCCCCCGGUUUAAGCGGCUACUGUCUGAGGGCCACAGAAGCAGCUUAAAUGAACACUAUUGAUACCAAAGAUGCUGUUGCCUUACUUAUUUUUCUUCCCUUCCCACCUGUUCCAGGUGCUUAACCCUCCACCCCCACGGGCCUCAUGGAGCAUCAGUGCUCCCGCAGAGAUCCCAUACAUAUUACUUGAUGAACGCUGUGACACGGGCAAGUUAGCAGUGAUUAGAAUCUAUUUGCCUUCACUUCGUCUCGUGGCAGAUUAUACUUGUAUAUUAACUUGAUAAUUCUCUGAUUACCGAGGAGUUCAACUGAGGCUCUCAGUCUCCUCCGUCCUCAUUAGCCUUGUCCAGCUGAGCUUGGGCUGGCCUGAACCAUCACUACAGUCGUCUCACUCGGUGGCGGGCAUGAGAAUGAUUCGUUCUGGGAACCGUAUCUCUGUUGCUGUAAACUAUUUGCAUACCAUGCGGACUUGCACAGACCUAGCCUGUGCGAGGUCCCAGAAGCAGUCUGCUUUCACCUCCCCCCUUAUCUGAGAAGUGGCUGUGCAUUAUUCAGUAAAUGGCCCCAUCCAAGGCAUUGACACCACUCAUGAAACAGAAUUUAAAUCUCGAUAUUUUGAGAGGCAACAUGCCAUAGUGGUUGUGUGCAUAUCCUUGGGACCAGAGAGCUAUAUUUUAGGCAACUAGGUGAUUUUGUUAGAGUUACUUAAAGUUUCUAAGCCUCAGAGUACUUAUCUAUAAAGUCAAAAUAAUAAUAGUGCCCACCUCAUAGGAUCGUUAUGAGAAUAAAGUGAAAUAUAUAUAAAGUAUAUAGCAAUAUAUGUGAGUUUCCAUUAUCGUUAAUAGUAAGCAGUAUCUUUCUAUGGAACGAUAGAAGUGCAGAGAGGCAAGAGAAAGAAUGUUUAUUUUAUGAAUAAGGAAAUAAAGGUAGGCGAAGAGAAAUGAUUUCAUACCCUCCUUAUCAAGCAUGUACCGUGGGCCAGUCCCUCAACAUCAAAAUCCAAUAUCUAAUGCCAGUCUCUGCCCUCAAACAGUAAGAAGUAGCUUGUGAAAUGUGCCUGUGGGAACAGGGAAGCCUUCCCAAGGGAAGUGUUGAGUAAAUUGUCUUGAUGAACCAUCUUUUAAUACCCUAACUCAUUUCUUAAAACCAUCUCUAAUGUUACCUCCUCCAUGAAGCCCUCUUUAUUCCCUCUUCCCUGCCCAAUGCAUAAUCAACCACUUUCUCCUCUAUGUAAUUUCUGUAGUUUGUCUACACUAUACAUUUGCAUAUAAAAUGCACAUAAAAAGUGGAGAUUUUUAAAUUCUUGGUCAGUUGUCUCUAACACCGGCACAUAGCCUGGUGUCUAUGAUGCAGCAAAGGCAAUUGUAAUUGCUCACAGAGUGUUUAAUGUGCUUACUAUGCAUAGGCACCCCCAUAAGUACUAGAUUUAUAACAACCUAACCUCCUGGUAACUCAGUGAGGGUGCUGAGACACUGACCACUAUAGUGAUUUGCUCUAAAUUACUCAACAGCCAGGAUCUGAAUCCAAGUAGUGUGGCCCCGGAACCCCUGAUCCUAACCAUUGUGUAAUAACUCUCCACAAAUGCUUGCUGAAAUGGACAUAGUAAUAGUCAUCAAGUGCAAGGCACUUUACACGUAUUCUUAAUACUAUUCCGAUCCUCAUAUUAUAAAUGUGUAAACUGAGGCCCAGCAUGUUUAUGUAGCUUUUCUCCUGCCGAACAGGAGGCUAGAGUACCUAUGCAAGUGCUAGAGUAUGUCAUUUGUAACACUAAGUGAAUGGUAAUACAGUUGGAUUAUCGGUGUGAGAAGUUGGUGGGUAGACGGCUAAGCUUGAGAAGCUCUGUAUUGCAAUUCCCUGCUCCCUCCCCAACAUGUGGAAAGAACAGUAAUGGAGACAUGAAAGGACUCCAGAGUGUGAAAAUAGCAAAAGUGUGAAACCAAGAAAAUGUUUGUUAAGUUUCACAUGAGGUAUCGUGUGGAUUUGUCUGUCUGGAACUUUGAGCCUCAUUCUCUAGAAAAUGGAGAGGCUUCAAAAGAUUUAGGACCAGAAGUGAACAUGACAUUGUCUGUUACUAUUCCUCUUUUAAAGUCAUUGCAUUGUUUAUUAUCCCUCUGAAUUUAUAAUAGCUUAACACCAGAUCUCUGGGUAAAUACCAAUGGAUAAACACUUAUAAAUACGCAUUUGCCACUAGCCCCCUAAACACAGUGCUCGGAGACAGUGCUAUAAAACCCAGAUCUUCACGAUGCCAGCCUUGAUGUACAUGUGUGAUUCAGGGCCCACUUCUACCAUUCACCUGCGCAUUUUAUAAAUUAGGGCAUUAUCCUCCUUUUAGAAGCUGCUUCUAACCACCAAGAGUGGUAAUCUUGCAUCUUUCUCUAUUUGAAAUCGUAAAACUAAUUGAACAAUUCAUUGAACCUAAUGGCUUUAGAAAAAUCAAUAAUUGCCUCCUGUUACUGAUAUAGUGGAAACGUGUGUUAAGAAAUUAUCCAAUAUAGAAAUAAGCCAGUUAAAAUAAAUAAUUCAAUAAGCUGCCUGGCAGUCUAUUCAAAUUUUGAACUUGAACGAUGACACAGAGUUUUUUAAGUAUAAAUAAUGAAAAAAAUAUACUCAGUGUUGCCAGGGCAUAGACUAAAGCUACGGCCAGCCAGACGCCAGUUCCUGGCAUUUACCCUACAACUCCUGACUUUGUGAUCAGUAAAAAGGCUGUUGGCGGUAAGGUGUCUAUGUGGGGUGUGUAUGAAUGCUGGCUCCCAGUUAGCAUGGUUAGCAUUUGAGAUCAGAGCAUGGCAGUAAUAAUGUGUUCCUCAGAUAUAUCUAGUAAUUCAGGCACCUGGGUGGCUCAGUUAAGCAUCCAACUCUGGAUUUCAGCUCAGGUCAUGGUCUCACGGUUUGUGUAAUUGAGCCUCAAGUAGGGCUCCACUGCUGAGUAUGGAGCCUGCUUAUGAUUCUGUCUCCUCUUCUCUCUCUGCCCCUCCCCUGUUUGCAUGCUCUCUCUCUCUCUCAAAAUAAAACAAUAAUAAUAAAUAUAUCUAGUAAUUUACAAAGCACUUUCACAUCUAGUCAUAUCUAGCUAUCAGUCACCUAGGUAUUUUGCAAAUGGGAAAACCAGGGGCUGGUAACAUGAAUUGACCUGUAUGUAGUUACAUUGCUAGUCCAUACAAGAAUUGAAAUUAUAACACAAGUUUUUAAGCUCUGUCCACUGCUCAGCUUACUAUUAUUAUUAGCUUUAACUUUUUAUUCCCUUCUACAUUCAAAAGAAUCUGCAGAACCCAAGUGCCUGUUUUCAAUCCAAGGAACCUACAGUUAAGAAAGGUCAUUUGGUCAAGGUCACACGGCUGAAACAGGAGAGAGCUAGGAUUUGAACAUGACCCUUUGGACUCCCAGUUUAGGGUGCCUUUCUUAUACUCUUCAGCUUAGUGUAUCUCUUCCAAGGUAAUGAGGUGAGAUAACCAGGGAGAACACAAUCCCUGGCUAAGAACCAGAGGUGUUCCAAAGCAGAAUCUGGAACCUGGGACUGAGCCCAAUCUUCAGCCAGUUUCUUUUUUUAACUUUAUUUAUUUAUUUUGAGAGAGACAGAGACAGGGUGCGUGGGGGAGGGGCAGAGAGAGAGGGAAAAGGAGAGAGAAUCCCAAGCAGGAUCCACAUUGCCAGCCCAGAGCCCAAUGUGGGGCUCAAAUUCACAAAACUGCAAGAUCAUGACCUAAGCCAAAACUGAGAGUUGGAUGCCUCACCAACUGAGCCACCCAAGCUCCCCCAGCCAGUUUUUUAAGGUGACCUGCUUCUCUUCCCUCAUUCUGAAUCAUUGGGGAUACAAACAGAUGGGGGCAGAUGUUUGUACCUGACAGAAACCUGGGUCAUGGGUCCUGAUGUCUUGAAGACAAAAAUUGUAGCAGGACUCUGAGAGGAAAAUAAAAUGGAAUGAUAACACUUGUCUUUCCUGCUGGUCUUUUUCCAUUGCCUCAGAGUCUCAAAAUGGUCACAUCACAGGUGGUGAGUGCAAGCAAGAAAACAAAACAAAAUGAAACACAGGGCAGGGAAUGGUCCAGUGUGAGCUGUGGUUCAAGACACUCAGCCUUUCCUUCACUCAUUUUUCUUGUUCACUAUUAUAUCCUGUGUACAAACUGAACCUAAAAUAUACCACUUAGGAUGUACCAGGCAUUGUUCUUAAGUGAUCAUGAAUAUUAAUUCAUCUAAUCCUCAUAGUAACCAGUGGGUAGAUACUUCUAUUACAACCAUUUAACAGACGAGGACAUUGGGACAUGGAAAGAGCAAGUGCCUCACCCAAGGAGCCAUAGUGGAUGAACAAGGAUUCCAUUGAAUGUAGGCCCCGAGUCUCUAGAACCCAUAUUCCAAAGUGCCAUGCUACCCUCCAGUUCCCAGUACUCUGUGCGUGCCAUCUGAGAUCUGGUCUCGCACAUGACACUGUGCCACUGAGCUCAGGGGCUGCAUCAAUGGACCUUCUUGCCUUCUGGCUUCUGGCCGGGUUUGGCCAAUGGAAAGCACCAGCAGGAAGUCAGAUGGAAGAAGAUGGGUUAGUGCAGUUAGUCUCCUGACUCCCUCCCUGCCAAGACCACAGGUUCCUCCACUUGAGGCCACAGCUCCUAUGGAAAAGCCCUCUCCAAUAGCUACAACUCUUACCAUGUCCUCCUGGCUCAGGGUAAUGCAUCUACUUGGUCCCUGAGGCUUAAGUGUGGUAACGCCCCCCCCCGCCCCCCGGCCCACUGUCGUGACCCUGGGUGUUUCACCUUAACCAUAGCCACACUUAUGUCAUCUCCUCAGUUUACUUCAUGUGAAUGAGCCACCUGUUCCAUGCUGGGACCCUAACUGUUUUGGACUAAACCCGAUAGUUGUUUCAAUCUCCAUAAAAAGUCCGAAAUCAGGAAUCUAACCACCUGUCUCAUGCAGUGUUGUUUGCACAAGGUUAGCCCUCAAUAAUUUAUGUGUUGGAUAGAGAAAAGAAGGGAGUGAGGAGGGAAGAGAGGGAGGAGGAGGGAAGGACAGAAAGACAGGGAGGGAAGACUUAUAGGCCCUAUAAAGAAAUUUAGAACACCAUUCCAGCUCACUUCACCUGGAUUAGUCAUUUCCUUUUCUUACAAAUAAUCGUAACUUGGGUCACAAAGCUCUAUGACAUGUUAUUUCACUUUGAGCAGAUAUACUGGCAUGCCCACUUUACAGUUCAUAAAACUGAUCAUCAAAGAGGUGAAAUAAUUUGUGUUAAGUUCACAUGUCAGUGAAGUGUAUGAGCCUGGACUCAGCCCAGAAAUUAUGAUUCCAAAGCCAAUCCAUUUUCGUCUCUAAAGCUGUAAUCUGAGCAUUAGGUGUCUGCUCUGUGACAAUGACCCAGAUCUUCAAAGUCACACCCACCUUGGAGGAACAUCUCUCUCUUCACCACAGCUUCAGUCAUAAUGGGAGUUUGACUUCGGGCCAUUCCCAUCACCAAUGAGUUCUGCCUCUUUAGGUUUUCUCCUUGCUCUAUGGCUCCAUUGAACACUAAUCUUAACCGCAAAACAGUUCAGAUGUUGAGAAGCACAUUGGUUUUGUAAAGUUCCUUUCAUUUUCUUCUUCCAAGGUAGCCCAAGAGCCAUUUUUAUAAACAGCAUACAACAAUCCAUGUAGGGAGGCACAAAUGUGCUUUUCUGAUAAUUCACUUUGAAAAAUGUAAGUCUUUUAAAAAAAAAAAAACUAAGAUAUUGAUAUUUGUACAGAUGGGUGGCAUUUGAAUGUAUCACCAUGAAGUCCCCUGAGGACUUGGAAGGUCUCUCUGAGAAAUGUUUAUUUUGAGAAUCAGAAAGGCCAUCCCUUCUCCACAUCCCGUUGAUUUCAUUCUCCUGGAAGGACAUCAAUCCUGGGCCCAGACAGCGCCUUUACAGUCGAUUGGAAAUACCAGUCAUUUAAGAGCCCACAUUUUUUUUUUUCUGAUAGGGGGAAAAUGUAUGAUUAUGUCUUUGAAUAUUUAACAUUCUAAACAAGUGGCCAAAAAAUGAACCGUAUAAGCAUCUAUUUGUGUGAGCAAAGGUCAAAGAUAUGAGAUUGGAUGGCUUAUUUUGGACUAAACCAAGGAGUAGCUUCAUUUUCUAUAGUCUCAAAUCAGGAAUUUCUUAACUAAAAGGGAGAUAACAGAACCGGAAAGACAGCACAUUCCCUCUUUUGUCCCUUCCACUCUACAGCAAGCUUCUUAUGAGAGAGGCAAUUUCUUUUUGCUUGGUUUUCUGUCCUUCCCGCUAGCAUACUACCUAACAGGUAGUCAGUGCUUCUUAUGUCAUUACUGAAUGAUUAACUGACUGGCUAAGUGAAUGGUUCAUAAAGCCUCUUAUUUUUAUUUUCAUUUACUCCCCAAAAUUCCAGUAAGAUAAGCAAGGGCGGGAAUCAUUCUUACUGUGACUACCCAGUAAAAAAUGGGCCGCAGAUGCAUCAUAGAUCUUGCCUAAAGUCACACAGCAAAGUAGCAGCAGAGUCAGGAGUAAAAUCUUGGUCUUCUAAUGACAAGGUCAGCAGUCUUUAUAAUUCUUUGACCUGGUCUCACUUCCUUUCCUUUGUUUUAGCUUUCAUGUGGUUUACUAGCUUAUACUUUGGAGGGGAAAUGGCUUUUGGAAACUGCAGGACUGAAAACAAAGCUCUUCCUCCGUAGAAACCAUGAAAUCCCCAAAUGAAAUGGGAGGCAUUGAAUUUCCUGAUACAGAGAUCAAUGUAAUAGAAGAGAAGUGAAUGACAGAUAUGAAAUUAAUGGCAUUUAAAUUUAUGCAGUUACAAUAGAAAACAAUUCUUCUGGAAUGCCUUCCUGAGUCUUUGAUACGUAGUGGUAAUUAAAAGAGCUCCUUUAAAUCAUUUAUUAUAAUUAUGUUUUAAAUGAUCCAGUCCUGAAUGUAACCAGCUUUUUGUUGUUUACUGGUAGCUGGUGACAUUUGGAAUUGACUAGACAUUUGCAAUAAUUUGACUACUUUUCACAGACAAAGAACUGAACUGCCUCUUGCAAUUGGGAAAGCCUAACAGAUCCUCUGUGGACCCCUCACUUUCUACUGGGCCUCCGUGAUCUGAUACACUCCCUGGGCAAAAAGAAUCAGCAAGAGUUAAGCAACGAUGGAACUGAAGAUCAGACACAUUCUGCAACUUUCACAGGCAAAAGGUUUUAAUGAAAAAGUGGAGAGCUCAUGACAUGCUUUGGUUGUAAGACUUGAGCCUCUGCAAUUCCAGGCUGUGAGUGAGAUUUGCAGAGUUGGCUAAAAUUUUGUGCUUCUGGGGUAGGGUUAGAAAUGCAAUCCACAUUCCACUGUUCAGCGCACUGUUUUUCUCCCAUUUUAGCUGUCUGGCAUCUUUGCUUAAGGCUUUGUGGCUUACAGGCAAAGAAACUGAGGCUCAGAGAGGUUGAGAGUUUUGCCUAAGGCCACAUAGCUCAUAUUGAGUUGGUGGAGGGGACUACUUUUGGCUCUCAGUUAGAUGCCUUCUCCAGCUAUGCCCCCAGGGCUGCUUUUGUGAUUGUGCGGUAUUUUGCAAGGAUUACCACCGUGUAGUACUUGUAAACUUGUACCCUCAUUUAAAUGGUCAGGUUCAGAGCAGUAAUGUGGCAUUCGCCCAAAGCCACACUUUGAGUGGCGAGGACAAGACUUUGAUGCAGGCUCCUGAGUCAAGUUUAUGACUCUUUGAUCAAAGCACAGCUUCCUGGCUUAGAGAAGUCAAGGAGGUAUAUAUCCUGGGUCAUCAGGGAGCUUGGGGAAGGACAUGGCUAGGUCAGCAAGAAGUCAUUCCUUCCCCAUGUAAGGGCUGUGUCUCAAGGAUGCUGACAUUUUCUGAACUCUUACGAUGAUAUCUGGAAUAUUUUUUCUUUACUUCCCUUUCCUGAGCUUCCUCUUCCCAAAGCAAGCCUCUAGGUAUGGUUUCUUCAACAUGCCAACCCCUCUGUUUGCCAUGUCUCCCCAUCCCAGCCCCCACUUCAUCCUCCUCACCCUCUCUGCUUUUCUUCUCCUUCAGACUCUGGGCUCUAAUCCACUUCUGGAAGAGCAUGAGUUUUCUCUCAGUUAGCAUUUGGCAAAUGACUCGAUCUCUCUGAGCCUCAGGUUCUUCGUUGUAAAGGAGUAUCUCUAAAUUGCAAAUAUCUAAAUCGAUGGUGGUCCCCUAACUUAUUUAUAUUUGUGCCCCUAGGGCCCAGCUCAGCUCCUACACAUAGUAAAUGAAUGACCAAAUCCUAUAAGGAUUAGAUGAGAUAAACCUGGAACUGGCCUACCACAGGUCUUAGCACAUAAGAUUCAUUCUUUCAUCUGUGGAAAAUCCAUUGAGGGCCCACAGCAUGCCAGGAGCCAUUAGGCAAUUUGGAUAUAACAUUGGAUUAAACAGCUAAAGAUUCCUGUCCUCUUGGAACUUAGGUUCUAGGAGGACAAGACAGACCCUAAAUGAUACUCAUACUCAACAAGUAAAGCAGGUAGUAAAUACCACUGAAAAUGUUUUGAAAGAGAGCUGAGAAAUGGGGAUCAGAAGAGAGGUUAGAGGGAGCAGGUUGCAAUUUCAGAUAGGUCAUCUUGGGCAGCCUUAUGGAAAAAGCAACACAUGAGUUCAAUAGUUUCAAUUUCCUCAUCUUCAUCCUUUCCUGUCUCCCUCUCUUUUUUCUCCCUCAACCCAAGUUCUUCCUAUACAAUGCUCGACUCACUGGCAAGGUUAGAAAAUACUGGAGAACGUAGGCACUCAGUCCUGUUGUUCUAGCUGCAGAAGUGGACACAUAAUCUGCAGGGCCCAGUGCAAGAGGAAAAUCAGAGCCCCUUAUUCAAAAAUCAUUAUAGAUGUCAACACGGCAAUAGCAGAACAUUAAACCAAGUUCAGGGUCCUUCUGCACAGGUCACACAGUGGCUGCUUGUGGCCUCCAGAGAUCUGCCAUGUCACCACUGGAAUUGUGUUGACUCAGGCCCAGCCUCUCCUCCCUCUGGCUAUGGCAGUCAGUCUCGCCACCUGCUUUCCCUUGCACCUGUCCUGGACCUGGAGUCAGUCUCGUUUCUCACCAUCUUCCUGGCUUCUUCUACAUAGGGCCCUGUAUGGGCAGACCCGACACACAGGUACUGAGGGAUUAUUAAAGCCAGCAUCUGUCCUUAGGAAUCAGUAAACCGUCCUGUGCCGGGUGUUUAUUUUCUCCAGAUUUAAUGGCAAGGGAACAUAAGUGGGUGGAGGACUUCAGGAUUUAUUUCCUUCUGAUCACCAGAGCACUCUCUCUCGUAGGGCCAUUUACCUGAUAAAUUGUACCAGUAGGUCUCAAUGCUGAUGAGCCUCCAACCUGCUCAGGCUGUUGCCCUGUCCUGACAGUGAGUGAUCUGUUCCUGCCUUGCCCAGCCCAGCCCAGCACUAGAUUAACAGAGUUGCCUUAAAGGAGCACAGCACUUCAGUUGCCCCUUUUCCUCUACCACCCUUGUCCCACCCUGCAUCUUACAGGUGAGGAUACUAAACCUUGAGAGGAGACCUGACUUGCACAACACCCCACAGUAACUGUCGUGAGAGUUCAGCUGGAUCUUCUGACUCCAGCACCACUGUUCUUCCAAGUGUUGCUUUAUGAUGUGUGCAUUUAUUUUGCAUCCCCUGCCUACUUCCUAUGAAAGGACUUGACUGCAGACAUCUUAUUCCAGAAUGCACUUCCCCCACUAAUGCCCUUUAUCUAAAAUCACAUGAGAUGUCAGAGCCUGGAGGUGCCAGAAUGCCUUUGGUUCCUUGCCCAGGCCCGUAUUAUUCUGAAGAAGCAAAUAUAGUUCUCAAACAUAUACACAUCCCAGUCUAAGUAAACAAGAGGGACAGAAAUAGAGAAAGGAGAGGGGGAAGAAAACACUAUAGGAUAUGCACUUACGAUCUCCAUCCCUCUAGGCAUUGAGUCCUUUUUUUCUACUGCUUUAGUAUGGUAAAGGAUAUAUAACCAAAUUUAUCAUCAUAACCAUCUUUACAUGUAUGUUUCUAUGGUAUUAAGUACAUUCAUAUUGUUGUGCAAUCAUCAACACCAUCUGUCUCCAGAACUUUUCAUUCCAAUUUUUUUCUUGAAUAUGAAAUGCUACUGGCUGAAACAGAAUGCAGCCCACGAUGGUGUUUGCUUCAGUGAUAUGCCAAUUUAACACACCCUCACAGGCUGGAAAUCAGUACCCUUCCUCCCUGAACCCUGAGAGCACCGAGAACAGAAAGGCCAAGUGCCCCCCACCCUGGCAAAUGUAGCCACAGUUAGCUAACUGGGGUACCAUGUACCUGCAUUUAAGGAAGUGCCUAGGAGAAGUCAGAGACAGGACUUGGGAAAGAACAAAAACCCUGAUUUUAUGAGAACAGCCCUUCCAUUCCUGUCAUUCUUACAUGGAUGCGGAAAAUUUCCUGUGUGUACGAGAGCUUUGUAUUAAGUGAGCCAACCUGGAAGAGGGCUCUGCCCUGAAAGCGUAGAGUCUUCUUCAGGAAGAACAAAAUAUUCUUUCCGGGUUUGAGGUCUGAGAACUUAAGAGACAGACCCAGAGACAGAAGCAGACAAGCAUGGAAAAAGAGCUGGAUGCUAUGAAACAGACAAGCACCCGGAGUCAUACGACAGACAUGCCAGAAAAACACACACACGCAACCAAAAAUACACAUAGUCACUGACAUUUAUUGAAUGCUUACUCAGUGCCCUGUGCUGUGCUAAGUGAAGAAAGAAAAGUACGGAGAUCUUAAGGAACUUGCCCAUGGUCACACAGCUCAUUUAGUGAGCUUCAAGUAGUGCACUGUAAUGGUGGAAUUUAAAUGUGUUGAAUUAAAUUUGUAAAUCCCAUGACUUGAAAAUAGAAUGAAGAUUGUAAUAUUCAUGUCAGAGCUUAGUUUUCAUCUAGCAGGCCAUAGGGAGCCAUUGAAGGCUUUUAAAUAUGGGAGUGAUAUAGUCACAAGAAUGUGUUCAGAUGAUCCCUGUGAUGAGGCUGCCUUCGAUGCAUUGGAAUGGGAGGGGCUAGCAGUGCUCCUCUCAGGUGGAGAGGUGGGUGAGUUGGGAAGGAUAACUCAAGUGAGCGGGGUCUCACAGACCUAAGGCUACUCCUACUCAAAGUAGCCUCCAAUCCAUCAUUUUGCUUCCAUUUAUCCAUGUCAGGUGUGAUGGGCAGCUUUCAGGCCUGUUGCUCUGCCUUUUCACCUUCUAGAGGAUUCUUUCUUCCUCAUGAAUCACGCAUGAGCCCUUAGGCUCCCACAGUUGGAAAGGCAUAUAUGAAAUGGCAAUGCAGAAGAAUGUAAGAUAUUGAAUAUAUCACAUUGGUUAUGAGAUGCUAUGAACUUUCUGGGUCCACUUCUCAGGUUAUUCAGGGAUGGAAAGUAGGCUUCACUCCCACAUGCCUGGUGUCACCAAUGGGUAGCUCCUGCUGGAAACACUACAUUAAGAAGUUUGAGAGGGUGCUCUGCUCAAGUCAUGGUGGCAUCGUUUUGUUGGUUAGGCAAGCCUUUUAAGGGUAGAGGGAAGGGAAUUGAUAGCACAUAUGACAAGUAAUUUGCCAUUAUUAGGCUAUUGGAAUUAGCUUCUUUGGAGUUCUUUUCUGUUCCCAAGGCUGCAGCUUUUCAGGCUCUAUAUGGAGUUUGAGUGUACAACCAAAUCAGUUUCCUAGAACUCAACAUACAUACCUGGGGCACCUGUUCAAUGUACGGCAGACUCCUUGCUGCAGUCUCUAUGUAAGGUGCAAAGUACUCCUUGCUUCUGGAUGUUAUGCCUAUUCUUUUGAGACAGUACUGAUGAGAAAUGAUGAGUCUUUGUAUCUAGAAAUUCUGCAUACAAAGACUGAACUGGUUUUAGAAGACUUCAUGCCACUGAGAACCUUUGGAAGAGGGUGGGCUAAGGGAUUAUUUAGCCUAGCUUAAAGUCUCUCCUUGGAAAAAUUAUACAUUCACUCUAUGUUUGAUUUAUUCUUCUAUGUGUUUUAGAAUAAUAACUAUGAUGAUAUAACAAGAAGAGAAGAACGUAUCUUAACAGUCUACUUCCUUAACCAACUGGUGAGAUUAAUCAACAUUCCCUUUUCCUUCUAUCAGUUGUGCUGAUGGAUGCCCCCACCCCCGCAUGCCAAAUGCUGAUGAGUAGGAGCCACUCUAAGGUGUACCUACUUACUUGUGUUGCAAGUGACCAGCUGCUAGUCAUAGUCACAUAUCCUAAGAGGUUCCUUGUUCUCCUGUGCCCAGAAGCAGCAUGGUCUAAUGGCGAAGAGCCUGGAUCCAGAACCCAGAUUCAGAAACUUGGUUCAAAUCCUGCUGUGUCACUUACUAGAUGGCCUCAAGCAGAUUACUUAUCCUCUUUGUGCUCAGUUUCCUCAUUUGUAAAAUGAAAAAGUUAAUCCUAACUAUCUCAUAUGGGUUAUUAAGAGGACUGCAUGAGUCGGUAUUUUUAAAGCCCUAAAAUAGUACUUGGUGCAUACUAAGUGCUAAUUACUGUUUUUUUAAGGAAAAUCAAGCAUCUAGGCACAUGGUGGAUUCUUACGUAUUAGAUCUACCUUUCCUUCUAAAUGCAAGCAGGAGGUUUUUAUAAUUUGCUACUGGGUUUUGAAGAAAAGUAUACAUCCAAAGAUGUUGGAUAUUUCGACUCCAGGCAAUACAUCGAUUGUAGGAAGUGGUCUCCAACUAGCAGGAUUUGGGUUCAUCGCUCAACCAUUGUUUUCCUUCAUUGCAAAUAUCCUUUGCUUAUGGCAUCACAGGACUCUCUUGACAAGGAAGAGUUCCUCGAGGAUGCUGAGUGGGAAAAGAGGGUGGCUGCAGGCCAGGAGUGAAGAGCUGAGGGAAGUCUGGGGGUGAGGAGUUGACUAGAAAAUUGUAACAUCAAUAUUAGCAGACAGGCUAAUGAAGGAAUGCAAUUUGCAGACGCCUAUCUCGCACUUUCCCUCCCUUCCAGGGAGCUGGCAUAUGCUAAUCAGGAUCAUCUAAGCCUGGCCCAGGAUCAGUGCCAGCUUUGUAUCGGAGGAAGGGCUUUGAGGAUGGGAGGGUGACCUCCCUACUUUGAACAAAUGAUGACCUUUAAAUGUUUGAAGUCUCUGUAGGCAAACCAUGGACACUGAUAGAACAAGCAGACAGCUGGAAAGAAAUUGGUCAGAGCUUGAAAAAAUAUGAGAACACAGCAAAGGAGGAGGGGAAGAGAAAGGAAAUAGCUCAUAUGUAUGUUCUGUGUGGCAGGCAUUCUGCCAAGCAUUUGAUAUUAGCUUAUUUGUGCUUCAGCACAACCCCAUUAGGUAAAUAUUGAUAUCCCCAUAUUACAGAUGAGGAAAUAGGCCUGGAGAUCCCACCGUCACACAAGUCACAUGGCAAGGUUACGAUAAAUGCCCAGGUCCAUCUGAUUCCAUGCCUCGUGAUCUUCUCUCACACUGUACUGCCUUCACAGAAUUAAUUAUAAUAAUAACAACCCUCAGGGACAUUUUCCUAUUGUUAUUACUGGCAGAACGGGUAGUGGUUAAAAGCUGGGUGCCAGAGUCAGACCUAAAUUCAGUUCCACCUUGACGGUUUACCAUCUCUGCUUUCCACCUGUCCCACGUUCUCUGAGCACUGAUUUCUCCACUUGUGGGAUGGAACCGGAUUGCUUUGGGUAUUGACUAGAGUAAUGGAUAGAGUGGGAGAUAAUAAAGUGACAGAGAACAGUGUGCAGUGGUACAUCAUAAGUGCUCAGUAAACAGAAUACACUUCCUCUCAGUAUUUUCAGAUUCGUUAUUUUUAUUGUUGAUUUGAUUCAUCAGCUUAGGUGCGCCGGUCUUAUCAAGUUGUGUAUGUCUGAGCUCCUUGAAGACUGUAAGCCAAAAUUAGAGGAUCAUCAAGGUUUAGAGCCUGAGAGAACCUCUCAUAUGGGAAAAACUAAUCUCAGAAAAGGGAGUGGUUUGUCCAAGGUCAGGUUGAAUAAGUAACACCUGUAAUAUCCUAACACCCAUCAUGCUUCUAGGCAUAUAGAAAAGUCUUUAAGAAAUAAUUAUUAAAGGGCACCAGGGUGGCUCAGUAAGUUGAGCAUCUGACUCUUAAGUUUGGCUCAGUCAUGAUCUCACAGUUGGGGAGUUUGAGCCCCACAUCAGGCUCUGUGCUGACAGUGUGGAGCCUGUCUGGGAUUCUCUCUUCUCCUCUCUCUGCCCCUCCCCCAUUAAAGCUCAUGCUCUCUCUCAAAAGAAAUAGAUAAACUUUAAAACAAAAUUUUAAAGAAAUAAUUAUUAAAAUAAUUCUGCUUUAACCUCAGCAUGUUUCUAUGCUUUUUCCCAUUCGUGAACUGGUGGUAUAUAUUGUUAGGAGGCUGCAUCUGAAUCUGGGGAAUGUUUGUGGCAAUUCUGGCCCACCUGCCUCUGGCUGAUGGCUUCUCUUCCAACCCCACAAACCCUGCUUCCAUUUUCUCCAGGGGAAGGCAAGAAAUUAGCAGCUGUAUUGGCUCCUGUGAACAGCAGAGCAGUUUUGAUGGAGAACAAGGAAGAGUUUGCAAUGUUGUGGUUGUUUGUGGCAUUUCAUCAGCCAACAAUGUAAAUUAAAUUAAUUAAAAAGCAUUGUACAUUUUAAUUCCAACACUGGAUUCACUCAGUGGCCAUGGAAAUUUUGAAUAAUGGAUAAUAGUCAUUUCUAAUUUCUCAACAUAUGUUUUUUCACUUACACAGCUGUGAAAAAAAUUAUAUUUAUAUUUUUGUUGAUGCAUAAUUUCCAGCUUGAAAACAGAAUUCAUAUUAGCAUUAAACUGCCAACAGGUGUCGGGUUUUUUUUCCCCCCUUCUUCUUUCUGGUGAGCUGGAAUAAUCCCUUCUUUGGCAGGAAGUCAGUAUUUUUUCACAGUCAUUUUUGCAUCCUUAAGAAUGUCUUUAACAUUAUUUUCUACUUGAUGAAACACAUCCUCUCAAGGCUUCAUUAUUUUCACCCUGGUGUUAUCUGAUUGAAUAUUUCAAUCACAAAAAGCUUGAAGAUUUGAGUCAUUCCUACUCAAGACUGCAUAGAACUACAGCUGGAUAUGUCAAUAACAUUCUGAUUUUUUUUUUUUUUUUGCUAGGAAAUAGCCAUGACUUUAAAUGACCCAACUGCAUUUUAAGCCUGGAUACUGUUUAUUCUAACUCUUGAUUACAAAGCAUCUUUUAGGUACAAGGUGAUCGAGCCAAACGCAAAUGAUUACAUUCCAUUCUACGUAGUCUGUAGAAAAAGAACAAAUCCCAUGAAACCUUGUCAGUUUCUUCAAAGUUGCUUUUUCUUCUGGUCUACAAUUUUUUUUUCUUGGAAUCCAACAGUUUAAGAAUUCAAAGCAAAGCAGAAUGGAAGCCUGACAGUUAUCCCAAAAUUAUUCCUCUUCCUUGGGUAUUCCUUCCCAGUUAGCAUUACAUCAUCCAUCGUUAUCUCCACCCAGCAACACCAUCCUAGACCAGUUCUAAAUGUCCUUUAACUGUUUUCUUGCUCUCUUCACAUCUCUAGUCAUAGGUCUACCCUUCUGGUUGAGUAUUCUUUGUAAAAGUACAUUUAAUUAGACUAUCUUGCUUAGCACCAUUCAGUGGUUCUCCCUUGUCCUAGGGAAUUCUGGAGAUGUACACACAAAGUCUUUCAUGCAUGACCUGGUCCCCUUUUCCCUAACUCCUUUUCCAAUGCCAUCCUCAGUUACUAACCUUGUCAAAUCGAUGUUGCAGCCAUGUUGUGCUUACUGGAGUUCCAAAAAUAAAUAUGUGAUUCCGUUUCAAGUUUCAGUGACCUUAUUCAAGCUACCUCCUCUGCCCAGUUGCCCCAUAAGACACACCUCGGGGAGCUUUUCCCCAGCAAAGCCUUCCCUGUUUUAUCACCAGGACCAUUAUCACUCUGACACCCUUCCACCCACACUAUAGAUAGAGUGGCUGUCCCUUCUGAUGCUUCACAUCCAUCAUUUGAGGUCAAAAUGGGAUAUAUCGUAAUAGUUAAGAGCUUGGGUUUUAGAGCCAGAUUGCCUGGGUUCACAUCCCAGCUGACACUUACUAGCUCUCUGUGCUUGAUUUGCCAAUUGUAAAAUGGGAGAAAUAAUUAUAUUUACCUGAUAAGGUACUUGUGAGAAUUAACUGAGACAAUAUAUGUAAAGUACUUGAAACAGUAGCUGGCAGGUUGUACAUAUAGAGCUGAUGAUUGAUACAGGUUGAUUUUUACCUGUAUCACUUUACUAGAUUUGUUUAAAGUUUACUUCCCCCACUAGACUGAGAGUUCCUUGAGGGCUGGAAUGGAAUUCUCUCAUUUUUAUAUCUUGAAUGCCUGGUACUGUGCCUGGCAUAUAACAGGUGCUCAGGAACAGAUGUAGGUGGAAUGAAUGAAUAAAUCAAUGUAGACAGACAAUCUGGAAGUUCAGCAAGCAAAAACACAGCCCCCCCCCUCAGUUAUAUAAUGUAGUUAUGAUGUCCCUGACACUUCUUGUUUUUUUUUUAACUAAAAAACUCUUCUCCUUCCAUGAUAACUAGCUAAAACAUGGGAUGAAUGUUUGCUGCACAUUUGCAAGAGGGUUUGAGUCCAACAUCCACACUCUGGUGUCCUGCCUUGUUCUAUUUUACUUUCCUUUGCCAUUGCCAAAAUGAAUAUCCAUUGAAGGGAUUUCUAGUAUUCAUCAUAUGCAGCCACCAGAUGGAUCUGAAUAGUUUCUCUAACAACCAAUUUGCAUUUGGACUCUGCUUCCAAAAUGCCUUCCCAAUAUAGCUUCCAUUCGCCCUCCACACACUCCAACAUCUUCCACUCUGUUCUAAAGGCCACACCUCUAAUUUUGGAAAUUGUGGAUCGAUUUGGUACAACUGAGCUACACCAAGUCAAAACAACAAUUGUCAUUUAUUGCCAAAUCAUGACUUGCUCAUAUAUUUCAACUUCUACCAUGUAAAAUAACAAAAUUUUCAUUAUAAUCAUUUUUUUGUAGCAAAUCCCAAGAUACUGUUGCAAGACUGAUUUUUUUCCCCCCUGCACUGCACCCAAGCUUUCAUCUUUGGGUUAUGUUCCUUAGUGGGCAUGGUCCUUGAUCCAAGUUCUUCUUCUUAAGGUUGUUAUGCUUAUGUGGGGUUCUGUUAGGUUUCAUGAACUUAAAUGAAGAGUAAGUAAUAAAUUCAUAGAGGAAAUUGGGUUAGCAUGUGAUUAACAUCCCGGCUGAUGCAGACGGGUGUACCAAUGAUGGAAACAUGUGCUUGUAUCAUGAUGAAAUGCAGAUUAGAGGCCCUGGAGCCAACCCAAGGAUAUCUGCCCAAAACUGUUUCAUCUCUGUCAGCUUUAAUCUGAUCGAAAGAGAGCAUGCUUCAAUGCAGUGAGAAAAAUGUGAACUCCUAAAAUAACCAAGUGGCACUCUGUUUUCCAUGCAGAAGCUAUUAAAAUACUCACUUUUCAUUGUGUUACAGUAGAAAGCAUACUGAACUACAACUUAGAGGACCUGAAUUCAAAUCUCAUCUCAGUCACUAACUUGGGCUGUAAAGUCUCACAGGUCCUUAGUUUCUGCAUCUGUAAAAUGAAUGUGCUGGGCUACCCUAAUGGUAUUCAAUAGUUUUUUUUUUCUUCCCUUCAUAAAACAAGUGACAAAUCAUAUUUGUACACUCCCCAGGGUUAUGCACAAUUAGCCAUGUACUAGUUGUCUCUCCCCUUUCUAUCUGCUCAGGUAAGCGUAUCAGAAAGCACAUGAGUGAGAUUAGCAUUUUAAGAUAACCUUGAAUGUCUAAUUUAUUUUAAAAAUUAAAAAUCAAAUAAUUUGGAAGCUUGGAUACAUCAUUAAAUUUUAAAAGAUGAUUUGCUACACAAUUCUCAAAAGGUAUGCCAUGAAAUGCAAUUCUAGCAGUCUCUUGUGAUGUUAUCAUUCUACAUCGCUGUGAGUUAAUCAAGGGCCAGUGGAGAAAGGUCCAAGGCUUUGAGUCUUUAACUAUUUGCUAUUUGCAAUUAAAAAAAAAAAAAAAAAAAAACAACAACCAAGAAAUACGUGUUUGUAGAUAGUCCUCACUUUGGUGAGCAUUCUCAUUUCCCUUUGGAGAAUUGCUUGUCGCAAGAGCAACUUUUGAUUCUUAGGUUGACAUGUUAGGCAGAGCUCUGUUUCUAAAAUGAGGUAAUAACAUCCUUACUUGAAAGUAAGACGGAAUCUUUUUUAAGAACUGAAAAUAUGUAGUACUUGACUAAAAUAGUAGUGAGUUGUAUCUUGGAAUGUCUCAUCAUGGAAUAUUUAUCUGCAGGGGGGAGAAAAGUUUGUAGUAUGGUGGCUAUUAAAAACCAGAAUAAUAGGGGAAAGGAUUAAGAUAAAAAUUGCCAAAGGAGCAAAAAGUUUAAUAUAAGAUUUGAGUAUAAAAAUGACCUAUACAAUUUCCCAUCUCCAACAAUAUGGUGGUCAAGAUAAUCUGAAGAGCUUUACACUGUUAAAUACCAGGCUAAAGUAAACUUUGUAAAUGUAAGACUGACCUUAUAAGAAAUGAAGGGAAACUAUAAGAAUUCUAAAACAAAGGAUGAACCAAAAAUAACAAUCAGCAGGUUGGGAUGGUGACAAUAAAGCUGUGGAGUGAAGAAGUGACAAUACUGUAACUUGGGGGUGUAGGCUUUAAGUUUACAUUGAGAAAAGAGACUAGCUCUUAGGUUCUCUCAUGUGUAAACUGAGUAAAUCAUAAACCGUGACUUCACAUAAAAGAGUGGAUUAAGUAAAAUCUACCUAUCAGCAUAGAAAGACAGUAGUGAAGAUUGUGCAUCCUGUUUUGGAUUAUGAAUGGUGAAAAAAAUUUCCUUUAAGAAUUAAAGAUCAUGAGGGACACCUGGGUGGUUCAGUCAGUUAAGGGUCCAAUUCUUGAUUUUGGUUCAGGUCAUGAUCUUGUGAUCAUGGUUUGUGAGAUCAAGCCCUAGGUUGGGCUCUAUGCUGACAACACAGGGCCUGCUUGGGAUUCUUUCUCUUCCUCUCUCUUCUUCUCUCUUUCUCUCUCUCUCAAAAUAAAAUAAAAUAAAUAUUAACAAAAAAAGGAUUAAGGAUUAUGGAAUUAGAGACUUAAAUAUAUGAAACUCUAAAACAAAAACAAAAGCUGUGAUACCUAGCAGAUGCAAAUAGCAAACUUCUGAGGAAUACAUCUUUAAUUCAAGCAUCACAGGAUUCGCAUAGCAAAAUAUGAUGAAGAAAUCAAAACCCAGCAUUGCAAAAUGAUACAAGAAAACAUACUACCAUGAGUGAAUGUUGGCAGGCACCAACGAAAAACAUUAAACACCCAAGAACUCUAGGUGAUACAGAAGUUGAAUAGAGAUUAUUAAAGAGGGAUAUUUAAAUUAAUAAAAUAUACAAGAGAAUUCAAAAUAUUAAUAACUAGUAAAGAAACAUGAAACAAAGAAAGGAAAAUCUUUGAAAUUAUCUAAUGGAACUUCUACAAAUGAUGGGGCUAGGUCAGUUAGAGCAUCCUACUCUUGAUCUUGGAAUCAAGAUUCCCCACAUUGGAUUCUAGUGGAGAUUACCUUAAAAGAAUAAAAUUAAUUAAAAAAUGAAAGACAUGGUCAUUAAAGUGAAGUCAAUAAAUGGGUUAUACAGUAGUGUAGACAGAGCUAUAACUGGAGCACAAAAUAGCUGCAAUAAAAAAAGAAAGAUAUAAAAAAAUUAAAGAGUAAAAAAUAGAUAUGGAGAAUAGGACAAAAAUCCCAACCUACAAUGUAAUGGGAUUUCUAGAAGGAGAAAAUAGAAAAAAAUGAGGAAUUAAAAAUAUUUCAAGAGUUAAUGGCUCAAAUUUUUUGGAAUUGAUGAAACUACAUGAAUCCUCAGAAUCAGAACACAUAUACGUAUAUAAAACAUACAAAUCUAUACUUAGAUACACGAUCAUGUGCAUGUAAAGUGAUACAGCAGAUUUGGAAUAUAGUUGGGCGGUUUCUUAUAAGAUUAAAUAUACACUUACUAUGCAACCCAUAAAACACACUCCUGGGUGCUCAUCCCCAGAGAAAUGAAAACUGGUCCACAUAAAAACAUACAUGUGACUAUUCAUAACAGCUUUAAUUUUAACAGCUAAAAACUGAAAACAACCAAAGUGUUCUUCAAUAGUUGAAUAAUUAAACUGUGGUACAACCAUACCAUGGAAUGCUGCUCAGUAAUAAAAAAAAAAGGUAUGAACUAUAUUGAUGGAUAUAAUAAUUUACAUCUCAAGAGCAUUAGGUUGAAUAAAAGAAAUCCAAUUUCAGAAGGUCACAUAAUUGUAAGAUUUCAUUUAUAUACAACAAAGCAGCAAAACAAACAAAACAACAAAAUUAUAGAGAUGAGAACAGAUUAAUCAUUUCCCGGGAUUAAAGAAGGUAGUACAGGAGUAGGGAGUAGUGGAGGAGGUUGAGGAAGAUCUUUGUGUUGACAAAAUAGUUCUAUAUCUUGGCUGGAGUGAUUAUUACAUUAAUCCAUACAUGGGAUAAAGUGGCAUAGAACUAUGCAUGCACAUUGUAUCAACAUCAAUUCUUUGGUUUUGUAUUGUACUAUAGUUACAUAACAUGUAACUAUUAUGGGAAGCUGCAUAAAGGGUGUAUGAGACCCCUUUAUAGUAUUUGGAAACUUUUUGUGAAUCUAUAACUAUAUCAAAAUAAAAAUUUACAGGUGGGGGAGGAGGGCAGCAAACACUGCAGACUAUGGAAAGUUCCAGAAAAGUAACCCAAGAGAAAAGACCAAUUAUCUGUGAAGAAAUAAUUAGACUAAUAACAAACCUUAUCAAAAGUAAUGAUAGGGGCACCUGGGUGGCUCACUGGUUAAGUGUCUGACGCUGGAUUUUGGCUCAGGUUAUGAUUUCACGGUCAUUGGUUCAAGACUCAAAUCGGGCUUCGUGCUGACAGUGCAGAGCCUGCUUGGGAUUUUCUCUCGUUCUCUCUUACUGCUCCUCCCCCACUUGCACUCUCUCUCUCAAAAUAAAUAAAUAAACUUUAAAAAAAGUAAUUACAGAAAUCAGAAGGCAAUAAAAUAAUCUUUAGAGUUUUGAGAAGAAAUAAUUUAGAAUUCUAUACCCAAUUACAUUAUUAUUUAAAGUAUGGCUAAAACAAAGACAUUUGCAGACAAAAAGGUGAGAAUGUCUACUAACAAAUUUAAGCUAUAUACUUUAAGAUACGCUUCUGAAAAAAAAAAUCUAAACCAUGAAAGAUUUGAGAAAAUGAAGGAAAGAGAUAUUGAUAAACCUGUGGGUAAGCCUCAUUCAUUCAGUCAGUCCAAAAAUAUGUAUUAAGUACUAUAUGGUAACUUUGUAAAAGGGUAUGCAGCAGAUAGGAGAGAGAAAUGGUAAGCAAUCACUAAUUUGUGGAUUUAAAUAUAAGAUAUACCUACAAUUCUAGUCAAAAAGUGAAAGGUAAUCAGAAUUACAUGAAGAAAGGUGAUCAGAAUUAUAAUAAAUCUAAACCCUUUUUGUUUGUUUUGGAGUAGAGAGAACUUUUUUAUUAAGACUACAUUUUAAGUAAAAUAUCCCUACUAAAAGACUAAAAACGAAUGAAUAUCUUCUAAGCUGGUAGAGAGAAAAAAGAGAUAAAAAAAUGUAAACCAAUAGAAAAUAGAAAGGAAGUGGAAAUAUCCUUUAAUGCUGCGUAAAUAGAAAGCACAAACUGUUGUAACAAAGCAUUAAGCUAUCACUAGUCACUAUGUAUAUAAUCAGACUAAACUCUGUUAAAAUACACAGGUCACAUUGGGUUAAAAACUUCAACUAUUUGUACUUAAAAAGUUUUACGUAAAGUAUGAGGACUCUGACAGUUUGACAUUUUAAGAGCAUGGGAAAAUAUAUACACUGCUGAAUACUGUAUAAAAUAAACCUCUGGACAUAUAAAAAUAUCAGACAAAGUAUAUAUUUUUUACUAAAAAAAAAUCAAAAUGUAAGAUAGUCACUACAUAAUAGCAUAAGUAAUAAUUGGCCAAGAAGUUAUAAACUUACAUGCAUUUAAUAACAUAUGCUUAAAACAAUCAAGUGACAAUUGACAACAUGGUAUAGUCAUUAAACAGACUCUGGAAACAAAUUGCCUGGAGCUGAAAUCCUAAUUUCUUACUAGGUGUGUGACGUACGUAACUUCUUUUUUUUCCAUAAUUUUCCCAUCUGUAAAGUAGGAUAACAGUACAAAUAUCAAUUUCAAAGGAAUAGUAUAAAAGCAUAUACAUUUGUACAUGUAUGGUAAAACUGUCAGUGUUAUUUAUAUCAUCAUUAUCAACAAAUAGAAGAAACAACAAAUCCAAAUUUGUCGCGGGAGAUCCUCAUACACUUCUCAUUAACUGAUAAAACAAUUAAUUUGCUGGUCAUUUGCCUAUUUAUUUUCAGAUUCAUCCCCUGCCCUUUUCUUGCACUGCUUUCUCUUCACCUUCUCUGUUUUGUAGGAAACCAUAUAUUCAAGCUUUAUUGCCGAUUAGCUUCCAGGGAAGCACCAACAUAAAGAAUAAAGAGUGGGAGGGGCGCCUGGGUGGCGCAGUCGGUUAAGCGUCCGACUUCAGCCAGGUCACGAUCUCGCGGUCCGUGAGUUCGAGCCCCGCGUCAGGCUCUGGGCUGAUGGCUCAGAGCCUGGAGCCUGUUUCCGAUUCUGUGUCUCCCUCUCUCUCUGCCCCUCCCCCGUUCAUGCUCUGUCUCUCUCUGUCCCAAAAAUAAAUAAACGUUGGAAAAAAAAAAAGAAUAAAGAGUGGGAGGAGGAAAGAAUACCAGUAUAUCUCCACAAGACUCUAGCAUGGUGUCUCCUCCUUGGCUAAAGCUCCAGGCAGACUACCCUUCCCAUUGGGGUUCCCUGUUGCAGUUCCAGCUCCUGUUAGAUGGUCUUAGCUUCUCGGCUCUGCUAACACCACCACCACUCCUUGUUCCUUCAGAAAUAGUUGUGUAAGUCGCUUCCUGCUUUUACUGAUCUCUAGUUUGUUUCACUGUUCCUCAUUUGGCUUGUCAGCUGUUCCAUAACAUAUGUAAACAAUUCCCUCGUCAAAAUACCUAGAAUGGUAUCUGUUUUCUUGACUGGAACCUGACUGAUGUAAUCAGUAAGACAAAAUGCUAGUACAAAAAACUUUAGUGCCCUAUCAGUAAACUUAAUCCAAUAGGUUGUUCAAAAUUAACAGAAGUGAAUUCAAAUGAAAUUCCCCAAAAUGACAAAUUCUAAAGUUGUUUCAUACUUUUAUGGGAGAGGGGAAGGAACCAUCUGAAAAGUAUUCUUCAUAGGAGUGUGGAUACUGUGGCAGUGAAAUAGAAUGCAAAGGAUAUGUUUGCUCUCCAGCUUACUAUUACCUCAGGACCAUUUCUUCUCUCCUCAGAUAUUUCUCUAUUAUGUGCUUGCCUCUUCAUAAUCCCAGAACUCAACCUGAAACUUCUUUAUAUAAUAUAUAUUAUUGUGUGUGCAUAAUUUAUAUUAUAUACAUUAUAUAUUAUAUAUUUUCUACUUUAGAAAUGAAUGCAAAGUUAUUCUCUCUGCAUGGUUCUACUUUAUUUCUCUAGUAUAUAGAUACAAAUAAUGUCAACAAAUAUCCACUAUGUGCAAAGCACUAAGUUAGACAUAGAGCCAAAAGACUUAAUCAAAUUUAUUCUUUACUCUCUGGGAAUUCAUAACCUAUUUGGGUAGACAGAUAUGUUUACAAAAAGCUCCAAUGCCAUGCAAAGAGUGAGAAAUUCUAUGAAGAGGUAAAAUCACAAAUUAUAAUAGCAUAGGAAGGAGUCUCCAAUUGUGAGGAUGUUGGAAGUCAACUAUGAAACUUUAUCUUUUCUAUUCAUUUUAGGUCACAAAAUGCUUCCCUAACGUUAUUUUAUUUAAAAGUAUGUAAGCAGUUAUCCUUACAUUGUUACCAUCAAAUAACUGGAGGUAUAACCAGAAGGCAAACCACUUAACUGCUUGGAAUGGAAGGUUAGUUUGGUCUUAGAGCAGGCAUUUAUGCAAUAGAUUGUUUUAGUACCACUGUGAACAAAAUACUAUGUAAAGGACUAUGGAUAAUAUAAAGAUGAUAGGCCACAACUUGUGACCAUUCUCCUCUUAUAAUUUAGUGCUAUUUGUAUAAUACCACAUUAAACAGUUCAGAUUUUCCAUUCCCAGUCGCCUAUAUAUUUGGCUAUAAAGAGGAAAGUCACCCUUUUGUAUUGAGCAUACAUACAUCUUCAAACAUAUAUACAUAGAGUGGUAAGGGAGCAAGAAAGUAGUCCAACCAAUCAGAUAAGCCAAUUCUGCUCUGGAACUCAGUGGGAAGACAAAUCUUAUAGCCAAAUUGCAUGUUAUAGCCAGAUCACCAAGUCUAGCCCUCAUUGUUCAAAUCAGGGCUUUGAACAAAUCAGGACUAGUUCCCAGGCCUUCAAUUUGGAAUCUAGAAAUUCUAGAUAUUUAGAAAGAGAAAGAGAAAGAGAAAGAGAAAGAGAAAGAGAAAAGCAAGAAAAGAGAGAAAGAAAGAAAACGAAGGAAUGAAAGAAGGUAGGAAGGGAGGAAGGAAGGAAACAAGGAAACAAGGAAAGAUAAGAGGAAAAAAAGACGUUUCCAAAGAGGGCAUUUAAGAGUCACACCAACUGGUAAAUAGUAAGUUCAAUAGACUAAUAGAUCUAUUGGAAACAUUUGCAUAAUGCAAUUAGAGACUAUUAGAAUUGUCCUGGUUUUCAAAUUCUGCUUUCUUUGUUAGAUAUGUACCAAAUUACAUAUUGAUCAACACAGGAAUAGAGUCUGCAUUACUUUUCUUGAGUUGGCUCUUUCACCACAAUGAGUUCUCAUCAACUUGUAUUUUAACAGACUUUUUCGAAAGAAUGAAUAGGUCUUGAAUUCUUCUGGUUUAAAAAGGAACCAAAACUGGAGUUGUCCAGCUUCCUUUGCUGAGCUGAGUGUUUUUAUUUAUUUGAGAAUAGUACUCAGAAUCGUAGCACCUCAAGUUUGGAAUAUAUCAUAACUAAAAUUUAGUUCACCUCCUAUCUCCAAUGCUGCAAUGUGUAUUACCACACAAAAGGCCUUCAGACCCAGGGUGGGUAACUUAAAUGACUGCAGCUAGCUGGAAUUCUACAAGAGGGGUUGGUGGGGACUACAGCAAACUAGAGAGUGCUUAGCCCUUAUGGAAUCUCUUCUGUAGCUUAGGAAUUCAGGUCUAUUCCUGACAAACCUUCCUGUUUUCCAGAAGAAGCUAGAAUUUUAUAAGAAAUUAUCUGACUUGUUAAAACAAAUUCAAAAAUAUUAUUAAAAGUCUUCUGUGUGCCAAGCAUUGCUCUUCGUUCUAAUGAUACAGAAAUGACCAAAACAUGGUCUAUAUCCUCAAGGAGCUCAGAUUAUCAUUUAAUAAGAAUGUAAUGAAGAAAGUAAAGCCAUUCAAUGUGUGCUAACAUAGAGAUAGAUGUAAAGUAUUAAAGGGGAACAUGAGAAUUUGGAUGACUUUUUCAGGUUUGGGAAAGGGUAGACUUUGUUCCAGGAAGUGACUUCCUGGAGAAGCUGUAACUUUUGAAUUAUGCCUUAAAAGAUAAAGGGGGGUGCCUGAGUGGUUCAGUUGGUUAAGCAGCCAACUUUGGCCCAGGUCAUGAUCUCACGGUUCAUGAGUUUGAGCCCCGUAUCACAUCAGGCUCUGAGCUGACAGCGCAGAGCCUGCUUGGGUUUCUCUCUCUCUCUCCCUCUCUCUCCCUCUCUCUGUGCCCCUCCUCUACUCACACUCUAUCCCUCUCUCAAAAAUAAAUCGACAUUAAAGAAAGAUUAAAGGAUACUUACCUUUGUAUAAGCAAAAGGAAUAGAGUUAUAAAUAUCUAUAGCAUGUUUAGUAAAAGAUGAGAGGGAUGGAGUAGCUGGAAAUAAGCAAAGUGAAGUAGGUAAUACUACUACUAGGUUGGAGAUAGAUUUAUACUCCACGGGAAGGAAUUUGUUCUCUGUCCUGAUAGAAUGGGAAACAUACAAUGACUGUAGCCAAAGUUAUUAUUUUUUGUGUUAGUAGCAGUAUUAGCAUUUUAUUUGAGAAAAUAACAUAAUGGAGACUAGGAGCACAAGUUAAGAAUAUUAAACUGGAGUCAUGAAGUCAUGAAACCAGUUGAGAGACUGGGAAGAUCUGAAUUCAGGUAAUGAAUGUGAGGACAGAGUAAGGAAGACUGCAUCUAACAGGCAAAGGAGAAGAAGUCAAAUUAGGUGGGAGAUUGAUGGACUACUAUAGAGGCCAAAGUCAGGCAGCCCCCAAAUGGGCCACUUGGCAUACAGUUUGUACCCAGAUGAAAACAAUCGAGGCACAAAAGACCAGGAAGAAACUUUGGCCUCACCCUCACUUUCCACUACCUAAAAUAAUUUAGAUAGAGGACCUGCUCCAGGAAGAGAGCUAUAACCAUACAUCACUGCAUUAGAAUAUAAACUAGACAUGGUAGACAAGGAGGAACCUAGAAAAACCUUUUGGAUCAAAGUCCUCUCUACGUCCAGUUGGUUCUGAAUGUUCCAGAAAACAUUUGUUCACCAAAAUUUAAUCUUUUUCAUUUUUCUGUGAAUUGCAUUCCUUCCCUUUAAAGUCUCAGACCCUUACUUCCUUCUCCUUAGUUCAGGAUGACAUGUAUACCUAAUUUUGCCUGACUGACUUUGGGAGCUCAUGUCUAUGUAGAUUCCUUACAUCUAAAAAAUUAAAUUUGGUUUUCUCCUGUUAAUCUGUCUCAUGUCAAUGGGAUUGUUAGUCCAGCUAUAAGAACUUUGUAUAGUAGAGUAAAAUUAUUUCCUCCCCUACAGUGGGGAUGCUGGCAACAAGUUAGAACAGGAAGAGGAGAAAUUCAGGAGAGAGGACAAUAAUACCAUUAAAAUGCUAUCUUUGAAUUUUACAUUAGACUUUUUUUCAUAACUUUCACUCAUUUGUCCUCCUCUUUGAAUUUGUUUUUAAAUUAGCAUCACUUCUAUGAAAUAUCUCUCCAUUUUGUUAUGUAUCCUCUUCAUCCCGAUAUUCCACCCUAAGGUUUCUUGAUUAUGUAUGGGCAGCCCAGUUUGGGGACAUCAAGUUUAUUCACAUAAUGGGUAUUCACCAGUUCAGUGUGAUGAGUCUUCUCUUAUUGGGGUCUGUAAAAGUAAUCCUGGAGAAAGCCAUUUUCUAGUAGAAUGAUUUAGGGCAACGUUCUAAAGUUGUCAUCUCAGUUGCUUAAUUAUAAAGUAGAAAUAAUAAAGAUAGCCCUUAUUUCAAUAUUAGCCUUCAUUUCAAGAUAUUAUAAAAUCCUAAGGCAUUAUUACAAGUAAAGAACUUACUACUGAGAACAUGGAAAGCACUAAAUGAAUGUCAAUUUGUAUUGUUGUCAUAUUUAGUGAAUCGAAUUUAGAUCAUAAACUAAUGUAGGCACUAAAUUAGAAUUUUGAAGAUACCAUAGUCUCUUCUGAAAUUAGGGAGGAGAAGGAGAAGCUCCAAAUGCCAAAGAUGUCCAGAUGGCCUGGACAUCUUUACUAAGGGAGCUACAUGCUGAUGAAUAUCUUCAUUCAUUCAUUCAUUCAUUCAUUCAUUACCCUGUUCAUUUUUCAGUCACUUAUCUCUUCAUCUAUCCAUUGAUUUGCUUAUUCAAAAAAGUUGUUGCAGGUCUACUAUUUACCAGGCAUUGAGCUAAAUAUUAAGAACACCCAGAAGACGUAAGCUCAUUGAAAACAUAAAUAAAUUAGCGACUAUAAUGAUAACAUGGUAAGCAGUACAUGGAGACCCCCCCAAAAAAAACAAAAAAAAAAUCAUUCAUAGAGAGCACAAAGGAGUAAGUUGUUUUUCCUGAAGACAGAAAUCAUUUGAAUUACAUCUUAAGAGGGAAAAUUUGUCAGGCAAAAAAAAAGUGGGGAGGUAAAGUAUUUAAGACCAGGAGAUCUGUCUGUGCAGAGUCACAGAGGCACCAAAGACCAAAGUGCUUAAGAGGAGUAACCUCUAGGUAGGUGAGAGGGGAACACAAAGAGGAUGGAGGAGCAUGUAAGAGAUGUAGCUAGAAAUCCAAGAGCUUUGAAUCCAAUGCUAAGGGGAUUGAUUUCUUUCCUGUGGCCACUGGGGGAACCCUGGAGGUAUGUGAGUGACACACUGAGACUUGCAUUUUUAUAAAAAUUUCCCUGGUGGCAGUGUGGAUAAUAAGGAAGGAGGACAGGUUAGUGGCAGUCCUUCGGUAUCUCCAGCAUCCCAAGGAAACUAAAAAGUUAUCAUUUACAGGCUAUGUUUGUUGAGCCGGUGCAAAACUGAAGGAAAUUCCUAACUCCAUUCUACCUUUCCUCCAAAUCUUUAAAAUUAUGUAAGUCUGUAUUAUCUUAGGUCUUGAGAUGUUAAUGACUUAACUAAUUGUCAACACUGGCAAUUACAAUGACUGAUACCUUAUCAUUUCUUACAAUGAGCAAUGCUAAUUAAAAUUGAUUGUGCGAGAGCUUUAGCAGCAACUGUCCCCCCCCCCCCCCCCCCCUUUUUUUUUGUUUAAAACAUGAGCUUACUGUGCUGAUUUGGUGAACUUCACACAAGGCAGGCUUAUUAUCCUGGUGUUUACUUCCUAGUUCUGCUUGUGAACCAUAUUAGCAACAAUUAUGAAAUGUCAGAGAAAUGGUAGAAAUAACUGAAUUCGUGCCAUAAGAAAGAUUCCAGAUUUUGAUUCAUUCAUUCAUUCAAGUGCUAGAACCUGUAUUGGACAUCUUCAUAUGCUAGGAACUAUGCUAAGCAUAGAGAAAGCAAAUGAACAAGUAAGUUGAGGGAUUUGCAGCCCAGUGAGAAAGACAGCCUCAUUACAGGAUAAUCACCUAUGGUAUGUAAAUACUACAGUUGGCAGAUGUUAGUUCUGCCAGUGAAAAAUAGUGGCACAUUUCACAGAGAAGGUGACUUUUUAUUGAGGGAUUCAAAAUGCGAGCAGGGACUUCUUCAACUUUUAUUAUUACUAUUUGUAUAUACCACAUGAAUUUGUAAGACUUUAUAAAGUAUCUCAAAAGAAGACAUGUAAUACCGUGAUGAUAAACUAGCCAGAGAAUUCAGGAUUCAAGACCAGAAAUUGUGCCCUGGAAAAUCUAGGCUGAAAAGAAAGAAAAGGCAUGCCAAUCAGUUAUCAUAAAGUAUAUAAACACCUAAAGAAGGUAAAAGGAAGCAAUAACCUUGUAGGGGAGGAAUUUUUUUUUUUCUUUCUCCCCUUCUGGGUUCUUUGGCUAAUCUAAUAAUUAACUUAACAUAAGACAGAUUAACAAGAGGAAAACAAAUUUAAUUACAGUAUGUAAGUACAUCCCAACAGUCAGGUAAUUGAGGUUUAUAUGAUAUCCUGAGGUAAGAAGAAAGGGGUAGGGGUCUGGGAUUUCAAAGGAGAGGAAAACAGUGCACAGGAAGGUGGGAAGAGCAAAUGUUUGAUAAACAAAUGUUUGCCAUGUCCUUUGAAGAAGUCUUUUUAAUAUAAAAAGUAUAGCUCUCUUUCUGCUACAGGCUCCUUAUCUAAAUUCUUUUAGGAAGUUAAGGGGGAUGUUAAAUGUUUUUCUUAAAUCUGUUAGGUCUUGAUUUUCUUCAGCUUGAAAUGAUCCUCAGGCCAAACUGGCACAUUCUGGAGCGGCCUACUCUGAACCCCAUUAACAUGUUCUAAGAAGGAUGAAAAGAUCAUGCUCAAGUGCAGGCUGCCUGGAGGACAGUGACAGACAGGCAAGAGUUCUGGCUAAACAGUUAACUUAGACAAACACCAAUUGAGCAUUGUGAGGGUACUCUGCCCAGAGCCCACCUUUAGGGCUGAACCAUGCAUAGUCCCCCAGGUGCUGGGAAUGUCAUAGUUGAGUCCCUCUUUAGGUACUUCCCUUGGCACAAGGGAAUUGUUUUGCCCAGUGUUAAUUCUCUGCCCUGAGAAGUAGCUUGUAUUCAAUAACUGGUUGAUGAGGGUGGGGCACAAUGGCCCAACCCCUUUUCAGGAUUUGAGACAAUUAUGAAGAGUCAUCCCAACCCCAGAGCUCCUUGUAGGGUCAGCUGAGGUUUCUCUUCCAAUGCAUCACAGUUAAACUUGUCCCUCUGUACCCUCCUACUCGCCAUUUCUGUUAUAGAUAUGGUUUCAGAGAGAAAUCCUAGUUAGAGCCCCUGCUUGUAGACAUCUGGGGUCUUAAGUCCGUUCUCUGGAGAACCAGGUUUAAAACGGUCAUCCACUAUGUGCCCAGUUGGGCGGUGGGCCGGGGCAGGGAGUAGAUUCAACAAUGCAACAGAUAAGAACUCUGACCUCAAAUGAUUUACAGUUUGGAUGGAAGUUAGGGCUUCUCAAGACAAUGCAGAGCCUUGGAAAACAGUUGAGCCUAUGAAAUACAGAAUAGAAGAAUGGGGAGGAUUUUGUCCAUUUCUUAGACCCACUCCUUCUAGUAUACACUAUCAGUUCCUUCUUGGGUCAGCCUCUCUUCUCACAGCACAAUUCACAUCUGUUUAUUGUCCCACUAUCCAUCAUAGCCAGUCUACCUCAACUCCCGGUUUUACAAGAUGACGCCUUUGCUAAGCUCACCCUUCCACCCACAUUUCUCCCCUACAUCCAAAAUUGAUAGCAUCUGUUUUCUGUCCUGCAAUGAUGACUAAGCCUUCAGUGAGUUAUUGGUAGUUUAUUCCAAACCUAAAAAUGAAUCAUGGAACUUGAAUUAUCAUCAUUGUGUAGUAGUGUUCACAGUGGAGACAGUAUUUUGUCCAGAUUAGACCUCCUUUACUUCAAAUUCUAUGUCUCAAUCCUUGUAUCACUCAGAGAAGAAAAACUGAAGCAUCAGGUUUAAAUGGAAUCUCCUUUUGCACUCAACCAAUUGCCUUUCUUAGGUACCAACAUUUCCCAAGUUCUAGAUGAUAUUAUUUAGUCUUUUGAACCCCAUCACCUCCUCUACCUCUCCUUACAUUUGUUUUUUAUCUGGUGGCCUCCUUUCUGGGGCCCAGGCAUCUAAGCCAGUCUGGACCUUCUCAUCUUCCAGCUGUCAUCCUAUGACUUCCUUGAGUCAUAUAUUCUGUUAUUUGGGUUCCAGGUCAUUUUCUUUCUUGGCUUACUAACUUAUUUUGCAAGAGAGCUUCUCAAGAAAGCCAGAUGAACUCCCUGAUUCCUUAGCUGUUCUGAGUCUACCUUCAGUUUUAAUUAGCUAGGGAAGAAUUUUAAAAUAAGUCUCAUUUAAAAAAUUAGAACUCAUUUUUCUUCAGAAUAUUUUGGUUUUAACCAUAUUUCCUUUGCUUGCUUUUAAAAAAAUUAAGUUUAUUUUUUAAAGAGAGAGAGAGAACAUAAGUUGGAGAGGGGCAGAGAGAGAGAGAGAAUGAAUCCCAAACAGGCUCUGCUGUCAGCACAGAGCCCGAUGUGGGACCUGAACUCACAAACUGCAAGAUCAUGAUCUGAGCCAAAAUCAAGAGUCAGGCGCUUAACCAACUGAGCCACCCAGGUACCCCUAACUUUAUUGUCUUAAUCUACUCUACAUUUUCCUUUUCUUGUAUUGUUUUAUUGGAAGGCAUAUUUUAAUUUCCAAAAGUUCUUAUUUUUACCUUAUUUUAAGUUUAUUUAUUUUGAGAGAGAGAGACAGAGAGAGAGAGAGAGAGAGAGAGAGAGUGUGUGUGUGUGUGUGUGUGUGUGUGUGUGUGUAAUUGGGGGAGGGACAGAAAGGGAAAAAGAGAGGGAAUCCCAAGCAGGCUGGCACUAUCAGCGUAGAGCCCAAUGUGAGGCUUGAACUCAUGAACUGUAAGAUCAUGACCUGAGCCGAAAUCAAGAGUCAGACACUUAAAUGACUGAGCCACCCAGGUGCCCCAUUUUACCUUUUUUUUUUUAAGGGCAUGUUUUGCUUUAUGGUUUUGGUAUCUUCUCAAAUAUUUUAAUGAGUUUUUUAGAACACUGUCUUCUGGUUCCUGAAUAUUUCUGUGGCUAUAUAUAAUGAUGGUUCCUUUUAUUGUUGUUAGUGUUCCUCAAGUAUCUAAUCAUUCUUGGUUGGCUCCUUCUGUUUCAGAAUGAGACAUUAGGAAGCCAGUUAAGGGCUCUGAGGAGAUGGAUGUGGCCAAUGGGUGUUGGUGAGAUAACCGAGCAAGGGCCUGACUGGGGCAGAUGCCUGUCUGCUGGCUGUUUAGUGCACUAGGGUACAGGGCUCAUUUUUCCAUUUAUAAGACUCUCAUCAAUAUCCCUGUUUUUCACCUCACAUCUCAGUCCACAUCUUCUAUCAUACUGGCUUUUCUAAAUAUGGAAACUCAGGAAUUUAGCAGUGCACCUAGACUGUCUUCAUUCAUCACUAAUCAGCUUCCAUCCUCUCUCGUUUUCAGAGACAUUAUGAAAUCUCUCACCUACUGAUGGUUCCCUUUCUAUGUUUGACAUAGUUUUGUAUUUAUACCCUUAUUUCUUCUUAUUAAGAGGGAAAAGAGAUCAAUCCAAGUUUUCUCUCUGCCAUCUUGAAACAGAUGCCUCUCCAUUUAUUUGUUUGUUUAAUAAAGACUCCCAUUUACUCCAUCAACUUUCCCUCAUAUCCUCAUUGGCCACUUAGAAAUCUGUAAACAAUAGUGUUAUGAAUUGAAGUAUGUUCCCCUGCCCCACCAAAAUAUGUUGUGAAGUCCUAAUCCUCCAUACCUCAGAAUGUGACCUUAUUUGGAAAUAUGUCUAUUGCAGCUGUAAUUAGUUAAAAUGAGGUCAUACUGGAAUAGAGUGGUCUCCUAAUCCAAUAGCACUGGUGUUCUUAUGAGAAAACAGCCUUAUGAAGAAACCAGGGAGAAUGCCAUGUGAUGCCAAAGGCAGAGAUUAGAGUUAUGUAGGUGCCAGUCAGUGAACACCAGGGAAUGCCUGUAAAUCACCAGGAGCCAGCAAGAGGCAAGGAAAGAUUCUCUCUUACAAGUUUCAGAGGGAUCAUGGUCCUGCUGAUAUCUUGAUUUUGGGCUUCCAGCCUCCAGAAUAUGAGAUGGUUUCUGUUACAGCAAGCCAUCCAGUGUCCUGGUACUUUGUUAUGGCAGACCUAGAAAACUAAUGUGAGUAGAGACAGACAACAGUUAGGGACUUGACAAGCAUUCAAUUUAGAGAUAAGGAGGUAACUGGUAGAAAUACCUCCUCGUCCUGCCCUGAAAAAAAUGGUUAAAAUGAGUGUGGAAAGUGAGACUGGGGGUAGAAAGGAGGCAGAGGAGUAUUGCUUUUCAUGACUUCUCAUUGCUUUCUGUACCAUAACAUUGUUUUCACACACCUUCUUACUUCCCUAGGUAUUCUCUGGUUUGUCAUCUAGUUUGUAAAGAUCUGUGGCAGGUCAAAAUAACAGCAACCCCCACCCAGGAUGUCCAUGUCCUAGACCCCAGAACCUGUGAAUAUGAUACCUUACACGGCAAGGGAGAAUAUAGGUUCAAGAUAGAAUUAAGGUUGCUAAUCAGCUGACUUUAACAUAGUGAGAUAAUUCUUAGCCCAAUGUAAUGAUAAGAAUCCUCGGAAGUGGAAGAGGGAGGCAUGAGUCACAGAGAUAUGUUGGAAGCAGAUCAUUGGAGUGAUGGAAGGAUGUACUGGCAGAAGGACUCAAGAAGAAAGAGGAUGAAAGACACAAGCCACAAAUGUGGAUGGUCUCUAGAUGCUGGAGGAGACAAGGAAACUGAUUCUCCCCUGGAGACCUAGAAAGGAAUCAAGCCCUCAUGAUAUGCUCUUAGCCCAAUGAGACCUAUGUCAGACUUGACCUGCAGAACUGUGAAAUACAUUUGGGUGGUUUUAACUCACUGAGUUUGUGGUCAUUUACUACAACAGCUAUAGGAAACUAGUAUACCAUCCCUUUAAAAGUGCAGGCUCAAAGCUAAAGCAUAGUACCCCAGUCUGGAACUAGCCACUGCUGACACCUGAAAUUCUUUUCUUUCCUGUCCUAGACCUUAAUCUAAUUAUAUAGCCAACAUUUGUUUUUGUAGCUGCCAUCAGAUGCGAUUUUCUCACACUGAAUUUGCAGAAAAUGAAAGCCCAUCAGACUGCAAAUGCCCAUGGAGAAAUGGAACUUACCAUAUUGCCAAUUCCAUCAUAGCAUACUGGCUAAGGACAUAGAGUUAGGAAGGAACUGGGUUCUAAUCCCUCACUUAGCCACUUACUAGCUGUGUAUCCUUGAGCCGUUUUACCUCUUGAAGCUUCCAUUUCUUCAUCAGUAAAUGAGAGCUAGCAACAGCACCAACCUCAUGUGGUUAUUGUAUUGUCUAAAUUAGAUGAUGUUUUUAAGACACCACAAUGCUUGGCCCAUGGUGAGUGCACAAUAAAUAGUAUGUUAAACUUGAAAAGCGAAGGAGUGGGAUAAUGUUGGGCUUACCCCAGAAACUCUGUGUCUUGUUAUUUCCAAAGGCUUAGGUUGAAAAUUUUCUGACUCCCCACUUAUUUUUGUAUAUAUGGCAAUCUAUAUGGUGUCCUAGAAUACUAGCAGGUAUGUGUGUGUGCUGAAUCCAAAACAUGGCUCACAACUUCUGUUAGCAUCAUAUUAGAUGAAGAAGUUAAAUCAAAACACAAACUUUAACAUUAUUAAUUCAGUGGUUAAUGCAAGGCAACCACUCGCUUCUCUCCCUCUUCCAAUCCCCUGGCCCUGGCCUAAAGACUAUCAAUGGUACUCUUGGGAUGGUGAAAGAUGAUGAAGCACCUCCCCUGUGCUUCCACCUGUGACCCCUUCCAUAGCUCUUGCUCUGAAGUCUGCAGACCAUUCAACAGUUAAUAGACAUCUUUAGCUAUCAGCUGCCUACUCAUUCUCAAAGUAGUCUCCCUCAACCACCUACAAAACCUGUUCUAAUUUCAAGACAUAGAGGGAAAUCUUUUUUUUUUUUACUUUGUUCUCAUUAAUUUGUCUCCCCACUUCAUCAUCCCUUACAAGAAUACCUAAAAUUAAGAGAAAUGGCUAUACAGUCUCCUUCAGAUCAGACCUAGAUUCAAACCCUAACUUUGAAAGUUGUUUGUUUCCGGGCAAAUUGCUUAAUUUCCCUGUGUUCCAUGUUCUUCCUGUCUAAAGUAGGGACACCUGCUUCACACAGGAUGAACACUACAGAUAAUACAUGCAAAACAAAGCAAGAUGCUUGGCAUUGUAAGGCUAAAUAAUAGUAAUAGUAAUAAAGUAUUAUUACUACUUCAUUGUUUCUGUUUUCCCUUCAACGAUACCCUUUAGCCUCCCUUCGGACCUUUUCUCCCAGCCUGUCCCCUGAGGUCUCAUCUCUAGGGACAUUCCUCUCCUAUGCUGAGUUAUGCCUCUUAUGAUGUUAAGUGCAUAGCUGGUCCCCAUAGUUUAUAUUACAUUUGUUUCUGAUUCAAGCAAAGAAUGUACUUCAAUAUGGCAUCAUUUAAUACAAGCCUAACCUGCCCCCUACCUGGCAGAGAUGAUGGGAGCUUAUUAAGAUAAUGUCUUCCUACUACUUACAGCCCCUUGAAAGACAUUUACUAAAUAAACAGUGGUAUUCGAUUUUUUGUGUUGUUUGUUUUAGCUCUUAAUGCACGCUCUCUGAAUUGUAUUAAUAGGUUCUCUGCAAUGCUUCUCACAAUAUGGGCACUUGUUAAAUGCUACUAAAUGCAGAGUGGCAGUGGAUGUUACUUAUUUGUGCCUCUGCUUUGCUCUUGCUCUCCUCCCUCUCCCUCUCUCCUUCUCUCUGCUAAACCUGGAACCCCCCCCUCCUCCUUCUAGGUUCCUAGUCCACUGAUUUUCAACCUUGGCUAUAUAUCAGAAUCACUAAGAAUGCUUUUUAAGACUCUUGAUAACCAGACAUUACCCUAGACGACUUGAAUAAAAAUCUCUGGAAUUGAGUUCCAGGCAUCAGCGUUUUCUAACGUUUCCUAGCUGAUUUCAGUGUUUAGCCAAAGCUGACUCUUCUAUAUCCAACCAGAUCCCAAUCAGAUGACAUAUGUACAGAAAAUUAACAUUUAAUGUCUUUUUUCUGCUCAGCUGUGAGUUCCUCAAGGGCCAGUAUGAUCUCUUAUCUUUUUGCUCCCAGUCACUAACAGUCCCUGGCAAAGAGUGAAUACUCAGUACAUAUUUCUUUUCUUGGCUGAAAGCAUAGCCUUCCUAGCUCAAAGGAUUUCCCCCAUGCUCUGGUUUCUGUAACAGUGGACGUGAGUACCUCUUAUUCAUUCUAAUUGUCUAUCAUUUUGGUUGUUCAGAUUCUCUCAGGUAAAAACAAAACAAAACAUUUUUUGUACUGUUUAGCAGGGAAAACACAUCAUUACCAUGUGGUAAGGACUGCUGUCCUCCAGGAGUGUGCCAGGUACUGUGGCUGCAGUCCAGAGGAAGGCCCGGGAGGUCGGGAUGUGGGUUAGAAAGAGUACCGGCCUUCCAAUCACACAAACCCAGAGCCAGAUCUCCACUGUAUGCCUACGGGCACAUUCUUUCACCUCUCCGAGCUCUAGUCUCCUCUUUGUGGAAGAAGGGAAAUGAUGCCUAUUCCGGAGUUUAGGGUCACUGAAGGACAUAAUGUAGGAAAAGAGACACAGGAACCAUCUUUGUCUGCUUGGGCUACCAUAACAAAAUACCAUAGACUGGGUGGCUUAAACAACAGAUUUUUUUCCUCACAGUUCUGGAAACUGGAAGUCCAGUAGCAGGCUGUCACCAAGGUUGCAUUCUGGUGACCGCCCCUUUCCUGGCUUGCUGAUGGCCGCCUUCUCACUGUGUCUCUCAUGGAGCUCUCCAGUGACUCUUGGAAGGCCACUAAUUCUUCUUAUGACCCCCUUUAAUCUUUGUUAUCUUCUUGUAGUUCCUGUAGCAGUCACACUGGGGGGCUAGGGCUCCAAUAUAUGAAUUUUUAGGGGUCACAGUUCAGGCCAUGGCACUGACAGAGAGAGAUACAAAGAAUAUUAGUAUUACUGAACUCAUAUUCUUUGUAUCUCUCUCUGUAUCUCUCAGGUUCCCUUGAGAGAAUCAGAAAAAUAUCAAGGGAGAGACAUCACAACUAGAUCUUGUGGGUUGAGUGGGGAUGUCUUAGGCAAACAAAGGCAUUUCAAGCAGAGCAAACAGCAAUUCAAGUCUGUUAAAAGACAUGACAUAUUUGGGGAUCAGUUCUCACUGAUUUUUCUCACCACUUUUCACCAGAAAUUGGAGUGGAUAAGAGUAAGGUUCAUGGUAGAAAAUAUAAGAGAUGUGGUUUGGGGCAUAUCAUUCAUAAUAGUAAAGGCCACAAAGCUGAGGACUCAGGAAUUUUUCACUGGCAUAAAGGAUUACUAUGCCAGUAGCUUUUUUUUUGUUUCCGGAUACCUCUUUGUUUCCCAUUGAGCUGGUUGGAUUCUUGAGGACAAGGACCUUGCCAAAUGUUUCCCUGUAAUCCACCCCUGAGCCUAGGAUAAUUCCUUAAAAAUGUAGCAGGAAUGAAUUGCUCCAAAACUGUGGCAUAUAAAAGCUAUCACUUUGUUCAUUUGUUCAAUUUGAAAUAAAGCCACCCUGCUUCCUCUAGGUGGUAUGAAAGCCAGCAUUACUCUCUUGGGAUUCCGUCACCCCUAUCUGUUCCCCGACUGCCCAAGAACCCUGGCUAUUAAAUGUGGCCAAUAGAAGGUCUUCUCUCCCUAGCAGGUAAGGGCCCCCUUGUCUGCCUGUUGAAGCAGGUUUUCCUGAUUGCCUUGUGAGUGGUCUUCAGCAUGGUUAACAGCUCUACUCCUCUUUUAUCAUAUGGCCACACUGCUUCUCCAUGCUCUAACAGUAUCUCCCUGGCUCUUAUGCUGUAUUCACUGGAUUGUCUUAAUGCAAACUCCACUCCACUCUUCAAAUGCCUAUUCCACCCUGGAUGCCUGAGUGGUAACCCUGGCUUCAGUUCUUACUUAGCCCUUUGUGCUCAGAAUUAUUACUUUCUAAAGCCAUGGUCUCCACCUCUGGGUGCUACUCUACUACUGGCUUGGCUGUCUGUCUCUUUCAGCUCCACAUUUCUCUCUCCCUCCCCUUGAGUCUUGAGAUAUUUUUGUGAAUAAUCUUCAAACCACAAAGCUUUUAUUUCUCCCCUUCCCUUGGGCAAUAUGGAUUAAUUGCCUUGACGGGCCUGACCUCUGAAACACAAAUGCCUGUUUAAAAUAAAAGGCUGAUUAUUAUAUAAUGAACUAUAUUCAGUUUACUAAAUAGUUAACUUAAACAUAAAUAUAUGUAUACAUUUAUGCUGAAUAGAUGUAUAAUUUAUGCUAAUGAUAAUUACAAAUAAUACAAAAGCAUAAUAACUGUAUUCAUUACCAGUGCUUCAUUCUGCUUCUGCUUAAGAGCCAUAUACUGACAAUUUGACAGGCCGCUGGUACUGUGCUGGGCACUGAGGACAUAGAGAUGGCUAUGGUAUCAUCUUUGUCCUCAAAGAGAUUAGAGUUUAGUGGGGGAGUAAGAUGUAUCAAAUUAGCUAAUGUAUUAUGAAAGCCCUCAUUAAGAAAUGAUUAGGCUGGGGCACCUGGGUGGCUCAGUGGGUUAAGUGCCCAACGGUUGAUCUCAGUUCCGGUCUUGAUCUCAGGGUUCUGCAUACAAGCCCCACGUCGGCCUACUUGAAAAAAAAAAAAAAAAGAUUGGGCCGACACUGUUAUUUUAUCGUGACUCUGAAGAGGUUCCUUGUUUGCUGUGCUGUGCCUUGUAUUCACUUGGUCCGUGUCUACAUUGGCCUUCAUUUCCUUAGCCACUUCCUUGUGAGGUAUAUUAUUUAGGCUUGACUAUGCUAUGCUGCUGAAACUAAGUAACUCCCAAAUCUCUGGAUGGGAGAUGGACAUAGCAAAGGUUUGUUUUUCUUACAGUGACUAGCCCUAAUGUGAUUAGGGAACAUACCUGCUCCAUGUGGCCACUUAGGGAUCCAGGCUCUCUGAGCAUCUUACUUCCUAUAGGGAGAGGGUGGUGCCACCAUCGAAGCAUGCAUUGCAAUGAAAAGGUGCAGCAGUUUUUAACCAUUGCUAUGCAAAAAUAACACACAUCAUUUUUGUCACAGGCCAUUAGCCAAAAAUUGUAACAGGACCCCAAACUAACAACAAGAAAGGCUGGAAAAUGUAGGGGAGCCUGUGGAUUAUUAGAUGAUUGCUGCUGUUGCUGCCACCAGAGUAGUGAUUUGAGAGCAUGAGCUUUGAAGAAUUUGAAUCUUGACCCUGGUAGUUACUUUUGGAGUCCCCAAGGGGGAGGGCACAUAAAUAGCAACCCUCUUCUCUGCUGAGUUCUGAGCUUAAGUGUGUGUGUGUAUGUGAAAUAGGUGAUGGGAUUAAGGAGUACACUUGUGAUGAGCACUCAGUGUUGUAUGGAAGUAUUGAUUCAGGUGUACUAUAUUGUACACCUGAAACUAAUAUUAUACUACAUGCUAACUAUAAUUGAAAUAAAAACUAAAAAGAGGAAUAUAUAUAGAGGCCAAAAUAUCAUCCAUAUUAAUGGUCAAAGACAGGUUGUAGGAUGUGGCUUUAUUCUACUAGUCAAGCAGACCCCCUGGUGGAAUCCCAGAAUUUGGUUGACCUCUGGACCAGGUAUGGCAUGGUGGAACAGUACAGAACUUAUGUCUUCUGCAAGACAGAUGACUCCUAAAAGAGGAGGAAGAAAGUGGGGAUGAGCAGAGCAUGACUAGUUACACUUCAACUACUUACCUAUUAGGUAGGAUAUCUCACAUCUCUGGGAUUAGAUUAAGUAAAGAAGCUAGAAGAAACACUAGUGAAGCUCCCAAAGAAAACUCAAAGUAAGGGAAAAGAGUUUUCUUUUGUUUUGUUUUGUUUUGUUUUUUAUAACUCUUACUAGUUGUGACAUUUAAGUCAGUCCCCCAGCCUCUCUGGUCACCAAUUUGCUCAUCUAUAAAAUGCAGAUGAUAGUAUCUCACAAUAUCUCUCCUUGGGUCUUUUACAACUGCUAGAAAUUAGGAGAUGUGCUAGACUGGUAAUGGGGAGGAGUUCUUCAAAUGUCUUCUAUAAAAUGCUCAUAAAUACUUGAGAUAGAAUUACUUACAAGUUUAUAGAAACCAGAUGGUUUUAAACACAUCCCCCACCCCCAAAACACACAUAAUUUAAAAAAUCUUCUUGGCUGUUUCUUUCCAAACACUUGCCCACUCAACAAGCAUUUCCUCAACAAUCCUGUAGGGUUGUUCUUGUUCCUAACAGUAAAUGUCUGAAGCCACCCUUUUCUAGCAAAAGCAAAAGCUACCCAGUUAAUGUCUCUCUCUGAAGUUUUCUCUUUUAACUCUUUCGCGACUAUUGCCAUUGAGGGUUUGAGUGGCUUUGUAGAAUGGAAAACACCCAAAUCAAAAUAGUCAUUUUCAGAAAAGUGAGCCUUCCAUUUUCCUAGUGAAAUACUAAUUACUCUAUGAUCCAGAGAGUCCAAGGUUGAGCCUUCUUAGAUAAGAAAUUACUUUUUUCACAUCUAAAAGAUAUUUAAAAGUAGAAAUGUUUUAAAUGAAAGUAUUAAAUUAUACAAUUACAUGCGUAGACUGUGCCAUUGAGGGAGUUAUUUUCAUGGUGUAGGCUGAAUCCAGCAUAAAAAUAUUUACUGCUCUGAAAUGUCAAUAUAAAAUAAUCAGAAUAUAAAAUUAAAUAUUUACUGUAUAAUCAGCCUGCAUUCAUCCAUCUACAAUGUUCCAUGAAAAACACUGAUUACACUGAAUUUGACCACCUGGAUUUUCCUAAUAUUUUCAGGCUUAAGAAAAAAACUGCCAAAGUCUCACUCACAGGCAUUUUCUAACAACUUUUCAAGGGAAAUCUUUUGGAACAGGGAAUUAUGCAAUGAUGACUUAAGGAAGUUCCAGAUAACACACACACACACACACACACACACACACACACACACACCAGAAGAUGAACCUCUCUGCUGAUCUUCCUUCAUCACAUAUCUUAGGUUCAGUUGCAAUUCAGCAAGUCAAUAAAUCUUCACAGAUAUUCACCAAUUCUGUGAUAAAACUGUGCCAGGCAGUAGGGAUAAAAAUGUGGUCCGGAGCACCUGGGUGGCUCAGUUGGUUGAGCUUCCGACUUUGGCUUAGGUCAUGAUCUCACACUCCAUUAGUUCAAGCCCCACAUCGGGCUCUGUGCUGACAGCUCAGAGCCUGGAGCCUGCUUUGGAUUGUGUCUCCCUCUGUCUCUGCCCUUACCCUACUCAUGGCUCUGUCUCUCUGUUUCUCAAAAAUAAAUAAAUGUUUAAAAAAAAUUUUUUUAAAUGUGGUCUGUGUUCUUGGGGCGCUCAGCAUCAAAUGUGAGAGACAGAUUACUAAGUAGCCAGCUAUAAUGCACUGUGAUAAAUCCUACAUUAAGCAUAAGCCCAGUGGCAUCAGGUAAGAAGGGUCCUGAAGAGAAUCAUCAAACCUACUCUAUUAUUUCAGAAUGAAGCCAAAGGCAAUAUUAUUUACUUUAUGAAUGUCCAUGCAAUUGGAAGAACCAAACUCAAUUUUAAUUCAUUGUAAAGACCACAUUUUCAACAUUCAUUCUGAAGAUUAACAUGGAAUCUGCCCAUUUAGUGAUGUGGAUUGAAAUUGAUUCUAGGGGACAAUCUUCUGAAAGUGCCACAAAGGUCAAAACGUGACCCAAAAAGUCCUAGACUAGGCAGGAAGUAGGGGUUUAAUUUGUUUGAUCUUAGGUUAAAGGUAAGUGCUUUCUGGAGCACCUGGGGUGGCUCAGUUGAAUGUCUGACUCUUGAUUUUGGCUCAGGUCAUGAUCUCCUGGUUUAUGAGUUGAACUCCACAUUGGGCUCUGAAUUGACACUGUGGAGCCUGCUUGGGUUUCGGUCUCUCUCCUUCUCUCUCUGCCCCUCCCCCACUCACUUUCUCUUUCUCUCUCUUUCUCUCUCCCUCCCUCCCUCUCUCAAGAUAAAUAUAUUUUUUUAACUAAGCGUUUUGUCCUAGCUACUGUUUUACUAUCUGAAAAUAAGCUGGACCUGUUGAUCUCUUAGGUUCUUUCUACCUCUGAAUACAUAUGAUAACUACAAAUCAUUCCCGUUAAAAAAAAAUUAAAACAUCUUAGAGAUGCCUCAUCAGGGAAUGACAUUAGCCUAAUUCAAGUUACAAAUUUCCUUUGCUUAUUCAAUAAUUGAUGAGACUACAUAACACUUGGGUGUCCAUCAGAACUGGGUUUGAGUCCAAGCUUUGUCACUUUCCUGGUUAUGAAGCCAUGAGCAGUUUAUUUAAUUUUUCUGGGCCUUUUAUAUGUAAAAUGAGGAAGUUAUAGCUUAUCUGAGAUGGGACUUAUGGGAUUAAAUAAGAUAAUGAAUGCAAGAGCUUAACUAGUGCCUCACAAAAAAAGGCUCUCAAUUAACAGAAUCAUUUUUAAUUUUUUUUAAUGUUUAUUUUAUUUCUGAGGGGGAGAGAGAGAGCAUGAGCAGGGGAGGGGCAGAGAGAGAGGGGGACACAGAAUUGAAAGAAGGCUUCAGGCUCUGAGCAGUCAGCACAGAGCCUGACGCAGGGCUCAAACUCACAAACUAUGGGAUAACAGCUGAGCCAAAGUCAGACACUUAACCGACUGAGCCACCUAAGGACCCCAACAGUUUUAUUUUUAAUGAGUUUAGCUGUGGAGUUCACGCUGUCCACAGUGCUGAAGAAAAACCUUGUCCCUGCUUAUACUUUGGAAAGAAAGAUGUGUGAAAUCAUCAUGCCUAGUACAGAAGAAAAAUAUAUAAGAGAGGCAUGAACAAAGUAUAUCACAGAACAAGAAGAGUGAUAUUGACUUAGAGCGUGAGAGAGGGGUAGAAUCUAGAAAAGGCUACACAGAAGAAGUAAUAUGUCAACUGGAUCUAUACAUGAGAUCAGCGAGGCAGCCUGGGGUCAUUUUGUGAAAAGUCACAUGAAGGAAUUUGAACUUCCAAUAAAUGAGAACCCAUCAAAAGUUGAUUUACUGCAUAUUCAUUUUUAAUUAUUUUGACUUCAGAUUUCUUUACUCAGUCUGAAUCCGUAGUAUUCUGUUGCUCCAUUCGUCUAAAUCAGGAGUGGACAGCUUGAAGACCAUAUCUGGUAUGUGGCUCAAGCUUAGAGUGCUUUUAAUGUUUUUCUAAUUAAGUUUUUUUUAUUUUAACUCUAAUAUAGUUAAUAUACAGUGUUAUAUUAGGUUCAGGUGGAUAAUGUAGUGAUUCAACAAUUCUGUGCUCAGUGCUCAUCAUGCUAAGUGUGCUCUUUAAUCCCUAACACUGAUUUCACCCAUCCCCCACACACCUCCCCUCUGGAAAUCAUCAGUUUGUUCUCUAAGGUUAACAGUCUUUUUCUUGGUUUGCCUCUCUCUCCUUUUCCUUUGUAUGUUAGCUUUGUUUCUUAAAUUCCACAUAUGCAUGAAAUCAUGUGGGAUUUGUCUUUCUCUGACUGACUUAUUUCACUUAGCAUUAUGGUAGUAGUAGUUCCAUCCAUGUCAUUGCAAAUGGCAAGAUUUCAUCCUUUUUAUAGUUGAAUAAUAUUCCAUUGUGUGUGUAUGUGUGUGUGUACAUACAUACCACAUCUCUCUCUCUAUAUAUAUAUAUACAUAGGUGUAUAUUCAUUCAUCUAUCUAUGGACACUUGGUCUGCUUCCAUAAUUUGGCUAUUGUAAAUAAAACUGCCAUAAACAGGGGUGCAUAUAUUUUUUUGAGUCAGUGUUUCUGUAUUCUUUGGGUAAAUACCCAGUAGUGUGAUUAUUAGCUUGUAGGAUAGUUCUAUUUUUAACUUUUUGAAGAAACUCCGUACUGUUUUCUACAGUGGCUGUACCAGUUUGCAUUCCCACCAACAGUGCACAAGGGUUCCUUUUUGUCUACAACCUCUCUAACACCUGUUAUUUCUUGUGUUUAUUUUAGCCAUGCUGACAGCUGUAAGGUGACGUUGCAUUAUAGUUUUGAUUUGCAUUUUCCUGAUGAUGAGUGAUGUUGAGCAUUUUUUCAUCGGUCUUUUGGUCAUCUGUAUGUCUUCUUUGGAGGAAUAUCUGUUCAUGUCUUCUGCCCAUUUUUAAUUGGAUUAUUUCUUUUUUGGGUAUUGAGUUGUAUCAGUUCUUUCUAUAUUUUUGGGUACUCACCUUUUAUCAGAUAUGUCAUUUUCAAAUAUCCUCCUUCAUUCAGUAGGUUGCUUUUUAGUUUUGUUGAUUGUUUCCUUCACUGUGCAGAAGCAUUUUAUUAUGAUGUAGUCCCAGUAGUUUAUUUUUGCUUUUAUUUCCCUUGCCUUAGGAAGCAUAUCUAGAAAACUGUUGCUACAGUCAAAGUCAGAGAAAUUCCUGCCUGUGUUCUUUUCUAGGAUUUAAUGGUUUCAGGUCUCACAUUUAAGUCUUUAAUCCAUUUUGAGUUUAUUUUUGUGUAUGGUGUAAGAAUGGUCCAGUUUCAUUCUUUUGCAUACAGCUGUCCAGUUUUCCCAGAACCAUUUGUUGAAGAGACUGCCUUUUUCCCAUUGCAUAUUCUUGCCUCUUUUGUCAAACAUUAAUUGAUUAUGGGGGUGCCUGAGUGGAUCUGUCACUUGGGCAUCUGACUUCAACUCAGGUCAUGGUCUCACGGUUUGUGAGCUCGAGCCCCACGUUGGGCUCUGUGUUGGCAGCUCAGAGCCUGGAGCCUGCUUCGGAUUCUGUGUGUCCCUGCUCACACUCUGUCUCUGUCUCUAUCAAAAAUAAAUAAACAUGAAAAGAUUUUUUUUUCAUUACUUGACUAUAUAAUUGUGUGGUUUGUUUUCUGGACUUUCUAUCCUGCUCCGUUGAUCUACGUGUCUAUUUUUAUGCCAGGACCAUCCUGUUUUGAUUCCUACAGGUUUGUAGUGUAAGUUGAAAUUUAAAAUUGUGAUACCUUUAGUUUUGUUUUUCUUUUUCAAGAUUAUUUUGUCUAUUCAGGGUCCUUUGUGGUCCUGUACAAAUGUUAGUAUUUUUGGUCUAGUUCUAUGAAAAAUGCUUGGCAUUAGGGUAGGAAUCGCAUUAAAUGUGUAGAUCGCUUUUGGUAGUAUGGUCAUUUUAAUAAUAUUUGUUCUUCCAAUCCAUAAGCUUGGAAUAUCUUUCUAUUUGUUUGUGUUGUGGUUUUAACACUUUUAAAUGGUUAAUGUGAGUAACUACAUAAUAUACUUGAUUUUGCCCCUUGGCCAAAAAGCAUAAAAUAUUAUCUGACCCUUUAAUAAAAUUUUUGCUGACCACUGGCCUAAAUGACUAAUAUCAAACACAUAAUGGGUUUUUUUUUUGUCAAAAGGCCACAAUGUCUAUAAAUUUUAUAAAUAUUUUCUUUGUGCCUCACAUGUGUCUGGAAUUAUCUUUCUUCCUGAAAACAUUCUUUCAUACCCAGCCUAUCUUUUGCAUUGUACAACAGGUUCAGGAUUCAGUGAUGAGCUUUGCUUUCCUGUAUCCUUUGCCUUCUUAGCUAUACUUUAUAUUUUCUCUUGGAUCUUAUGAUAAUUAAACAAUGGGAGUUUUAUGCCGUUCUACCUUUUCUUUAUCUUCCCAGAAGAUACCCAAUAGUUCUACUGGUACUGGUACUUCUGUUUUCUUGGCCUGAAAAUAAGAAUUUCGCUCUUUUCUAAGUGACCUAUGUUGCAAUUUUGUGUGGGAUCCACAUUAGCUGGACUAUAGGUGAUUGACCCAUACAUAUGCAAAAGAGACAUCAAACAAUGGUGACUUAAAGUAGAGUGUAUUUCUCUAUCUCAUAUAAUAGUCCUGGAGUAGUUGGCUACAGCUGGGAUGGGGGCUCUGCUCCAUAAGGGUUUGCAGGGAUCUGGGCCCUUUCUGUAUUGUUUCCCAUUCUCAAACAGGUUUCCCUUUUAUGAGUGGUGUGAGAUGACUCACUCCCACAUUAUAUUCCAAACACUUGAAUCAAAGGUGAUGAGAACAUAUGACCUCCCUUGCAAUAUUGUUGUAAAAUGAUAGAUAUGUAAUGCACCUGAGCAAAUGCUACAGCUACCUGUUAUUACUAAUAAAUAGGUAAUUGCAAAGAUUCUGAUGAAGUGCCAGUUAUUUAAACCUGUGCUGAAGAAAAAUAAUUUCAGUGGAGUUGAAUAGUGAAUUAAAUUUAAAGUUGCAUUUUUGAUCUUCUCCUUUGUUCUGGGAAUAUGAUGGCUAUUAUAAUGAGUGUACUAGUAUUGGUUACAUUUGAGAGGAAUUUUAUUGUUUUUUGUUAUGAGCCAAAGAUUGUCUAAAGGACUUCAAUUCUAGUAAAUUCUGAAUUCAUGCAUAACUCAGCAGCAAAUUCUUCGAAUCCCUGUACCUUUUUUCAGACUUUUUGCCUGUAGCCAAAUCCUAUUAAAUGUAUUUCCAUGUCAUGUUGUGCUUAAAUAAUGUGGCAGGACAGAGCCUUGACUUAGAAAAUGACACCCUUCCUCCGAGGAGGUUUCUAUCACAAUCAUCUCAUACAGAAAUCAUAUCUUGUAUUCUGCCUCUGUGGAAAUGGGCGAUGUUGUUAAAAAUUUAUUUUUGCUGCAAGAAAAUCUGAUUCUUGGUUUAUUGUGUCAAACAGCUGCUAGUAUAUAGUCUGGGCAGCUGUCCAGCUGUGAGGUUCACAUAAAUUAAUUUAACCCUUGGGUAUAUUGUGAGGCCAAUUAGGAUAGUGUCCCCCCACCAGGUGCAGCAGGGAAUUAAGAACACUUUUCAUCAGGGAGAUCCAGAUGAUUUGAUGAUGCCCAAAGUUCUAUAUGGAGUAUUUUCCAAAUAUCAAGGCAAAUAAUCAUGUAAGAUAUGUUUAUGACAGCUUGAAUCCAUAUUCAUAUGUAAAUACACACACACACACACAUAUAUAUAUGUAUAUGUAUAUAUAUAUAUAUAUAUAUGUAUAUAUAUACACAUAUAUAUACAUAUAUAAACAAAUGGUGUGAAGGAAAAUCAUAAUACUUAGGCACAUAUCACUUUACAGAAUGUAAUGUGUAUGUUCAGGAAUAAUCCAAGGUAUUUGAAUAAAAUUGCAUUGGUUUCUGCCAAUCAAAAAUACUCCCUUUUCUUUCUUCUCAUCUCCUUUCUUAGAACUAAUUCUACUGAGACAGUGUUGGAUUGGCUAAGUGUUAUGCUUUUACUCCUUUAAAAGCAAAAAUAUAAAAUAAAAUUAUGUGGACCUUUAAUGUGCCUCCUGUGGUCCUUGGUCCCUGGCUUGAGAAACAUUGAAUUAAAGGUUCAGCACUGUCAUCCCUAUAGGUAAUUACUAGAAUAGUCACAAAAGCUGGCUUAGAAAUCUCAUAGCUUUGCCCAUUUGCAAAGUAUUCAACCAUAUGAUUUAUAAUAUGCAUAUGUCAAUGUUUAGAAUUAUAAUAGUAUAAAAAGAAAAUUGUAAAUUAUCAUAUAGAGUUCUCAAACACCAAAUAAUAGGGCCAUAACACUCUCCAGGGAUCUUCACACAUGGAGUUUUGAGAAGCACUGAAUCAAAUCCAAUUUUGAAACUGCUUAUUUUAAGGUUAAAUGGACCCUUUCUAGGAUCUACAGAUUCUCCUCUUAAGUCUUACAUGCCAUUUCACUUGAUACAGGUUUAUUAAGAGGCAAUAUCAUAUGAUGGUUCAGAGCCUGGGCUUUGGGGUCAUUUUGAAAGGCUCAAGUCCGAGUGUGGCCCUGUCCUUUGCUUUGGGAAUGUUUGGCCACCGUGUCUCCUGUCGACUUUCCCUCUCAGUAUUUAUUUAAUCUAUUUAUAAUUCUCUUUUAGAACCUAUCUCAACACACAUGUCAAAAUGAAACCUUUCCUCAAUGCACAGAUAAGAACUGGUCCCUGUUUUAUAUACUGGUACUCUCUGUUUAAUAAUAGCAACAGAAACAGGUGUUCCUGGAAGACUCAGUCGGUUAAGCUUCUGACUUUCGAUUUAGGCUCAGGUCAUGGUCUCACAGUUCAUGGGAUUGAGUCCUAUAUCAUCGGGCUGCACACUGACAACGUGGGCCUGCUUGGGAUCCCUCUCUCUCUCUCUCUCUCUCUACCUCACUCUGGCCCUCCCCUGCUCGCAUGUGUAGCACUCUCUCUUUCUCAAAGUAAAUUAAUAAAACUUUAGAAAAAUAAUAAUAACAGCAACAAGAAUACAAUAAUGGCAAGCAAUACUGAGCAGCUAUAAUGUACCAGGCACUAUAUACGAGGUGCUUUACCUGCGUUGCCUCAUUUAAACCUCACAACACCUCUGGGAAGUAGGUGUAUCAUUAUUGUCCUCUUACAGAUGAAGAAACUAGAUAAAAUAAAAAGCAUACUAAAAAUAUAAUGCAAGCCACAUGUAAUUUUGAAUUGUCUAGUACCCACAUUCAAAGAAUAUAAAGAAGGUUGCCUGGGUGGCUCAGUCAGUUGACUGUCCAACUCUUGAUUUCAGCUCAGUCAUGAUCCCAGGGUUAUGAGAUUGAGCCCCAGGUUAGGAUUCUCUCUCUCUCUACUUCUGCCCCUCUCUUCUGCUUACACACACACUCUCUCUAAAAAAAGUUUUAAAAUUUUAAAAAAAUAAAAAUAAAAUAAAACAAAAAUAUUUAAAGAAGUAAAAAUAGUUUAAGCAAUAUCUUAUGCAGUGCAGUGGUUAAAGUGAAAUGCCCUAUGAACGUGGUAAAGUUGAGUUUAGUGGAAAAUUAUUUUACACUGCUUCCAUUUUAAAAUUUUAAUCAAAGUGAAAAUUUCAACAUUCAGUUCCUGAGUCACACUAGCCAUAUUGCAAGUGCUCAAUAAUCUCACUUUGCUAGUGGCUACCAUGUUGAUAGUGUAAGCCUAGGUUCUGAGUAACUUGCCAUAGGUCUUUUACCCAGUAAAAGACUCACUCAGUAAAUAUUUACCAAGUGCCUUUUACACGACAGGUGCUGUUCUAAUCUCUAGAGACAUAGUAGUAAAAAAAAUAGACAAAGUCACUGCUCCCAUGAAGCUAUCGUUAUAGUGGGAUGAGAGAGACAAUAAACAAAUAAUUAACUAAAAAAUGCUUUCAGGUCGUAUUAAGUAGUAUGAAGGAGAAUAAAGCAGGUGGAGAAAUGGCAGUAGACAGAGCUGUUGUGUAUAGCUUGUUGGGCUCUACACCGCCCAACUCCAAGGGACACCAUUCACAUUGUUUGUGAUGUGAAUGCCACUCCCUGGACUAGUGCAGAAGAGUAGCCCUGGGACUUUGGGCUGAAAUCUUAUGUAUAUUAAUCAGGAAAGGUGCUCCAAUAAUGGAAGGUCAUUUUAGCAAAGAUAGGAAGGCAAUGAGAGAACAAGCCAUCUAGAAGUACUUUUCAGAGAGAAUAGCCAGUGCAAAAGCCCCACGGCAGGAAGAAUGCCAAGCAUGUUGGAAGGAAGCAGUGUAGAACGUAUUAAACAGGGGGACACAUAGUAGGAGAUGCAGUCACAGCAGUAGCCAGAAGCUGGAUCACUAUAGGAGUUUGGCGUCCAUGAUUAGUCCUUUGACUUUUAUACUGAGUAAGAUGGGAAACAAUGACUCGAUCUCCAUCUCUCUUGCUCUCAAUCAAUCAAAUCAAAUCAAUCAAUCAAAUUUUUCUUUUUCUUUCUUCUCUUUUCUUUUUAUAUUCUUUUUGAAGAAUUGGCCUGGCUACUUCGUUGCGAACAGACUGAAGGGGGAGGUUAAGUUUCCGGAAGCCAGUAACCACACUAUUGUAGUAAUCCGGGUGAAAGAUGAUGAUGGUUCAGAUUAGAGUCACAGCAGGGGACAUGGUGAAAGCUGGAUUCAGAGUGACCAAGCAGGGAGAGUAUUUGAAGUGGGAGCUUGAAGGGUAGAACUGGGAUCAUAACCUAGGGAGCCUUAUUCCAGAACCCACACUUUGCACUUUUGUGUAGUGGGCUUUCCCCCACUAGAACCUAAGACAGAAAAGAGGUCAUGGUUUGUCCUGUUCACAGUUCUGCCCUGCUGUCCUGCUGGUGUUGAGCCUUCAGUAUGCAUUUAAUGAACAAAUGAGCGCUUAAUGUAUAAAUCAGGAAACUGAGUCCCAAGGAGAUUGGCAAUGAAUUAGUGAUAAGUGGGAUUGGAAUUCAUAUGUACCGGUUGCACAAAUAUUUGCUAAGUCUUACAGACCAGCCUGCAUAUCCCUCCCAGUUUCUGUUGUCCAGCAAAUACCAUCGAAGCCAAGGCCCAUUUCUUGUGAAACCCAGUGACCAGGUCCAACUUUGUUGUUCCUUUACACAUGGCACCAAUCUGUUCCACAAGUUAGUUGAAGGAGAACGACAAUGAGCCGCAUUAUGCCUGCCUGCUUUGACAUUCUAUUCUAAUGCCUUUCUGUUCAUUAUGGUCACCCUCCUCCUUUUUUUCCCUAAGCUCGCAUUUAAAAGAUAAAGAAAUAUAAUUUAUCUUCCUAUUUCCUUGCAUGGUUUUCUGCAGCUGAACAUGCUCCCCAUAAAAUUGAUUUAAGAUUCCUACCAGACUUUAAAUUGAUUGCAAACUGCCUUUAACUUCUAUUGCUUUGUUUUUCCUCCAGCAACUUUCUUAACUUAGUUAAAUGGGCAGAUACUCCUCUAUACACUGCUGCUUCGAAGGCUAGCUCCUCUAGACUUUCCUAAGGGCACAAGAAGAUCAAAAACUUUUCUAUUUUUAUUUCAUAGAGAGGGUUUUCCACAUUAUAAAACUAACCCAUACUCAUUAAAGGAAGUUUGAAACAUACACAAAUAUACACACCCACACAAAAGAAAAAAAAGGAAGAAAAUACCCAACUGUGUAACCCCAAGGUAGUACCUUUAAAACUUUUUGGUGGGGGCGCCUGGGUGGCUUGGUCGGUUAAGCGUCCGACUUCGGCUCGGGUCAUGAUCUCACGGUCCGUGAGUUCGAGCCCCGCGUCGGGCUCUGUGCUGACAGCUCAGAGCCUGGAGCCUGUUUCAGAUUCUGUGUCUCCCUCUCUCUUUGCCCCUCCCCUGUUCAUGUUCUGUCUCUCUCUGUCUCAAAAAUAAAUAAACGUUAAAAAAAAUGACUUUUUGGUGUAUUUUCUUGCCAUCUAUUUGCGUAUGUGAAUGAAUGAGUGAGUGUGUGUGUGUGUGUGUGUGUAUGUGCACACACACUACAUACUUGUUGUGAAUCAUGCUUUUUCGCUUAACAAGCCAUACACAUUUUACUGUCUAGCAUCUUACAUACUGUUUUAAUAGCCAUACAUUAUUUAGUAAUGAAAAUGUUGCUAUAUCCCACUGAUAGGCAUCUUUCCACUUAUCCUUUCACAAAUAAUGCCACACUGAACAUUUUUGUUUAUAAUAUAGAUUCUGUAUUUAGAGUGAUCUCUAAAUCAUCCCCCAAGGCAAAACCACUUCUUAAUUCCCAAAAGUAAGAUCAUUUAGUCAAAUAUAGCAUUAAAUUAUACCAUUUUAAACAUCUACCUAAACUGUAUGCAAAUAUCUACCUCCCUACUAACACUAAUUAUUAAAUAGUUGUCUUUUGGUCUCUUUUUAUUUCAACUGUGCUCAUUUAAUAGGUUUAAAAGCCACCAAAUUUUAUUUAUUUGCAUGUGUUUGAUUGAUUCUAAACUUGAAUAUUUCCACAUACCUGCCUAUUCAUUGUAUUAAUUAUUUUCUUCAUGCCUUUUUUAUUUAUUAGAAUAUCAAAAUAUUCUUAUCAAUUUGCUUAACUUUUUUUUUUUUAAUUUUUUUUCAACGUUUUUAUUUAUUUUUGGGACAGAGAGAGACAGAGCAUGAACAGGGGAGGGGCAGAGAGAGAGGGAGACACAGAAUCGGAAACAGGCUCCAGGCUCUGAGCCAUCAGCCCAGAGCCUGACGCGGGGCUCGAACUCCCGGACCGCGAGAUCGUGACCUGGCUGAAGUCGGACGCUCAACCGACUGCGCCACCCAGGCGCCCCAAUUUGCUUAACUUUUUAAAAAUUUUUUAAUGUUUAUUUAUUUUUUAGAGACAGAGAGAGCACAAGCAGGGGAGGGGGAGAGAGAAGGAGACACAGAAUCUGAAGCAGGUUCCAAGUUCUGAGGUGUCAGCACAGAGCCUGAUGUGGGGCUCGAACCCACGAACUGUGAGAUCAUGACGUGAGCCAAAAUCGGAUGCUAAAUUGACUGAGCCACCCAGGCACCCCUGCUUAACUUUUAUAGAAUAAACAUAUUGCAUUUGUCAAAAUUUCUAUUCAAAUUGGUUUACCAGAGUGCUGUUUGUGUGUCCAUGUUUUUUUAUGGCAUGAUUUUAAUAUACAUUUGGGAGGAUCAGUACUUUCUAAAUUAAAAAUAAUUAUGGGAGUAAUUUUAGGAAAUACAAAUAAACACGAAGAAGAAAAAAAUUCCCCCACAUGUUUAUGAUAACCACUCAUAAUAUUUGGAGCAUUUUCUUUCAUCUUUUUGUUACACACUUAAGUACUUUCUACAAAAGUAGUCUCAUCUUCUACAUUCUGCUGCCUUUUUUUUCCACUUAAGAUGUUAGGAAUUUAUUUUAAUGGCAUAAAUAUUCUUCUUCAUUAUCAUUUUAAUGGCUUCAUAAUAUGCAUAGAUCAAAAUUUAUUUAUUCAGACCACUGUUGUCAAACCUCUUUAUUUCUAAUAUUUCACUGUUAUAAAGAUGCGUGGACAUCUUUAUGGCCAAAUCUUUGGACAUAUCCAUAAUUAUUUAUUUAGGAUGAAUUUCUAAAAGUGGGUCAUAGGUUUAACCAAAUUUUAAGGCUUUGUUAUAUAUUGCUAAAUUGCUCUUCAAACCUGUGUCUUAAGUUUAUGGUGUAGGAUUUAUUUUGCCUUAUAGUUGUAAAUGUUUGCAUAGUACUUGAAAUAAUUUAAAAGGAGCAAUUUACCUAGCUCUGCAUAUAUUGGGAAGGAAAGACAAAUAUAUCUACAAUAUGCCAGGAGCCCAAAUUUCCAGAGUCGAUAGUUCACAAUUUAUAAAUCUUAGAGUUAGUUGAAUACAUUACGUAUGGCUUCUUUCUUAUAUAUACUAGAGAAAAAUUGGUUUUAAAAACUCAACAUUUUACUUUGUCUCCAUCAACUUGUCUUUGUUCUCACAAAGCCAUAUUUUCUAGAUCAGCUAAAGAUGUGGAGGCAGUGACUCAGGGGCCUAAUAAUAGAUCUACCAAAUGCUUGCAUUUGGUACAAAUGCUUACAAAUGCUACAUGUACGAAGCCCUGGCUGACAUUCAUUCUUUCAUUUGAUCUCAGAAUAGCUUCAUUUUGGGGAAGGGGAUACUGAGCUUCAGAAUGGUUGAGGGGCUUCUAAUUCACACAGAAGUUGCAGAACGGUAUCUAUUUCACUCCAGAGGAGUAUAGUUUUCACUAGUCUGUGUUGCCUCUUCUUGGACUCUAAGACUUCAUGGAUUUUACUUUCUCCCCACCCCCAUCCUAUCAACUUACACUUGCAUUUACAUUUAUAUUAAAAAUUGACCUUUGAGAAUUGCACACAAGUUCUGGUUUCAGCCUUUGCUCUCUCUCAGUUCUUGUUUAUUUUAAUUAGCCAUUUAAACUUGUACAUAGCACCCCAACAAAGGAGACUUUCAUAUUAAUGAGGAUUAAUCACAUGCAUACUAUAAAAUAAUAUAAAUUAACCCCAGCAAUGGUUACUUAUAUAUUCUGAGAUGUGUUUUAAUAUGCCUUUUAUUCAACAUUGAAUAAUGGGUUGUGGUUUUUAAAAACCAUAUGGUAGAAAAUUUGGGGAGGGAAAGAUAUUCAACACUCAUUACCACAUAUAAUUUAAAAUGUAUAAUCAACAAAGUAGGGUAUCAUACAGUGUAGUGAGAUCAGAAAAAAAUGAGUCAUAAAUGUUCAAGUUACUGACGUUUAGUAGAAAAGUUGAUGAUCUGAGGUCAUACAUCCUUUGCAUUCCAUCUUGGCCUCUUACUAAUGUGGGACUUUGGACAAGCCCUUUCUUACCUCUGAGAGUCUAUUUAUAUACCUUUAAGAUCUAAUGAUAUUUUCUUCAAAUACUUAAGAGGGUUGAAUUCAAUAUCCAACAGGUACUCUAAAUGGCAAAGUUAUGUUACAGUAUUAGCAGAGGGAGAGCAGAAUUUGGAACGUCACUAUAAUGGUCAAGAAUGAGCACAGACCCACCACCCAUGGUAUCUCUGAGAAGUCCUGUGACCUGCCAGGCAAUGAACAAACUGGCCUGGGGUCCCAAUAAGAGACAAGGGAGUCGAACACAGUUUGGCAGAAAAGUUUUCAUCUAGGGAGUAGGAAACCUCAUUUUGGUGUUUUCUGUGUGGAUUUGGCCACAUUUUAUUCUCUGAGCUUAUGUUUCUUGGGGUUGGUGUGUGACUAUCCUAAGCAUAGUUUUGUUUUGUUUUGUUUUGUUUUGUUUUUUGGUAUAUAAUAGGCCCUCAGUGAAUGCAAAGUCUGUCCCCGGCUCUCUUUAUUUAUAAGGUAAAUGUUGGGUUAAAUGUUAUCUAAGUUCCUUCCAAAUCCACAUUUUAAUGGAUUCUUAGAUUUCAUUUCAUUUUCAUUAUGGACUGUUGAUUGACUAAGUUCAUAAUAAUCCUGGUCUGGUUUCACUUGGUUCCCAUAAUCUUAAAAUGUCAUAGCUGGAAGAAACCUCAGAAACCACCCAAUCCGCUUAUUUUACUGACGAGUAAUCAAGCUCAUUAGUAGGAGCAGGGGGGAAAUUGACUUGAUCAAGGUCACCCUGUAGGUAGUGACAGGGUAGAGAACACCGUCCAUGUUUUCUGACCCAUCCCAAGACUCACCACCCACCCCUUCCCCAACCUCCAGCUGCCGCUGAUACGUUCCAGCCCGCAAAGCAGCACGAUUUGCUCCUCUUGUGUUAACAUUAUUCUAGCAUGUAAUGUCUGUGUUUAAGGCAAUGACCUGAGAAAUACUUUUAUUUCCAGUGAUGCACUUAUUUUGCAGGGUUUAUUAAUUUUAUUUAUGUAUUUGAUCUCUCCAAUGAAAUAAUAAACUAAUUUAGUGGGACAAUUUACUGGUGUGCUCCUCCAAGGAUGUUUUACAGCCUCAAUGCAAGCUUGUCUAACUGUGGGAUCAGCAGAUCCACUUUUGCCCUGCUGCCCUUAAUUUUAGCCAUCAACACACAUGGCAGUCAGCUCUGUGCUGGGUACUUGUGCCUCCAGGGGCAUCUGGAGAUAUCAGGUCCUAGGGCAAAGGAACUUUUGCUUGGGAGCCUCCCCAGAACUUAUUCAAGAGACAGGCUGCUUCAUCAGGCUGAAAGGAGUGGGAGUUGGCCUCCCAGAGAAUUGAGCCAGUGUAUUACCUGAACUGCCCAGAAUGUGAAGGUCAGAGAAUGAGGAAAAGCAAUGUAUACAGAAGUGUUGAAAGUCACAGAUGAAAAAGCCCACAGUACAUUAAGACCAAGAGCAAAGCAAGGAGCGUGAUGAGAAGAUUGAUAUGGACAGUAGCCGCAGGAACAUUGCAAGAUGGAGGAGCAAGGGUGAGAGAUGCCAGACGACCCAGAGUCAUUGGAACAAAUAGCACAGUAGUACUGAAGUUUUCAUUUGGUUUGAUUUGGUUUGGUUUGUUUUUUUUUUUUAACUGGCUUUAAUGUGAACUACAUGGACUUCCUUCUCAGACAGCCCCCAUCUGUGCUCUCUUAACAGCCAAUACUUUCUCAUCUGAGAAUUAUUCGUAGUCUCAUGUCAUUAUUUGCUUGCCUGUCCCCAUUUAACUGUGAGCACCAUUAUAUCACCAGGGCCUAGAACCAUGCCUAGAAUAUAACAUAGCUCAAUAAGCAUUUGUUGAAUGAAAGAAGGAAAGGGUGGAUGGAUGGGUAGAUGGAUAGAUGGAUAAAUGAAGAAGUGAAUCAGUCUGUCAAAGCUACUGGAGGGUCAAAGACUUGUGACCUAAUGAUAUUCAUGUGCCGUCUUUGAUGUACCAAGCAGAACCCAACGAGAGAUAUUUUUGCCAAUUAUUUACAUUUAUUAUAGAAUUACUCACCCAUAGCAAAGAAGCAUCCAAUAUAAAGGUAUUUAAUCUAUCUUGACUAAACCUUCCUUCUUAUUAAUGUUUAAUUACACCACACACAGAAACAUAUUCAUUUGGAGUAGAGGUCAAAGGUCACAGUACCCUAAACCUUUAGGGGGUAACUCUGCCGACCCACUAGUUGCCCUGGGGGUAUGGAUGCUGCCACUGUCGUGGCUGCCACUAAACUGUCACUGUGGGUUGCAUCUAGCAUUGAGGGUUCUUGUCCGAACAACUUCCAGACCUCUAGCCAGAGACUGGCUGGAACAUUAGGAGGAGGAAGGUGGGGUGGGGGGUCCUGCAGUGGGAGCUAUGCAAGCUCAGGAUCCUCUCACUCCGUAGUAGGAACCCCUUUACUGAGAUUGGCUCCCUUAGGGAUGUUACCUUUGUUAUGAUUGGCUGCAUGCAAAUUAGGAAACCCCGCUGUGUUCUUCGCGGAUACCCCUAUGCAACUGGCUGUAGAGUUUUGGAAGGCUGUGCAAAUGAAGUAGCCCUAACUUGUUGAUGCUGUUUACACGUGGCGGGACAUAAGCAGUCCUCAUGUGUUAGCGAUGAUAAAGUGCUAGGGCCAGAUCUGGGACUUGUGGUCCUAAUGGAUGUAUUUACCUUCUGUAUGCUCAGAGCGCCUGGGAUUCUAGAUAGGGAUUCUAGAUUCCAGGCAGAUACCAGGAAUUGGGCAUGUCUUAGAGAUCUUUGGUAAAUACAUAGAAUUAUUUGUAAAACAAUUUAAUUACAAGGCCUGCCAUUUGUUCCGUGACUACCACAUAGGAGACACAAUACCAAGGUCUUUCAAUAUAGUACUUAAUGAUCACAAUUCCGCAAUUAGGUAUUCUUAUCCCAUUUUAAAGUGAGGAGACUGAGAUUCAGAAGGGUGAAAUAACUUGUCCAGUUUCACACAGGGCCCAUUGUGUUGAUAAGAAAACAUACUAAGUUUCAUACGGAGUAGCAAUGAUAACUGCCAAAGAUGGAAAAACCGGCAAAAAAAAAAAAAAAUCCUUGAAAAAGCAACUCUCCAUUGGCUCUUUUACUCCAAGAACUAAGGAAGGUAGCAAUGAUGGUGCAUAUUAUAUUUUAGCUGUAAUAUACCUACAGACAACUUGCAAAGCACUGGUGUUUUUCUGGAAGCUGUGUUUGGGGGCUCUGGGCUUAUUCCCACAUCUCCAAAAGCAGAGUCUGUCCCAGGCUUCCAUACUGUCCAGCUGACAAAUAAUAGUCUCAUUUUGAUUCUGUGUCAUUCGUCAAGGACCAGACAGAAUGCAUGUGUGUCCACAUCUCUCCUUCUAGAUGACUAAAAUAGACUCUCCUCUGUAGUCACGACCUGGCAAGGAAAGGCUGCAAUUUUAUACACCGUCCCUCAUGGGUAGAGGUUCUUCACCAAAAGUUGUAAACUCUCAAUAGAUUCCAAGCAUGAGCAUUGUUUAUUUUUUCUGCAAACUCUAGGUCUGGUGUAUAUUGAAAAGGAGUGUUUUUUUCAUUGUUGUUGUCCCAUUAGAUUUUUCAGUUUAUUGUAUCAGGCGUUAACACCUGGAUGAUAAUCUGCUGAAUGAUCUUCCCCUAUGUCACGUUUCUUCAUGGCACUUAUCAUCUGGCAUACUUUGUAUUUAUUGCUUUGUUUAAUUUGGUGUCUGUCUCCAUCCCCUGGAAUGUAAGCUCAUGAGGGCAGAAAUAUUCAUUUAGUGUGUUCUUGAAUCUCCGGUGAUCAAAGCAGUAUUUGGCACAACUAUGGUCUCCGCAAAUAUUUAUGAAUAAUAAUAAUGGAUGGGUAGAUGUAGGUAUAUAUGGAUAGAUGGACAGAUGGAUAGGCCCUGUCAACUGUGAAAAUUUAGGGUGAAAUUAUAGUAAUCAAGGUAAAACAGGUUUGCACAGGACUAUGAAACUAGACCAACGGAAUAAAAUCUAGAGCCCCAAAUAGACUUUACUGACUGAAAACUUUGUACAUGAUAAAUAUAUCACUAUAAAUCAAUGCAGAAAUCAUAGACUAAGAUAUAAAUGGUACAAGGAGGAUGCAUAAAUAUACAGAAAAUGUACUGAAUCCUAACCUGACACCAUAUAAAGAAUAUCAAUUCCAAGUAAAUUAAAUGCAAGAGGCAUAGCUUUAAAAACUUUAGAACGAAUUAUAGGACAAUGUCUUUAUGAUGCAGGGGUAGGAAAGGAUGUAAUGAAUAAAAUAAAAUAAAAUAAAAUAAAAUAAAAUAGCACCUACCUUAAAAGAAGUACUAAUAGAUUGCCUUACAUUAACAUUUUAAACAUUGUAUAUGUUUGUUUGUUUUCUUUAAAACAAAAAGACACGCUUUGGACCAGGAGAAAUGGUUGGAACAUACGUAACUGCAAGAGGGUUGAAUCCCCAGCAUGCAGAUUAGUAUAGAAUGUAAUUAUAACAUAUCCAGAGGUACCACUACAUAUUUUGAUUAAAUAUUAUCAUUUUACCGUUUUGCUGUUUCUUUCCAUGGCUUAUGCCCACACCAAAUUUAGGACUUUGCUAAAUGUCACUUUCCAGGUAAGGUCUUCCCUAACUACCUUUUUUGAACUUGAGGUCUCACCUUAGCACCUUCAUCCCCCCCUCUGCUUCUGCUUUCGUCAUGACACCUUUGAUCAUAUGACACACUAGACAUUCUGCUUUCCUAUAUGUUUAGUGUAUGUUGUUUCCUCCCUGGAACAACUCAAUAGAAAAAAAAAAAUGGGCAUAUGUUAAAGUAGCCAAAAAACCAUUACAAAAAUAUAAAAUAAAAAUAACAAGAGAAUGUUCAAUGUCACCAGUAAUCAGAGAAGUGCAUGCUAAAAAUAGAAGAUAUUUUAUAUCCAUCUUUUUGGAAAACUUUUAAAGUCUGGCAACACCAAAUGUUGGCAGUGCUAUGAACUCAGGUAGAUUCGUAUGAAUUACUACUGCCACACUGGAGAGCCAUGUGUUACAUCUAAUAACUUUGAAGAUGCAUACACCAUAGAUAAAUCUCAUACACGUGUGUCCAAGGAGUUUAACUGCAGCAUUACCCCCGUUAGCUCAGUUUGGAAACAGCCCAAAUGUUCACCAAUAUGAAUGGUUAAGUCAAUCUAAAUACAUAGUAAAAUAUCACCUAAAUAUUAAAAUGAAUGAAUGUAAGCCAAUUCUAUCAAAGUGGCAAAAUCUUUAAAACAUAUUUAAGAAAAUAAGCUUCAGAUGGAUGCCUACUGAGGGAUAUCAUUUAAACGAAAUUUUCAAACAUGCAAAACACUGCUAUAUGUUUUUUAUGGAGGCAAAGCAUGUAUUAGAAGCAAAAAAUCAUGCAUGGAAAUUUAGGAGUAUAGUUAUUUUUGUGGAAAUGGGAAGGAAUUCAUGGGAUAAUUUCUUUAUAUUGAUAAUGUUUAUUUUUAAAAGAAAAUGUUUAAAGCGAAUAUGACAGGGUGGUAAUAUCUGACCAGGCUGGGUGGCAGUACAUAAGUUUUGGUUGUAAUUAUGUCUGUGCUCAACUUCAUGCUUGAAAUAUUUAAUAAGAAAAGAAAUAGGAGGGUACUUAAGUGUGACUGACAAGGAACAAAGUUUAAGCCAUAGCAUAUCAAAUAAUAUGGUGUGACAUAGCAAAAUUGUAAACUGAAUUUUGUUAUUAGACAAAGACUAUAUACAAACCCAGAUUCAAUGCCUUCUUUUCAUAGCAGUUCAUGAGAUUAGGCUUUGGAACCUGACAUUCUAGGUUCAAGUCUUGACUCAUACUUAAUAACUGUUGAAAAUUAGGCAUCAGUUUUCUCACCUAUAAAGUGGAAAAAUGAGAUAAAAUAGAAAUUAUUUUAAAAAGAGAGAAACUCAACAAAGCCAAGAGUUGAUUCUUCAAAAGGAUCAACAAAACUUACAAACUUUUAGCUAGAAUGAUUAAGAAAAAAAAAGAGAAGACACAAAUAACUAAAGUGAGAAACGAAAGAGGGGACAUUACUACCAACAUUACAGAAAUAAAAAGGAUUAUAAAGUGGAAAAAUAGUGCCUCCUCAUAACAAAUAUUCUGAGGAUGAAAUGAAAUCCUAUUUGUGCAGUGUUCAACACAUGUCAUGGCACAUAAUGAAACCGAAGAUCAGUAUUGAUGUAAACAGGCAUAAGCUUGAAGUCAAUUUUAAAUGCCAUGCUUUCUCUCAUUUUAUUUGUUUUCUCCAUUAACCCUACCAAGUUGGUGUUAUUAUUAUCCCAUUUUAUAUGUAAGAAAACUGAGCCUGAGAAAGGUCAAAUAACUUGUCCAAGAUUUUCCAUCUCUUAAAAAGAGAGAUGAGAUUCAAACCAGAUCUAUCUCCAGAAAAACAUAACUGUAACUUAAUGUCCUGGCUAUAUUUCACUAGUUUUAUGAGUAAACUAAAUUGAAUUCAUUUACAAUAAAACAUUAUAAUAAUCUAUCCCUUAGCUUUAUAUUUUUCUUUGAGUAGGAAGUCAACCAGCCAUUGCUGAUUAAAACUAAUAACAAGUGUCUACUUAGUGUAUGUGUAUAUAAGUUCACACAUGUAAAAUAACUGAGUUUCCAUAAUGGGCUGUUGUUACUAGAUAAAUAUUCCUGCCUUAAGCAGAUUCUUGGGCUUGGAAUAUAUUGGAAGAUCAGUAGGCUGUGGUAUUCUAUUAUGUUGAGUUUUUCUCUCUUUUUUUUAACCAUGGGCUCUUCUUUUAUUUUAUUUUAUUUAUUUAUUUAUUUAUUUAUUUAUUUAUUUAUUUAUGUUUCACUGUCUUACCAGAAAAAUUGUUAUCUCUCUGCUUUCCAUCUUCUUCCGUCCUCUGUGAAUCCAAAUGGAACUUAACUUUUAUUGUCACUGAUUAUUUUGAAUGAACAUGUUUCUUAAUGUAAUUUUUGUCAGGUCAGUUCCAUUUAUUAUGUCUUUUAUUCAUUCAUACAUUCAUGCAUGCAUGCAGCACACAUUGAGUGGUGACUAUGAACUUGCUUCUGGAUUAGGUUCCUGGGAAGUAAGGGUUCAUAAGUCUGUAGAGAGAGGCAGAGGUGGAAAUGGACAAUCCCAGGACAGUUUUACCUGCUGGAUGGAAUUGGUACUACGGAGCAUGGGGUCCCCCAUUUUGAUGGCGGGGGGUGGUGUGGAGAAGUGACACAGAAAUGGUGAUGUUGCCCCUGAAACUCCUAUUUGUAUGUUUAUUUACCAUCUAGAAAAUAAUGCACGAUUACGGGGCGCCUGGGUGGCGCAGUCGGUUAAGCGGCCGACUUCAGCCAGGUCACGAUCUCGCGGUCCGUGAGUUCGAGCCCCGCGUCGGGCUCUGGGCUGAUGGCUCGGAGCCUGGAGCCUGUUUCCGAUUCUGUGUCUCCCUCUCUCUCUGCCCCUCCCCCAUUCAUGCUCUGUCUCUCUCUGUCCCAAAAAUAAAUAAACGUUGGAAAAAAAAAAAAAAAGAAAAGAAUGCACGAUUACAGAAAACUUGGUAAGCAUAAAGACAAGAGAAAAAUAACCUAUGAUUGUGCUACAAUGAGCCAGUGUUAGCAGCUGAUAUAUUUUUUAAGACCAACUUGUACAUGGAUGAGCUCAAAUUUUUAAGUAAUUUUAUUAUAUUCUACAUAUUUUCUCAUAUCCUGAAAACUUUUUUAAAUUUUUUUAUAUGUGCGUUAAUAUUCUUCUGUGUACAAACACUAACACUCAUCUUAUCAUUCCUGUAAUAGUUGUCUCUUUCUUACAGAUAACAUUGUGAUGAUAAUCUCUGUGCAUAUUGUUUCCUUGAGAAGGAAUCCUGAAGGCAAAUUACAGAUUAAAGUGUAUGAUCACUUUUAAGACUUUUGACAUUUUCUCCAGUGCCCUCUUCUUUACUGAUCUCAAGGCAAGAGCUCAUGCCUUUAAGAGAGUCAGAUGAAUUAGAAGUUGGAGAAAUUCUUUAAGAAUUCCUACGUUGGGGUGCCUGGGUGGCUCAGUCGGUUGAGCGUCCGACUUCGGCUCAGGUCGUGAUCUCACGGUCCAUGAGUUCGAGCCCCGCGUCGGGCUGUGUGCUGACAGCUCAGAGCCUGGAGCCUGUUUCAGAUUCUGUGUCUCCCUCUCUCUCUGACCCUCCCGUAUUCAUGCUCUGUCUCUCUCUGUCUCAAAAAUAAAUAAACGUUAAAAAAAAUUAAAAAAAAAAAGAAUUCCUAUGCAUGUGCAGAUAUGCACAUGAAUGUGUACACACACAUUUUAGGCACAUACACAUGUAUCCUGACUUCCUCCUACCUGGGGAGCAUUGUGUAACACCUCUUGCCUAGUACUUAAAAUGGGCUGAUUUGUUGAUUUUGGUGGUGGUGGUGGUGGUGGUGGUGGUGUUUUUGUUUUAGCCACCUCUGUAUUUCCAGUGCCUGGUAUAUGGUAGGAAUUUAGGAAAUGUUUCUUGAAUGAAAGAGAGGAAAGAAAAAUAAGGCCAUUAAAUAAUUAUUUACUUUCUUAAACAUCUUAUUUUACUUGUUUUCAGCCUUCGGCAAGACAUGGUGGUGAACCCUGGCUCUAAAUCUUCAUGAUUGAGGGACUCUUU
Molecule: long non-coding RNA, 345804 nt
Filed under: Lynx pardinus (Iberian lynx)
Lineage: Eukaryota; Metazoa; Chordata; Mammalia; Carnivora; Felidae
Rfam family: tRNA (bases 107218-107302)
Source: RNAcentral